RNAcentral lists this long non-coding RNA (196594 nucleotides) under Solanum tuberosum (potato). RNAcentral describes it as "long non-coding RNA (STUB_LNC004039)". The record is from RNAcentral. Lineage: Eukaryota; Viridiplantae; Streptophyta; Magnoliopsida; Solanales; Solanaceae.
UCUUGAAGAUGUCGUUUUCAUUUCCUACGUUACCACCAGUUACCACCAACUGUUCAUCAUUAACUUUCCAAACAGUUUCGUCAACACACAACUUUGUUGUUUUAACAAAGAACUUGAUAUAAACAGCAGUCAUUAGACGCACCACAUCACCAUCAUCCGACUCCGACUUACGAACGAACAUGACGGGCGUGCCUUUUCCCAAAAAUUGGGGAAUCGACAUGUGCUGUAACACGGCGUUUGGGCAUUGAAGGUUUCCAAUAUUGUUCAAGUAUACGGCUCCGGCCCCGAGGAGAGGAUUCUUAAUAAUGUACCUCUCACCAAUCCUCAGCGGAUUGCCAUCUUGGUCAUAAACUUCAGGGAGUACAAGAUUAUCAUGACAAGUUGUGGGGAGGACAAUUGGAUUCUCAGAAGUGAAAGAUCGAGCAAAGGCAACCAAAGAGAGGGUACUUGAAAGCAAAAGGAAACUCAAAAUAUUAAUCGACUUCAUCUUUCUUUGUGUGUUUUGCUUGCUAUGAGUUUAUGUCCAAUUUAUAGAGCUGCUAAGGGCAUUUUUGGCAAACAAAAAAUAAUACCUACUACCGCCUUAGACACCUCAAAUAAGUUUUAUUCAUUUUAAAUACCUAAUAUCAAGCUUCAAUAUUAAGUCACUCUUUACACUUUUUUUUUUUUUUUUAACGAUCAACAAAAAUAUAUACAUAAUAUGUGUUACACUGAAUAACAUGCAGGUAAAGUAUCAAAUUCGGGUAAGGAAUUCUAUUGACCGAGGGAAAGGUAUUAGGCAUCCCUCGAGUUCCGUGGUUCUAGCACGGUCGCUUUUAUUGACUUAUACUUGACUUUUAUUAUUAUUAUUAUUAUUAUUAUUAUUAUUAUUAUUAUUAUUAUUAUUAUUAUUAUUAUUAUUAUUAUUAUUAUUAUUAUUAUUAUUAUUAUUAUUAUUAUUAUUAUUAUUAUUAUUAUUAUUAUUAUUAUUAUUAUUAUUAUUAUUGUUUGGAUAAAUUGUGUUUUAGGCCAUGGUUUACUUAUAUUUUUUAUUGUGCAUUUUUAUUUGGUCUCGACCUAUAUACGUAACCGCAUUCUUGAUCUUGGCGUUUAGAGACAUAACUGUCUUCUUUGCAUCGCACCUAAUGAUUGUCUAUAUGUCUUACUUUGAAUUAAUAAAAGUUAUCUAUAUUUUUUACCAAGGUGUGUCACCGCAUUCCUUGAGUUUCUUUUACAGCCUCAAAAAGAUGUGUAACCACAUUCUUAAUUGAAACAAAUAUUUUUAACAGUCCUAAAAUUCAUAUAGUCAUUAAAAAAUUAAUAUUUUGUCCCUUAUAAAUAAAACCAAAUAAAAUAAAAUAAAUCUAAAUGUUGAGAAUAGAAUAUAUAAUUCUGACAUCAUUUCUAUAUCCUUUUAUUUUAUGCUAUUAAUAAUAAUUUCUUUAAAUUUUUUAUCCUAACUAUAUCUACUUUAUCAUUAUUAUCUAAAUCAAGACAAGAACAAUGUCAUGAUCCGUUCAUUUUUAAGAGGUCACAACUAGCGAAUAGAAAUAAAUAAAAUAAAAAGUAAUCAUUGUUAAAGCUACCUUCAUUCAUUAAACAGAAAUAUAAUAGCUAACAAAUUGUUCAUUUCAAUCAAAUUACGAAUAAAUUAAAAAAAAUAGGAAAACAUGUCAUAAAACUACAUCAAAUUCCAUAAAUAGAUUAAAGAAAUAAGGAGAAGUUGAAUACCGCAAAAUCUUGACCGAACCUUGAUUAGAACACCCACAAAUUUUUGUAGGUAGUUUGUGAUGGUAUAUAUGUUGUGUUUAAAUAAAAAUAGUAAUGAAAAGGGAAGAAAAGAUGUGAAUGUGUUGGUAAAUUUUUUAUGAUCACCCCCUUUGGUGUGCAGCGUGUGCGUGUGCGUGUGUGUUGUGUAUUUUGUUUUUGUAGUCUUUUUCUUCUUUUCGUUUUUCUGUACGUUUUUUGGUAUGUAGGAAAGAUUGUGUAGUGUCUGUAUAGGUAUGUGUGGGUAUUGUAGUAUGUAUAUAGGUGUAAGGGAGGGGCCGUACGUGUGUGGAGAGGGAAAAUGGUGGGGUGGUGAGUGUAGUGGGGUGUAGUAUAGGGAUAGUGGGGUUGUGGUGGGUAGGGGUGUUCAUGGUUUGGUUUGGGUCGGUUAUUGGUCAAAACCAAAAUCAAACCAACUUAAUCGGUUUUAAAAUUAUCAAAACCAAACCAAACCAAAUAUAAUAUACAUUUAUCGGUUUGGUUGUUUUCGGUUUUGGUUUGGUUUGGUUCGGUUAUUCGGUUAUUAACCAUACAUAAAAAUAAAAUAAACAAUUCAUUCAAAACAUGAAAAAAGUGACAACAAUCCAUUCAAACAAAAAAAUAGUUAGAAUGACUGGCAUUACAGAACUUUCGAUUAUAGAAUUUACUGAAUAAAACUUCAAAAUUCACUAUUUUGGCAUUGAAGGAAGAGACAUGACAUUUUUAGUCCCACAAAGAAUGUUCAUAGACACUCAUAUAUAUGAAACCAAUAAGAACCAAACCAAAACCCAAAUUAAAUCGGUUCAUUUAAUCGGUUUGGUUUGAUUUUUUCGAUUUGGAUCGGUUUUUAUCCAAACCAUGAACACCCCUAGUGGUGGGUAUUGUGCAGGUUACUUAGAUUAUUAUUUUUUAUUUUUUAAAAGAAAGGAAUAAUAAUUAACUAUAUAUAUAAAUAAUAUAUUAUAAUAAAAUAUCAAUUAAUUAUUUUAAAUUAAUAUAAAUCUAAAAAAAAGUCAAAUAGCUAGUAAAAAAAUAUAAUUAAAAAAUACUAGCUUAUUUAUAAAAACUUAAUUUUAAAAUAAUAUAUAUUUUUUGUAAUCUUUCAUUUAUUUUUUAAAAAUUGAAAAUAAAACCUACCUUAAAGUGUGACUCUAUUUUUUUGUAGUUUUCAAAUCUUUUAAAAUAAACUUAAUAAAAUAAGGUAAAAUUCAAAAUAUUUAAUUUAGAUUUUUAUAAAAUAUUUGAGCUCUAAAAAUGGUGUUAAACUUAAGUUCAGUCAAAAAUUACGUGUCUAUAACUAUUUUAACAAAUAAUUAAAGGGAAAUUUAGCAAUCUAGUCAACAUACCUAACAUAAUUAGUCAAAAUGACUACAGUUUAAAAUAUUUAUUUGAAGGUUUGACCAAAAUAAUAUAAAUAUAAAACAAAUGAACAAAAGUAAUACAUAUUCUUAAAAAGUAACCAAAAUAGUAUAAACUCUACCAUGAGUAACGUUUUAUCUAUUAUUUUAUUCAUAAAAAUUAACGGAUAGAAAACAGAGAAACCAACUACCAUUAACAUAAAUCGUUACUGUUGAUAACGUAAUUUGGGAAACUACAUUUUUGAAAAAGAGAUUGCAGUUGUACUUGUAAUAUUUAAUUCACAAUAUGUUUUAAAUAGUAUUAAUUGAAUAUUUUAAAUUUUUUAUUUAAAAUUAUUUAUAUAUAUAUUUGUGUGGUAAUAAAUCAUUUGAAUAAUUGUAAAAAUGAAUAUUUGAUAAAUGUUUUAUCAAUAUUGAUAAAUUUUAAGUGGUGUUGAUUAAAUAAUUUAUUUAUUUAUUAUCCAAAAUAUCUCUAUAUUUAUGAAUUAAGAUAAAGGUGAAAACAAACAACUAACUAUACCUUGAUUUUUUUUUUUUAAAUGACAACUAUUUUGAACCAAUUAUUUUUCACAAAGACAACAAGUAAAGUGAAUGGAAUAAAAUACAGUGUAAUUUUUAUUAUUUUAAACAAGCAAGUCAGUGUAAUCAAAAUCUUGGUAAUUAGGUCAAAUCUAAAACUACAAAAUUUACCUUGAAUUAAUUUUUUAUUUACACCAUUUUAAACAUAGAGAAACUGAUAAUAUUUUCACAAUUCUAACAUAUGCCAACAAGCAUAAACAUCGAAGAAAUGACAUUAUUCAUAUCCAUGCUAAAAGUAAACGAAUAAAGAAAAAGGAUAAAUUUAAUUAAAAGAAAAAUUAGAAUGCAAGCAACUGACAUAAGUUGAAAGCAAAUUCGCUACUGCUACUAAUGUUUUAUGUUAACGUCCGUUCUUUUUUCACUUUCUGUUCAUCAAUUUUUUAUGAAUAAAAUAAUAGGUAAAACGUUAUUGGUGAUAGCGUUUAUACUAUUUUGGUUAUUUUUUUUAAAUGUGUAUUACUUUUGUUCAUUUAUUUUAUAUUUGUAUUACUUUGAUCAAAACUUCUAUUUAUUUAAAAUGUCAAAAUGUCAAUACUUUACAAAAUAAUUGUAUUCAAAUAUUAGUAUUUAUUUUACCCUUUUUCCCCAAAACAGUCCAUCAUUGGACAAAUUCUAAACCAAUAACAGAUAAAAAAGGGAAAAAAAAAACUACCGAUUAAUCUUUUUCCCAUCAUUCACGUUUCUUUUCCCCCAUCAUUCAAGUUUUAUAUUUUCUCUUUCUUCAAAUUUCUUUGCAGGUCAAGAAAUACAAAUUAUGAAUGGUUCUUCUAAUUAAUAUCUCAAUUGUUAGAGGUAAUUUUGAUUAUUUAGUGAUAUUUAUGUUGAUUUUGUUUUUAAAAUUACCGAUUAUCUUGUAUUUCGGAUUUUAUAUAUUACGGAUUUUUUGUCAAUUUUUUUGAUUUUUAUGUGAGUUUGGUUAGAUAAGCAGGGCCCAUUCGGGGGUGGCGCUCCCAACGGGAUUUUCUCCAUAUCCAGGGCUCGAACCCGAGACCUCUAGUUAAGGGUGAAUCACUCCCACCAAUGCACCACAACUCAUGUUGGUCCUAAAGUUAUUAUUAUUAAGUAGGUAUGUACGUUCAAAAUAAUUCUUUAAAAAGUGAUCAUAUCCGAUCUUAAUCAAAUACAACUCUAACUCCAACUUAAAAUUUUAAAAUAAUACUCCCUCCUUGCCCUUUUAGUUGUUAUGCUGCACUUUUCAAAAAUUAUUUUGAAUUAUUUUCCAAUUUAAAUUAGAUUACAUUAAAGAUAUUUUAAAUUAAAAAGUUAGAUAUAUAUUUGAAAGGUAUACAUAAAGUACUAUAAAUUGCAAUUUUUGAAUAUCAGUAUGAUGAAAAAAUAUAUCGUAAAAUGUUACUCAAAGUUCUUAUUAUUUAAUUCUAAAAAAAGAAUCAUACAACUAAAAAAGGAUGAAGUGAAUAUAAAUAUAUUUAAUUUUCAUGAUCAAAUGCAUACUAAAAUAUAGUAUUAGUCAAGUUGCCAAUCGCCAUAAUGAUGAAAAGGAAACAGGUGAAUGCAGCUCAUAUCACUGAAAAUAUAGCGCUUUAUACUUCAUCUUUUCAGCACUACCAGCGUAUAAAAAAAUGAAAAUGUGUAAUUUUCAAGUUUAAUACUAAGAGCCGUAGAGAGUUUGUUUUCGAUAAACUUGAGGGAGGAAAGCAAAACUAAGGCAUUUACAAAUGAAUAAAGAUGAACUUAUAUGCUUUGGUUAUAAAAGUAGUCUGACAUUAUUUGUUUGUAAAAUUUGGAUGCAGUUAAACAUGGCUAUUAAAGAAUCACUUCGACUGUAUCCACCAGAUCCUAUCAUUGAACGAAUGCCUUGUGAAGAUAUGAUUUGUUAAACAUUUUAAUUUUUUAAUAAAAUAUGUUUUUUUUUCAAAAUAAGUAUUUUUGAUCUCAUAACAAUUAUGCGGCUUUUAACCAUGGUUAUAGUUAUACGGAUUGGGUUAUCUAUAGAAAAGUUAAAUAUAUGGAACAAAUCAAAUUCAAAUCAAACCUAUUAAUUAGCUAGCGAUUGAGACGUAAUAAUUUUUUAUAUGUACAUUGUGAAUCUCACGUACUCAAUGGUCCCGUAAAUCUUAAUCAUAUUUUGGAUAAAAGCCACCUAGCUGCUUAGAGAUUUAAUAAUUUUGGAUGUAUUUGAUAUUUUCCCUCCGAACACCUUAUCUUCAGUCUCACUUCUCGCAGUGUCUAUUUUCCUCACCCCCACACUUUUUAUUUUAUUAUUGUGUGUUUUAAUAUAUUUAUCUAGAUUAUAUAUAAAUAUUUUUAAAAUAAUAUUUUUUAUUUAUCUACUAAACAAAUAAGAAUUUUAUUUUCUUGAGGAACAUCUUUCAAAAAGAAUAUUUUCUUUCGUAACGAAUAUAUCCUGAACAACCACAAAGGUUAAUAUCAACAUUUUGAUUUUAAUUGAGUUGAAAUGUUUAGAAAGAAAAACAAAGCAGAAAUAAUUAAUUCUCUCCUAAUUUUAUAAAUUGACAAAUAAUUUAAGAAAAAUAUUUUUAAAAUAUGAACGACUAAUAUUGAAUGAACACUAAUCAUCAAAGAAAUAAAAGAAUAAUUAAGUAGCCAAAUUUUCCGUUCUUACCAUCAACUCUACUUGGAGUUGCACUGUUGCAGGCCAAUAAUGGAUAUAUAUAUUAUAUACUAAUGUGCCGAUGGGACCAUUAUUAGACCAUAGUUAAAACAUGAUAAUGAAGUACGAUGGUUAAUUAGUUUCUUUUCCCAGUUGCAGUAGGCCUAAUUAAUAUAUUGUAAAGUGAUUCUAUUACAAUAGUGAAGUAGAGAGGUGAUUUUAAAGCUAUCAAUAGUUCGAAAACGAAAUUAAUAAUUCAUAUCAAAUUCAGAAGUAUUUUCAAUAUUUUUGUCUAUAUAUCAUCUAUUCUCAACUUUUAAAUUUGAGAGUUCAUAAACAAUAUAUGUCCUCUCAGUUUUUAAAUUCGUUCAACUUCACCAUUAUUAACAUUGUGAAAUUAAUUCAAUGUCAAUUGUCCGUAUUAUGGACAAACCCUAAAUUACAUAAAUUAAAACAAAAGAUUAUACAAUAAAAUUAAUUUAGUACUAAAAAUAGCGUAAAAAUUGAGGGCUGAGACUAACGAACAUGGUUAAUUAAAAUUGAGGAACAUCGUAUCUUUUUGGCCUAAAAGAUAUUUGAAUACUAGACUAAUAUAUAUUCACCAUUGAAGAUAAAUACCAACGGGCUAACAACCAAGUUAUUUUCAUUUUUGUCAUGUAAUCUUAGUUUGUUAAAGCCAAAAAUGAAUAUUAAUGUCUUGACGGGACCGCAUGUGUUACUAUCCCAUUAUUAAAAUGGAGUCCGAAAUUAAAAGGGCAAUAAAAUUUUUCGAAAAUUUCAAAAGGACAACUAAAUUAUUUAUGAAAUCAAAAUGGCAAUAAUUUUUAACGGCGUCUAAAUCAGAAUUUUCACCGCAAGACACAAAUCCAUAAACCUUACACGGUGCAUCAGCUUUUAGCCUUGUAAGACUCAUCCCCGCGAGCCUUACAAGGCGCAAGGCAGGCUAUUUUUUUCAAAAAAAAAGUUUUUAUUGUGUUCGGUCCUUAAGGCUACACGUUGCAAACUCGACCGCUCAUUUUUUUUGUUAGAUAAUUAAAAAAAUCUGACUAUUUAGUUGAGAUGUUAAAUCAUCCAACUUUAAAUUUAUCGAAAAUGCAGUACCUUUUUUUUUUUACAAAAAUACAAUCUAUUUUAGUCGGUUAUUUUUUUAAAAAAAAUUUAUGCCUUUUGAGUAGGGGUGUACAUGAUCGGAUUGGUUCGUGUUUUUCAAAUAUUAAAUCAAAUUAUUUGUGUCGAAUUUUUAAAUCUAUAAACCAAACCAAUAAAACUCGGGUUUUUUCAGAUUUUUCGGGUUUUUUUCGGUAAAGUAUUCAUACAAACAUAUAAUUUACUUGUACUUUAAAUAUAUAUUUCUUUUAGUCCUAACAAAAUACAACUAUCUAAGGUGUUUCUUAAGAAAAUAACACAAAAUACGAUAUGAGUAAUGACACUAAAAUGUCCAAUUAAAAAAUAAUAAUAAUGAAAUCACGUAAAACAAAUAUUACAAAUUAACAAGUCAUAAUGAAGAUGAUCAUAAUUUAAAAGUACUAAAUCAUGCUAAAAUAAGUUUAAUAAGUAUUAGUUACAUGACUAAAUAUUAAAGAAAAAUUAAAAUUAGAUUAUGUAUUUGAAUUGUCUAAACCAAUGUAAAACCAAAGAACAAAAUAUUACAAUAUUAUUGUCAUUCUUAGUGUUGAAUUGAUUUUCUUUUUGCAUUAGUAUUAAUUUCAUUUUUGAUUUAAGCUUUAUUAUAAUUACCAACAUUUGUGGACUAUAAUCUUUAUUGAACCAUUCAGAAUUAUAAGUUUCAAACUUGAAAUAAUAUACUAAAAGAUAAAAACUAUGAAAAAGUAUAAGAAAUAUUUAAAAAUUAUAUCAAAGUAAAUAUUUUUAUGUAAAAGUAAAUUUAAAAUUAUAUAUAUAAUGUCGGGUUGGUUUGGUCUCGGGUUGAUUUUUUUUAGUUAAAAUCAAACCAAUCCAAAUAUAGUCGAGCUUUUUAUUCAAUACCAAACCAAGUCAAACCAACCAUUAAUCGUGUUUUUUUUCUCAAUUUGACUCGAUUUAUAAUUUAAUUCGAUUUUUGAUUCGAUUUUAUACCCCUACUUUGAGUUAUCAAAAUAGGAUUUCUAUUGACCGUAAGUUUAAUUUGAUAAUGCAAAAAAAUUUAAAAUAAAUAAAUUGUAUAUUGUAAGUAAUGCACAUUUCAACACACGUAUGACGUAUGCAUAUUAGGGGUGAAGCUAUAUAGUUCUUAUGACACUUGUUUAAGCUUGGUUUUCUAAAAGAAUGACACUUGUUUAAGUUUGGUUUUCUAAAAGAAUGUUUGGAUGUGUCGUUUGUUUAAAUAUAAUGUUUAUUUUGAUGAUUAGUUAAAUUUAAUUUAUAUUAUUAAAUUUAUUGUUAGGUAAUAACGUGAUUUUUCAUUUUAUGUAAUGGCUGAUUUAGUAUGAAUGUAUGGUCAUAAUUUAUUUUUUUUGUUUUACUUACUAUUUAAUAAUUGUAUUUUAUUAUUUACUUUUUUUUUUAUAAUAAAUCUACUCCGCACUCUAUUUUUCUGGUGUGUUCAUCUUUUUGAUUUUUUGACAUUAUGUAAUUAUCGAAAAAAAUACAACUUAAUAUCGUACGAUACAAUUUAAUAUAACAUAAUAUAAUAUAUAUUAUAAAAUGACAUGUAACAACCAUCCAAACAAAGUAUAAAUAUAUAGUUUCAUCAAAAGUUAUAGUGAUAAAGUGGUAAAUUUCGUAGUGAGGUUUAGAUUCGAAUUAUAACAACGAAGUGAUCACUUUUUAAUAAAUAAUAUUUUAUACCUUUAACAUGAGUUUUUUAAAGAAAAUUGAACUCAAAUUAGCGGAAUCUCAGUACGAAUAUUGAGCCUAAAAAGUACUCUAUAAAAGAAGCUCAUAAAUAAAUAGUCCAUUUAAUGGCAAAUUUUAUCCUUUUGUCAAUACAAAAAAGUCCAUGAAUAAUCUUUUCCGAUAUUUGGUAUUGCAUUUUAGUUCUAAAUUAAACACCUUUUACCUGAUUUGAUUACAAAUAUAUAAUAAAUUAGGAAAUUAAGUCGCGCUACGUGCAGUAUAAAAAAUAUUAAAUUAUAAAAUACUUUUAAUAUUGUUUUGUUUUCUUAAAUAAAAUUAUAAUAUUAUUAAUGUUUUUAAUGAUUUUUUCGAUCUUCAAAUCCAAAUAAAUUAUAUUACAAAUUCAAAUACUUAUAUUUGUAAUUUUGAGUUAAAUUCACGGGAUAUUGAUUUUAUCAACAAAAAAAACAAAAGAAUCCUUUGGCACCAUCUAAUAUACCUAUUCUUUUAUGUUAGAGUUAUUAUAAUUGAAAAAAAUUAUGAAUUUAGUAUCCAUUUGAAUGUGUUCUUUUAUAGAGUUAUGACAUGAUAAUAAAAAUUAAAAUAAUAGAUUUAACAGAAAAAAAGAAAAAAAAUGAAGGAAUAUAUACAUUUUAUAGUAGAUAAAUAAAACAACGGUUUACUCAUUGGUGCAAGGAUGAGCUUAAAGUUUGCUUUCACUAAAAUUAUGUUAUUCUCUAAGAUAAAUGCAUAAAAUGUAGAACUAACAUGCAAUUAGCAUAAAAUAUAAUAGAUCUAUGAAUGAAAAAGGGGAUAAUUUCAUACACUUUUCUUUGAAUUUGACUUUUUAAAAUGGUUCGAAUUUGACUUAUAACACUCGCCUCUUAAAAUUUAUGAUAUUAUACUUCUCUUAUUUUAGUUUUAUUGUUAUACUUCUUUUAACCUAUUAAAUAUCUCAAUUAUAUGUUUGGACUUAUCUGUCUGUCACUCCCCGAGCCUACACCCUGGGCGGAACUGGCACUCGAAGACCAUUGCUGGCCUCAAGUGAACUCUUGGCCUGGCUACUUAACUCAGCGGAAGACUUAACUCAACACAAUAUAAGUUCAUAAAACAACCUAAAUGAUAAAAUCUGGCCAAAAUGGCAACUUAUGUCUCAAAAUAGAAUAUCUGUAAAUACAUAGAUGAGAGACUCAUAACUACUGUCUAACUGUCUAUGAAGCCUCUAUAAUACUGAGAUGGAUGUUGGGACAGCCCCACAACAUCCUAAUAAAGAAAAACUAGAAAAGCGAAUAAAAGAGUCCUCCGGAAUGCAAGGAGGCUCACCACUGACUCUAGAGUGCUCGACUAGAUCAACGGCACACUGGAUGCUGAUCCUGGUUACCUGCGUCUGCAUCAUAAUAAGAUGCAAGCCAACUGGCAUCAGAACAUUGAAUGUACGAGUAUGCGAGUUGGAAUGCUAAACAACAACUUAAGCUUGAAAGGAGUAAGAAGGAACACUUACNNNNNNNNNNNNNNNNNNNNNNNNNNNNNNNNNNNNNNNNNNNNNNNNNNNNNNNNNNNNNNNNNNNNNNNNNNNNNNNNNNNNNNNNNNNNNNNNNNNNNNNNNNNNNNNNNNNNNNNNNNNNNNNNNNNNNNNNNNNNNNNNNNNNNNNNNNNNNNNNNNNNNNNNNNNNNNNNNNNNNNNNNNNNNNNNNNNNNNNNNNNNNNNNNNNNNNNNNNNNNNNNNNNNNNNNNNNNNNNNNNNNNNNNNNNNNNNNNNNNNNNNNNNNNNNNNNNNNNNNNNNNNNNNNNNNNNNNNNNNNNNNNNNNNNNNNNNNNNNNNNNNNNNNNNNNNNNNNNNNNNNNNNNNNNNNNNNNNNNNNNNNNNNNNNNNNNNNNNNNNNNNNNNNNNNNNNNNNNNNNNNNNNNNNNNNNNNNNNNNNNNNNNNNNNNNNNNNNNNNNNNNNNNNNNNNNNNNNNNNNNNNNNNNNNNNNNNNNNNNNNNNNNNNNNNNNNNNNNNNNNNNNNNNNNNNNNNNNNNNNNNNNNNNNNNNNNNNNNNNNNNNNNNNNNNNNNNNNNNNNNNNNNNNNNNNNNNNNNNNNNNNNNNNNNNNNNNNNNNNNNNNNNNNNNNNNNNNNNNNNNNNNNNNNNNNNNNNNNNNNNNNNNNNNNNNNNNNNNNNNNNNNNNNNNNNNNNNNNNNNNNNNNNNNNNNNNNNNNNNNNNNNNNNNNNNNNNNNNNNNNNNNNNNNNNNNNNNNNNNNNNNNNNNNNNNNNNNNNNNNNNNNNNNNNNNNNNNNNNNNNNNNNNNNNNNNNNNNNNNNNNNNNNNNNNNNNNNNNNNNNNNNNNNNNNNNNNNNNNNNNNNNNNNNNNNNNNNNNNNNNNNNNNNNNNNNNNNNNNNNNNNNNNNNNNNNNNNNNNNNNNNNNNNNNNNNNNNNNNNNNNNNNNNNNNNNNNNNNNNNNNNGGGGCGCCAGCCCUCAAACUUCAGAGGACCAGCUGGGGCGCGCUGGCUGGCGCUUCGCCCCAAGGGGUGCACUUUACAGCCCCUUUUGGGGCACGCUGGCUGGCGCGACGCCCCACCCCUUUCCCCAGGUCUUUGGCAAUUUUCUUCUCCGUUUUUCAUCUCUAAACCCUCCUAACUUCCAUGGUUCUUUCCCCAAACAUUUAGGAUCAAAAGUACUCUCAACUUACAACAGAUCUAACUCGAAAAUCCACCCGGAAACAUGAAUCAAAUCAACAAGAAACUUCAACAACACAACCAAUCAAGAACUUAACGACGUCCUUCAAGAACUUCACUUUUUAACAUGUAAACAACCUAAAUUCGCUGAAUUGAAACAAGUUGGUAUGUGGGUGAGCUAACCCAUCACUAAAAGAUCUCACAUACCUUAAUACGGAUCACCCCCGACGAAUUUCACUCCAAAAGCUUGACGUUCUUGGCGAAAUCUUGGCUUUUCUCCCUUUCUUUCUUCUUCUCUCUUCUCCAAGCCCUAAGCGUAUUUCUCAAUUCUCCAAACUGACUAAGUAAUAUUUUUACCCCAAUAGAUCCCUAAAAAAGAAUUAGGAAAUUAAUUAGAGAAAAGACGACUUUGCCCUUCCCUAAAUCCGGAUUGGAACUUUUCUCAAUCCAACAUCCCAACUUACGAAAGACCUAUCUCACUCAUACGAUGUCAAAAUCGUGCAAACUCAACGUCGUUGGAAAGAUCUCUCCAAGGGAUUUCCAACCAUAUCAAGAGCUGCUCCUAACUCAUCCUGAGCUAGGAGUUAUGGCCGUUUGAAAAUGGCCAAAACUCACUUUCUUAACUUAGACAAUUUCCAGAUUUCCUUAUUCUUUCCAAAAAUCAAUAUUUUCAUAUUUUAAACUCUUUAUAGUCGUUUCUAGGUGCGAGAUGUUACAUUGUCCCUUAAAGAAACUCAAUAAUCUCGUUCAAAGAAUCUUCUAAGUAGCAUUACACAUAUGGAUGAAAUUUUCAUCUAAUUUCUUAAAUAUUAAAUGAAAUGUUUGAUAAAGUGAAUAGACAAAAAAUCAUUCAUCUCCCUAAAGAGAGUACUAUUAAAACCCUUUCAUGAAUUGGUUUCAAUCUAUUUCAUUAGCUGCAAUUGAUCAACAACAUAAAGAUGAAAAAGAUAAUAAACUAAACUACAAUUUCUUAUCUUUGUAAACAAACAUAUAUGUAAGGAUGAAAAAAUGGAAUACAAAUUGACGGAAUAGUUACAAGAGUGGUAUUAAAAUUAAUGGCAGUACAAUAAUAAAAUUGAAAAUUCAAUAAUCGUUCCCUUAUUAUAUAACUUAUAACUACUGCUAAAUUAAGAUUACAACGAACUCUUCAAGAACCCAAAUUAAGUGAAAAUAGUGAGUAAGAAAGUAAAGAUAUAUGCACUAAUAAGAACAUAGUUAGGAAUACUUAUCGACACACUUUUUCAUUUGAAGCAAAAACACAUGAAAUUUAUUAAUUUGUUUGAUAAUUAAAAUAAAUUAUAAUAUUUAUUAUAUCUCAUAAAUUACAAAAACCUCCAUCUAUUCAUAUUUUCUACUUAAAUGACAUAUCUCCUCAACUCCUUUCUAUGAUUCUCUUCAUUACCUAUACAUUUAGUUUUUCCAAAAUAUAAUGACUUUAAAUUUUAGUUCAAAUUUAUAAUAUAGAAAGUUCAUUAUAAAAAAAAUGUAGUGCCUUUAUAAAAAAAAAAGAACUUUCAAAACUCGAACUCUAUAUAUAUUUGUUAAAGAUAGAUAAAUUUUUAUUCACAUUUUGAGAAGUACCUAAAACUCAUUGAAUAGAAGGGCACCUUUUUAAUUAUUUCUUUGUAGGCUUUAGAUAUUGUGCAUCACAUUAAGUGCAAGUGCUAUUCUAAUCCAUAUUAUGAAAGGACAUUUUAUCUAUAGCUUUAUCUUCCAAAAAAUUUAUUCUCUUAUGUGUGUCAUUUGCCUUUUCAAGAAAACGUUUGGCAUUUAUUUUGGUUAGGUACUUUUGCAGUUGAAGAGGCAUGAUAGUAGUAAUAAAAAGGGAUAAGGGUCUGGAAAAUAUCCUAACUUUGGUCGAAUUUGUUGUUGCGAUACUAAACUUUCAUGAGGACCUAUUACCUCCCUAGACUAUUUAAUANNNNNNNNNNNNNNNNNNNNNNNNNNNNNNNNNNNNNNNNNNNNNNNNNNNNNNNNNNNNNNNNNNNNNNNNNNNNNNNNNNNNNNNNNNNNNNNNNNNNNNNNNNNNNNNNNNNNNNNNNNNNNNNNNNNNNNNNNNNNNNNNNNNNNNNNNNNNNNNNNNNNNNNNNNNNNNNNNNNNNNNNNNNNNNNNNUAUUAAAUAGUCUAGGGAGGUAAUAGGUCCUCAUGAAAAUUUAGUAUCGCAACAGCAAAUUCGACUAAAGUUGGGAUAUUUUUCAGACCCUUAUCCCUAAUAAAAAUGAUUUAGUAAGUCUUGCAAUAUGAUUUUAGUUAAAAGGCUUUUAUUGAAAUAAAAUUUGAAGACAAAAGUUAUUGAAACAAAAGCCAAAAAUCUCACAAUUAAAUAAAGAUAUAUAAUAUAAUAAAAAAAAACCUACGCUAGCAUCUUCUCACACCAGGCGACUCCUAUGGAGUUUUAGGCCUCUAUGGCCGAAACAGUCUCUCCCCAGCCUCGAGCUGUGGACGAAACGCCAGAAAAACCUAGUUAUGCAUCUAUUUCUAAUCCAUCGACUUACACUCAAAAAUCUGAUGGAAAACUUCCACUAAAAUUAAAACCUGUGAUCUAUGUUCAUGGGGAACCUACUAUGAGUUUCAACUUUUUGGAUUUGGAAUCGUAUAUCCAAGAAGAAAACUUGCAAUAUGCUCUUGUUGCUAAGUUUUCUUAUGGGAGACCCGAUAAGAUUGAUCUUAGAAAGAGUUUUACACGACACUUUGCAAUCAAAGGAGAUUGCAAUUUAGGUUUACUAGAUCAUCGUCAUGUUCUGGUAAGAUUAUCAAAUCAGGAAGACUUUAGGGAGGUGUACUCUAGGGCAGUAUCAUUCAUCACAAUAAAAGAAAAGGGCGUGAAUAAUCAAUACCAAUGUCGGAUUCAACGCUAGACACCAUUGUUUAAUCCAAAAGAUGAGACAUCAAUUGCUUUAGCUUGGAUUUCUUUUCCGAGUUUGUCAACACAGAUGUUUGCUCGUGAAGCCUUGUUUUCACUUGCAUCAGCCGUUGGGACACCCCUACAAGUUGAUAAGGCAACAACGGGUAAGUUAAGGCCUAGUGUAGCUAGGGUAAAAAUGGAGGUUAAUCUAUUAUCAUUGCUUCCGAAUAGAGUUAGAAUGUUUUUUAAAGAUGAAAAAAAUGGUGUCGUUAAAGAGGUGUUGCAAAAAAUUGUCUAUGACAAAUUGCCUUUGUACUGCACAAUAUGUAAACAUCAGGGUCACAAGGAGGAAGAAUGCAGACUGACUAUGGAGGUAGAAGGUGGACUAAUUGAUGAAACAAAAAUUAAUGGGGCAAAGUUCAAAGGAGAUUUGCGAUCAAUUUUGGAUGAGAAAAAGAAAGUUCUUUCUCUUCAACAAACUGGAAAAGAGCAACAUCUGGAAACAAAGAAGAUACAGAAACUAUGUUACCUGGGACAUUGACUUCGAAGAUUAGUGAGCAACUUGGUACGACCACAACGAGUUCGUCCACUCCUAUCCAUAUUGAUGUUGAGGCACAAAAUAAUGUAGAUAAUAACUCAAGGCAGUUGAUCGUUACAUCACAAGUCGCUAUAGAGUAGUUAUCGUCUAGAUUUGUGAAAGAUAGAGAGUUGGAUUCACCUAAUGCAGUCGUGAUUACUAAAUCAAGGCAAGAUGAAGCCAAAAAAAGGUAACACUACCGCAGAAAAAUCCAGUAAUCAAUGGACUUUGGUCUCACAUAAAAAAAUGGUUGGCCCUACGUCAUCAAAUAAUCACAUUUUGCACCAAAACAAUUCUACACAUGUUGAGUUUGAUAUGAGUAAUAGUGUCGUUGAAUGUACUCAAUUUGAUGUGUUGCGAGAUGAGAAGUUUGGACAAUAUGAAGGGCUACAUGUUACAGAUGAAUUAUCUGCUGAAUCUGGGAAUACUUUAGACUUGGACAAGCAGAUUGAGCAAAUAGGACAGUUGAAACAAUGUUGUCACGAUGAGCAUACUAAUCAACAAGCUCUUGUGACACAUGAAAAGGAGUUCAUUGCUACAGAGAAGAUAGAUGGCAAGGAAAUCAAUCUAAAUACACCUACCAUGUUUAUUUUAGAUCAAGAGGUGGCUACAAACAAUUUGAAUGAAUAUAAAGAAAAAUGAGGGGUGGGGAGUGCUUCAAGAUGGGCAGAUUUAGUUGAGGAAGAGAAUCAUACUCCUUCACCUAGUAGGAGUAAGUUAAGCCCUCAAGCACUUGAAUUUGUGCUUACAAGUAAAACAAUCCAUCGAUGGCAGUCAUAGGUACAUCAUCUAACUUGAGUGCUACAAAAGUAAACGUGGCAGAUAGAGAUAAUCUUUAUGACUUGGACAAUGACAUGUCUGAUGGAGACGAUGAAGAUCAUGAAGAUGAUGAAGAAGAAAUGUUGGAUAUAUGCUUUGAUAAGGUGGCUAAGGAGGGGGACCUUUCGCCUAGACAACAAAGAAGUGGAAGCACCAAAUGCAAAAAGAAGACACAUGGAAGACAACAUAGUUGGGAUGGUAAGGUGAGUGGGGAUUUUGUCCCAAGGCGCCUACCGAUGCGACUAGCAAAGCAAAAUCAUAUGACAGUGUCAACAACUUUAUCAAGAUCCAACAAAUUCAAAAAGUGAUGAACUAUCAAUUAUUUUUUAACAGAUUUGAAGAAGAAGACAAGAUGCAAAUACUUCAGAUUACUUUAGACUGGCAAACUAUUUGUUUUAGUUCAUACAUAUAUCAAAUGAACUUUGAGGUGGCUAACUCAUCUUUAUUCUUUGAUUUUAUAUUCUUGCAUUACUUAAGCAUCUUCAUUUGUAAUAUCAUCAUAAAGAGUAUUAUAAACUUUAUGAUAAUCAUAGAAUACCUAGUUUUCUCUAGUUCUUUUUUCUUCAUGCUUGUUAAUUAGUAGAGAUUUGUUGUCUCAUUAGGAUUAGUAAGGUAAGGCCUAGCCCCCCUUACUUGUACUUAUCUCUAUUUAUAUCUUUUAAUUUAAAAAUAAAUAAAUAAAAAUAAAUAGAAAUGUUAGCCAUAGAGAAGUAUCAAAAUGUUAAGACUUUGAGAGAGAUUAGACAAUAUAAAACAACCAAAAUAAAAAAAUACUCACGCACAAAAGUAAGCAUACUGUUUGAAGCCAUGUUAUCAUUCUAUGUAUCAGAAGUAUAGAAUUACAAUGUUAAAAAAGAUCAAUAUUAUUCCUACUUAAUAUUGAUACUUAGCAACCAAAAAUGAAAGUGUAACAAAUUUUGUUAUAGUAAAAGAGAUUGGCGAAAAGUUGUAUGUUAAAACAUAAGGCAAAUCAUAGAAAAAAAAGAACUAAUAUAUAAAUUACUUGAAAAUUGCAAAUUUUUCACCCUCACAGAUUCGCACUUGGCCGACAUCAACAUGUACUUAGCCGAUAGCUAGAUACUCUUCUGCUUCUUUUUUUUUCCACCAAUAAUGUGUAUCCUGCCUUAACAUAAAACAAAACAAAUUAAAAUCAACUAUCUAAAGAAAAAGGAAAAUGAAUUAAAAAUUUUGGUACUAUAAAGAUUAUAUAAAAAUAAAAAUGCAAAGAAAGUGUUAAAAACUGUACCUGAUUUUUUUUUUCACAAUUAAGCAAAAAAAGUAGUAAUAUAAUUUGUAUAACAUUGAAGUACCCAAAUGGUUAAAAAGCAGUAAUAUAACCUGUAGUGGAUGAUAUGCCAUGACUGGCAUCUCUACUAUUAUUUAUGCUAUAAUAGGGCAUAAAUGAAAUUUAAUUAAUAGGAUGUCGUUUGGAAUAUUUCGUGCGAGGGUGAAGGGCUGCAUUAAUUAACUGUAAUUUUUUUCUUUAAUGACGUAUAAGCUGUUAAAUAUUAAAUUAAAUUAAAUUAGAUAAAUAGAAAAAUGAGAGGAAAAAAGUAAAAAAAAUCCAAAAAAAAAAAGAUAAAUGUGAUUCCUGACCUAUAAAGGGUGCCACAUUAGCGGGCUUAUGUUCCUGCUUUAUAUUAAUAUAUAGAUUACUUAAAUCAUCAAAGAAGAAUUUGCACAUUAAUUAAUCAGAACCGACAGACUUAGGAAAGAUAUUAUUAGUCAUAGACUCAUAGGACUUGGAUCUUGUUCCAUAAUUACUAGUUAUAAUAACUACGGUAACAUUUAUAUAUUUAAUUAAGCCAAAUAAAUAUAAUUUUUUCCGAUUUUUUUUUUUUAAAAAUAACCUUGCGCCUUGUAAGACUCAUGGUGGCUGAGCCUUACAAGGCUAAAAGCUGCGACGCCUUGUAAGGCUCAUGGGUUUCUGUGCCUUGCGGCGGAAACCCUGAUUUAGACGCCGUUACAAAUUAUUGCCCUUUUGAUUUCAUAAAUAAUUCAGUUGCUCUUUUGGAAUUUUCAAAAUAUUUUGUUGUCCUUUUGAUUCCGGACUCGUGUUUGAAUAGCUCCUAGAUUGGACAACUAACCUGAAUAAUAGUUAAUCCUGUGAGCACCUUGUACCAAACAUAAAUUGUAUCCUUUUCAUACGGAAUAUUGUAUUUAUGGCUUCUUUUUCAUUGGCCUAAAGGGUAUUGAGUUUAACUAAUAUUCAUUGUCGGUGGAAAUUUUAUUUUUUACGAAUAGUGAAUAGUACAUUAUUGUUUUUAAAAAUCAUUUCCUUAAUUAUUACUCCUUUUUCUUUUCACUCUUUUAAUCUUCAGACUUAUAUAUAUAUAUAUAUAUUAUAGUAUUUUUCAAAUGUGUAAACUUAUUUCGAAAAAAAUUAAAAAUUUAAUGUCAAAACUAAAAAGUUUAAAGAUCAUGGAGUGAAAAGUAUCAUAUAAAUUGAGAUAUUAAAAAUACUAUGUCAUAGAAGGGUGACGGUGAUUACUUGGAUUUGUUUUGCAGAAUGCUGCAAAGGUUGAUACUGUAAUUUAUUUAACUUUGAUGGUGAUAAACAUCAAUAAAGUAGAAAUUGACAUCAAUGAAAAGCAAUACAAUAAAUUUUUAAAAAUUGUACAUUAUUUUACUUAGUUUUGAUUUGUUAAGAAAACCCGAAGAAACACCAGUACCAUUCGUAAAAAAAUUUAACCAAAAUAUAUAACAAAAUUUUUUCAAAAUAUAUAUAAAAAAAUUACUAUUAAUUUAAUCAUUCCUAAGACUAUUUUUAAUUAAUUAAAUCUAAAUUACUCAUUCUAGGAAAGUGAAAUUUUUUAUUAUGAAAUAGAGAGUAGUUGAAUUCAAAAGCAAUAACUUAAAUUCCUGCUUGAUCAUAAUUUUGAACUUGAAAUAUAAACAUUUAAAUUUGAAAGUAAUUUUUAAAAUUUGAAGUUGUAUUUGAAUAAACUUUUUUAAAGUUUUGUGAAUGAAAGUUUCAAAAAUUCGAAAACUUAUCCAAAUUAACUUUUAAAACCUAGUAUUUUUGUGAAGAUCGAUUUUUAAAAUUUAAUUCAAAAUUUAUGACUAAUCUCUAGCUAAAUAAUUGAUUAAACGGAAAAGACAAGUCCUUUACUUGUCAUUGAUCAAUCAACUCCGCCUUGCAAUAAUGAUGUGUAUUUUUUGUUUUAUUUUAAGGUGGGUCCAAUAAUGAUGAAAUUUAAAUUUAGAUAAAAUAGUUCAAAUCACCUUCAUCCCAAACUCAAAACACAAUUUUUCUUAUGUGUAUUUUUGAAAAUCCCUAAAACUACUCGCUCAAAAUUAUAAUCCCUCCGUCCCAUUUUAUGUGAGGUAGUUUGACUCGACACAAAAUUUAAGAAAAAAAGGAAGACUUUUAUAACUUGUGGUCCAAAAUGAAUCCUAGAAAUUUGUAUGGCUGUAAAUCAUUUCAUUAAGGGUAAAAUAAAUAUUUUAUAGUUAAAUUGUUACUUAUUCUAGAAAUGUGUCAUUUUUUUGGGACUGACUAAAAAGGAAAGUAAGUCACAUUAAUUGGGACAGAGGGAGUAGCAUUAAUUUUCAAAUUAAAGAAAAUGUUAGAUUUUUUAAAUUACAUUAUGUCCAACACAUUAAGAAGUAAAAUUCAUAGUGACUAAUGUUAGUGAAAAAUUACAAUAUAAUAAAAUUGCAAGAUUACAAUUGAAAAUAAAAUGAAGAAAAUAAAUCAAGCUGAAGCGCGAAUUUCUCGCUCUUUUUUAAGGAGAUUCAAGUCCACUGCAACAAAUAUUUUUCACCGGUGCAGCAAUAGUCCUUCUUGACUUGAUACAACAGCCUUACACAAAGUAUAACUCAACAACUCUGACAAAGAGUUGAGUCCAAAGCUCCACAAAAAGAAUACCUCCCUUCAAUUAAUAAGAACUUUCUUUUUCGACUAACUCUUUCACUCUAUAUUUUUUUUGUGUAUUGUGUGUUCUAAACCAAAUGAAGACCACCACUAUUUAUAAUUGGGGAUGUCUUCCUAGCAAUGAAUAAGAAGAUAAUGGGGUAGUAAAUGGUAAAAAUAAAUGACUUUAGGAGUUACAUAGGUUACAAGGUAUAAUAGAGAAAGAAUAAUGAAGAAUGAAUGGCAAAGGCCACCAACGGCUAAGAGUGCUAACAAGUAAUGUUGUAACAUAACAAACAAUAACUCCAAAUGGAGUAAUGCAACAAAUAAGUGCCACAAACGGUCAAUGUCAGAAACGUCAAGUAAUGGGCAAUUAAGCCUCAAAACAUUGAUUCCAAAAUACAAUCAAAGUGGCCACUAACAUUCUGAUAGGAAUAGCUGCAAGAUGAAUGGGAAAUAUGCACCUUAACCAUUAUUUACGAAUAUUAAAAUGCUCCCAAACCAAUAAUCCCCCACUCAUUAUAAUAUUAAUCAAGAGAGUCUAUCAGCUGAAGGAAGACUAAUAUACAUAAUGAAGGUGUGCUCUGCAUUGAACCUCCACUUAGUGAAAUAAUAACUUUUUACUCCAGAGUCGUAGUGGUCUCAGACUUGAACUAUGACUGCUUAGGGAAAAUAAAAUAUAAUUGUCCACACAUAAUAAUCAAGGUGUUGACAUGAGCUUUAACAGCCAGCACAUUAUGGCCUUGUGCUAUCCCAGUUUCAUGAGUGCUUUUGAGAAUAAGCCAAAUUCUCAUAAAAAGCGACCUACCUCCAUAUAUCACAUAGGUGAAAUCUGUCGAGAGUGCUCAUGUAAACUUAACACUCCACCCAUACGAGCUAUAGAUAUUCAUUAAGAGUUUUAUCAACUCAACCUUCACAAACUACAGGAAACAAUGCACUCACAUCAUAGGGAGGGAAUAAAAAGAUAGUGCAUUUUUCACAACAAGUCAUCAUAUGAUUAGUUUUUCCCCUUGAACCUGGUAAUAGGAUCUAUUGUCCCCAAGUUGGGUUUCCUCAUAUAUGACUCAAGGAUUUAUAGGCUUCAAUUCCAUCCCCCUCAAUGUGCUCCAGACCUUUUCUCUCGUUAAGGCCUUAGGAAAAGGAUGUGCAAGAUUAUCACAAGAUUUGACAUAAUCAACAUUAAUAGUACCAUUUGUCAAAUAUGAUCUUACAUUAUUGUGUUUCCUCUUUAUAGGUCUGGAUUUACCGUUGUAAUAACGGUUUUGAACUCUAACAAUCGCAACAAUGAUAUCACAAUGAAUUAAAAUAGGAGGAAUUGGUUUUUCAAAAUAAGGAAUUUGAAACAAUAAAUAUCUUAAUCAAUUCGCUUCCUCACUAGCUGAAGCUAAAGCAAUUAGUUCAGCCUCCAUGGUAGAGUUAACAAUUAUAGUUUACUUUUUUAAUCUCCAACAAAUAGCACCACCACCCAAAGUAAAGACAUAAUCAGUGGUAGAACAAGAAUCACCUGAUAAAGUGUUCCAAUCUGCACCACAAAAGCCUUCAAGUACAACAUGAUAUUUUUUAUAAAACAAACCACAAUUUUUCAUUUCAAUUAAAUAUCUCAUAACUCUUGUUAUAACAUGCUAAUGUUCAUUACCUGGUUAGUACUCCUACUGCAUAUGCAAUAUCAGGCCUAGUGCAAUCAGUCACAUAUCUCAAACUUCCGAUUAUGUUAGCAUAUUCCUUUUGAUUUAUUACAUCAUUUUCACUUUACAACAGGAAAUAAGUGAACACUUGAAUCAAAAAGGAGUAGCAACAUGCUUGCAAUCAAGAAAGUUAUAUUUUUCAAAAUUUUCUCAACAUAAUGUGACUGGUCAAGGAAAAUUCUAUCACAUGUUCUUGCUAUUUUUAUUCCAAGAAUAAAAUUUGGUUCACCAAGAUCUUUCAUAUCAAAAUGGCUUAUAAGAAUAUUCUUAGCUUCAUCAAUAACAUUCAUGUUAGAGCCAAAGACCAACAAAUCAUCAACAUAUAGGCAAAUAAUCACAUGUGAAUUAUUUCAAGACUUGUGAUAUAUGCACUUAUCACACUCAUUUGUUGUAAAACCAUUUCCAAUCAUGUUGGAAUCAAACUUUUCAUGCCAUUAUUUUGGUGCCUGUUUCAAGCCAUAUAUGGAUUUAAUAAGUUUACAUACUUUGCUUUCUUGGCCUGCUUCAACAAAAGACUCGGGUUGUUCCAUAUAAAUUUUCUCAUUUAGGUCUCCAUUUAAAAAGAAAGUUUUUACAUCCAUUUGAUGAUUUUGCUAAGCAAAAAUUGCAGUCAUAGCAAUUAAAAGGCUUGUGGAUGUAAUUCUUGUUAUAGGUGAAAAAAUAUCAAAAUAUUCUAGGCCUUCUAGUGUUUAAAACCUUUUGCAACUAGUCUAGCCUUAUAUUUAUCAAUAGAUCCAUCCGGUUUCAACUUUUUUCUAAAAAUCCAUUUGCAACCAAUAGUUUUACAACCCAGUGGUAAAUCAACUAACUUCCAAGUUUUAUUAGAAAUUAGUGAUUCCAUUUCAUCAUUUAAUUUACAGCCUCUUUCCAAAUAAUGGAAUCAUGUGAAGAUGAAGCUUCUUUUAAAGAAAGAAGGUCAUCUCCAACAUUAAACACAUAAAAAUCAGGACCAAAAUCUUUUUCUACUCUAGCUCUUUUACUUCUUCUUAACUCAAAAUCAUCAACUUUUUUAUUUUUCAAAGUGAGAGUAAAAGAAUUAGGUAGUGACAAAAUAUUUUGUUCAAUUCUUUGACCCCCACUAUUUUUAGAAUCAAAAGGAAAUUUAUUCUCAUGAAAAAUAGCAUCACCCGAUUCUAUCACAAUAUUAUCUUCAAGAUUAAAAUAUCUAUAGGCUGUACUAUUUGAAUCAUAACCAAGAAAAACACAAGUAGUAACUUUCUUACCCAAUUUUGUGAUCUUGGGAUCCAUUAGCCUCACAAAGGCUAGACAACCCCAAACUCUUAGAUAUCCCAAACUUGGCUUGUAACCUUUUCCACAAUUCAAAAGGUGUCAAUUUAGACUUUUUAUGAGGCACACGAUUUAACACAUAACAAGCAGUCAAAAUAGCUUAACCCAAAAAUUUAAAGGUGCAUGUGACUCAAUAAACAUGACAUUAAUUAGUCAAUUCAACCAAAGUUCUAUUUUUUUCUUUCCGCUACACCAUUAGAUGAGGGAGAAUAAGGAGGAGUAGUUUCAUGAAUUAUUCCCAAUGAUCUAACAAAAGAAUUAAACUCAUUUGACUCAUAUUCACGGCCUCUAUCACUUCUAAUUCUUUUAUUUUCUUUCAAAUUGAUUUUCAACCUCAUGGAGAUAAGUUUUGAAAUUUUCAAAAGCAUCACUUUAUUUUUCAUCAAGUAAACAUAUGUAAACUUAGAAAAAUCAUCAAUGAAAAGUGAUAAAAUAUCUAUUACCUCCACGAGUUAAAAUUCCACCAAGUUCACAAAUAUCAAUAUGAACUAAUUCUAACAAAUCAGUUUUUCUUUCAACUUGAAAAUGAGACAUUUUAGUGAUUUUGUCUUUACUACAAGCCUCACACUAUUCAAAAUUCUUUUUAAUCAUUGGAAUUAAUCCUAAACUACUCAUGAUUCCACCAUAACGAUCAUUAAUAUGACACAAACGAGCAUGCCAAAAAUUAGUAGAAGAAAACAUAUAAACAGAAGUAGAAGCUUUAUUCACUUCUACAUUCAAUUUGACCAUCCCAUUACAAACAUAUCCCUUUUCCACAACAAUAUCCUUCUUCACAAUUACAUAUCGAUCAGAUUCAAUAAUCUGUUUAAAACCUGCUUUAUUAAGAAGAAAACUAGACAUCAAAUUUUUUCUCAUGGAAGGAAUAUAGAGUACAUCUUUCAAAGUUAAUACUCUUACAGAAGUAAAACACAAUUCGACAUCUCCCGUUCCAAGCAUUUGAGUUUUGUGAGAAUCACCAAGCAUGAUGGUUUUGGGCUCCUCAAAAUGAGUAUAUUUUUUAGGACAAAUUACAGAAAUCGCAUACUUUUAAGGCAAAAUUACAAUACAUCACUUAAAAGUUUAUAAUUACAGAAAUCCCUCAAACGGAUAUAAUAAGAUAAGCGCUGAUACAUUAAUUUGAUACGCGAGAUACAAUAAUAUAAGUGAUGAUACAUGCGCGAGAUACAAUAAUAUAAGCGCUAAUACAUUAAUCCUAUGCGCGAGAUACACUAAUAUAAGCACUGAUACACUAAUCUGAUGCACGAAAAUGAGGAAUUUUGGAGAUUUGUAAAACUUAUAGGGGAUAAUGGUAAUAAGUAAACUAAAAGGUGGGAUUUCUGUAAUUUUUCCUAUUUUUUAAACCAGUCUUUGUCAUUACAGACUUGACGGUUUGCACCAGAAUCAACCCACCAUCCAUCAACAAUCUCAACCAUGUUUAUGUCGAUAAUCACCCCCCAAAAGGUUCUUCGGUAACGUUUGCCUGAGGGUUAGGACCACGUUUUCAGAAUCUGCAAAAUCGAGCAAUAUGCCCACUCUUGCCACAAACAAAGCACGGUCCCUUAUCUUGAACUUGUUGAUUUUGUGCUUGGUUAUUUUCACCAUUAUUUUUCUUAGGAGGUCUACUAUUAUUUUUCUUAAAUUUUUUCUUCUUAGUUCAAAGAAGUAUUUUUGUGAGUUUCAAGAGUAGCAUUAUUUGAAGUAAUUAAAUUUACCUUCGUUGUGAUGUUGCUCUCUUCUUUUUGUAAAAGUGCAUCUUGGCCCCUUGCCUCUACACCAUCGUGCUUUUCCACUUUCCCAUGAUGAGAAAUAAGUUCAUCAUCAUCUAUGGAGGUAUCAUCAACUUUAUUAGGAUUCUUUUCAGUUAACACAUAAGAAACACUGAGAAGAUUUAAGUAGAAAAGUACUUUACCCUUCCAUCUUUUGAAAUGGUUACCAUUGAACCGAUAUGGCUUGUUCAGGUCUACCAUCUUGACAUCUGCGGUUUUUUCAAUUAUAGCCAUUAUUGAAUCUCUUUAAAAUUGUUAGUGAAAAAUUACAAUAUAAUAAAAUUGCAAGAUUACAAUUGAAAAUAAAAUAAAGAAAAUAAAUCUCUUCAGGUUGAGGCGCGAAUUUCUCGCUAUCUUUAGGGAGAUUCGAGUCCACCGCAACAAAUAUUUUUCAUAGGUCCAGUAGUAGUCCUUCUUGACUUGUUCCCGAUACAACAACCUUACACAAAGUAUAACUCAACAGUACAACUCUGGACAAGAGUUGAGUCCAAAGCACCACAAAAAGAACACCUCCCUUCAACUAAUAAGAACUCUCUUUUUUUACUAACUCUUUCACUCUAUAUUUUUCUUGUGUAUUGUGUGUUCCAAACCAAAUGAAGGCCACCACUAUUUAUAGUUGGGAUGUCUUCCUAGCAAUGAAUAGGAGGAUAAUGGGGUAGUAAAUAGUGAAGAUAAAUGACCUUAAGAGUUACAUAUAUUACAAGGUAUAAUGGAGAAAGAAUGAUGAAGAAUGAAUGGCAAAGGUCACCAACGGCUAAGUGUGCUAACAAGAAAUGUAGUAACAUAACAAACAAUAACUCCAAAUGGAGUAAUGCAGCAAAUAAGUGCCACCAACGGUCAAUGUCAGAAACGUCAAGUAAUGGGCAAUUAAGCUUCAAAACAUUGAUUCCAAAAUACAAUCAAAGUGGCCACUAACAUUCUGAUAGGAAUAGCUGCAAGAGGAAUCACUACAAAAGGAACUCCAAUUACCAAUAAAAAAAAUCGCUGGUAAAUUGAGUUAUCAACCAAAUGCCAACUUAUAUUAAUCCGCUGCUAAAAGGCUCAUCGGUAAAUAUUACCAACUGAUUUUAAUUUAUUGAUAAACUUAUCAACCAAAAAUCAAUUGGCAAACACCCAAAGAUGUUGUUACAGAACUUUGAAACAUGGUCCUGAAAUUUCUGAUAGGAAACUUUUCCAGAUACAUUGGUAAUUGGUUGGCAAUUUUAAUAAUAUAAAAUUUAUGUUGGUAAUUUACCAAUAAAUUUGUAAUACUUUUUUUUUUGGUUUCCCAUCCGGUGUUCGGUAUCCACAUUGGAGCCCGACUGAAUCCGGAUUCACGCCGGGAAGUCCCACAUUGGGUAGUAAAGCGCUCUCUAACAAAGGCGACUCCAUACCUAAGGGGAAUCGAACCUGAGACCUCUUGGUUAAUGAUGAAGGAGUACUUAUCACUCCACCACAACCCUUGUUGGUAAUAAAUUUUAAAUAGCGUUAGUAUUAUUAUUUGUUUUUCUAAUAAAUUUACUAAGUGAUUGUUAGUUUGUUGGUAAUACAUCAUUCAAGGCGACUCUGUAUCCAAGGGGAAUCGAACCUAAGAUCUCUUGGUUAAGGAUGCAGGAGUACUUACCACUCCACCACAACCCUUGUUGGUAAUAAAUUUUAAAUACGUUAAUAUGAUUAUUUGUUUUUCGAAUAAAUCUACUAAUUGAUUGUUAGUUUGUUGGUAAUAUAUCAUUCAAGUUCAAUGUUAGGUUAGUAAUUGAUUGACAAUAUGCUCAAAAUAUUAUUAAAUGAAUGAUUAUCCAAUAGUAAAAUAUUUAUUAAUUUAUUGCAUUUAGAAAUCUAAGAGCACGAAUAUAAAUCCAAAAAUAUUAAUAUCAAUUUUAUAAAUCAUAUUUGAAUGAAACAAUGUAAAAUCUAUGAUAACAAGUUAAAUUAAUCUCAAUAUGUCACAUAUCAUUAUAUCAAAUUUUUUAAUUUGAGCAUGUUUACCAAAAAUAUUGACCAAAUCUAAAUUUUGGCCAAAACUUAAAAGAUAAAACACCUAACAACACAAACUAAAAAUGGAACCCUCAAAACCUGAACCAACCAUCAUAUUAGAUAUAAAAAUGACCUUUCGAAGCUAAUCACACUGACAGAAUUCUCAUCAGAGCACGUUUACAAAAAAUGUUACGCAAAGUCAAAUCUUGGCCAAAAGUUAAAAUUUAAAACGCCUAACGGUACAAACGAAAUAUGAAAACCUCAAAAUCCAAACCAACCAUCCUAUAAGACGAAAAAUGACCUUCUAGAUCUAACCGCGUUGACAAAAUUCAAAUUUGAGCAUAUUUCCCAAAAAAAAUUGACCUAAUUCAAAUUUUAGCCAAAAGUUAAAACGCUUAACGACACAAACUGAAAAUAAAAGUCUCAAAACCCAAACCAACCAUCCUAUGAGACCAAAAUUGAACUUAUAUGGCUAACUGCAGUGACAAAAUUUCAAUUCGAGCACGAUUACUAAAAAUAUUGACUAAAGUAAAAUUUUGGCCAAAACUUAAAAGUUAAAAUGCCUAACGGCACAAACUAAAAAUGGAAGCCUCAAAACCCGAACCCUCUAUCUUAUUACAUCAAAAAUGACCUUCCGCAUCUAACUGCACUGACGAAAUUCUCAUCUGAGCACGUUUAUCAAAUAUAUUGACCGAAGUUAAAUUUUGGCCAAAAUUUAUCAGUUAAAACACCUAAGGCACACACUAAAAAUGAAAGCCUCAAAACCCGAACCAACCAUCUUAUUAGAUAAAAAAUGACCUUUGGAGUUAAUUACGCUGACGGAAUUCUCAUCUGAGCACGUUCACAAAAAUAUUGACCAAAGUCAAAUUUUGGCCAAAACACAAGAUUUAAAACACCUAACGGCACAAACAAAAAACGGAAGAGUCAAAACUUGAACCAACCUUCCUGUUAGAUAAAAAAUGACCUUUCGAGGCUAAUGACACCGAUAAAGUUCUAAUAUGAGCACGUUUACCAAAAAUAUCGACCAAAGUAAUCAAGUUUUGGCUAAAAUUUAAAAGUUAAAACGCCUAACAACACAAACUGAAAAUGGAAGCCUCAAAACCUGAACCAACCAUCCUAUUAGAUAUAAAAAUGACCUUCCAAAGCUAAUCGCGCUGACGAAAUUCUCAUCAGAGCACGUUUACAAAAAAUGUAAAGCAAAGUCAAAUUUUGGCCAAAAGUUAAAAGUUAAAACGCCUAACGGUAUAAACUGAAUAUGAAAACCUCAAAAUCCAAACCAACCAUCCUANNNNNNNNNNNNNNNNNNNNNNNNNNNNNNNNNNNNNNNNNNNNNNNNNNNNNNNNNNNNNNNNNNNNNNNNNNNNNNNNNNNNNNNNNNNNNNNNNNNNNNNNNNNNNNNNNNNNNNNNNNNNNNNNNNNNNNNNNNNNNNNNNNNNNNNNNNNNNNNNNNNNNNNNNNNNNNNNNNNNNNNNNNNNNNNNNNNNNNNNNNNNNNNNNNNNNNNNNNNNNNNNNNNNNNNNNNNNNNNNNNNNNNNNNNNNNNNNNNNNNNNNNNNNNNNNNNNNNNNNNNNNNNNNNNNNNNNNNNNNNNNNNNNNNNNNUGGUUGGUAAUCUGUUAGAAUUUCGUUGUUAAGUUUUAAAAUAUAAUUUAGUCAGAAUAUGUUGGUAAUUUGUUAGUAGAAUACUAACCAACUUAAGUUGUUAGUAAAAUCUGUUGACAAUUUGGGUUUUUUUUUGUAGUGAAUGGGAAAUAUGCACCUUAACCAUUAUUACUAAUAUUAAAAUGCUCCCAAACCAACAACUAAUGCUAAGAAAAGUCUUAUUCAUAUCAUUGAUCAAUCAAUUUUUAUUUUUUAUGUAUUAUUAUAUAAACAUUUUGUCUUAAUUGGAGAAGGAGUUUACUGAUUGGAAUCUAAAAUUGUUAAGAUUGUUUUUAACAAGGCUAAAAAUAGAAGGUGUCCUUCUAAGGAAAUUGGGAGAGGUACUAUCAAUAUAGCAUAGGCCAUAGCAGCUUAUUUUGGAAAAUGACUAUUCAAACUUUAUUUUAGAAUGUGAUUUCCUGAUUAUAAUUAAUAUGAUCAAGGAUAUAUCUCAAAUGGCCUGAAAAUUGCUGCAAAAGAAAGAAUAUAUUCUGAGUAACUAGCUAUGAUUUGUCUUUCUUUAGUUUUUGUUGGACCUGUUUUCAAGGUAGUAUAUUAAUGCUUAUUAACGGAAGUUUACGCUAUCGUCCCUCUCUACUUAUUCUCUGUAUAAAUUUUGGAUUAAAUAAAAGGAUUACACAGCUAAAGACAUAAAAUUUUACAUUAAAAAAAUGCAAAUUCAUGAAGUUUGGGGGGUGGGGGUGGGGGUUAAUGUUUCAUUUAUUAAUUAAUUCUAUUUUUAAUUCACUCAAUUUACUCCAUGUAAGAGAGUUGCACUAAUUCAAGCUAAAUAGGUAGUCGAUCUAGAUUGACUCACGACUUGGCCGACUCUUACUUUAAAAAAAUCAAGGCAUAUGCCUUAGGCUCUUAAUUUUGGAGGGAUUAAUUUUUUUACUAAGAAUAAAUGAUGUGUUAAUUUUUUUAUUUAUAGAAAAAUGAUAGUUAUUUUAUUCUCGGGUUUGAGCCCUGGAUAUGGAGAAAAUCCGGUUGGGAGCGCCACACCCGAAUGAGCCCUGCAGAGCGCGAUCCAAAUUUAGUCGGAGCUCUAAUGUGGAUUCCAAACAUCGAGUGAGAAAAAAAAACAUUUAGACUUAGUAAGAGUUGGAUGGGCAGCUCGUUUCAUGGCCCAUAAUUUAGCUAUCUUAAACCCAAUUCAUUUCCUUAGGUCCAAGUAAUAUUUAGAUUGGAUCAUAAACUUAUUCAUUUAGCAUCUCAUUAUAAUUCAAUCCGUCCCAUAUCUGACACCCUUCUUAAGCAUGAAAGUAUGUAUGGAUCACACAUUCAAACACAAAUUAAAUGUAUCGGAUAUGCAUGACAAUUAAAGGACAUGCAUAUUCGAACAUAGCUAGCUAGCUAGCUUGUUUUAUUCAUAACUCAUAAGCAUACAUUAAUUAAAAUUACAUAGAGCCUGGAGACGCAUCCACUUUAAUUUAUUCCUUAACGAAGACAAUGGGAAGAUGGUUUUCACCGGAAGCCACGAGAGGAUAUAAUCCGUAAUCAAAAGUCAAGUUCACACAAUUAAGUUGAGGGGAAUCCGUACAAUACAUUAAGUUGUAUGCAUUUUCCAAUUCUUGUUCCUCCGUCGUCUCAUAUUUCAAAAUCUUGAACAAGUUGCUUUCAGUUCCUAUGGUACCACCAGUCACCACGAACUGAUCUUUAUCAUCACUAACUUUCCAAAUAGUUUCGUUAAAACUGGGACUAGAUAUAUCAAGUGUUGAGAACAUGAUAUCAAUGCCAUCCGUUUCACGCACCACAUCAUCAUCAUUAUCAACCUUAAGAACGAAUUUCACGGGGGUGCCUUUUCCUAUCAAACCGGGAAUCGGUACGUGCUGCAACACGGUGUUUGGGCAUUCAAGGUGUCCAAUAUUGGCCAAGUAUACGGAUUCCGCCUCCAAUGAGAGGAUUAUGAAUAAUGUACUUUUCACCAAUGUACGUAGUGUGGUAGGCGGUCCAUGUCCAACACUUGAGGGGCUACAUCAUCAUCAUCAUCAUUAUUAUUAUUAUUAUUAUGAGUAGUUGUGGGAAGGACAAUGGGAUUGUUGGAAGUGAAAGAUCGACAAAAGGCAACAAAGGGAAACAAAGAGAGUAAGAGGAAACUCAAAAUAUUAAUCAACUUCAUCUUUAAUUUGAGUGUGUUGUGUGUAUAUUUUGCUUACUCUAUCUCCAAUUUAUAGACCACCACAUGUAUGUAACAACAUUUUUGAGAAACAAAAAAUGCCUACCUUUUAGGUUAGGUUAGUGACAUGAUUUAUUAACUAGAUCUAAUUAUAAGUAGUAUAAAGACUUUCUAUUUUAACAAUGAAUUAAAAAUAUUUAUAUAUAUAUAUAUAUAUAUUGUUAGAAAACAUAAGCAAUGUGGAGAAAUUUUCUGUGUAUUUCUUCAUGAAAAAACUCACUGUACAGCCUUCUAGUAUAUAUACAAAUUCUAUUCUAUCCUAAAUUGUGUGAACUAUGAAAUUAAUGCAAUAUGUAUUUACACUUGUCAUUUCAUUAUUGGUCUUCUUCUAACAAACUCCAAACGGCUGUCAUGUGCCAUAUGUGUGCUAUGGUUGAGAAAUAUCUAGAAUUGUACAACUGUAGCAUACAGCUGGAUGGCUCUGAUUAAUUUGAUUCAAUAAGAGAUCUUUGCCCCUGAUGUUGCCACGCAUCCUUUGGACCUUUUGUAUGCCUAUGUUGUUUUUGUUUGAAACUAGGAGAACUUUGAACAUUGUUUCCUUUCAUCUCCUUCUUUUCUUUUUCUGUAAAAUCACCAUGGCCAUAAUCAUGAUGUUCUUGAUUCUCAACACCCCCCUUCAAGGUGGAGGGGAGAGAAACGACACCCAACUUGGAAAGAAUCGAGAAGUGUGAAGGACCGGAGAGGGCCUUUGUGAACAGAUCAGCCAACUGAGCAGAGGAUGGAACAAAAGAUAGAGAGAUCAACCCGGAAAGGAACUGUUGUCUCACGAAGUGGCAAUCAAGCUCAACAUGCUUGGUUCGUUCGUGAAACACUGGAUUCUUCGCAAUAUGAAUAGCAGCUUGGCUAUCAGAGUGAAGAGGCACAAACAAUGAUGGAGAAAUGGACAGAUCUAGAAGAAGUCGGGUUAACUAGGUAAGUUCCGCAGUAACUCUCCUCAUAGACCUGUAUUCUGAUUCAGCGGAAGAUAGUGAAAUAAAGGCUUGUUUCUUGGACUUCCAAGAAAUUGGUGAGCCACCAAUGCUAAUAAAGAAACCACUAAUAGAUCUCUGACUAUCUCGACAAGAUGCCCAAUCAGCAUCACAUAGCAAUCAGGGAAGAUGAUGAUGUAGGAUUGAAGAAUUGACCUUGGUUUGGAUUGAGUCGUAGAUAUCUCAACACUCGAAGUGCAGCAUCAAAAUGGCCCUGACACGGCUGUUGCAUAAAUUGACUAAGAGUGAGGACUAAGAAUGAAAGGCCUGGCCGUGUAUGUGUGAGAUAGUUCAAUUUACCUACUAAUCUCCUGUAAAUGGAAGGAUCUGCAAGUAAAGGACCUGAUGAACUAGUGAGCUUAGAACAAGUGUCAAGUGGAGAGGAGACUGUAAAUAGAGAUGUGCAAUCAAAUUCUUGUAACAAAUCUAGUGUGAAUUUUCGUUGACUGAUAAUACAACCAUGUUCUCCCCUUAAAAUUUCCAUGCCAAGAAAAUAAUGAAGCUCCCCUAAGUCCUUGAUUUGGAAUUCAGAGUUGAGAAAAUCCUUCAUAGUGACAGUUUCAAUAAGAUCAUCCCCGGUAAUCAAAAUAUCAUCAACGUAGACAGCAAUAAUUGAAAUCAGAUCCCCUGUUUUCUUGAAAAACAAAUAAUAGUCAUUAAGAGAUGUUGUAUAUCCUUUAAAAGUUAGGGCUCCUGCAAGCUUGGCAUACCAUUGCCUUGAAGCUUGUUUGAGCCCAUAUAGUGACUUUUGAAGCCAGCAAACAUGAUUGGGACUGAGUGAUGCCAUUCCUGAAGGAAACUUCAUGUAGACUUCCUCUUGAAGGUCUCCAUGAAGAAAAACAUUAUUAACAUCAAAUUGUGAAAUGGACCAACCUUUCUUGACUACAAUGGCAAUGAGACACCUAAUGGUUGUCAUUUUGACAACUGGGGAAAAAGUCUCAGUGUAGUCUAUGCCUUCCCUUUGUAUGUCAUCUCUUAUCACAAGUCGUGCCUUAUAUCAUUCAAUUGAUCCAUCAAAAUGUUGUUUAAUUUUGUAUACCCAUUUGCAAGGUAAAGCCUUCUUGCCAGUAGGUAACAACAUGACCUUUCAUGUAUUGUUUUCUUCCAAAGAUGUAAUCUCUUUUUGCAUUGCAAGCUGCCAAUUAGGAUCCAAACUAGCUUGUUUGAAACUAGUAGGUUCUGAGUGAGCACUAAUAGAACCAAGGAGAUGUUGAUUCUGUAAGGAUAAAGCUCCAAAAGAAAAAGUAGAUGAGUGUGCAGGUUGUGCUAAACAAGUGUCUGAAAUGUUAGUGAGAAACAUAUGAUUAUAGACAAAAUCAUUUAGCUAUGCAGGCCUCUUACUUUCCCUGUUAGAUUUUCGGAUAACAGGUGUGGAAGGAGGAGGAGAUACAAGGAGAAAAGAAGGGGAAAACGAAGGAUAGGAUUGAGAAGAUGAGCUAGAGGAGGAUGAAAGAAUAUGUAGGGUUGAAGAGUCAAUAGAGGAGUCAGGAGUGAGGGAAGAAAUAGGAAAAAUUGGCUCAGAAUCUGAUUGAAGAUUUGAGAAAGGGAAAAUGUGCUCACAAAAUUGAAUAUCUCUAGAUAUAAAGAUCUUUUUAGAUGAUAUGUCAAGAAGCUUGUAUCCUUUUUGGCCCUGUGGGUAGCCCAAAAAUAAACAAGCAAUGGCCCUGGGAUCAAACUUGUUUCGAUUACUGUGCAAAGUAGAGGCAUAACAUAGACAAUCGAAAGCUCGCAAAACUUAUAAUCAGGACAUUUCUGAAAAAGAAUCUCAUAAGGGGUUUUCCCAUGAAGUACUCUGGAAGGAAUUCGAUUAAUAAGAAAAGUAGCAGUCAAUAAACAAUCCCCCCAGUAGCAUUAAGGAAGUUUGGAUUGAAAAAGUAAAGCCCUUGCAAUUUCUAAUAAAUGUCUAUGUUUCCUCUCAACAGCCCCAUUUUGUUGAGGUGUAGCAACACAAGAUGUUUGAUGAAUAAUCCCUUUUGACCUCAAAAAUUCUGCUUCAUGUACCCCUUUCCCCAACUCUAGAGCGUUAUCAGAUCGAAGCGUUUUCACCUUAAGGUCAAAUUGUCUCUCAACCAUGAAUAAAAAAUGUUUCAAAACAGAUAAAACAUUACUCUUAGUAGUUAAUGUGUAUGUCCAAGUACCCCUACUAAAAUCAUCAACAAGAGUAAGAAAAUACUUAUAUCCAUGGUAAGUAGGAACUUUGAAAGGUCCCCAAGUGUCCAUAUGAACCAGUUCAAACACCCUUUUAGAAGUAACAUGAUUAAUGGAGAAGGGUAAUCUGGUUUGUCUAGAAAGGGGACAUAUGUCACACACAAGAAUAAUUAGAAGGAAAAGAAAUGAAACUGAAUUUUUUCAUAGCUGAAUAAAGCAAAUGGCCUAGUUUGGCAUGCCAAAGAGCUACAUCAGAAACAACACUAGCAAAAAAAGGAGAACAAACAGGAACAGUUUUGGAAUCACUUCCUUUUGGUAAAGAAACUACAUUACAUGGAGAUUAAAUACUAGCACUAGAAAUGACAGAUUCUAAAAAUAAAGACCCUCUUCAGCUUCACCAAAAUCUUGUUUCCUCAUCAUUGAACGGUUCUGCAUGACACACUUUUAAGGAUUAAAUAAGAGAAAACAACCAAACUGGCUACAUAACCUAUGAACAGACAACAAAUUAUAUCUGAAAGAAGGAACAAAAAGAACAUUCUAUAGAAUAAGAGUAGGAAAAAUGGCUAUGCUAUCAGUGUGUGUGACCUUAAUCCUGUAAGAAUUAGGUAAAUUUAUAGUGACAGGUGCUGGAAGAGAGACAAGAUUGAGAAAGGAAGUAUGCUUAUAACACAUGUGUUCAGAAGCCCCUGAGUCUAUGAUCCAAGUAUGAGAGUUAAAAACAGAGAAACAUGAACUAGAAUAUUGAGUAAUAGUACCAGCCACAUCAUUUGCAUUAAUCUCUGAGCUAGUACCAGCUCCAGGAGUGGUCUGUCCUUGUUUGAACAUCUGUUUCAUAUGUGAAAUUUGACUCUUACUCAGAAUCUUCAUAUACAAUGGGUGAAUGUCCAUAAUUGUCCUCAAUAAGUGCUUCAUUCCCCUUGAUAAGUGUUUGAAAUCCUUUAGUGAACUAAAAAUCUUCUGGGUACCCAAUCAAUCUAUAACAGUCAUCUUCUACAUGCCCAGUCUUUAGACAAUGAGUACAACUCACAUUAGGAUUGUAUUUCUUCCUUCUUACUUUUCUUGGAUUCUGGGGUGUAAAAUUCCUUUGAGGAUUUGCUGAAGGCCUUUGUCCCUGAGGUUGCCCACCAGAAUGUUGAAAUUGUCCUCCAGACCUCUGUGAAGACUGACCUGGAUGACCAGGCUUCUGCAUUUGGUUUCCAAGUUUCAUUUGGGAAUUGUGGAUUAAUAUAAACUUUUCUCUGAUUCUCAUCCUGAAACAAGAGAGAGUAAGCAUGGUUGAUUCCUGGCAAAGGAUUCAACAUGAGAAUAUUACCCCUUGCCUGAGCAUAAAGAUCAUUCAAUCCCAUAAGAAAUUGAAUUAGCCGAUAAUCUUCAACAAAUUUAGUCAUCUUUUGCUUCCCUGUACACACACAAGGACAUGUACAACCAACAUGAGAGUUGAGAAAAUCCAACUCAUCCCACAACCUUUUUAAUUUAGUGAAAUACCCUGCUAUAUCAUUGGAUCCUUUUACUAACCCAGUCAUUUAUUUUUGCAGGUGGUAUAAUUUAGCACCAUUCAACUAGCCAAAUCUCUGUUCUAGAUCUGUCCAGAGGUCCUUGGCAGUCCUGGAGUAGAUGGCAGAGUGAGCUAUAUCCAUGGACAACGAGUUAAGUAGCCAAAAAGUUACCAUGUCAUUGCAUUUAUGCCAAGAAGAAAAAGUGGGUGUUGUGUUCAAAGGCUCUACACAACUACUAUCAAUAAAACCCAGCUUGUUCUUAGCCGACAAAGCAAUUAGGACAAAUCUCAUCCAUCCCUGGUAAUCCCUCACAUCGAAGGUGCUAUUAACAAGAUUCAUACCUGGUGCAUCUGAAGCAUGAAGAAAAAGAGUAUUACUAAAAUAAAAAAUACUGCCCAUUGCAGUUUGACCUACAACAAUAGGAGCUAUAGCAGUAGGAAUGACCUCUUCUGUAUCCAUGAUUCAAAAAGGGAGGAUGAACACAUAAAUUUGUAGAAGAGCAAAAAAAUGUGGAUUUUAAUGCUCUGAUACCAUGUUAGAAAACAUAAGCAAUGUGGAGAAAUUUUCUGUGUAUUUCUUCAUGAAAAAAAUUACUGUACAGUCUUCUAGUAUAUAUACAUAUUCUAUUCUAUCCUAAAUUGUGUGAACUAUGAAAUUAAUGCAAUAUGUAUUUACACUUGUCAUUUUAUCAUUGGUCUUCUUCUAACAAACUCCAAACGGCUGUCAUAUGCCAUACAUGUGCUAUGGUUGAGAAAUAUCUAGAAUUGUACAACUGUAGCAUACAUAUGGAUGGCUCUGAAUAAUUUGAUUCAAUAAAAGAUCUUUGCCCCUGAUGUUGCCACGCGUCCUUUGGACCUUUUGUAUGCCUAUGUUGUUUUUGUCCGAAACUAGGAGAACUUUGAACAUUGUUUCCUUUCAUCUCAUUCUUUUGUUUUUCUGUAAAAUCACCAUGUCACGACCCAAAAUGAGUCGUGAGUGGCACCCACACUUAACCUCCUAAGUGGGCGAACCAAGGAAUCUAAAACCUAACAUAUAUCAAUAAUUCAACUAUGAAUAACAAUAAGGUACGGAAGCUCAAAACUUGUUAAAGUAACCAAUCAAAUAAAUUUCAAAGGUCUAUUACAUAUUAUCCCCAAAAACUGAAAGUCAUCACAUCAAGGACAUCUAAUCUUCAAAUACUAAGUCUAAGAGUAUUGAGGACACAAAAAUAAAUGAAUAAAAUAGUUUAUGUCCGAAAACUUAGGACAUCAUGCCAUGACCAAGAGAAUCUAACACGAGUCGGAAUGAAUAGCUCACACUAGAACCUAAUGUGCUGGAGACUGGAUAGAGCUGAGGGCGAAUCAAAGUCACUGAUACACUCGCUGCACUCCACAAAAGAAAAUAAAGAAAAAAUACAAGUAGGGUCAGUAUAGGGCAACAUGUACUGAGUAAAUAUUAUCGGUCAACCCAAAAUAGAAACUAACAUGUAAUGAAUAAUAGUAUAAAAUCAACUAUGACACUUAGAAGGUGGCAAGCAACAAACACAUGAACCAGUGUCAACCACACUAAAGUAAGUACGUAAUCAAUCAACAAUAUCAAUAUCACACAUGAGGACUCAUGCCUCCAAACCAAACUAAUUUGGGAAUUGAGUUCUUUGAAAUUGAGUACAUUAAGUUAAUUCAAUAUAUUUUUCCUUUAAUGUUACCGUGUCGGAACGUGACACUCCGAUCAAAUUAUACUGUGUCGAAACGUGACACUCCGAUCCAAUUAUGCCGUGUCGGAAUANNNNNNNNNNNNNNNNNNNNNNNNNNNNNNNNNNNNNNNNNNNNNNNNNNNNNNNNNNNNNNNNNNNNNNNNNNNNNNNNNNNNNNNNNNNNNNNNNNNNNNNNNNNNNNNNNNNNNNNNNNNNNNNNNNNNNNNNNNNNNNNNNNNNNNNNNNNNNNNNNNNNNNNNNNNNNNNNNNNAUCCAAUUAUAUCAUUAAUUUAUUUCAUCAAGCCUUCUUUAUUCAAGGCAUCACUUCGAUAGAGAGAGUUUCAGAUUAUAAAUUUCAUGGUCUCAGGAUUUUAGACCAAUCACAAACCAUACAACCCAACCACACAAAACCACACAAUCCACUACAUAGAGAACUUCACAAUAUCACUCAAUACAUAUUAGUCACUAUUAAGAGUCUAACUAUCGAAAUAGAAUAAACCAUAACCUACCUCCACCGAAGAACUGACGUCAGACAAGCUACUUCUCCAAUGACUUUCCUUUCCGCAAUGCCUCUGAACCUUUCCAAUCUAUCAAGUAUAUAUGCAUAAUUUGUAAGUUAACAGGCCUAUAAACACUCAUAUUAGUCUAUGUCCAGCCUAUACCCAAAAACUCCCCUAAUUCUAUAAUCAACUUCCUAAAGUUCAAACCUAAGAGUAAGUCUUAAUUCCUCCCAUUAGCAUAACUUUAAUGUAAUUCAUAUAAUAUACUACACCUUGUAUUUUAUUACCUCUAUCUCAAUAUAUCAAAUUUUAGUUUAUAAUAUGGUAAAACUGAAGCCACUAGUCACGAUAUCAGUGGCAGCCAACACAUGAAACCACAAAAUAAACUAACCAAAGAAAACAAAUGUAACACGGAGACCUAGGAAACCCAUCCAAAAUAUGGACAUAACAAUGACAAUUCAAUUCUAUAAACUUUCACCUGCAAUCCACUCUUUAACUCAAUAAACAAUAAUUUACCACUUAUUGUUUUAGUACUUCAUAAUAAUUUAAUCAAACCAAUUAACCAGCAACUAACCAUUGGCACCAAUUACUUUAGUUCCUGAUUAUUUUCUCCAUUAGUCAUAUCAAUAUGCACACACUUAUAAAUUGCAGACUAUCUCACUUAUGACAAUACACUAUACACCUCAUUCCUAACUCAAUUAAAUAAUCUCACUGGAAAUCAGCCAAUCCGUGGGAGACAAAUUUGUCUCCAACAAUCCCACCCUAACGCCAUUAAUCACCAAAAUUCAACCUAGCACUACUACUAAAAAUUUGUUCUUUUCAAUUUCCCGUCUAAUAACAAUAAUAUAAUAAUAAUCAUAAAGCCUUUGCUCAUAUUCACAAAAUACAUAUUGGAUUUUACCUGAAGCACUCGUCGGCCUAUCUUCAAAUUGUAUCACCGUAGUUGAAGUUCUCUUGAGUUAGAAUGGGAACUUGAUAAAAAGGAAACAUACUUACCUCUUCUAAAACUUACUCAACUCAAGGAAUAUUCAAAUUAAAACUACUCAACUUACUCAACUAAGAAGUAUGCAAGGAUAAGAUACUCAACUCAAAGAUAUGAUAUUUUUGGGAGUGGUAGAAGUGACCCACUAUUAAUUCUAAUUCUAUUUUUCUUAACCACCAACUAAAUAAAUUAUUAAAACUACCCUAUAAAUUUUAUAAUUGUAGUUACGAAUAGUCGAAAACACUCAUUUAAAAUCUAGCGAAAGAGUAUUUUAUACAAUAAAAGCUCUAAUACUCAAAACGAUCAAAUGGGCCGUUACAUUAGAUAUCAAUUUAGCCAUCGUUCGUCCUCGAAUGAUCAAAAGAAGGCGAGGGUAAUGAAGGGUAUCUGAAUCGAUAAAAAGGUGUGGAUAUCUUUCAUGCAUAUCAGCCUCACUCUCCCAACUGGACUCUUCAAAUGGAUGAUUCUUCCACUGAACCUUGACACAACCAUCAAGACAAAUAUUUUCUAACAUAACCAUGAUACAAUCCUGAAUCAUUAUUGGCUACAACCAUGAGUGAACCAGAACCAGCCACCACACACUCAUAAUGUGAAAAGGAUUCAUCUAAAAAGUAUUACCCUUUUCUACCCAUAAUGGCUACAUGGUUUUCAUGGAGACUUGAGUUAAUAAUCUUAUCAAGAUUACAUCCUCACAACAAAAUAUUUCCUUGAGCUUAAGCUAUAAAAAUAUGAAUCUUUAGACAGCAAGUAAUCAUCUAGGAGAAUCGAACUCAUCUGAUCCAAAGAUGGAAAUGAUCAAGUAACCUCCAUCGAGUGAUACGCCCAAGCAUACAAAACCUCUAACAACACUGUCGAAAUGCUAGAUUAGUAGCUAUUAUAGACAAACCUUAAGAAUGACAAAACUAGACACAAUGGUCCCUACAUUCAUUCACACAUAGCCAAAACAUGAUACCGAUGAUGAGAUAAAUCUUAAGUCUAUCAAAAAAUUGUAAAUUUUCAUGGUAGCUCUCUUAUAAAUUCUCAUAAGCAAAGUUGUGCAUGUAGAAUCACUAGUAUACUUUAACUAUCCCAAACAACACCAAAUCUUCCAGAACUGGGAUGAACAAGUCUAACCGAGGAUGCCACCCUACCAGGAGGACAAUCACGAAAUCGGUACACACAAUCCACUACUAGGGACUCACCCAUAGAAGCGAAAACACCCACGGAAGAAGAAAGUAAAUUAUACUCUAAACCUUAUUUCAUCUACAGUUUUACAGCUUUCCAUAUAUUGCUUCUUUUAUUGUUGCUUUAUUCUUGAGUAUCUUGAGUUGAAUUGUGCUUCAUCAAGUCGAGUACCUUAUUGUUGAGUUGAGCCUUAUUUCCCUGAGUUAAAUAUCUUAUCCUUUGAGUUGCAUAUCAUAUUCUUAAGUUGAGUCGAGUAAGUGAGUUAAGAAGAGGUAUGUAUGUUUUAUUUUUAUUAAUUUCAAGCUUGUAUUUAUGCUUUAAAAUUCCCCUUACAUGCUCGUACAUUUCACGUAUUGAGCCAUCGGACUGCAUCCUUUCAUGAUGCAAACACAUUUAUAUUCAGGGUCAUCAAUAGUGUAACAACCCGAGGCUACACCCUGUACGUUGCCAGCACUCGAGAACCAUUGAUGGUCCCCAAGUGAACUCUUAUCCUGGCUAACUACAAGCGGAAAACUGAUUCAAGCAUACAAAGCUUAAAAACUGAAUAAAAUCAAAAACUCAAAUACAAAAGCUUUAACUCAAAAGAAAACUCUGAAUAAAAAUAAGAUAUUCAACUCGCCAUAAAAUAGGCAACUUAAGUCUUUAAAACAUUUAAUAAAAUAAAUGAAUAAUACAGACUUCUCAACUAUACUAACUAUCUAUGAAGCCUCUAACUGAUAAAGAUGGAAGUCGGGACAAGACCCACGACAUCCUGACUAAACUUAAAAGUAAAUGAAAUCUUAUGGAAACAAGGAGGCUCACCAUAGCUAACUCAAACUACCAGAUGUAUCAACGAAUCUCCUGUUGAUAAUCCUGAAUACCUGUGUCUGCAUCAUGAGAAGAUGUAGGCCAAAUGGCUCAGUACGUGGAAUGUACGAGCAUAUAUGGGGAAUUCUAAAAAAUAAACAUAAGUUUGAAACUUGAUAAAAAGGAAACAUAAACAUAAGCUUCAAACUUAUUCAACUCAAGGAUACUAAAAACUACUCAACUUACUCAACUCAGAAGUAUUCAAGGAUAAGAUACUCAACUCAGAGAUUAGAUACUCAACUCAAAUAUAUGAUAUUUGACUCUGGAUACUCAACUCAAUCUAAAGCAACAAUACACAUGCAAUAUAUGGAAAGCUUUAAAAAACAAUAAAACAACUUAGUUCGUUAAAGAAAAUGCAAUAACAAACUCAACUUUACUUAUAUAAUAAAGUAAUAUAGUUUCUAUAAGAGUUUCUCUAACCGACAACCAUCACUUAAGAGCUAUAGUGAUGAUACAACACUUUACCUCAUGCUGCCAAGGACCAUCCUAUAUCUUGCCAUCAGUAUAAGACCUAACUUAUCCUAGUAGAUCCACUAGUCUAUGCGAAAAUGAUUCAUCUAAAAAGUAUUACCCUUUUCUACCCAUGAUGGCUACAUAGUUUUCAUGGAGACUUGAAUUAAUAGGAAACUCGCAUCCCCACAUCGGUGCUCAAUAAUACUCCCAAAAAUAUAAUACUAGCUCUUUAUGUUUAAAACAUACUUCUUUCUUUAGUUUGAGAUAAUUACUCAAAACUUAGCUUAAAAGUUGUCUUGGAAUCGAUGUUCCCUUUCUUGCUCAAACUCUUUUGGAAAUCUCAGUUUCCUUUCAUCUUAAAUGUGAAAACAAUUACUCUUGGCAAUACUUAGUUCCCAUAUAUCAAUUUUAAAGAAAAUGAACUUUACUCUUACUCUUUACUCAACUUCAAAGCUUAAGUCUUAAAACAAAGUUUAAACAUUUGUAAAAGAUUUCUAAAAAUAUGGUUCAUGUCGAUUUAUUGACGUGAAUGACUCAAUGCAAGGUUUUCAAUAACCAUAGAUAGAACUCAAUGCAUGGAACUCAAGAAUUUCAACAAUACUACUCACUUCAAGAAUGCUCAACUAAGAGGGUUCAUGCGGAAUUUAUCAGCAUGAACUACUCAACUCAAGGACUCGAAGAUACUUCUCGUUCCAAGACUGCUCGACUUAUAGGGUUCAUGCGGAAUUAUGGACAUGAAUAACCCAACUCAAGGACUUCAUGGGUAGCAUGUAAUAGUCCCAUGAUUAAGAAUGUAAUUCAAAUGGGUUAGAAACUCAAUACUUAAGACUUAGGACAUAGGGACAUUACUCCUCUCAUAGAUACUCAACUUAUGGAGUUCAUGCGGAAUUUAUGGGCAUGAACGACAUGACUCGUAGGUUCACAUAACAUUAUGGAACUCAUGAUACAACUCUUCUCAUUCUCAUACUUACUUUCUCAAAAUUUAGUUCAAAUCAAUAGUUGAUCUCAAAAGGUUCACAAUCGAACUCAAAGGCUUUUUUGAACUCUACUCUUAACUCUCUUUUGAAUGUGAAUUAUGAAUUCAAGAGUUAUGGUUCAUGCUAUGAAAGAUCUCAUGAUGACAAAGUAUACUCAAGAAUACAUUCUCCUCACUCUCAUGCUCACUUACUCGAAUCUUGAAACAGUUACUAGAAGUUGUAGAAGACUCCACAAAAGGACUCAAAAGGGACUUUCUUAGAAUGUUUAAAAAAAUCUCAAAACUUAAUCUUAGCUCUACCUUGAAUUUGAAUUAUGAAUUCAAGGUUAUGAUCAUGUUAUGAAUGAUUUCUAGGUGUUUAGAAGUAGUUUAAAGAGUUUAGAAUCAAACUGGAGUAAAGGUACCCUUUUAAAGAACUCAAACGGACGAAACGAUGGACAACGGGUGGGGGCAGACGACCCUGGCGCUCUGAGUGGCGUGGGCGCCAGCCCCUAAAAUUCAGAGAGGUGGUUGGGGCGCUCUGGCUGGCACGCCAGGCCCCAACCCAGAAACUUUCGAUGACUUUCCUUGCUCGUUUUCUCACCCAGAAAAUUCAGCAAGUUUCUUUUCUCGUUUUCUCACCCUAUUUCGAAUGGUUUCUUCCCCAAUCACUUAGAAUUGAUUACUUAACAUAAGUACACUCUAAUCUACUCAAUACAUCCCUUAAAACACUCACUUUAAUCCAAAGAAAAACAUCAAAACCCAACACAACAAGAUUUAGAAUGAACUUCAAGAACACUCAUCAAGAACUCAUCAAGAACUCUAAUAUUUCAACUUUAAGAAUAGAAAUUUGCGACUAGAAAAUAACAUGAGUUGGCGUGUGGGUGAACUAAACUAAUACUAUGGAAGCUUAAAUACCUCUUAGGGAUCAAACCCAUGGCGAAAAUCCGCUACAACACGCAAGAAUCUCGACGAACGCUUAAUCCUCUCCUCUUUUCUCCUCUUCUCUCUUCUUUUCUCUUCUUGAACUCUCAACUAAAACCCUAGGCUAAUUUUAGGAUUAUAAAACUGAACCUAGUAGGAUUAGACCCUCAAAAUAUUACUAAAAAUGAAUUGAAUCUGAUUGGGUAAGGAAAAGACCAAAAUACCCCUCUCUAUUUUCGGCAAACUUUCCUUAACUGAACAGCCUAUCUUCAAAAGGCCAUAUCUCACUCAUCCGACCUCGAAACUUAGCAAACUCAGCGGCGUUGGAAAGAUAAUUCAAAGAUAUUUCCUACGGUAUCUAAUAGAACACCUAACUCAUCUUGAUCUAGGAGUUAUUAUCAUUUGAAGUUGACCCAAAACUCAUACUUAGCUUAACUUGCAAAAUUUCAGAUUUUCCUAUUUCCAAUUUAAUUCUUUUUGGAACUCAAGGUGCUACAUCUAGUGACCUUAACCCUUAAGAAAUUUUAAUUCCUCGAUAAAAUCCUACUCACAACGAAGGAUGGUUCAAGUCUCAGUUCGAAAUUUUUUUGGGGCAUUACAAUAUCUCCCCCUUGGGAUCAUUCGUCCUCGAAUGACGACUGAACUGGGUAUGGAAUGAGUUACUCUUACUAAGGUCUGCGUCUAAUGGUACACUCUCACUAUAUUCAAGCUUAACCCAAAUCCUUAGGUUCAGGUUCUAUACCUCUCUAUAGGGAAUCUCAUCCCAAUACCAUUACUCCUUACCACCACAAUCAAGCUUAGUACUCUAGCAACUCCAUGGACUCCUACUAACAAACUCCUUCAGAGCCAACUAAGGGCUCUCAUUUAAAUAUUUCUCAUAGUAAAACCUCAUUCUAAUUUUCCUCAUUAUUUACAACCUUAGAUGGAACUAUCACACCAUCAUCAUCACGAUAUGAUCAUUAACCUCCUCUUUCUAACAUCACUUCAUUACUAAAAGGACAUCUAAAAAGAUAUCCCCCAAGCUCUUUGGAAUUCAUUACUAUCUUACUCUCAAGCACUUGACUUGAUUUCUCAUCUUAUCAUUUCCCCUUAGGUCUAAAGUUAACACUUGAAAGCUAUGGACAUAUUCCAUCAUCUCUAAAUGGUCUACCUCUUCUUUUAAUCCAACACUUGGGGGAAGUUUAUCUCAUGCCUACCAAACUCUCUAUAAGCGGUACUAAGACCUCUUUCUAAGGUGUUUCCCUUAACCUCUUCUGGUUACAUACCCUCUCAGUACACCUCUUAACGCUCUUAUUACUUUUGUGACUUAGCCACACUUCACUGCCCUUAUCUAAAUGUUAGGGUCUCUCACUUGUACCACUUAUACUAUUGUAGCUAAUCACCUAAAUUCCUCAUCUACUUUAUGUCAAGUCUUCUAGAUCAAAUAUCAAGACUAACAUCAUCACCCUCAUGUUGUCAUUCUUUUGAUCAUGACAGUCAUCUCCAAUUCAAGCUUAAUAUUUAUGACUAAACCCGAAUAUCAAUAUGAUUGCCCGCUUACUAUACUAACUUAUAGCUACUUAAUUAGUUCUAUAACCUUCUAUACAUCAUGACCCUCUCAGACAUAUCAUAAGCCUAGUUUAUAUCUAUAACCUCAUGGAUACUUUUUCUCUUCAAUUCACCACUUACACUUAGUCAUUUCCUACACAAUGACACUUCAUCACCAACUCCUUUCUAGCUACAAUACACUCUACCUCCUAUGAUGGAAUCUUCACAACUCAUCACUUCUUAGUCUACCCGUAAGGGAAAACUCCUCAUUAAUAACUUACUAGGUGUAUGACUAUAAUAACAUAGCUUGCCUCAUCACUAUCUCCCUUUCUAGGAUUACUAAACCUCUCCAUACUUUCCUCUAACUCUGGGCUCUAUCACUACUACUGCUCAUGAUCUCGUAGCUCAUGUUACCUUUUAAGAUGCAAAUACUACCCAAGCUCUAAACAUACUUUCUCAUGAUGAAACAGGACUUAAAGAAGAGAGUACAAAUCAAAUUUAGCUCAAACGCACGAUUCAUAUAAUUAUGGGUGCAUUCCUUUGAAACUGAACACUUAACUUACUCUUUGGGCUACUCUCAUCCCCCUCUGGAGUCUCGUGACUUUCUCAAGACUCUUGCUAAGAACAAAUCAUCGACAAAGAACAGACUCAGUUUUUCAACCACAUCUAGUAUGAUGGGUAGUCGAAUGAUUCUGAGAAACGCACGAGUUAAAAUAAGUCUCUAUGACAUAACUCUAAUUGCACGAUUAAGAGUAUGAAAGAAGGGAAACUUUUCUUAAAUGUCUGUAGUCCCUCAUUUAUAGAAGUGGGGCCCUCACAACCAUAAACAAGAUCCUACUUGACACAGCUUCAUAGACACCCUGGGACUCUUGAACUCUGUGCUCUGAUACCAAGUUUAUCACAACCCGAGCCUAUACCUUGGACAUGGCCGGCACUCGAGAAUCAUUACUAGUCCCCAAGCGAACCCUCAUCCUAGCUGACUACAAGCGAAAAACUGAUUCAAGCAUACAAAGCUUAAAAACUGAAAUAAAAGUUCAUAAACUUAAAUACAAACUUUAAGUCCAAAGAAAACUCUGUAUAAUAAAAUAUAUACAACUCGCCAUAAAAAAGGCAACUUUAGUCUUUAAAACAUUUAAUAAAAUGAAUGNNNNNNNNNNNNNNNNNNNNNNNNNNNNNNNNNNNNNNNNNNNNNNNNNNNNNNNNNNNNNNNNNNNNNNNNNNNNNNNNNNNNNNNNNNNNNNNNNNNNNNNNNNNNNNNNNNNNNNNNNNNNNNNNNNNNNNNNNNNNNNNNNNNNNNNNNNNNNNNNNNNNNNNNNNNNNNNNNNNNNNNNNNNNNNNNNNNNNNNNNNNNNNNNNNNNNNNNNNNNNNNNNNNNNNNNNNNNNNNNNNNNNNNNNNNNNNNNNNNNNNNNNNNNNNNNNNNNNNNNNNNNNNNNNNNNNNNNNNNNNNNNNNNNNNNNNNNNNNNNNNNNNNNNNNNNNNNNNNNNNNNNNNNNNNNNNNNNNNNNNNNNNNNNNNNNNNNNNNNNNNNNNNNNNNNNNNNNNNNNNNNNNNNNNNNNNNNNNNNNNNNNNNNNNNNNNNNNNNNNNNNNNNNNNNNNNNNNNNNNNNNNNNNNNNNNNNNNNNNNNNNNNNNNNNNNNNNNNNNNNNNNNNNNNNNNNNNNNNNNNNNNNNNNNNNNNNNNNNNNNNNNNNNNNNNNNNNNNNNNNNNNNNNNNNNNNNNNNNNNNNNNNNNNNNNNNNNNNNNNNNNNNNNNNNNNNNNNNNNNNNNNNNNNNNNNNNNNNNNNNNNNNNNNNNNNNNNNNNNNNNNNNNNNNNNNNNNNNNNNNNNNNNNNNNNNNNNNNNNNNNNNNNNNNNNNNNNNNNNNNNNNNNNNNNNNNNNNNNNNNNNNNNNNNNNNNNNNNNNNNNNNNNNNNNNNNNNNNNNNNNNNNNNNNNNNNNNNNNNNNNNNNNNNNNNNNNNNNNNNNNNNNNNNNNNNNNNNNNNNNNNNNNNNNNNNNNNNNNNNNNNNNNNNNNNNNNNNNNNNNNNNNNNNNNNNNNNNNNNNNNNNNNNNNNNNNNNNNNNNNNNNNNNNNNNNNNNNNNNNNNNNNNNNNNNNNNNNNNNNNNNNNNNNNNNNNNNNNNNNNNNNNNNNNNNNNNNNNNNNNNNNNNNNNNNNNNNNNNNNNNNNNNNNNNNNNNNNNNNNNNNNNNNNNNNNNNNNNNNNNNNNNNNNNNNNNNNNNNNNNNNNNNNNNNNNNNNNNNNNNNNNNNNNNNNNNNNNNNNNNNNNNNNNNNNNNNNNNNNNNNNNNNNNNNNNNNNNNNNNNNNNNNNNNNNNNNNNNNNNNNNNNNNNNNNNNNNNNNNNNNNNNNNNNNNNNNNNNNNNNNNNNNNNNNNNNNNNNNNNNNNNNNNNNNNNNNNNNNNNNNNNNNNNNNNNNNNNNNNNNNNNNNNNNNNNNNNNNNNNNNNNNNNNNNNNNNNNNNNNNNNNNNNNNNNNNNNNNNNNNNNNNNNNNNNNNNNNNNNNNNNNNNNNNNNNNNNNNNNNNNNNNNNNNNNNNNNNNNNNNNNNNNNNNNNNNNNNNNNNNNNNNNNNNNNNNNNNNNNNNNNNNNNNNNNNNNNNNNNNNNNNNNNNNNNNNNNNNNNNNNNNNNNNNNNNNNNNNNNNNNNNNNNNNNNNNNNNNNNNNNNNNNNNNNNNNNNNNNNNNNNNNNNNNNNNNNNNNNNNNNNNNNNNNNNNNNNNNNNNNNNNNNNNNNNNNNNNNNNNNNNNNNNNNNNNNNNNNNNNNNNNNNNNNNNNNNNNNNNNNNNNNNNNNNNNNNNNNNNNNNNNNNNNNNNNNNNNNNNNNNNNNNNNNNNNNNNNNNNNNNNNNNNNNNNNNNNNNNNNNNNNNNNNNNNNNNNNNNNNNNNNNNNNNNNNNNNNNNNNNNNNNNNNNNNNNNNNNNNNNNNNNNNNNNNNNNNNNNNNNNNNNNNNNNNNNNNNNNNNNNNNNNNNNNNNNNNNNNNNNNNNNNNNNNNNNNNNNNNNNNNNNNNNNNNNNNNNNNNNNNNNNNNNNNNNNNNNNNNNNNNNNNNNNNNNNNNNNNNNNNNNNNNNNNNNNNNNNNNNNNNNNNNNNNNNNNNNNNNNNNNNNNNNNNNNNNNNNNNNNNNNNNNNNNNNNNNNNNNNNNNNNNNNNNNNNNNNNNNNNNNNNNNNNNNNNNNNNNNNNNNNNNNNNNNNNNNNNNNNNNNNNNNNNNNNNNNNNNNNNNNNNNNNNNNNNNNNNNNNNNNNNNNNNNNNNNNNNNNNNNNNNNNNNNNNNNNNNNNNNNNNNNNNNNNNNNNNNNNNNNNNNNNNNNNNNNNNNNNNNNNNNNNNNNNNNNNNNNNNNNNNNNNNNNNNNNNNNNNNNNNNNNNNNNNNNNNNNNNNNNNNNNNNNNNNNNNNNNNNNNNNNNNNNNNNNNNNNNNNNNNNNNNNNNNNNNNNNNNNNNNNNNNNNNNNNNNNNNNNNNNNNNNNNNNNNNNNNNNNNNNNNNNNNNNNNNNNNNNNNNNNNNNNNNNNNNNNNNNNNNNNNNNNNNNNNNNNNNNNNNNNNNNNNNNNNNNNNNNNNNNNNNNNNNNNNNNNNNNNNNNNNNNNNNNNNNNNNNNNNNNNNNNNNNNNNNNNNNNNNNNNNNNNNNNNNNNNNNNNNNNNNNNNNNNNNNNNNNNNNNNNNNNNNNNNNNNNNNNNNNNNNNNNNNNNNNNNNNNNNNNNNNNNNNNNNNNNNNNNNNNNNNNNNNNNNNNNNNNNNNNNNNNNNNNNNNNNNNNNNNNNNNNNNNNNNNNNNNNNNNNNNNNNNNNNNNNNNNNNNNNNNNNNNNNNNNNNNNNNNNNNNNNNNNNNNNNNNNNNNNNNNNNNNNNNNNNNNNNNNNNNNNNNNNNNNNNNNNNNNNNNNNNNNNNNNNNNNNNNNNNNNNNNNNNNNNNNNNNNNNNNNNNUUUUCUUCUUUUCUCUUCUUGAACUCUCAACUAAAACCCUAGGCUAAUUUUUAGGAUUAUAAAACUGAACCUAAUAGUAUUAGACCCUUAAAAUAUUACUAAAAAUGAAUUAAAUCUGAUUGGGUAAGGAAAAUACCAAAAUACCCCUCUCUAUUUUCGGCUAAUUUUCCUUAACUGAACAACCUAUCUUCAAAAGGCCAUAUCUCACUCAUCCGACCUCGAAACUUAGCAAACUCAGCGGCGUUGGAAAGAUAAUUCAAAGAUAUUUCCUAUGGAAUCUAAUAGAACACCUAAAUCAUCCUGAUCUAGGAGUUAUGAUCGUUUGAAGUCAACCCAAAACUCAUACUUAGCUUAACUUGCAAAAUUUCAGAUUUUGCUAUUUCCAAUUUAAUUCUUUUUGGAACUCAAGGUGCUAUAUCUAGUGACCUUAACACUUAAGAAAUUUUAAUUCCUCGGUAAAAUCCUACUCACAACGAAGGAUGGUUCAAGUCUCAGUUCGAAAUUUUUUUUGGGGUAUUACAAACAGGAGCUUCGUUGAUACCACAUGGAGUUCGAGUUAGCUAUGGUGAGCCUUCUUGCUUUCAGAGGAUUUCAUUUACUUAUCAGUUGUUAGGAUGUCGUGGAUCUUGUCCUGACUUCCAUCUUUGUCAUUUAGAGGCUUCAUAGAUAUACAAUAGAGUUUCAAAAGUCUGUUAAUUUAUUUUGUUAAAUGUUUUAAAGACUUAAGUUGCUUAUUUUCGGGAGAGUUGAAUAUAUUAUAUUAUUCAUAGUUUUGUAUUGAUUUAAAGCUUUGUAUUUAAGUUUCAUGAAUUUUUAUUCAGUUUUUAAUCUUUUGCAUGCUUAAGUUUGUCUUCCGCUUGUAGUCAACCAAGGAUGAGGGUUCGCUUGGGGACCAACAAUGGUUCUUGAGUGCCGGUCACGUCCAGGGUGUAGGCUUGGAUCGUGACACCAAAACCGAACUAAAAUAAAUUCAGUUCAGUUCGAUUCAAUUUUUCGAUUUGAAUAUAAUCGGGCCCUUUUCUUAUCAUCAUUCAUCAGUUAACUUUUCUAAUACUAGGCAUUUGCAUUUGGUCUAAUUGAUAUGAGCCAACUGUUAGCUUAGGAAUAUCCCUCCAGUCAUGAUACAUAUGAGCUUCAUUAGAAAUAACGUGUUUAGCUAAUGCAUCUGCAAUUUGGUUAACUUCUCUAUGACAAUGAUUUACUUCAUAAUUGAUCUUUGCAACAACUUGUAAGAUGUCUUCCACAACACCUUUGAUCUUCAAUUGAGGCUUGUCCAUUCCUUACCAUAUCAACCACCAUUUUUUAGUCUAAUUCAAGAUAGCAAUCGUGAAAUCCUUGUUGUGGAUGAUGAUAACUAAAAUAAUAUAAUUCAUUACUAGUUAGUAUCUAAACUCAUAGCUCGUCUCAUCCCAAUAUUACUUUGGGCAGAUCAUUUUCCUACUCGAUCAUCUAAACUCCUAGGUUUUUUUCCCUUAUAUAUAUGAUGAUGCGAUCUCCUUUUGUAUUACUAUUAAUUGUGUAACAAGUAACGAUAUCGAGACCUUGAUUAACAACAAAUACAAAAGUAACCCUAACUUAAAAAGAAACCACAAACUAAAGAAAUUUAUGUAUUUUUGAAUGAAGAAGGUAAGGUAAGGUAAUAGGCUAAUUGCUAGCUUGUUUAUUUAUUGAUAAGCAUACAUUAAUUUACAUGGAGCGAUAGAAGGAUAUAUCCACUUUAUUUAGAAAGCUGCAAGCUAGCCAGCUAAUUAGCAUUCUACGCCUUGAUGAACACAAAUGGAAUAAAUUCCUUAUCGUCAUCGACAGUCACCAGACGAGGAUAUCCAUUUUUAAAGUUGCCGCCGAUAUUUUUGCACUGAAGAUGAGAGGGACAAUGCAGUAACUUGUAUACAUUUUUGGAACCUCCUGGUGUCACCAAGUCAGUUUUCCUAAUUUUGAAGAUGUCGUUUUCAUUUCCUACCUUACCACCAGUUUGGUCAACACACAACUUUGUUGUUUUAACAAAGAACUUGAUAUAAACACCAGUCAUUAUACGCACCACAUCACCAUAAUCCGACUCCGACUUACGAACGAACAUGACGGGCGUGCCUUCUCCCAAAAAUUGGGGAAUCGACAUGUGCUGCAACAUGGCGUUUGGGCAUUGAAGGUUUCCAAUAUUGUACAAGUAUACGGCUCCGGCCCCGAGGAGAGGAUUGUUAAUAAUGUACCUCUCACCAAUCCUCAGCGGAUUGCCAUCUUGGUCAUAAACUUCAGGGAGUACAAGAUUAUCAUCAUCAUGACAAGUUGUGGGGAGGACAAUUGGAUUUUCAGAAGUGAAAGAUCGAGCAAAGGCAACCAAAGAGAGGUACUUGAAAGCAAGAGGAAACUCAAAAUAUUAAUCGACUUCAUCUUUCUUUGUGUGUUGUGCUUGCUAUGAGUCUAUGUCCAAUUUAUAGACCUGCUAAGGGCAUUUUUGACAAACAAAAAAUGAAUACCUACUACCGCCUUAGACACCUCAAAUAAGUUUUAUCCAUUUUAAAUAACUAAUAUCAAGCUUCAAUAUUAAGUCACUCUGAACACUUUUUUUUUUUUACUAUCAACAAAAAUAUAUAGUACAUAAUAUGUGUUACACUGAAUAAUAUGUAAAGUAUCAAAUUAAAUAAAGACAUUUAUUAUUUGUCUCCAAAAUAAAUCUUAAAUAAUAAAUUUUGAGUAAAAAUAAAAAACGGCCAAUAAUUCAAUUUGUAGGAUAUUUAUUAUUUAAUGUGGCUUUAACUAGAGAAGUUGGUAAAAUUAAUAAAUAUUACUUGAGAAUAUUGUCCAUUGUGCUUAAAGGACUCUUGAAACUUGACAUCUAGUGGAGAACCAUUCAUGGGAUUAUUGCACUAAUAAAAUUAAGUUGCAACACCUAAUUUUACUUACCAUACUCAUGUACAUAAUUAUUAAGGAUAAAAAAAAUUAUCCGUAUAUAAUGUAUACACUAACCUAAUAUAUGAAUGACAUGUGUUUGAAUUUAUGGUUCAUUUUAUAUAAUUUUAAUUAAAUAACAUUUGUUUUGCUUCAUUUUAAUAAUUUAUAUUCACCACUGAAUACAAAUAACAGGCUAAUAAUUCUAAAAAUUGAUAUUAAUGUGCUACCUGGCAUGGAAUUAUUCCACAAGUAAAAUAUGUCACUGAAGUACGAUCGAGAUUUAUACCACUGAUUAUUUUGUUACCUAUCAAGAAUGGAUCUUAAAAAUAAUGGCAAAUCAUUAUUAUGAAAAAUGAUUUUUUUUUUAGAUUCUUUUUUUUGACAAAUUAAUAAUUGAAGGAUAGGAUUUGCGUUAUAUGAUAUAUAGAACUUAGUUUUGAAUUUGAGUAAAUUGAGUGUUGAAACUCAAGAAUAAUUAGGCAAAAUAAAAAUUGCACUUCAAAUACAUAUAACUGAAGUUUUAGUCAAUUUUUAUACACUUCAAUCAUAUGUACAUUCAAUAAAAUUAAAAUAAUGUUAAAUGAGUUUGUUAAAUUUAUUGUUAUUUUGAUAAAUUGUUGAUUCAAGUUUGUUUCAUACGAUUGUAGAUCUGAUCUUCGACUAAAUUCGGAUCGGGCUCUGCAAGGCCCAUUAGAAGGUGACACUCCCAACAGGAUUUUCUCCAUACCCAGGGCUCGAACCCGAGACCUCUGGUUAAGGGUGAAGCACUCCCACCAGUGCACCACAACCCAUGUUGGUCCUAAAGUCAUUAUUAUUAAUUAGGUAGGUACGUUCAAAAUAAUUCUUUAAAAAGUGAUCAUAUCCGAUCUUAAUCAAAUACAACUCUAACUCCAAUUUUAAAUUUUAAAUAAUACUCCCUCCGUCCCCUUUUAGUUGUCAUGCUGCACUUUUCAAAAAUCAUUUUGAAUUAUUUUUCAAUUUUAAUUAGAUUACAUUAAAGAUAUUUUAAAUUAAAAAUUUAGAUAUAUAUUUAAAAGCUAUACAAAAAGUACUAUAAAUUGUAAUUUUUUGCAUAUCAAUAUGAUGAAAAAAUACAUCGUAAAAAAUUGUCAAAGUUCUUAUUGUUUAACUCUAAAAAAAAGUCAUACAACUAAAAAAGAAUAAAGUGAAUAUAAAUAUAUUUAAUUUUCAUGAUCAAAUGCAUACUAAAAUAUAUUAGUCAAGUUGCCAAUCGCCGUAAUGAUGAAAGGAAACAGGUGAAUGCAGCUCAUAUCACUGAAAAUAAAGCACUUUAUACUUCAUCUUUUCAGCACUACCAGCGUAUAAAAAAAAUGAAAAUGUGUAAUUUUCAAGUUUAAUACUAAGCCGUAGAGAGUUUGUUUUGAUAAACUUGAGGGGGGAAAGCAAAAUUAAGGCAUUAACAAAUGAAUAAAGAUGAACUUAUAUGCUUUGAUUAUAAAAGUAGUCUAACAUUAUUUGUUUGUAAAAUUUGGAUGCAGUUAAACAUGGUUAUUAAAGAAUCACUUCGACUGUAUCCACCAGAUCCUAUCAUUGAACGAAUGGCUUGUGAAGAUAUGAUUUGUUAAACAUCUUAAUUUUUCAAUAAAAUAUUUAUUUUUUUCAAAAUAAGCACUUUUGAUCUCAUAACAAUAAUGCGGCUUUUAACCAUGCCGGUUAUAGUUAUACGGGUUGGGUUAUCUAUAGAAAAGUUAAAUGUACGGAACAAACCAAAUUCAAAUUAAACCUAUUAAUAAGCGAUUGAGACGUAAUUAUUUUUAAUAUGUACAUUGUGAAUCACACGUACUCAAUGGUCCCGUAAAUCUUAAUCGUAUUUUGGAUAAAAGCCACCUGACUGCUUAGAGAUUUAAUUAUUUUGGAUGUAUUUGAUAUUUUCCCACCGAACACCUUAUCUUCAGUCUCACUUCUUGUAGUGUCUAUCUUCACCAUCCCACACUUUUAUUUUUAUCAUUGUGUGUUUUAAUAUAUUUAUCUAGAUUAUAUAUAAAUAUUUUUUAUUUACCUACUAAACACAUAAAAAUUUUAUUUUCUUGAGAAACAUCUUUCAAAAAGAAUAUUUUCUUUCAUAACGAAUAUACCCUAAACAACCACAAAUGUUAAUAUCAACAUUUUGGUUUUAAUUGAGUUGAAAUGUUUAGAAAGAAGAACAAAAAAGAAAUGAAAACUAUUAGGCAUAUAAAAGUACAAAAUAGUUAACCAAACAACAAUAAUUAAGAUACCAAAAAUGCAAAUAAUUUUCUAGUCAUGAUUUUGUGCUGAAAGUUUUUAGAUAACUUUUAUAUGUACUUCAGUCAUUUUGUCUUGGUUUUAAUAACCUUAGUUAAAAAUGUUUGAAGGUAAAAGUUCUGUAAAAUGCUUGAAAUUUUGUCUUUAUCUAAUUUACAACUUCAAUAAAAAUUGUCUGAAUUUUUUUUUUAUGAUGACCUUCACAAAGGCACACCUUAGACAAAUAUGUUUAUAGGUCUAGGUUUUAAGUUGUAAAAUUUCUGUUCCAUAUUAGUUGUUCAUCUUUUAAAAAAAUAAUUUACCCAUAAUUUUUUUAAAAAAAAACUUUACAAACUUAUUUACAGUUUUUAAAAAGAAUUAAUUAUUAUAAGGAUAAAAAGAGAAAAUAAUAAUUAAUUCUCUCCUGAUUUUAUAAAUUGACAAAUAAUUUAAAAAACAUAUAUUUUUAAAAUAUGAACGACUAAUAUUGAAUGAACACUAAACAUCAAAGAAAUUAAAGAAUAAUUAAGUAGCCAAAUGUUCCGUUCCUAUCAUCAACUCUACUUGGAGUUGCACUGUUGCAGGCCAAUAAUGGAUAUAUAUUAUAUACUAAUGUGCCGAUGGGACCAUUAUUAGACCAUAGUUAUAACCAAUAAAGUGAUUCUAUUAAAAUAGUGAAGUAGAGAGGUGUUUUUAAAGCUAUCAAUAGUUCGAAAAUAAAAUUAAUAAUUCAUAUCAAAUUCAGAAGUGUUUUUAAUAUUUUUGUCUAUCAUCUAUUCUCAACUUUUAAAUUUGAGAGUUCAUAAACAAUAUAUGUCCUCUCAGUUUUUAAAUUCGUUCAACUUCACCAUUAUUAACAUUGUGAAAUUAAUUCAAUGUCAAUUGUUCAUACUAUGGACAAACCCUAAAUUACAUAAAUUGAAACAAAAGAUUAUACAAUAAAAUUAAUUUAGUACUAAAAAUAGCGUAAAGGGCUGAAACUAACGAACAUGGUUAAUUAAAAUUGAGGAACAUCGUAUCUUUUUGGCCUAAAAGAUAUUUGAAUACUAUACUAAUAUAUAUCCACCAUUGAAGAUAAAUACCAACAGGCUAACAACCAAGUUAUUUUCAUUUUCGUCAUGUAAUCUUAGCUUGUUAAAGCCAAAAAUGAAUAUAAUGUCUUGACGGGACCGCACGUGUUACUAUCCCAUAACUAAAACGGAGUUCAGAACUAAAAGGGUAAUAAUUUUUUUUCAAAAAUUUCAAAAAGAUAACUAAAUUAUAUAUGAAACCAAAAUGACAAUAAUUUAUAAUGACGUCUAAAUUAGAGUUUUUGCCGCAAGAUACAAAAACCCAUGAGCGAUGCAACAACUUUUAGCCUUGUAAAGCUCAGCUGGCGUGAGCCUUACAAGGCGCAAGGCAGGCUAUUUUUUUCAAAUAAAAAAGUUUUUAUGGUGUACGGUCCUUAAGGCUACACGUUUGCAAACUCGACCGCCCAUUUUUUUGUUAGAUAAAUAAAAAAAUCUGACUAUUUUGUUGAGAUGUUAAAUCAUCCAACUUUAAAUUUAUCUAAAAUGCAGUACCUUUUUUACAAAAAUACAAUGUAUUUUAGUCGGUUAUUUUUUAAAAAAAAAUUAUGCCUUUUUGAGUUAUCAAAAUAGGAUUUCUAUUGACCGUAAGCUUAAUUUGAUAAUGCAAAAAAAUUUAAAAUAAAUAAAUUGUAUAUUGUAAGUAAUGCACAUUUUCAACACACGUAUGCAUAUUAGGGGUGAAGCUAUAUAGUUCUUAUGACACUUUUUUAAGCUUGGUUUUCUAAAGAAUGUUUGGAUGUGUCGUUUACUUAAAUAUAAUGUUUAUUUUGAUGAUUAGUUAAAUUUAAUUUAUAUCAUUAAAUUUAUUAUUAGGUAAUAAUGUGAUUUUUUAUUUUGUGUAAUGGUUGAUUUAGUAUGAAUGUAUGGUCAUAAUAUAUAUAUUUUUUAUUUUGUUUCACUUACUAUUUAAUAAUUGUAUUUUAUUAUUUACUCUUUCUUUUUAUAGUAAAUCUACUCCGUACUCUAUUUUUCUGGUGUGUUUAUCUUUUUAAUUUUUUUUGAUAUUAUGUAAUUAUCGAAAAAGAUACAAUUUAAUAUAACAUAAUAUAAUAUAUUAUAAAAUGACAUGUAACAGCCAUCCAAACAAAGUAUAAAUAUAUAGUUUCAUCAAAAGUUAUGGUGAUAAAAUGAUAAAUUUCGUAGUGAGGUUUAGGUUCGAAUUAUAACAACGAAGUCACUUUUUAAUAAAUAAUAUUUUAUACCUUUAACAUGAGUUUUUAAAAAAAAAUUGAACUCAGAUGCGGAAUCUCAAUACGAAUAUUGAGCCUAAAAAGCACUCUAUAAAAGAAGGUCAUAAAUAAAUAGUCCAUUUAAUGGUAAAUUUUAUCCUUUUGUCAAUAAAAAAAAAGUCCAUGAUUAAUCUUUUCCGAUAUUUGGUAUUGCAUUUUAGUUCUAAAUUAAACACCUUUUACCUGAUUUGAUUACAAAUAUAUAAUAAAUUACUUGAAUCAUCAAAGAAAAAUGUGUACAUUAAUUAAUCAGAACCGACAGACUUAGGAAAUAUAUUAUUAGUCAUAGGCUCAUAGGACAUGGAUCUUGUUCCAUAUUUACUAGUUAUAAUAACUACUGUAACAUUUAUAUAUUUAAUUAAGCCAAAUAAAUAUAAUCUUUUCAGAUUUUUUUUUUUUUUAAAUAGCCUUGCGCCUUGUAAGGCUCAUGGCGGUUGAGCCUUACAAGGCUAAAAGUUGUUGCGCCUUGUAAGGCUCAUGGGUUUCUGUGCCUUGCGGCAGAAACUCUAUUUGAGACGCCGUUACAAAUUGUUACCCUUUUGAUUUCAUAAAUAAUUCAGUUGCCCUUUUGAAAUUUUUGAAAAAUUUUGUUGCCCUUUUGGUUCCGAAGGCCCCCUCAUUUUGAAGUUUUGGUUUCUUAAAUCUUGUUAUCCUUGAAUUUUUCUAGCACUUAAAGUUUUGGUUUCUUAAAUUUUUUUAUUUCUUUCAAUGUAUUAAGUUUCUUUCUAUUUCAUUCUGAUUAAAUAAAAAAAAACUUUAUUUUACUAUCUUUGUUGUGGUUAAAACUUAAAAAUAAUUAAAUGAAUUGAUCACGUAUUUGAAACAUAAUGACAUGUUUUUCUCAUAUAUUAUUGGAAAAAAUAAUAAUUUUCAUACCGAAUAAAUUAAAUUAAUAUUAUUUUAAUCCAGUAACUUGAACUUAAUGAUGAUUGUGUUUUGAUUGUAGUUGCAUUAGUAAUGAAAUAACUUGGUGAUAUCGAAGAGACAGAGUGAUUGAUUGAAAACAUAUAUAAUAAAAAUAAUAUAUCCUCGGGGAUAUUGGAAAAUUGUUAUACAAAUGAAUUUCUACAACAACAAUAAACAAUGAAACUUCUACUUCAAUUCAAUAUACGAUAAAAUUAACUCCUAGUCAAAGCAACAUAUAAUACACAUUUGCAUUCAUUACAAUAGUAUUUCUUGAGCUUUUUCUUUUUUCCAUCCUUAAACCUAAUUUAAGUCUACUGGGCAUGUCUAAUUAAAAUUAAUAUGCAAUUGAUUAAACAUAAAAGGACCUUAUCCAUGAAAUCCACAUCACGUAAUCAAUAACAAUGCAUAUUACAACUUGGAUUUAGUCGUAACUCCAAUGCAAACUGAUCAAUAAUGAAUAUUAAUGUCGUGAUGGUACCGGAUGGGAUUAUCCAUAAGUAAUUAAUACGUAGCACUUAUUAAUUACUAAAACAUAUGUUGGGUUUAGUAAGGUGUGAAUGGGAAAUAAAAAGAGAAAAUGGAAAGUGGAAGAACCAAUAAAAAUGGGGGAACCAAUUUGGAGGGAAAAUGAAAAAUCAUUGCAAAAGUGCAAAUGAAUAGUCAUUUUUACCAUAUUGGUAGAAGAGAGAAAAUCGUUGUCCUUAUAUUAGGAAACACUUCCUUUAGUUCUUAAAGGGUUAAGAAGAAGGUGCCCCUCGCGACAUCGUCGUCGCUCGCUCGGCUUUGGCAAUUGAUUGAUAAUAUUUUUUGGACAAAAUUUAUUUAAUAAAUUUUGUUAAAUCAUUUCCUUUCUCUUAUAAAUUAAUUCAGAAAGUUAGUUAACUAACAGAUUUAAUUUGGCGCAACUGAAUUUAUUGAAAUUCACAUGUAACGGUAAUCCUUCCGAAAAGUUGUUACUUUCCGAAAGGUCGUUACUUUUCCCAAACGGUAAUCCUUCCGAAAAAUCGUUAUUUUCCCAAAAGACACAAUGUUCUGGAAGAAACGGGUCUGGAUAGAUUUUUCUGAACAGACGCGUUCCUUGCUGCAAAUGGCUAUAAAUAAGAGGUCUUUUUCGUUUUUUAAAACACUGAAAAUUUUUCCUCUCUGCAUUCAUUUUCUUGCAUAAAUAAAAUUGUCGAUCGACUAAGUCUGUGUGUGCUCUUGUUGUUGUUCUUGCGUUCGCUGAAGUUAUUAAAGUUUGAGGUACCGCUACUUCUUUAACAGGUUAAUCCGUUUUAUCUUGGGAGGGAUUAAUCUGCAGCCUCGGAUACAGUGAGGGGAUUAAAUUUCUUAAGGAAACACAGUGGUUUCUGUGGACUCGGAUUAAAAAAUUCAUUCUGUCUAUUUCAUCUUUUUUCUGUUUCUGUAUUUUUGACUAACCUGAAUACAGGAGAUAACAACAUAUUUGUUUGAAAGCAGAAAUUAAUAAAUAAAGAACCUAGCUUUUUUAUUCAUCAUAAGCAUAAAUAUUACAUAGAGUGGGCUAGAAGCAUGCUCCACAUUAUUUUAGAAAGCGAUCGAGCUAGGUUAUAAUAAGCAUAGAUAAUUAACUAUGCAUCAUUCUUGUUUACUUUGGUGAAGCCAAAGGGAUAAGGCUUGUUAUUGAGAGCCAGACGGUAGUAACCACUAUUGUAGGUCAAUCCGACAUCUGCACAAUCAAAGUUACAUGUUGGACAAAUAUAUUGACUAGGACAAUACCUUAACUUGUAAGAAUAAGGUCUCCCCGUCUCAUAUUUCUCAAUCUUGAACCAGUUCUCUAUGUUAUUAGGCCCUGGAAAUCCUAAGGUACCACCAGUUAUAACAAACCUAAGUGGUGAAUGCGUCGGCCCUACGAUGGAAUAACCAACUUUCCAAACAGUUUCGUUAACACAUGACUUAGUUGAAGAAGAAGAAGUUGAGAACUUUAUACUAACAUCUUGAUUUUCAUAAACGAAAUGACUUCCAAGUUUCAUAGUAUAAAACAACAGAGGUGUGCUGUUAUCAAAUUCACCAGAACUGUCCUGCACAACGCCAUUUGGGCAUUUGGUGUUUCCAAGAUCAGUUAAGUAUAUGUUUCCACCGCCAUAGGGAAUACUGAUAACGGAGUACUCCUCGUUUAUCUUGAGUGGUUCGCCCUCCAUGUCCAGCACGGGAGGGAAUACAACAUUCCCAUUAUUAUCAGAAAUGGAAAAUUCAUGAGAAAAGGCAACCAAACUUGAAACCAAUAGGAAACUCAAAAUAGUACUAAUACACUUCUUCAUCUUUAAUUUGUUUGUGUGUUUUACUUGCUAUGACUCUAUCUCCAAUUUAUAGAGCUGCUAAGGGCAUUUUUGACAAACAAAAAAUGACCUUUUAUUUUAGGUUAUAAUAACCUAAAGAAAAUAAGUAGUACAUAACAUAUUUUUUUUAUUUUUAACAAAUAAAUAAUGAUCACAAAGAAUUGAAAAUGGGAAGGUUAAUGUUCUAUUUAUUCAAUCUAUGUUAAUUUUUAUAUAUAGUACCUUUUUUUUUAUAACUUUGAAGCAAAAAUAUUUAUUUAUAUAUAUAGGCUAUAGCUAUAAGAUUUUGUUUUCAAAUAAUUUUAUUAUGGUUAUGGGUCCUAUAUUCAUCCCUCCCACUGUCAAAGUUUGCGUCAAACAACUAUAUAUAUAUAUUUUAUUUUAUUUUUUUCUUGUAAAUUCGAAACUCAACUUAAAAUAAUAAUUAAAUAUUCCAUUGCAAAACUACAUAAAGUUCCCAGUUUUAUUUUCUCAAUUUUUAUUGUAGUAAAAAAGUUGAGAAAUUAACAUUGUCAAUUUAAUUUUUGUAGUUAAGGAAUUUUAUGAUUUCGUGGAUAGUCAUAAGUUCGAACUUUUGUAGCUAUUACUAGAUAUUAGCCCUGACUAGCUUUUAAAUUCAUAGCUAAAUCUUAGUAGUAAAGUUCCCAUUUUUAUUUUCUGAACUUCAAUUAUAUAGUAAUGAAGUUGAGAAAUAACGGUCACAUUAAUUUUUAUAGGUAAGAAAGUUAAUAAAAUUGUGGAUAGUCAUGAAACUCGAAUUUUUGUAGCUUUUACAAGAUCAUCCUUAAAAGUUCUUUUUUAUUAAAUUUGAAAGAACUUAAAAUAAGUUAUUCAAACAUAUUCUAACUUAUAAUUAAAUUCUAACUUAUAUUAUUGUAAUUUAUGACGCUUAUAAUUAUAUUCUACCUUAUAAUAUUUUAAUUUAUACAUCAUAAGUUAAAGCGAAAUUAAAUAGGCUCUUGGUUAACUAUAUACUAGUACAAGGAGUCCGUGCUAGCACGAGCUCAAUAUCUUAAUAUUUUUUUAUUUUAAUUUAUAUGAUAUAGAUAGAAUUUAGAAAGUUGAUUAAAUUUUAAUGUGAUUUUUAGAUAUUUAAGUUGUUAAUUACUUUUUGUUUGCGCAAAUUUACUGUGAAGAGUUUCAUUAAGAUGUCCAUAAUUAAUGUACUUUUCGUCAUCAAUCGUUGAUUUUUCUUAUUUUUUAAUAAUUAGUUUACAAAUUACAUAACUACAUAGGAAAAAUUCACCACAAAAAUAAAUAAUAUCUUAUUUUUUUCCCUAAUCUUGCAAAAGUAUUGUUUUUACCUUUCUUCUAAUCCUACAAAAAAUACAUAAAAUUUAAAAUGUAAUAUGUAAUCACAAAAUUAAAAAAAUAGUACAUAAAAAUAAAACAUAUUUUUUUAAAAAUGAAACUUAGCAAAACUUAUGAGAUGUGUUAAUUGAUUAAUAAGAUAUAUUUAAACCCAUUAAUUAGCGAUUGAGACAUAAUAAUUUUUUAUAUGUACAUUGUGAAUCACACGUACUCAAUGGUCCCGUAAAUCUUAAUGAUAUUUUGGAUAAACACCACAUGGCUGCUUAGAGAUUUAAUGAUUUUGGAUGUAUUUGAUAUUUUCCCACCGAACACUUUAUCUUCAAUCUCACUUUUUGUACGUAGUGUAUAAGAAUUUUAUUUUCUUGAGAAACAUCUUUCAAAGAGAAUAUUUUUUUUCGUAAUUAUUAUACCCUGAACAACCACAAAUGUUAAUAUCAACAUUUUGGUUUUUGAGUUGAAAUGUUAGAAAGAAAAACAAAGCAGAAAUGAGAAUUAUUAGGCAUACAAAAGUACAAAAUAGUUAACCAAACAACAAUAAUUAAGAUACCAAAAAUGCAAAUAAUGUUCUAGUCAUUCCGCACCAGAGACCUUUCUAAUGAGUGCUGAAAGUUUUAGAUAACUUUUAUAUGUACUUCAGUCAUUAAUUUUGUCUUGGUUUUAAUAACCUUAGUUUAAAAUGUUUGAAGUUUAUCAUUGUUAAGGCUACAAUUUUUUGUCAAAAAUGUUUGAAGUUAGAUAGUCUUCGCAACAAGGUAAGUUCUGUAAAAUGCUUGAAAUUUUGCCUUUACCUAAUAUAAAACUUCAGUAAAAAUUGUCUGAAUUUUUUUUUUAUGAUGACCUUCACAAAGGCACACCUUAGACAAAAAUGUUUAUAGAUCUAGGUUUUAAAUUGUAAAAUUUCUGCUCCAUAUUAGUUGUUUAUUUUUUUAAAAAAAUAAUUUAUCCAUAACCUUUUUUUAAAAUUUUUUUACAAACUUAUUUACACUUUUUAAAAAGAAUUAAUUAUUAUAAGGUUAAAAAGAGAAAAUAAUAAUAAUUAAUUCACUUUUAAUUUUAUAAAUUGACAAAUAAUUUGAGAAAAGUGUUUUUAAAAUAUGAACAACUAAUAUUGAAUGAAGGGAUCCGAGUAAAAUUAAGCUAUAACACCUUAAUUAGUUUUACUUAUCAUACGUUUGUGUUAGGGUUUUGCCCUAAUUUUCUUACCUUAUUUGAAGUUUAUAUUUUCCUAAAAGAAAAGACAAAACAUCACCAUAAAUGUUUUUACUUUUUGAAAGGAAAAUAUAAUUUUCUUCCAUAUUUGGGUUAUUUCUUCCUUAGAGGAAAUGUUUGGAAUCCUAUAAAUCGAAGACCUCUCCUCUCAUAUCAAGAACAACAAGAGCAUCCACAAUGUAGGGGAGAUUUUCUCAUAAACAUAUUUAUGAUUUUUUAAUAUUAGUUUUCAAUAUGUAGGUCGCUUGACCAAACCAUAUUAAUAAUAUGUCUUUAGUAUUUUCUUUAUUUGUCGUCUGAUUUCUCAACCAUAUGAUUUGCAAUUAUAUUUCUGUUUAUUAUCAAUUCUCAUUGUGAAUGUUUUUUUUUGGUUUCCCAUCCAGUGUUCGGAGCCCACAUUGGAGCUCCGACUAAAUUCAGAUCACGCUCUGCAAGGCCCAUUUGGGGUGGGAGCAAAUUCGUUCAACCUCAUAGUUACUGACAUUGUGAAAUUAAUUCAAUGUUUUUUUUUUUUGAUUUUCCACCCGGUGUCCGGAGCUCACAUUGGAGCUUCGACUAAAUCCGGAUUGCGCUCUGCAGGGUCCAUUCGGGGGUGGCGCUUCCAACAGGAUUUUCUCCAUACCCAGGGCUCGAAUCCGAGACCUCUGGUUAAGGGUGAAACACUCCCACCAAUGCACCACAACCCAUGUUGGUUAAUUCAAUGUUAAUUGUAUGUACUAUGGACGAACCCUAAAUUACAUAAACUGAAACAAAUGAUUAUACAAUAAAUUAUUUUAGUGCUAAAAACAGCGUAAAAAAUUGAGGGAUAUCGUAUCUUUUUGACCUAAAAGAUAUUUGAAUACAUCACCAUUGAAGAUAGAUACCAACAGGCUAACAACCAAGUUAUUUUCAUUUUUGUCAUGUAAUCUUAGCUAGUUAAAGGCCAAAAAUGAAUAUUAAUGUCUUGAAGGGACCGCAUGUGUUACUAUCCCAUAACUAAAACGUGCCAAACAAAUAUGUCAAAUUAUUUGGAGUCCGGAGCCAAAUGGACAAAAAAAAUUGUCAAAAAUUUCAAAAGGUCAACAAAAUUGAUUUUAGAACCAAAAGGGCAAACAUUGCAACACCCAAACUAACGCUGUUGAAAUCAGGGUACAGUUUACAAAGCGUAGCCGUCUUGAGUCCUACAAGGCGCUGAGAGCUUGCGCCUUGUGAGGCGCAUCGAGUGUGCGCUUCUCCUUAAAUUGAAAAAAAAAGAAAUGCAUUUUCAUUUGGGGANNNNNNNNNNNNNNNNNNNNNNNNNNNNNNNNNNNNNNNNNNNNNNNNNNNNNNNNNNNNNNNNNNNNNNNNNNNNNNNNNNNNNNNNNNNNNNNNNNNNNNNNNNNAAGUGCAGUAUCAGUACACAAAUCACAGUGUACUGAUAGGAUCACGCGGCUAUUCCAAUAGGGAAAUACAAGCAAGUAGUUACAACAUAGUAAACAUACAUAUACAUAUUGUAUCAUUCAAUUAUCAUUUAGGAACAACAUACAAUUUCCCGAUAUCAAUGAUAGGUAAACAUGAACGUAAUAAUCACUAGUGGUCCUCUCAUGGAACCCACGCCCAAAUUGUUAGUGUGUCGGAACGUGACACCCGCUACAAUAUACAUGUGUCGGAACGUGAAAUCCGGUUCAAUAUAUAUUUCGGAACGUGAUACCCAAUCCAUUGUAUGUGUCGAAACUUGACACCCGAUCUAGUCAGCACAACCGCAAUCACAAUCACCCAUAAUGAACAGUGCACAUAGUCACACAGUCAAGUAACAAGUUCAUGGCAUGCAUGUAAUGGUUCGCACAUAAUCAUUUCAUUAGAUUUGAUUCACAUUUUCCAAUUCACAUACAUGCAUGCAUACAAUGAAGCAAUUAGCCGGCAUAUAUCACACAAACAGGAAAUUGAAUCAUCACCUACCUUGAAAUCAAGCCUGAAUACUCCUAAGACAUGUGUGCCUUCCCUUUCCGAGUCUUUCAGCUCGUUCUUGAUCUAAAACAAGCAAUUAAUGCAAGGAUCACUAAACAAUGUCUAAUUUACUCGGAUAAUAACAAAAUUAUUAACCCAAGACCAAACGGAUGAUCCUAAUGUUCAACCAGGGCUUUUCCCCACCAUUAACUUCAGGCCAACCCCCCCUCCCCUCAACGAUGAUUACCCAAGAUUCUAAGUUCUAAGAAUCGAAAUACGGAUUAGGGGAGUAAUAAUCUUACCUUUAGCGCUAGAAAUCGUGGAAAACUGUCAAGAAACUGCCCUGGUUGUCCCUUAGCUCUCAAGAACGAAGUUUGCAGAAAAAUAACGAAUUUGGGGUUUUUCUCCGACUUAAUUCGCGACUAGCCCGCCAUGGCAGACCCCAUCCCACCACAGUGUCCCCACCCUGACGGGAAUAAUCCUGUCCCCGUGGCUUUCACAGAGAUAGAAGUUCAAAAUUUGAGUACCAAGCUCCUAUUUCACAACACACAUUUAAACCUGGAUGUUUUAAAACUACCAUUUCACGCCAAGAUCAGUUUCAGGAGUUCUACUCACCCGAAUUCGAUUCUGUAGAGUCGUACAUGCUCCUUAACAUCUUGGCUAUCCACUCAUGUGAUCCAAUUAUUAAUUAAAUCCACAUUCAUUACCAGAUUUCCCUAGACCUCACCUGACUCGAAUUUCGUCCAAGUCUGGCCUAGGGUAGAAAUUUCCAAGUCACUACUCAGAAGUUUUCUGGCCCAAAUUCUUUCCUCAUUGGCUUUUCAAUAACGACAGAAAUAGGUCAUUACACAAGGCAAUGAUUUUUUUUUAAUUUACAGCCAAGUCAUGAAUUUCCUGCGCCUUACAAGGCGCAAGUCGUCUGCAUCUUGUAAGACGCAAGGCGGCUGCGCCUUGUAAGGCGCAUUGCGGCUGCUCCCUAAUUUGGACGACGUUAAUUUGAUCGUUACAAAGUUGUCCUUUUGGUUCUAAGAUUAAUUUUGUUGUCCUUUUGAAUGUUUUGACAACUUUUCUUGCCCUUUCGGCUCCGGACUCCCCUCCUAUGUCUCCUAGGGGUGGGUGGGCAAAUUAAUUUAUUUUAGAACAUUAUUUUAUUUUGUUUAUUAAAUAGACUUUAAAAUAUAUAUUUUUAAUUAGGUGUUUGUUAUAUCAUCAACAAAUGUAUUAAACUCUUCUUUAAGGUUUUUGCUGGUUGUCAAAAAGGUGACAAAAUUAUAUAACAAAAUCCUACUACAAAUAUUUAAAAUGGACAAAAUCUACCGAAGGUUUAUAUGUGUGUGGAUUAUAUAGAUUACCCAAUCCGUUUAUUCGCAUCCUAAAUUGGACUGCACCAAUAUAAAAAUAUCACUUUCAUAUUGAUUAAUGUAUUUAUUGCUCCAUAUAUUAUUGGCCUAAAUGAUACUAAUGUAAUUGUCCAUAACUAAAACAUGCCAAUGAAGUAGGAUUUGAAAAAAAGAAACGUAGUUGUCAUGCAAGCAAAUCAAUUUGCUAUGUACCCUUUUAUUAUUUUUCCAGCUAUCAAGAAUGCAAGGCUAGAUUUGAGAAUUUCAACAAAAUAUUAAUAAAAUAAUAUAUCCUCCAUGCCCUAACAAGUAGGGAUAUUGGAAAAUUGUUGUACAAAUAAAUUUCUACAACAAUAAACAAUGAGACUUCUACGUCAAUUCAAUAUACAAUAAAAUUCACUUCUAGUCAAACCAACAUACAAUACACAUUUGCAUCCAUUACAAUAGUGUUUCUUAUUUUUUAAAGAUUUCCCCCUUUGAACCAAAUUUAAGUCUACUGGGCAUGACUAAUCAAAAUUAAUAUGCAAUUGAUUAAACAUCUUAUCAAUGAAAUUCACAUCACGUAAUCAAUAACAAUGCAUAUUAUAACUUGGACUUAGUCGUAACUCCAAUGCAAACAGAUCAAUAAUGAAUAGUACUAAUGUCGUGACGGUACCAUAAGUAAUAGGUAGCACUUAUUAAUUACUAAAACUAAUUUGUUUGAAAGCAGAAAUUAAUAAAUAAAGAACCUAGCUUUUUUAUUCAUCAUAAGCAUUAAUUAAUAUUACAUAGAGUGGAAUAGAAGCAUGAUCCACAUUAUUUUAGAAAAGCGAUCGAGCUAGGUUAUAAUAUAAUAAGCAUAGAUAAUUAACUAACUAUGCAUCAUUCUUCUUUACUUUGCUAAAGCCAAAGGGAUAAGGCUUGUUAUUGAGAGCCAGACGGGUGUAUCCCCUAUCUUCGUACAAUCCGACAUCUGCACAAUCAAAUUGGCAUGUUGGACACAUAUAUUUACUAGGACAAUACCUUAACUUGUAAGAAUGAGGUCUCCCAUCCUUAAACCUAAUUUAAGUCUACUGGGCAUGUCUAAUCAAAAUUAAUAUGCAAUUGAUUAAACAUAAAAGGAUCUUAUCCAUGAAAUCCACAUCACGUAAUCAAUAACAAUGCAUAUUAUAACUUGGACUUAGUCGUAACUCCAAUGCAAACAGAUCAAUAAUGAAUAGUACUAAUGUCGUGACGGUACCAUAAGUAAUAGCUAAUAUUGUGACGGUACCGGAUAUGGAAUUAUCCAUAAGUAAUACGUAGCACUUAUUAAUUACUAAAACUUAUUUGUUUGAAAGCAGAAAUUAAUAAAUAAAGAACCUAGCUUUUUUAUUCAUCAUAAGCAUUAAUAUUACAUAGAAGUAUGAUCCACAUUAUUUUAGAAAGCUAGGUUAUAAUAAGCAUAGAUAAUUAACUAACUAUGCAUCAUUCUUCUUUACUUUGCUAAAGCCAAAGGGAUAAGGCAUGUUAUUGAGAGCCAGACGGGUGUAUUCCAUAUCUUUGUACAAUCCGACAUCUGCACAAUCAAAUUGGCAUGUUGGACACAUAUAUUGACUAGGACAAUACCUUAACUUGUAAGAAUGAGGACUCUCCGUCUCAUAUUUCUCAAUUUUGAACCAGUUGUUUAAGGUAUUAGGUCCUGGAAUUCCUAAGGUACCACCAGUUAUAACAAACCUAGGUGGUGGAUGCACCGGCCCUAGAAAGUAAUAACCAGCUUUCCAAACAGUUUCGUUAAAACAUGACUUAGUUGAAGAAGAAGUUGAGAACAUUAUACUAACAUCUUGGUUUUCAUAAACGAAAUGAUCUCUUCCAAGUUGCAUAGUAUAAAACAACACGGGUGUGCUGUGAUCAAAAUCACCAGACCUGUCCUUCACAACGUCAUUUGGGCAUUCGGUAAGGUUAUCAAUAUCAGCUAAGUAUACGCUUCCACCUCCCGGGAGAACACUCAGAAUGGAGUACUCCUCGUUUAUCUUGAGUGGUUCGCCGUCCAUGUCCAGCACGUGAGGGAAUACAAUAUUCCCAUUAUUAUCAGAAAUGGAAAAUUCAUGAGAAAAGGCAACCAAACUUGAAACCAAUAUAUUACUAAUACUCUUCUUCAUCUUUAAUUUGUUUNNNNNNNNNNNNNNNNNNNNNNNNNNNNNNNNNNNNNNNNNNNNNNNNNNNNNNNNNNNNNNNNNNNNNNNNNNNNNNNNNNNNNNNNNNNNNNNNNNNNNNNNNNNNNNNNNNNNNNNNNNNNNNNNNNNNNNNNNNNNNNNNNNNNNNNNNNNNNNNNNNNNNNNNNNNUAAAGUUCCCAGUUUUAUUUUCUCAAUUUUUAUUGUAGUAAAAAAGUUGAGAAAUUAACAUUGUCAAUUUAAUUUUUGUAGUUAAGAAAUUUUAUGAUUUCGUGGAUAGUCAUAAGUUCGAACUUUUGUAGCUAUUGCUAGAUAUUAGCCCUGACUAGCUUUUAAAUUCAUAGCUAAAAUUUAGUAGUAAAGUUCCCAGUUUUAUUUUCUCAAUUUUUAUUGUAGUAAAAAAGUUGAGAAAUUAACAUUGUCAAUUUAAUUUUUGUAGUUAAGAAAUUUUAUGAUUUCGUGGAUAGUCAUAAGUUCGAACUUUUGUAGCUAUUGCUAGAUAUUAGCCCUGACUAGCUUUUAAAUUCAUAGCUAAAAUUUAGUAGUAAAGUUCCCAGUUUUAUUUUCUCAAUUUUUAUUGUAGUAAAAAAGUUGAGAAAUUAACAUUGUCAAUUUAAUUUUUGUAGUUAAGAAAUUUUAUGAUUUCGUGGAUAGUCAUAAGUUCGAACUUUUGUAGCUAUUGCUAGAUAUUAGCCCUGACUAGCUUUUAAAUUCAUAGCUAAAAUUUAGUAGUAAAGUUCCCAGUUUUAUUUUCUCAACUUCAAUUAUAUAGUAAUAAAGUUGAGAAAUAACGGUCACAUUAAUUUUUAUAGCUAAGAAAGUUAAUGAAAUUGUGGAUAGUCAUGAAACUCGAAUUUUUGUAGCUUUUACAAGACCAUCCUUAGAAGUGUUUUUUUAUUAAAUUUGAAAGAACUUAAAAUAAGUUAUUCAAACAUAUUCUAACUUGUAAUAUUUUAAUUUAUGAUGCUUACAAUUAAAUUCUAACUUAUAAUAUUUUAAUUUAUACAUCAUAAGUUAAAGCUAAAUUUUUUGGAAACUGUAAUAUUUUAUUACCAGAUUUGCAAUAUGUACAAAAUUGGAAACUCCGGAUGUGGACAGUUUCCACUCUCAGAGUCCAUCUAAUUCAAAAGAGUUCCUCCUUGCUAGUACUAUUCUAAGGAUAGAAGUUUAGCUUUUGCGUAAAACCUAUAAAAAGUUAAAGCUAAAUUAAAUAGGCUCUUGGUUAACUAUAUACUAGUAAAAGGUGUCCGUGCUAGCACGGGUUCAAUAUCUUAAUAUUUUUUAUUCUAAUAGACUUCUUCAUCUUUGAUCUUUGUUUGUGUGUUUUACUUGCUACGAGUCUAUCUCCAAUUUAUAGACCUGCUAAGGGCAUUUUUGACAAACAAAAAAUGACCUUUUAUUUUAGGUUAUAAUAACCUAAAGAAAAGUAACAUAUUUUUUUUUAAUUUAAAAGUAAGGACUAUAUAUAUACUGUGUUGUAACGUCUAAAUUGGAUCAGACCACCAAUAUGAAUAGUAUUGAGCAAAUUUUAUCUUGAUAUUUUAAUUAUAUAUUCACCGUUCAAUAUAUAUAUAUAUUAACUCCAACCACCAAGGAUACAAGUUUCCUAAAUGGUGGAGGAUUGGACAUAGAUCCCUACCAUGUAUAUUACUAAGCAAUAACACCGUUCAAUAUAGAUAACAGGCUAACAACCACAAAUGAAUAUUAAUGUCCCAGCGAAACCGCACAUGCAUGAGAUUAUCCCAUGACUGAGGGUGUGUUUGGUAGGGAGGAAAAGACCUGUAGGAAUGUUGGUAAAAAAAGGGUGCAGAAAUAAAAUAAAAAAGAUGUUUUGCCAAGAAAAAAAAAUGCGAAUGAAGAACAAACUAAAACUUGAGAAAAUGGAAGAGUGAGAGAAAAAAUGUGACAACGAAAAGGACCCACAAAUACACUUGUCAAAAAGAGAUUGUUCCCACAUACAACUAAUCUUCAUAUUUUAAUUAUAUAUUUAUAUUCACCAUUCAAUACCGACAACAGGCUAACGAUAACCACAAAUAAUGAAUAUUCGGGACCCAUGAGAUUAUCCCAUAACUAAAACGUGUCAAUGAAGUACAAUGACAAAUUUUACUUUAUGUGGGUUUUCUUCAAAAAAAACAAAAAAUCCAUUCUCUUCCGGCCCGUUUGACCAUGCGAUAUGAAAUCAUGAUAUGGUAUCAUAAUAUGGAAUCAUGAGAUGAAAUUGAAGUUUUAUUUGGACAUGCGAUAUGAAAUUUUUGUUUUAUAUAUUUUCUCAUACUCAUAAGAAUCUAUAAGUUGUAAAACUAUUAAAAUAGCCCAAAUUGUUUAUGCAAUCUUAGCAAAUAAACAAAAUUUUAUAAAAUUGCAUAAUAAAUUAUUAUAAAGCUAUUUGUUUCCCACUUAAGUAACUAUUAUAUCACUUUAAUUCAAUUAAAAAAAAUUGAACAUAAAUUGUAGUGAACAAGUCUUUAAUAUAAUCCUCCCACAUAAUACAGACAAUCUCCUCACGUUGAACUUGCAUUUCUCGAUCAUGUGAUCGAGAAGACAAACCAGCAUUGUUACUUUGAGCCAUUUUUUGGUCAAUAUCAUCUCAACUAUAUUUUCAUCAUCAUAGACCAUAAAUAUUUCAUUACUCCUUUUCACAAAUAAUUAUGUAACACUGCACAACCUAUGACAAUUUUCACUUGUGUGUCAAUAUCAUAAUGAUUCAUGCCUUGUUUCAGUAUCUUGAAUCUAUUUUUCAAGCUCCAAAAGUCUGUGGGGUUGUUUUAACAAAAUAUAAACUUGUGAAUCAAUUUUUGUGUUGGUGUCAAUAUCAUAAUGAUUCAUGCCUUGUUUCAGUAUCUUGAAUCUAUUUUUCAAGCUCCAAAAGUCUGUGGGGUUGUUUUAACAAAAUAUAAACUUGUGAAUCAAUUUUUGUGUUGAAAAAAUCUCAAAUCAUGAUAUGGAAUUCCCAUAUAAUUCCAUAUCAUGAUUUUUGGUGAAUAUGGUAUUCCAUCAGCGUAAAAUCGCAUGUCUAAACGUUGAUUCCAUCUCACGAUUUCAUAACGUGAUAUGGUAUCGCAUGGCCAAAUGCCUACUUAUUAAUUGAGAGGGAGUUUGCGUUGCACGAGAUUUGUUUAUGUAUUUUAUAGAAAAAAAGGGUAAAAAAUAUCCUUUAAUUUUGAUUUACUAGUUGAUUAUGUCAUUACCGUUAAAAUGAAGUUAUCUCUGUCGUUAUUAAUUUCAUCAUUUAUGUCCUUCAAUUGGAUGGAAAUCCCAAAUCAUUUAAAAUUGCCUAAUUUAACUUAAAUUAUCCAAUUUUAACCCGACCCGACCCACCUAAUAAUAUAACCCAUUUUGUUCAUCUUCAUUUCUGUACCCUCCCCUUUUUCUCAAUUUCCUCCUCCACGCCGGAAAUCACGAAACCCCCUAUCUCUUCCGACCUCUUUCACCACCAUACAACACUCAACCAGUCACCGUAAACCACUUGGAUAUAAUGUAUUUUGCAAAUUAUAUCUAAUUUUUAUCUCAUAUAUUUCGGUAUCCUGAGAUACAUGUAGUUGGAUGCAUCAAAAUUUAGUAAGAUUCGUAAAUAAGCAAAUUAAAAUAUAUCUAACUAAUUAGCUCCUAAACUAGUGAGAUUUAUGUAAGUUUCUUAUUAUUUAAUUGUAUGCUUGAUUAUGAAUAUUAGUAUUAAAAUUUCACAUUUUUACUAAAUUGGCGGGAUUAACUAUCCAUAAAAAAGAUAUGAUAGCUAAUUCCAAGAAAUAUGAUCCCUGUCUAUCUCAUCUCACCAACCAAACAAUCCCAUAAUGUUUUACAACUGUUUUUAACCAAGAAAGAAGUAUUGAAUGCAUUCCCUCUAUUUGACUAACUAGUAUUAACUAAUACUCAUUUUAAGUUUACUUUAAAGAACCACUUUCAUAUAUGAAAUGGUUUAUUAUCUUGAUUUAUAAAGAUUAAAUUUUUUUGAUGUUUUACUUUGGUAAAUACAUAAGGGUUUUAAAAUAGUAAAUGGGAGGUGGGGCUUCUUAAAAGGUUGAAUCCAUCAAUAGCCUCUUAAGAUUGACCCGAAAUUUUCACUUAGACACCUUAAAUAAGUUUUAUUCAUUUUAAAUACCUAAUAUCAAGCUAUCAUAUUAUGUCACUUUAACACCAUUUUUUUUUACAAUCAACAAAAAUAAAUAUGUAAUAUGAGUUACACUGAAUAACAUGUAAAGUAUCAAAUUAAAUAAAAAUAUUUAUUAUUUGUCUCCAAAAUAAUUCUUAAAUAAUAAGUUUUGAGUAAAAAUAAAAAAAUCAAUUUGUAGGAUUUAUUAUUUAAUUUGGCUUCAACUAGAGUAAUUGGUAAAAUUAAUAAAUAUUACCUGAGAAUAUUGUCCAUUGUUCUUAAAGGACUCUUGAAACUUGACAUCAGGUGGAGAACCAUUCAUGAGAUUAUUGCACUAAUAAAAUUAAGUUGCAACACCUAAUUUUACUUACCAUAAUUAUUAAGAGUAAAAUUUACCUGCAUAUGAUGUAUAUACCAAUCUAAUAUAUACAUAUCAUGUGUUUGAAUUUAUGGUUCAUUUUAUCUAACCUUAAUUAAAUAAGAUUUGUUUUACUUCAUUUUAAUAAUUUAUAUUCACCAUUGAAUAUAAAUAACAGGCUAACAAUUCCAAAAAUUGAUAUUAAUGUGCUAGGAUCGCACGGAGUUAUCAUUAUCCCACAAGUAAAAUAUGUCAAUAAAGUACGAUCGAGAUUUAUACCACUAAUUAUUUUGGUACCAAUCAAGAAUGGAUCUUAAAAAUAAUGGCAAAUCACUAUUAUGCAAAAUGAUUUUUUUAGAUUAUUUUUUUUGACAAAUUAAUGAUUGAAGGAUAGGGUUUGCGUUAUAUGAUAUAUAAAACUUAGUUUUGAAUUUGAGUAAAUUGAGUGUUGAAACUCAAAGAAUAAUUGGGCAAAAUAAAAAAUAAAAAUUGCACUUCAAACACAUAUAACUGAGGUUUUAAUCAAUUUUUAUACACUUCAAUCAAUCAUAUGUACAUUAAAUAAAAAAUAAAAAUAAUGUUAAAUGAGCUUGUUAAAUUUAUUGUUAUUUUGAUAAAUUGAUGAUUUGAGUUUGUUUCAUACGAUUAUAAACCUUAUAAUUUAAAUUCAAACAUAUCUGAAUCAGAUUUGAGUAUUAAAUCAAUUGUUUGGAAGUAGAAACUAAUAAAUAAAGAACCUUGAUUUUUCUUAUUCAUAAUCACAUUAAUAUUACAUCGAGUGGAAUAUAAGCGAUAGAGCACCACAUUGCUACUUGCACUCUGUUUGGAUCAUUGUUAACCAUUGUAUUGUAUUAUAUUGUUACUAUACCUACAAUGUUUGUUUUGAUUGUUACUUAAACUGUAUUGUAUUGUACUGUUAAAUUUCGUUGUUACAUAACAAUGAAAACCCCUAUUUUAUGGAACAACCGAUUUGGUGUGUUCCCAUCGUUACUUAAUUUCUUUUUCCAAUUAUAUCUUUACAUAAUAUUUCAAAAUACUAUUUUACCCUUUACCUUAUAUUAUUUAAUUCUAGUCAAACCUCCUACCCUAGAAUAAUUAAGGAUAUUUUAGUAAAUUUAUAAAUCCUAUCCUAGAAUAAUUAAGGAUAUUUUAGUAAAUUUAUAAAUUACAAUACAGUAUGAUACAAUCAAACCAAACAAUUAAAAUGUUAUUAAACAACAACAAACAAUACGAUCUAGCCAAACAUUGUAUCUACCAUACAAUACAUUACAAUAGAGUACAAUACAAUACAAUAUAUUAUGAAACAAUGGGUAACAAUGAUCCAAACACAGUGUUAGUGGCAUGGGUUCAUUUGCACGUUUUUGUUACAUGAAUAAUAGUAUCUAUUGUCCUUCAAUGUGUGAGACAUAUAAUUAGUAUAGAGACUUGCUAUUUUAACAAAUAAUUAAAAGGUAAGGUUGGUAGACGUUAGCAGAGUAAAUUUCAUCCAAUUUUGUGUUCAUUACCUAAAGUCAUCAUGUAGGAGGUACGUUCAAAAUAAUUAUUCUUUUAAAAGUGAUCAUAUUUUAUCUUAAUCAAAUACAACUUUAACUCCAAUUUUAAAUUUUUGUAAAUAAUACUUCCUCCAUCCAUUUUUAGUUGUUAUGUUGCACUUUUCAAAAAUUAAUUUGAAUUAUUUUCAAAGUUAAAUAGAUUACAUUGAACAUAUUUUAAAUUAAAAAUUUAGAUAUUCAAAAACUAUACGAAAAGUACUAUAAAUUGCAAUUUUUUGCAUAUCAAUCUGAUAAAAAAAAUACAUCGUAAAAUAUUAGUCAAAGUUCUUAUCAUUUAACUCUAAAAAAGAAAACCAUGACAACUAAACAAAGAUGGAGUGAAUAUAAAUAUAUUUAAUUUAACAAACGAAUAAAGAUGAACUUAUAUGCUUUGAUUAUAAAAGUAGUCUAACAUUAUUUGUUUGUAAAAUUUGGAUGCAGUUAAACAUGGUUAUUAAAGAAUCACUUCGACUGUAAUUUAUUAAACGAAUGGCUUGUGAAUAUAUGAUUUGUUAAACACUUUAAUUUAUUAAAAAAAAAUUAUUAUUUUUCGAAAGAAGUACUUUUGAUCUUUUAACAACAAUGCGGCUUUUAUCCAUGGUUAUAGUUAGACGGUUUAGGUUCUCUAUAGAAAAGUUAAAUGUAUGGAACAAAUCAAAUUUAAAUUAAACCUAUUAUUUAGCGAUUGAGACGUAAAAAAUUUUUAUAUGUACAUUGUGAAUCACACAUACUCAAUGAUCCCGUAAAUCUUAAUGAUAAUUUGGAUAAAAGCCACCUAGCUGCUUAGAGGUUUAAUGAUAUAUUUUGGAUGCAUUUGAUAUUCUCUCUAAACACCUUAUCUCUAUUCCCACUUUCUAUAGUUUUCAUCUUCACCAUCCUACACUUUUACUAAUAUUCAUGAUAUGUCUUUUAAUAUUACUUGUUUAAAUUAUAUAGGGAAAAUGCAUAAGUACCCCCAACCUAUGCUCGAAAUCCCAGAGACACUUAUACUAUACUAAGGUCCUAUUACCCUCCCCCCCCCCUCCUAACUUAUUUUAUAAAUAAUUUUCUACCCCUUUUCGGCCUAUGUGGCACUAUCAACCAGAUAGCUUGAAAAAAUUGUCAACACGCGUUGGGCCCAGAAGAUAGUGCCACGUAGGCCAAAAAGGGGUAGAAAAUUAUUUAAUAUAUAUGAUGUAUGUAAUUUUUUAAAUUGUUCAAAGGGUAAAGGGUCAAAUAUGCCCCUAAACUAUUCAAAAAGGUCCAGUUAUACCCUCUGUUUAAAGUUUGGCUCACUCAUGCCCUCGUCGUCCAACUUUUCGUCUAAAUAUGCCCUUAUGGGCGUUAGUUGGCAUGCUGGACAUAUCCAGCUCAUUUUCCAUUUCUUUAACUACCACAUGGAAUUGCCAUGUCAUUUUGACUUUACCACAUGACAUUUAUAUAAAAAUGGAAAGGGAUCAAUUAUGCUCCUAAAAAAUUCGAACCCAUUAACACCUAAUCCGACCCAUAAAUCAACCCCCCCCCCCUCUUUUAAAUAAACUACCCGACCCGUUUUCAACAAUUUUGUUUAAAUUUUUAUUUUUUUCGGUAAAUCCUGAAAAUUAGUAAUUGAUAAUAAAAAAUAGGAAAAAUAUAAAAUUAACACCAAAAAUUCACAAAUAAAUAUUGUAACCUUAAAUUCAACAAUUUUUAAAAUUUUGUUUUUUUUUGGUACAUUCCAAAAAUGAGUAAUUGAUUAAUAAAAAAUAUGAAAAAUAUGAAAAAAAAAAAUAAAAUUAACGCCAAAAAAUCACAAAUAAAUAUUGUAACCUUAAAUUCAAAAAUUUCAACAAUUUUUUUUAAUUUUUAUUUUUUUUAAUAAAAUACUCAUUUUCGGAAUUUGUNNNNNNNNNNNNNNNNNNNNNNNNNNNNNNNNNNNNNNNNNNNNNNNNNNNNNNNNNNNNNNNNNNNNNNNNNNNNNNNNNNNNNNNNNNNNNNNNNNNNNNNNNNNNNNNNNNNNNNNNNNNNNNNNNNNNNNNNNNNNNNNNNNNNNNNNNNNNNNNNNNNNNNNNNNNNNNNNNNNNNNNNNNNNNNNNNNNNNNNNNNNNNNNNNNNNNNNNNNNNNNNNNNNNNNNNNNNNNNNNNNNNNNNNNNNNNNNNNNNNNNNNNNNNNNNNNNNNNNNNNNNNNNNNNNUAUUUUUUUCAUAUUUUUCCUAUUUUUUAUUAAUCAAUUACUAAUUUUCGAGAUUUAUCAAAAAAACAAAAAUUUAAACAAAAUUGUUGAAAACAAGUCGGGUAGUUUAUUUAAAAGGGGGGUUGAUUUAUGGGUCGGAUUAGGUGUUUAUGGGUUUGAAUUUUUUUAGGGGCAUAAUUGAUCCCUUUCCAUUUUUCAUAUAAAUGUCAUGUGGUAAAGUCAAAAUGGCAUGGCAAUUCCAUGUGACAUUUAAAGAAAUGAAAAAUGAGUUGGAUAUGUCCAGCAGACCAACUAACGCCCAUAAGGGCAGAUUUAGACGAAAAGUUGGAUGGCGAGGGCAUGAGUGAGCCAAACUUUAAACGGAGGGUAUAUCUAGACCUUUCCGAAUAGUUUAGGGGCAAUUUGACCCUUUACCCUUGUUCAAAAUACAAAUAAUUAGAAAACCACGCAAAUAUAUAUAUAUAUAUAUAUAUAUAUAAUACAUUCAAUUAAAAUCACAAACGUCAUAUACAAAUAAACGACUCACAUUUCAAAUUGUAUUGAUUUGUAUUGGAUUUAUUUAGUAACAAAACUCUCUCUAAAUAAUUUGUAAGCUAAUUUAUUUAAAUAAAUUUACUAGUACAAACAUAAAUCAUAAAAUCAAGAAAAUAAACAAAAUAAUUAAAAUAGAUUUGAGGGAUAUUUUUGUUCUUUACAUAGACUUAUCCCAUGGUAUUAUAUCCUAUAAUACCAUGUAGGAGGUAUAACUAAUCCAUGGAUUAGUUAUACAUAGGCUCAAAAUCCUACCAAAUAUAGUACUAAAUAAUACCUUACAUAAUACAUGGACUAUUUCUUCUAAUGUGGCCUACCAAACGACCCCUAAAAGGAUUACACAGCUAAAGACAUAAAAUUUACAUUAAAAAAUGCAAAUUCAUGAAGUUUGGGAGGUGGGGGUUAAUGUUUCAAUUAUUAAUUAAUUCUAUUUUAAUUCACUCAAUUUACUCCAUGCACUACAAAAAAUACGGGUUUUAGCAACACGUAAAACCGUGGCUAACACGACUUUGCCAUAGUCAUUUAGCCACCGUGGCUAUAACGGGUGCCACCAACAAAUUUGCCACGGUUUAGGCGACCGUGGUAACAUUUUGUUAGCCACGAUUUGAUGUGAAAAUAGUCACGGUUGAUCGUGGCGAAAUAUCACCAAUGAAAAUGUUCAUAAUAUAUAUUUACCAUGGUUGAACCGUGGCUAAAUACACUUUUUUAAUUAAAAAAAAAUUUCAAUUAUUUCCCAGCAAUACCCUGCAACCAAUGCAUUAUUUGAUAGGCAUCCACUAAUACACUGACCAUAAUACACAAAUCCUAUGCUCAAGAUGGUAUUUUUUAUUAACUGGACACAUAUCAAUUCAACGAGAAUCUAAGGUGCUUAUUGAAGGAACUAAAUAUACAUUGGCAUCCAUAAAUAUUUGAAGUGCCAAGGCAUAUGGUAUCUCUUUCAGGGUCUGUUUUCCUUCAUUUGCCUUAAGCUCAACAAUUCUCCUAAAAGAUUCGAAAGUAACGAUGCAAUAAGUUAGACCUCACAACAGUGAUAAACCUCAAUCAUACAACGCAUGUUAGAUUCCUUAUUUAUGCCAACAAUUAGAUAAACUAAUUUAAAUAGAUAGUUUUUUCCAAGGGAAACUCUUUAUUAACUGAAUAUGAUGUUUCAUUUGUCAUAUCCAAGUGGAUACAUGGAUUACAAAGAAAAUGGGAUUACAUAGGUCAAUCAAUGUUGAGGUGCCUCUUAAUUUAAAAAAUCAGCUGCAGCAGGAUGUAGACACACAUUUACAAAAUUGAAUAAUUGCACAUUAAAGGCAUAAAAUUUGUAGGCUAUCAUAUACGAUGAAAACAUAUGUCAAACGAACAAAGAAAUAUCAGCAAGAACCCAGUACAUACUCAACAAAUUCCACAGAGAAAUCCAAGAUCAACAGUUUGACAAAUGUCAAGAGGUAGUAUCAGAUAUACAUUUAGAAUAAAGGAGAAAAAAAGAUAUGAGUAGGCAUACAUCUUUAUUUUUUUUAAUAAGAUAGGCAUACAUCAAUUUUUCUCAAUUUGGACGGAGAGGGCACUUUCUGUUCUCAUCAGUCCCAUCAAAUGAGUGGAAGAUAUUGGUAAAAUCAUUCCGGAGGGCUGAAAUUUUAGUUAUGUUUAUUGUUAUCAAAGGUUAAAAGCACCAAAAGAAUAGUUGUUUUGUGAGAUGCCAAACAAUAUGCAACACAAUUGAUAAGCAUUGUACCUUGAAGAAAUCAUAUACAUGAUACUUGAACACCGAAUGAUAUGAUGAGUAACGAUCUGUAACAAAUUCUUUUAGCUGAAAUUAAGCUCCCAAGAACUACAAACCAGCAAAUAAAACAGAUUAGGAUUAUAGGAGAGCACACACAAUCAGUUCAUAUGUUAGAGACAUAACACAUAUUUUCAAAACAAGUAAGAUGAGAGAAUUACAAGUAAAACAAAGUGAAAAAAAGUUAAAUCCACCAAAUAUUUAGUGAAUAAGGAAAGCAACCUUGUAAUCAUAUGUGUUUUAGAUAAGCAUGAUUAGAGAAAUAUGCAAAAAAAAUUGAUAAUGUAUUUUUAGGAGAUUUAUUGCAGGCAUGAACCACAAUUGCAAUAACAUUGCAUUUCAAGGAAAAGUUUUGCUUAAAAUACCUUCAACCAACCUUUAACUAAAUGAUGGGAACAAGUAGAAGGAUGAUCUAGUCAUGAAACAAGAAUAAAAGAAAAGAGAGAAAAAUACUUUUAGAAUAACUAUAGAAUCGGCACUAUAAUAUACUACUCCCUCUGUUUUUAUUUUAUGUAACUUAGUUUGACGGGCCACAAAGUUAAAGGUGUGUAUAACAUAUCAAAAGUACCCUAUGAAUCUUAUGGUCUUAAAUAACCAGAAAGCUCUAGUGACCAAUUCUAAGAAUUGACAACAUCAAUGGUACUUAGAUAAUGUUCUUAGAGAUUAUACAUUUUCAAGGUGACUGCUAAAACAAAAUAUAAUCAUGAGGCAGAACACUAGAGCAAUCAAGUGGUAUACUCCCAAAUUCAUCUCAUUGUUUUAACAAGUAGAUUUGAUCAAAAGGCUCAAAUUUAAGCUUCAAAGUAUCCAACAAGAUGUUAAAUGCUAAGAACUUGUUUUCAUCUUCAUUUCCACAAACAUGAGCUCACACUUCACAGACAUACACAAACAAAAAAAAUGCAAUAUAAGUCCAUAGAGCCAAAUCAAAAUAAUCAUAUCUGGGCUAGAUUUCAUAUUUACUCAACUUGCUUAUUGAGAAGCAAUAUACUACGUGAAACAAAAUAAAAACAAAGAACUAUAAUCGAGGAUGAAACAUGGGAACAACAUGACACUUAACACAAAUGCAAUUCAAUAGUCGUACCAAUUCAAGAUAUUGUUGGAAAAUGGUCAUGCUGUGUAAAUACAGGGAAAAUGCUUCUCACUCAAUUCCUGUUAUAUUGUUAUAAGAUAUACACAUUUUUUUAUCCUUAUGUAUUCAAGUGUCACAUUGAUAAUUUACACUAUUGCAUCGUAGGAUGCAAUUCAUAUCAAAUGAGGAAACAAACCUAAACAAAUAUGUCCAGUGCUUAAAUGUGAGGAUGCGAUGGAGCUGGAGGGAUGAAAACAACCUAUCAAGUCAACAGAUAAAAUGCUAUACUGAAGAUAAAAUAAACUUUUAAAGAAAAGAAUACUAUAGAUAGGCAAGCUAAUGUUUUAUACGAUUAAAUCAUUCUAGACAUAAAACAAGAAGUUAGGUCAACGAAAAAACACAUAUAUAUUAAUGUAUUUCAUAAUUUUCUGAAGUGUUUCCCAAAAGACAAUCGUACAUUAUACAACCAAUACUAGUGGUGUCACCUACUCAAUAGACCGAGAAAUAUGAGGCUCUAAAACUCUUAAUUAUAUUCAAAGUCUUCCUAUACUUGGCAAGCUGAUUUUCAAUAAACAUUGAACAAUUAACAUUUAUUUACCUUAGUGGAGCUUGAGAAACCAAUCUCCUUUACGGUAUUUUUAGAGAAUCAUAACAGAGCUUCAGAACUGGACCCAAGUCAUAACAGAGCAAAAGUUGAAAAUUAACAAUCAAGAAACCUAAAUUAGUAAAAAUAUUCAAAAAAAAAAAACAUGCAGAAAUUUGAACAAUAAAACAUCAAAAGUUAUAGAAAUUUUAGAGAUUACAAAACAUUAAUUUUCUUUUGUAUUCAUGCAUGGGUUGGGGUGAAAGGGGGAAUUUGGGUUACCAAACAGUUUCUUUACUCGAGAUUUUUCAAAUUUUUGUACUAAAAAAACCUCAAAGAAACCAUUGAAUAUUGAACAAACUAUUGACUUGAAACUCCUGGAUAGCAAAGAUUUGUUACAUGAAAAAAGUGAAUUUACCAUUUCCGCUACUAUUCGAAGCAAGGCUACAAUAUUCUGCUAUUGUUCGAACCAUUCAAAAAAAUUUGGAGUGAAGCAAAUUAGUGUGAUUUUGGAUGAAGCUAAUUUUGGGUGAAGAAUUUUUUUGGGUAAAACAGAUUUGUGUGAUUUUGGAUGAAGUAGGAUUUUGGGUGAAGUAGAUUUGGGUGAUUCUCGAUGAAAAAAAGUUUUGGCUGAUUUUGGUUGAAAAGAAAUAGGGGCAAAUGAAAUAAAAAGUGAGGGAAUGAAAUUAUAUUACCUGCCUAAUUUGCCCACGUUAUUUUAGCAUCGUUCUCUUAUUCGUAGGAAACAUUAACACUUCCUAUUAAUUUUGCCACGGUUUUUAGAACUGUGGCUAAUAAACCGUAGCUAGAACUCAUUUUUUGGUAGUGAUGUAAGAGAGUUGCACUAAUUCGAGCUAAAUAGGUAGUCGAUCUAGAUUGACUCACGACUGGGCUGACUCUUACUUUAAAAUAAUUAAGGCAUAUGCCUUAGGUUCUUAAUUAGAGGUGUACAAAAUCGAACCAAAAACUGAAUCAAACCGCAAAUUGAGUCAAACCGGAAAAAAAACCCGACUAGUGGUUUGGUUUGAGUUGGUUUGGUAUUGGAAAAAAACAACCCGAUUAUAUUUGGGUUGGUUUGAUUUUAACUAAAAAAAACCAACCCGACAUUAUAUAUGCAAUUUUAAAAUUUUAUUUUAUACAUAAAAAUAUUUAUUUUGAUAUAAUUUUAAAAUAUUUCUUAUACUAUUUCAUAGUUUUUAUCUUUUAAUAUAUUAUUUCAAAUUUAAAACUUAGAAUUUGGAAUGGUCCAAUAGAGAUUAUAGUUGAUAGAUGUUAAUAAUUAUAAUAAAACUUAAAUCAAAAUCAAAUUAAUACUAAUGCAAAAAAUAAUCAAUUCAACACUAGAAUGACAAUAAUAUUGAAUAUUUGUUCUUUAGUUUUACAUUGGUUUAGACAAUUAAAUUACAUAAUCUAAUUUUAAUUUUACUUAAAUAUUCAGUAAUGUAACUAUUACUUAUUAAACUAAUUUUAGCAUGAUUUAGUACUUUUAAAUUAUGAUCAUUUUCAUUAUGACUUUGCAAUAUUUAUUUUAUAUGAUGAUUUCAUUAUUAUUUUUAUUGAAUAUUCGCAUCUCAUAUUUGUGUUAUUUUCUUAAGAAAUACCUUAGAUAAUUGUAUUUUGGUUGUACUAAAUAAAGAAAUAUUUGGAGCACAAGUUAAUUAUAUGUUUGUAUGCAAACUUUACCGAAAAAAAUCCAAAAAUCUGAAAAAAAUUCAAGGUUUAUUAGUUUGGUUUGAUUUAUAAAUUUAAAAAUUUGACACAAUGAUUUGGUUUGAUAUUUGGAAAACCCGAACGAACCCGAGGUUAAAAAACCCAAAAAAAUCUGAAUUUUAUUAGUUUGGUUUGGUUUAAAAAUUUAAAAAUUUUACAAAAAUGGUUUGGUUUGAUAUUUGAAAAACCCGAACCAACCCGGUCUUGUACACCCCUUCUCUUAAUUUUGGAGGGAUUAAUUUUUUACUAAGAAUAAAUGAUGUGCUAGUUUUUUUAUUUAUAGAAAAAUGAUAGUUAUUUUAUUCUCUUAACCCUAUAAAAAUAGAAGAAAUCAAGAAAAUGUUAACAUAACUACUAUAAAAACAACUUUUAGUGGAAAUGAAUAGAUCACAUUAAUAAAGAGUGCUAAAGUAUUUACCGGCAUUAGUUAAGUGUCAUUAGAUCCAAUGUCGCUAAAGACUUUAGGGACAUAUACAAAGAGUGCUAAUUGUCGCUAAAAAUACAUAUUUAGCGGCAAUUGAGCUAUUGCCGUUAGUUGCCACUAAAGAUCAUUUUUCAUGUAGUGUCCGUCCAACAAUAGUUAUCCAUUAUACUAUUUUGGAAUGUCAAACAAUACUUGUUCACUCUAUGAAAUCAAUGGAUAAUUUUACACUUAGUUACUAAUUUACCCUUAUCUUUAAUUAUAGUAAUUUUCUCUAUUACAUUUUUUAAGACACUAUAUUUAUUAUAUUCAAAGGGUGAUAUAGUAAAAUCAUCCUACUAUUUAUAGUUUCUUAAGAAGUGUACAAUGUCAGUAGUGGACAACUAUUAUUGGACAGGGAGAAUAAUAAUAUGUUUCAAACUUGUUUUACACAAAUUUAAAAAGCAUUUAUAUUUUUAAAAAAUAGGGUCUUUGGCUAGGGUGCUUCUCUGACUCAUAAUUAAUGGCAUACACAACAUUCAUAGCUAUGACAGUCUUCGGUCUUCCGCCCAAGUAACAUUUAGACUUACCAGGGUUGUGGUGCACUGGUAGGAGUGUUUCACCCUUAAUCAUAGGUCUUGGAUUCGAGCUUUGAGUAUAGAGAAAAUUUUGUUGAGAGCGUCACAUUCGAAUAGGCCCUGCAGAGCGCAAUCCAAAUUUAGUCGGAGGUGAAUUUCGAACAUCGAGUGAGAAAAAAAAACAUUUAGACUUAGUAAGAGUUGGAUGGACAGCUCGUUUCAUGGCCCAUAAUUUAGCUAUCUUAAACCCAAUUCAUUUCCUUCCGUCCAAGUAAUAUUUAGAUUGAAUCAUAAACUUAUUCAUUUAUCAUAUCAUUAUAAUUCAAUCCGUCCCCAUAUCUGACACCCACCCUUUAUUAUAUGGUUAAGCAUGAAAAUAUGUAUGGAUCACAAUUCACACAUAGAAACACAAAUUAAAUGUAUAUAUAGGAUAUGCAUGAUAAUUAAAGGAGAUGCAUAUUCGAACAUAGCUAGCUAGCUAGCUUGUUUUAUUCAUAACUCAUAAGCAUGCAUUAAUUAAAAUUACCUAGAGCCUGGAGACGCAUCCACUUUAAUUUAUUCCUUAACGAAGACAAUGGGAAGAGCUAGGGUUUUCACCGGAAGCCACGAGAGGAUAUAAUCCGUAAUCAAAAGUCAAGCUCACACAAUUAAGUUGAGGGGAAUCCGUACAAUACAUUAACUUGUAUGCAUUUUCCAAUUCUUGUUCCUCCGACGUCUCAUAUUUCAAAAUCAUUGUUUAGAGGCUUCAUAGACGGAUAGUUAUAGUUCUUUAGUCUUAUUCAUUUCAGAUAUUGUUUAAAAACUUGAGUUUGCCUUAUUGGCUAGUUGAAUGCUUUCUUAUUAACAUUCUUAAGUUAUAUGGGUUUAUCUCUGUUAAGUUAAACUGAGUAAGUAAGUCAGGCCAAGGAUUCGCUUGGGGUCAGCAAUGGUUAUCUAGUGCCAGUCCUGCCGCGUGACACAAACACAAAUUAAAUGUAUUGCAUAUGAUAAUUAAAGGACGUAUUCGAAGAUAGUAGCUUGUUUUAUUCAUAACUCAUAAGCAUACAUUAAUUAAAAUUACAUGGAGCGUGGAAACGCGAUUGAACGAUCCACAUUAAUUUAUUCCUUAAGGAAGACAACGGGAAGAGGGUUUUUACCGUCAGCCACCAGACGAUGUAAUCCAUUAUGAAAAGUCAAGCUGACAUGUUUACACAUUAUAAGUUGAGGGGGAUCCGGACAAUACAUUAACUUGUAUACAUUUUCCAAUUCUUGUACCUCAUGUUUCAUAAUCUUGAACAAGUAAUUGCUUUCAUUUCCUAUGGUACCACCAGUCACCACGAACUGAUCUUUAUCAUCACUAACUUUCCAAAUAGCUAGUUUCGUUAAAACACGGACUAGAUAGAUAUAUCAAGUGUUGAGAACAUGAUAUCAAUGUCAUCCGUUUCACGCACCACAUCAUCAUCAUUAUCAACCAUAAGAACGAAUUUCACGGGGGUGCCUUUUCCUAUCAAACCGGGAAUCGGUACGUGCUGCAACAUGGUGUUAGGGCAUUCAAGGUGUCCAAUAUUGGCCAAGUAUACGGAUCCGCCUCCAAUGAGAGGAUUAUGAAUAAUGUACUUUUCACCAAUGUACGUAGUGUGGUAGGCGGUCCAUGUCCAACACUUGAGGAGCUACAUCAUCAUCAUCAUCAUCAUUAAUAUUAUUAUUAUUAUGAGUAGUUGUGGGGAGGACAAUGGGAUUGUUGGAAGUGAAAGAUCGACAAAAGGCAACAAAGGGAAACAAAGAGAGUAAGAGGAAACUCAAAAUAUUAAUCAACUUCAUCUUUAAUUUGAGUGUGUUGUGUGUAUAUUUUGCUUACUCUAUCUCCAAUUUAUAGACCACCACAUGUAUGUAACAACAUUUUUGAGAAACAAAAAAUGCCUACCUUUUAGGUUAGGUUAGUGACAUGAUUUAUUAACUAGAUCUAAUUAUAAGUAGUAUAAAGACUUUCUAUUUUAACAAUGAAUUAAAAUAUAUAUAUAUAUUGUUAGAAAACAUAAGCAAUGUGGAGAAAUUUUCUGUGUAUUUCUUCAUGAAAAAAAUCACUGUGCAGCCUUCUAGUAUAUAUACAAAUUCUAUUCUAUCCUAAAUUGUGUGAACUAUGAAAUUAAUGCAAUAUGUAUUUACACUUGUCAUUUCAUUAUUGGUCUUCUUCUAACAAACUCCAAACGGCUGUCAUGUGCCAUACAUGUGCUAUGGUUGAGAAAUAUCUAGAAUUAUACAUUUGUACCAUACAGCUGGAUGGCUCUGAUUAAUUUGAUUCAAUAAGAGAUCUUUGCCCCUGAUGUUGCCACGCGUCCUUUAGACCUUUUUGUAUGCCUAUGUUGUUUUUGUCCGAAACUAGGAGAACUUUGAACAUUGUUUCCUUUCAUCAUCUCCUUAUUUUUACUUUUUCUGUAAACUCACCAUGGCCAUAAUCAUGAUGUUCUUGAUUAUCGACACCCCUUCAAGGUGAAGGGAAAGAAACGACACCCAACUUGGAAAGAAUCGAGAAGUGUGAAGGACCAGAGAGAGCCUUUGUGAACAGAUUAGCCAACUGAGCAGAGGAUGGAACAAAAGAUAGAGAGAUCAACCCGGAAAGGAAUUGUUGUCUCACGAAGUGGCAAUCAACCUCAACAUGCUUGGUUCGUUCGUGAAACAUCGAAUUUUUUGCAAUAUAAAUAGCAGCUUGGCUGUCAGAGUGAAGAGGCACAUGCAAUGAUGGAUAAAUGGAUAGAUCUACAAGAAGUCAGGUUAACCAGGUAAGUACCGCAAUAACUCUCCUCAUAGACCUGUAUUCUAAUUCAGCGGAAGAUAGUGAAAUAAAGGCUUGUUUCUUGGACUUCCAAGAAACUGGUGAGCCACCAAGGCUAAUAAAGAAACCACUAAUAGAUCUCCGACUAUCUCGACAAGAUGCCCAGUCAGCAUCACAUAAAGCAAUCAGGAAAAAUGAUGAUGUAGGAUUGAAGAACUGACCUUGGUCUGGAUUGAGUCGUAGAUAUCUCAACACUCGAAGUGCAGUAUCAAAAUGGCCCUGACACGGCUGUUGCAUAAAUUGACUAAGAGUGAUGACUAAGAAUGAAAGGUCUGGCCGUGUAUGUGUGAGAUAGUUCAAUUUAUCCACUAAUCUCCUGUAAAUGGAAGGAUCUGCAAGUAAAGGACAUGAUGAACUAGUGAGCUUAGAACAAGGGUCAAGUGGAGAGGAGACUGUAGGUAGAGAUGUGCAAUCAAAUUCUUGUAACAAAUCUAGUGUGAAUUUUCGCUAACCAAUAAUACAACCAUGUUCUCCUCUUAAAAUUUCCAUGCCAAGAAAAUAAUGAAGCUCCCCUAAGUCCUUGAUUUGGAAUUUAGAGUUGAGAAAAUCCUUCAUAGUGGCAGUUUCAAUAGGAUCAUCCCCGGUAAUCAAAAUAUCAUUAACGUAGACAACAAUAAUUGAAAUCAGAUCCCCUGUUUUGUUGAAAAACAAAGAAUAGUCAUUAAGAGAUAUUGUAUAUCCUUUAAAAGUCAGGGCUCCUGCAAGCUUGACAUGCCAUUGCCUUGAAGCUUGUUUGAGCCCAUAUAGUGACUUUUGAAGCUGGCAAACAUGAUUGGGACUGGGUGAUGCCAUUCCUGAAGGAAACUUCAUGUAGACUUCCUCUUGAAGGUCGCCAUGAAGAAAAGCAUUAUUAACAUCAAAUUGUGAAAUAGACCAACCUUUCUUGACUGCAAUGGCAAUGAGACACCUAAUGGUUGUCAUUUUGACAACUGGGGAAAAAGUCUCAGUGUAGUCUAUGCCUUUCCUUUGUAUGUCAUCUCUUUUCACAUGUCGUGCCUUAUAUCUUUCAAUUAAUCCAUCAGAAUGUUAUUUAAUUUUGUAUACCCAUUUGCAAGGUAAAGCCUUCUUGCCAGUAGGUAACAACAUGACCUUUCAUGUAUUGUUUUCUUCCAAAGCUAUAAUCUCUUUUUGCAUUGCAAACUGCCAAUUAGGAUCCAAACUAGCUUGUUUGAAACUAGUAGGUUCUGAGUAAGCACUAAUAGAACCAAGGAGAUAUUGAUUCUGUAAGGAUAAAGCUCCAAAAGAAAAAGUAGAUGAGUGCACAGGUUGUGCUAAACAAGUGUCUGAAAUGUUAGUGAGAAACACAUGAUUAUAGACAAAAUCAUUUAGAUAUGCAAGCCUCUUACUUUCCCUGUUAGAUUUUCGGAUAAUAGGUGUGGAAGGGGGUGGAGAUACAAGGAGAAAAGAAGGGGAAAAUGAAGCAUAUGAUUGAGGAGAUGUGCUAGAGGAGGAUGAAGGAAUAUGGAGGGUUGCAGAGUCAAUAGAGGAGUCAGGAGUGAAGGAAGAAAUAGGAAAAAUUGGCUCAGAAUCUGAUUGAAGAUUUGAGAAAGGGCAAAUGUGCUCACAAAAUUGAACAUCUCUAGAUAUAAAGAUCAUUUUAAAUGAUAUGUCAGGAAGUUAGUAUCCUUUUUGGCCCUGUGGGUAGCCCAAAAAUACACAAGCAAUAGCCCUGGGAUCAAACUUGUUUCGAUUACUGCGCAAAGUAGAGGCAUAACAUAGACAACCAAAAGCUUGCAAAAACUUAUAAUCAGGACAUUUCUGAAAAAGAAUCUCAUAAGGGGUUUUCCCAUGAAGUACUCUGGAAGGAAUUUGAUUAAUAAGAAAAGUAGCAGUCAAUAAACAAUCCCCCCCCCCCAGUAGCAUUUAGGAAGUUUGAAUUGAAAAAGUAAAGACUUUGCAAUUUCUAAUAAAUGUCUAUGUUUCCUCUCAACAACCCCAUUUUGUUGAAGUGUAGCAACACAAGAUGUUUGAUGAAUGAUCCCUUUUGACCUCAAAAAUUUUGCUUCAUGUACCCCUUUCCCCAAUUCUAGAGCGUUAUCGGAUCGAAGCUUUUUCACCUUAAGGUCAAAUUGUCUCUCAACCAUGGAUAAAAAAUGUUUCAAAACGGAGAAAGCAUUAAUCUUAGUAGUUAAUAAGUAUGUCCAAGUACCCCUACUAAAAUCAUCAACAAAAGUAAGAAAAUACUUAUAUCCAUGGUAAGUAAGAACUUUGAAAGGUCCCCAAGUGUCCAUAUGAACCAGUUCAAACACCCUUUUAGAAGAAACAUGACUAAUGGAAAAGGGUAAUCUGGUUUGUCUAGCAAGGGGACAUAUGUCACACACACAAGAAUAAUUAGAAGGAAAAGAAAUGAAACUGAAAUUUUUUAUAGCUGAAUAAGGCAAAUCGCCUAGUCUGGCAUGCCAAAGAGCUACAUCAGAAACAACACUAGCAGAAAAAGAAAAACAAAGAUGGACAUUUUUGGAAUCACUUCCUUCUAGUAAAGAAACUACAUUACAUAGAGAUUGAAUACUAGUACUAGAAAUGACAGAUUCUAAAAGAUAAAAAUCCUCUUUAGCUUCACCAAAAUCUUGUUUCAUCUUCAUUGAACGGUCCUGCAUGACACACUUUUCAGGAUUAAAUAAGAGAAAACAACCAAAUUGACUACAGAACCUAUGAACAGACAACAAACUAUAUCUGAAAGAAGGAACAAAAAGAACAUUUUGUAGAACAAGAGUAGGAAAAAUGGCUAUGUUGCCAGUGUGUGUGACCUUAAUCCUGUAAGAAUUAGGUAAAUUUAUAGUGACAGGUGCUGGAUGAGGGACAAGAUUGAGAAAGGAAGUAGGUUCAUAACAUAUGUCUUCAGAAGCCCCUGAGUCUAUGAUCCAAGUCUAAGAGUUAAAAACAGAGAAACAAGAAGUAGAAUAUUAAGUAAUAGUACCAGCCACAACAUUUGCAUUAAUCUCUGAGCUAGUACCAGCUCUAGAAGUGGUCUGUCCUUGUUUGAAAAUCUGUUUCAUAUGUGAAAUUUGACUCUUACUCAGGGAUUGCAGGAAAUGCUCAUCAGAAUCUUCAUAUCCAAUAGGUGAAUGCCCAUAACUAUCCUUAAUAAGUUCUCUAUUCCCAUUGAUAGGUGUUUGAAAUCCUUUAGUGAACUGAAAAUCUUCUUGGUACCCCAUCAAUCUAUAACAGUCAUCUUCUACAUGCCCAGUCUUUAGACAAUGAGUACAACUCACAUUAGGAUUGUAUUUCUUCCUUCUUACUUUUCUUGGAUUCUAAGGUGUAAAAUUCCUUUGAGGAUUUGCUGAAGGCCUUUGUCCCUGAGAUUGCCCACCAGAAUGUUGAAAUCAUCCUCCAGACCUUUGUGAAGACUGACCUGGGUGACCAGGCUUCUGCAUUUGGUUUCCAAGUUUCAUUUGGGAGUUGAAAUUCUUAGCCAUAAAUGAAGAGUUGUUAGGGGAAAAUUGUGGAUUAAUAUAAACUUCUCUCUGAUUGUCAUCCUGAAGCAAGAGAGAGUAAGCAUGGUUGAUUCCUGGCAAAGGAUUCAACAUGAGAAUAUUACCCCUUGCUUGAGCAUAAAGAUCAUUCAACCCCAUAAGAAAUUGAAUUAGCCGCUAAUCUUCAACAAAUUUAGUCAUCUUUUGCUUCCCUGUACACACACAAGGACAUGUACAACCAACAUGAGAGUUGAGAGAAUCCAACUCAUCCCACAGCCUUUUUAAUUUAGUGAAAUACCCUGCUAUAUCAUUGGAUCCUUGCACUAACCCAGUCAUUUCUUUUUGCAUGUGGUAUAAUUUAGCACCAUUCGACUAGCCAAAUCUCUGUUCUACAUCUGUCCAGAGGUCCUUGGCAGUCCUGGAGUAGAUGACAGAGUGAGCUAUAUCCAUGGAUAACGAGUUAAGUAGCCAAGAAGUUACCAUGGCAUUGCAUCUAUACCAAGAAGAAAAAGUGGGUGUUGUGUUCAAAGGCUCUACACAACUACCUUCAAUAAAACUCAGUUUGUUCUUAGCUGACAAAGCAAUUAGGGCAGAUCUCCUCCAUCCCUGGUAACCCCUCACAUCGAAGGUGCUAUUAACAAGAUUCAUACCUGGUACAUCUGAAGCAUGAAGAAAAGAGGAUUACUAAAAUAAAAAAUACUCCCUAUUGCUGUUUGACCUACAGCAAAUAGGAGCUAUAGCAGUAGGAAUGACCCAUUCUGUAUCCAUUAUUUAAAAAGGGGGGAUGAACACAGAAAUUUGUAUAAGAGCAAAAAAUUGUGGAUCUUAAUGCUCUAUACCAUGUUAGAAAACAUAAGCGAUGUGGAGAAAUUUUUUGUGUAUUUCUUCAUGAAAAAAUCACUGUACAUCCUUCUAGUAUAUAUACAAAUUCUAUUCUAUCCUAAAUUGUGUGAACUAUGAAAUUAAUGCAAUAUGUAUUUACACUUGUCAUUUCAUCAUUGGUCUUCUUCUAACAAACUCCAAAUGGUUGUCAUGUGCCAUACGUGUGCUAUGGUUGAGAAAUAUCUAGAAUUGUACAGUUGUACCAUACAGCUGGAUGGCUCUGAUUAAUUUGAUUCAAUAAGAGAUCUUUGCCCCUGAUGUUGCCACGCGUCCUUUGGACCUUUUGUAUGCCUAUGUUGAUUUUGUCCGAAACUAGGAGAACUUUGAACAUUGUUUCCUUUCAUCUCCUUCUUUUCUUUUUCUGUAAAAUCACCAUGGCCAUAAUCAUGAUGUUCUUGAUUCUCAACAUAUAUAUAUAUAUAUAUAUAUAUAGUAUAGCUAAAAGAUUUUGUUUUCAAAUAAUUUAUUAUGAUUAAAAAUUAAUUACUAUUGUUACACUAACUUUUAUUGCGUGACUAAAAUUUCCAAUAGGUCAUAGACUCAUAGACUAUAGUUGUGUGAAAGUCGCGACAGACAACUGUAUAUUCAGUUUUUAUUAUUUUCCUUGUUUUUUCUUGUAAAUUCUUAACUCAACCUAAAAAUGAAAAAUUAAAUAUUUCAUUGCAAAUCUAUAUAAAGUUCCCAGUUUUAUUUUCUCAACUUUUAUUGUAGUAAAGAAGUUGAGAAAUUAGCUUUGUUAUUUUAAUUUCUGUAGCUAAGAUAUUUUAUGAAUUUGGACCACAUAUUAAAUAUGAAUUUAAUUUUUUUAGCUAAGAAAAUUCAUAUAUAAAUAUUUACAGCCUAAUUUGGACACAGUUAUUCAGAGUAGCUCGUACAAAAACAUUGGAAUGUCUCUUUCGGAAUAUUGUAAUUAUGGCUCCAUGGACCACUUAAUAUCACAUAAAAUAAAUCAAUUGAAAUAGAUUCUAGUUUAUAUUUUUUAACUUACAAGUGAUAAGCCAAAAAUUAAGCUAAACACACCCUUUGUCUCUUAUUUUUCUUUUUUAAUUUGUCUAAAAACAAAUUAUUUUAUAUUUAAAUAUAAUUUAACUUUUAAAUUCUCAUAUAUAUUUAAUGAGAUAAUUUAUAAUGACAUAAAUAUUUAAUAUAAUAAUUUUGUACCAAAAAUUUCAUGAAUGAUCACCUAAAACACACCACCUACCGGAACUAAGACAUCCACACACGCAGUGGCGGAUGUAGAGUGUGUCCAGGGGGGUCAUCCGACCCCCCUCGAAAAAAAAUUACACUAUAUAUAUAAGAUUAAUUUUUUGUGUACGUGUAUAUAUUUAAAAUUGAACCCCCUGAGCAUAUGUCAAAGGAGUAGCUCAAUGGUUUAUGGGGUUCAGGAUUUCGCCUAUGUUUUAUUUGAACCCCCUCGAUAGAAUUCCUGCCUCCGCCACUGCACACACGAUAAAUAUAUAAAACUGGUAGAAUACCGACGUGGUAUAAUUCAAUCAAUCCACGUACAAAAUUUUAACCAGGGAGAUGUUUGGAUACUGUAGUGGAACAUCAAAAUAUAAUGCAAAUUAUUUUGUGGAUAUCUGAACUAAAACUAUGAUAUGGAUCAUUCUUUGAAAUUUGAUCACAUAUAAUCUAAUCUCGAUAAUUUGUCAGAAUUGGUUAUAAAUUUUUGAUAGAUUAUUAUAAUUUAUUGUGUGAAAAUUUCACCAGUAUGAUCAUGCUUCAACGUAAAUCUUCAAAAAUAAAUAGAUUUACUUUAUCUUUGAUCCUCAACAUUUAAAGCUCAUUAAAAUCAAACAAUGAUGCUCUUCAAUUUCUUCAACCAAUUGAAACCAAAUAAUGAGAAGGUGGAGAGGAAGACUCUAAAAAAUCGCCAGGAAUUUGAUCAUAAUCUUGACAAGUUGCUGGAAUUUGUUUGGUCCUUCGUUUCGUUGACACAAAGUUUAAAAAUAAAAAGAAAAUGUUUGAAUUUGUUGAUCUAAAAAAAUAUGUCGAAUGUAUUAAAAUGCCCUUUAAUCUUUGUUGUUUUAAACAUGUCACAUGGAAAAUUUUAAUUAAGGAUUUGUUGGAAAGGGUAAUUUUUUAAUAGACUAAAACAAAAAGUAGGUCAAACAAAUUAAAAUCGAGGAAAUAUAAAAUUUUGAUGGAUUGUUAUAAUUUGUUGUGUAAAAAUUUAACCAAUACAUUUUUUGUUUCAAAAUCGGUCCGAAUCAACUUCUAAUUACUCCAAAUUUGAUAUACAACCUUCUCAUAUAAAUCACAACAAAUUUUCAAUUAUUAGAUUCUUUGUAAACCUUCAAAAAUAAAUAGAUACCGUUGAUCUUCCACAAUUUUUCUUAAGCUCAAUAAGAUCCAACAAUUUUUUCAACCAAAUGAAACCAAAUCAUUAAGGAUAACAAUAUAAAUUCAAUGGAACAUUACAUAUAUAAUUCCAAUCACAAAUUAAUAAGCAACGAGAAGGAGAAGAAGAGAAAUAGGAGUUUCCUUGCAUUUCAUGAAGUUUGGGUGAGUUAUUUUGAUUCAAUUAAUUUAGUCUUUCUAAAAGUUGGAAUUAUUCGAGUUAAAUAUAUAAUCUAGAUUGACUUAUAAAUUUUUCCGUACCGAACACACCCUUUGUCUCUUAUUUUUCUUUUAAUUUGACUAUAAACUUAUAUUUUAUAUUUAAAUAUAAUUAAAUUUUAAAAUUUUCAUAUAUCUAUAAUGAGAUAAUUUAUAAUCACAUAAUUAUCUAAAUUUAUUAUUUCUGCACCAUAAAUUUAAAAAAUAUUACUCAAUUUUUUUUAUGUGUAAUCAACUACGAUAUAAAUUAUGACGAAAGGGGUAGCUUUUUAAACUCAAGCAUUUAUGGACCACAAUAUGCAAUGGUCGCCUAACAACAACACCUAUCUGAAUUAAGAUGUCUACAUAUUUAUUUAUUUGUAUUGUUAAGCAAUGACUCUUAGUUUUGAUGUUUUAGAUAGAAAAAUUGUAAACAUUUUGAAUUGGAUGUGAAUUAUUAAUUUCAUACUCAAAUUAUUGAUAGCCUUAAAAAUAUUCAUCUACUUAACUAACUGAACCUAAAAACACCCUUUCAUCCUAUAAACAUACAUGUACGCGUACGUACAUUGGAGCCUCGAUUAAAUCUGGAUCGCCCACCGUAGGGCCAUUUGGGGAUAGCGCUCCCAACAAAAAUUUCUCCAUAUCCAGAGCUCGAACCCAAGAUCUCUGAUUAAGGGUGAAACAGUCUCACCACUGUACCACAACCCAUGUUGGUGGUAGGUUGGGUGAAUUAAUGAGCCCUUAUGUUAAUUUAGUUUAUUUUGAUCUAUUUUAUUUAAAAUUUAGCAAGGAUCGAACAAAUUACCUUUCUAAAUUAUGCAAAAAUUAAUACAAAAAAAUCAAUCACUAUGUUUCUAUUUUUAAAAUAAAAUAAAAUUAUACCACUAAACAAAGUGUCUAUCAAUUUUUUAUUAAAAUAAAAAACUUCAAUAGACAAGUAUUGCCUUUGCCCUUAAUUUGCUAUUAUAAUAUUGUUACCGGAGAAGAUGCAGAUAAGAAAAUUUAUUCCGGCGACCUUAGAGCCCUUACAAAAAGUAGCCAUUGUUUUUAGGGAAAAUUGUAUAUAAUAGCAAACUAUUAAUUCAAAUUAAAUGCUAUAAAUAUACUUUGAUUUAAUUGUACCCUAUAGCAAAUUAUUGCUAUUUUCGCCACUCUCCCUGGUGGAAUCUCGCUCGCCACUCUCGUUUGGCAGUAGUCUUGCUCGCCUCUUUCGCUUUUAUACAAAUACAAAUAUAUAAAAUGUGUUUGUGUUUUAUAAAGCGAGAGAAAAUUGUAUAUAUACAUAUAUUUUUGUUCCCCUCUCUCAGAUCUCGCUUGCCACUCUCCCAAAUCUCGCUCGCCACCCUCGCCUCUCUCGCUUAUACAAACAGAAACGAAAUGUAUAAAUUGCGCUUCUAUUUAUAUAAAGCGAGAGAAAAUUGUAUAUACACAUGCAAUUACAUAUAUCUUCGUCCUAUACACUUAUAAUUAUACAAUACAAAUAUUUCCCUGCCCAGUUUUCUUUUGCCUUUUUCUCUUUCUCGUUUUAUACAUACACAGAUUAUACAAUUGAUCUUUUGUAUACAACUGCUUUCUUUUGUAUAUGUAUAGCGAAUUAUACAACUGCCUUCUUUGUAUAUGUAUAACAAAUUAUACAACUGUUUUUUUGUAUAUGUAUAGCGAAUUAUACAUUUAUAUGUUUGCUAUGGAGCGAAAUUAUGCAAACUUUGCUAUAACAUACAAAUAUGAAUUUUAUGUUUCCUACGUGAAAGUUGCUCUUGUUUUUAUGGAUAAAUCUAUCUCUAUUUUGCUUGCUAUUAAUGAUUAGUCUAUCUCCAAUUUAUACAGCUGCUAAGGGCAUUUUUGACAAACAAAAAAUAGCUACCGACCGCCACCUUUUAGGUUAGUGACAUUAUUUCAUUUAUAAAUUAUAAUGAUUUAAAGAAAAUAAGUACUCUAGUAUAAAGCAUGUAUUUGGCUUAAUUAAUUCUCUUAAAAUUAUCCCCUUAAUUUAUCUAGACAUUUAAAUUCAGACUUGUACCUAUUGAACACUUCUAUUCUUUUAAAUUUGAGCCAUUCUAACAUUUUUUUAACAAUCAACUAAAAAUAUAAGAAAGAGUGAAAUGUACUAGCGGUGACAUGACAAUUUGACAAAUUAAAUAAGUAAAAUUUACAUAAAUCUCAUAGUGUUAAGAACUAAUUAUAUCAUAUCUCUACUCUUUUUCAAAUUACAAAAAUCAUUUAAAUUUAUAGGAUCUUGGAUAUAUUUGAAAAUAUGUAAAUACAUAGUUCAUGGAUUGCGAAUGAUACAUUACUUAAUGGAAGGGAUGUAUUCGAAGGGGAGGGAUGUAUUCGAGAGGGGAUAGGAUGUAUAUGAGAGGGGAUUGAUAUUAGUAAAAAAGUUGAAAAAUUUACAUUGUCAAUUUAAUUUUUGUAGUUAGUACUAGAUAUUAGCCAUGACUAGCUUUUAAAUUCAUAGCUAAAAUUUCCUAAUUUAAUGUCUGAUUUAAAAGUAAAAAUUUAAAAUAAGCCAAUUCAAACAAAAUCUGUACUUACCAAAAAAAAAAAAAUCCAAGCAUUCCAUUCUAGGCGAUAAGAAAAAGGGAACAAGAACACUAUGUCUGCGACUGAUCAACAACAAUUCAGUAAGCCACACGUCCAAACACUAAAGGCAUACUCAAAAACAUAGGAAAAAGUACUUAUAGAGGUUUCUAACAUUAUUCAAUUUGGAGGGCUUGUUUAUGGAUUCUAUUGUGAUUAUUCUACUGUGUUGUAUUAGUCUCCUUGGAUGUUCAUUUUGCUAGAAUAAUCUGAAAGCCACUCGCCUUAAUAUAUUAACAACCACACGCCUUCGCCUUUGUGUAAUAGCCAGACACCUUAAUGUAAGCCAGAGAUCACAAACACAAAACGAUACAUUUAUGAAUCUCAAAUCACUUGGAAAUCACAUGUAAUACCUAAAUAUUGAUUAGUUCUUCAAGUGUAUUUUCUGUUUUUUCUUCCGGUUAAUGUGUAAAUGUAAUGAACAUAACGAAAAAUAAACUAUAGGGUUAAAUUAUCAACGACAAUGGGUAAUAAAACACGAUAGAAACAGAGGAGUGGAGGGGAGCGACGAACCAACCUGAAAGUUUCUUUGUUCUUGGACGUAGUUGCUGCGAUUCAAUUAUAGAUGCUGGAACCACACGCCUUAAUAUAACCUUAAUAUAUAUUAACAGAGGAAUCGAUAAUCAAUUACAUUCAAAAUAGUAGCAGCCAGAGAUCACAAACAUAAAAAUGAUACUUUUAGGAAUCUCAAAUAACUUGGAAAUCACAGAUAAUACCUAAAUAUUGAUCAGUUUAUCAAGUGUAUUUUUUGUUUUUCUUCCAAUUAAUGCAUAAAUAUAAUGAACAUAAUGGAAAAUAGGUUAAGUUCUCAACGACAGAGCAACAGGGGUAAUAAAACAUGAUAGAAAUAGAGGAGUGGAAGAGCGACGAACCAACCUGAAAGUUUCGUUGUUCUUGGAUGUAGUUACUGCGAUUGAAUUAUAGCUGCUGGAAGUAGUUCUUCGAUUCAAUAUAUGUUGCUGGAAGGUCUCUGCUGCUAACGAAUGAAUAUAUGUUGCUUGACGUUGCAGCUCUAAUCGAUUUAGGAUGAUGAAUCCUAAUGUGUGUGGAAGAUCUUUUUAGGAAUACUUUCCUUAUUAGAAGCAUAUAGAGGGUUUUUUUGUUACUAAUGUUUUCCUUAUUGACCAGGAGUUCUUUUUUUCCAGAAAUAAGAGAAUCGCGGGAAAAAAUAUUAAAGGGAAAGCAGGAGUUCUAAUUUUCAGAAAAAGAAGAAGAAGAAGGCUUUUAGUGACUAUUUUUAGAAUUGCUUCUAAAAGUGUACAUAUUGCAUUAAACAUUAGCCGUUAAUAUUUUGCCUCACAUGAAUAUAUUAGCGGCAAUUUGCUUAUUGCCGCAAACCAAUUGUCGCUAAAGUUCAUUUUUGUAGUAGUGUAUUUUUCAACACAUUGAGUUGCUAUCUACAGUUUUACAGCUUUCCAUAUAUUGCAUCUUUUAUUGUUGCUUUAUUCUUGAGUAUCUUGAGUUGAACUGUGCUUCAUCGAGUCGAGUACAUUAUUGUUGAGUUGAGCCUUAUUUCACUGAGUUGAAUAUCUUAUCCCUUGAGUUGAGUAUCAUAUUCUUGAGUUGAGUCGAGUAAGUGAGUUGAGAAGAGGGAAGUAUGUUUCAUUUUUAUUAAGUUCAAGCUUGUGUUUAUGCUUUAGAAUUUCCCUUACAUGCUCGUACAUUUCACGUACUAAGCCAUUUGGCCUGCAUCCUUUCAUGAUGCAGACACAUUUAUAUUCAGGGUCAUCAACAGUGUCACAACCCGAGCCUACACCCUGGACGUGGCCGGCACUCGAGAACCAUUGCUGGUCCCCAAACAAACUCUCAUCCUGGCUGACUACAAGCGAAAAACUGAUUCAAGCAUACAAAGCUUAAAAACUGAAUAAAAUCAAUAACUCAAAUACAAAGCUUUAACUCAAAAUAAAACUCUGAAUAAAAAUAAGAUAUUCAACUCGCCAAAAAAUAGGCAACUUAAGUCUUUAAAAUAUUUAAUAAAAUAAAUGAAUAAUACAGACUUCUCAACUAUACUGACUAUCUAUGAAGCCUCUAACUGAUAAAAAUGGAAGUCGGGACAAGACCCACGACAUCCUGACUAAACUGAAAAGUAAAUGAAAUUCUCCGAAAACAAUGAGGCUCACCAUAGAUAACUCGAACUCCUGGAUGUAUCAACGAAUCUUCUGUUGAUGAUCCUGAAUACCUGUGUCUGCAUCAUGAGAAGAUGCAGGCCAAAUGGCUCAGUAUGUGGAAUGUACGAGCAUGUAAGGGGUAUUCUAAAACAUAAACAUAAGCUUGAAACUUGAUAAAAAGGAAACAUACUUACCUCUUCUCAAACUUACUCAACUCAAGGUAUACUCAAGGAUACUCAAAACUACUCAACUUACUCAAUUCAUAAGUAUUCAAGGAUAAGAUACUCAACUCAGAGAUUAGAUACUCAACUCAAAGAUAUGAUAUUUGACUCAGGUACUCAACUCAAUAUAAAACAACAAUACACAUGCAAUAUAUGGAAAACUUUAUAAAAACAGUAAAACAACUUAGUUCGUUAAAGAAAAUGCAAUAACAAACUCAAUUUUACUUAUAUAAUAAAGAAAUAUAGUUUAUGUGGGAGUUUCUCUAACUGACAACUAUCACUUUAAGAGCUAUAGUGAUGAUACAACACUUUUACCUCACGCUGCCAAGGACCAUUCUAUACCUUGCCAUCAGUAUAGGGACCUAACUUAACUUAGUGGAUCCACUAGUCUAUGCGAAAAGGAUUCAUCUAAAAAGUAUUACCCUUUUCUACCUAUGAUGGCUACAUGGUUUUCAUCAAGACUUGAGUUAAUAGGAAACUCGCAUCCCCAUAUCGGUGCUCAAUACUACUCUCACAAUAUAACUAGCUCAUAUGUUUAGAAACAUAACUCUUUCUGUGUUUUGAGAUUAUUACUCAAANNNNNNNNNNNNNNNNNNNNNNNNNNNNNNNNNNNNNNNNNNNNNNNNNNNNNNNNNNNNNNNNNNNNNNNNNNNNNNNNNNNNNNNNNNNNNNNNNNNNNNNNNNNNNNNNNNNNNNNNNNNNNNNNNNNNNNNNNNNNNNNNNNNNNNNNNNNNNNNNNNNNNNNNNNNNNNNNNNNNNNNNNNNNNNNNNNNNNNNNNNNNNNNNNNNNNNNNNNNNNNNNNNNNNNNNNNNNNNNNNNNNNNNNNNNNNNNNNNNNNNNNNNNNNNNNNNNNNNNNNNNNNNNNNNNNNNNNNNNNNNNNNNNNNNNNNNNNNNNNNNNNNNNNNNNNNNNNNNNNNNNNNNNNNNNNNNNNNNNNNNNNNNNNNNNNNNNNNNNNNNNNNNNNNNNNNNNNNNNNNNNNNNNNNNNNNNNNNNNNNNNNNNNNNNNNNNNNNNNNNNNNNNNNNNNNNNNNNNNNNNNNNNNNNNNNNNNNNNNNNNNNNNNNNNNNNNNNNNNNNNNNNNNNNNNNNNNNNNNNNNNNNNNNNUUCAUGGGUAAUAGGUAAUAGUCCCAUGAUUAGGAUUAUAAUCUCGGAAGGGUUAGAAACUCAAUACUUAAGACUUAGGACAUGGGGACAUUAAUCCUCUCAUAGAUACUAAACUUAUGGAGUUCAUGCGGAAUUUAUGGGCAUGAACGACUUGACUCGUAGGUCUACANNNNNNNNNNNNNNNNNNNGUAUACAACUCUUCUCAUUCUCAUACUUACUUUCUCAAAAUUUAGUUCAAAUCAAUAGUUGAUCUCAAAUGGUUCACAACCGAACUCAAAGGCUUUCUUGAACUCUACUCUUAACUCGAUCUCUUAAAUGUGAAUUAUGAAUUCAAGAGUUAUGGUUCAUGCUAUGAAAGAUUUCAUGAUGACAAAGUAUACUCAUGAAUACAUUCUCCUCACUCUCAUGCUCACUUACUCGAAUCUUGAAACAAGUUACUAGAAGUUGUAGAAGACUCCACAAAAGGACUCAAAGGGACUUUCUUAGAAUGUUUUAAAAAAAUCUCAAAACUUAACUCUUAGCUCUACCUUGAAUUUGAAUUAUGAAUUCAAGGUUAUGAUCAUGUUAUGAAUGAUUUCUAGGUGUGUAGAAGUAGUUUAAAGUGUUUAGAAUCAAAGGGGAGUAAAGGUACCCUUUGAAAUAACUCAAACGGACGAAACGAUGGACAACGGGUGGGGGCAGGCGACCCUGGUGCUCUGAGUGGCGUGGGGUGCCAGCCCCUAAAGUUCAGAGAGGUGGUUGGGGCGCUCUGCUUGGCGUGACACGCCAGGCCCCAACCCAUAAAACUUUGACGACUUUCCAUGCUCGUUUUCUCACCCUAACUCGCCUAAAAUUGAACGAUUUCCUCCCCAAACACUUGGAUUUGAUUACUUAACAUUAUUACACUCUCAUAUACUCAAAAAAACACUCAAAUUACUAAAUUUCAUCUGAAGAAAUCAUCAAAACCCCAACACAACAAUAUUUAGAAUGAACUUUAAGAACACUUAUCAAGAACUCAUCAAAAACUCUAAUCUGUCAACUUUAAGAAUGAAAUUUGCGCUGAAAAUAACAUGAUUGGCAUGUGGGUGAACUAACCCAACACUAUGGAAGCUUACAUACCUCUUAGGGAUCAAACCCAUGGCGAAAAUCCGCUACAACACGCAAGAAUCUCGACGAACGCUUGAUCCUCUCCUCUUUUCUCCUCUUCUCUCUUCUUUUCUCUUCUUGAACUCUCAACUAAAAUCCUAGGCUAAUUUUAGGAUUAUAAAACUGAACCUAAUAGGAUUAGACCCUUAAAAUAUUACUAAAAAUGAAUUAAAUCAGAGUUGGUAAGGAAAAGACCAAAAUACCCUUCUCUAUUUUCGGCUAACUUUCCUUAACUAAAUAGCCUAUCUUCAAAAGGUCAUAUCUCACUCAUCCGACCUCAAAACUUAGCAAACUCGGCUGUGUUGGAAAGAUAAUUCAAAGAUCUUUCCUACGGUAUCUAGUUGAACACAUAAAUCAUCCUGAGAUAGGAGUUAUGAUCGUUUGAAGUCGACCCAAAACUCAUACUUAGCUUAACUUGCAAAAUUUCAGAUUUUUCUAUUUCCAAUUUAAUUCUUUUUGGAACUCAAGGUGCUACAUCUAGUGACCUUAACACUUAAGAAAUUUUAAUUCCUCGGUAAAAUCCUACUCACAACGAAGGAUGGUUUCAAGUCUCAGUUCGAAAAAAAUUCUGGGGUAUUACAAUAUCUCCCCCUUGGGAUCAUUCGUCCUCGAAUAACGACUGGACUGUGUAUGGAAUGGGUUACUCUUACUAAGGUCUGCGUCUAAUGCUAGGCAUUUGCAUUUGGUUUAAUUGAUAUGAGCCGACUGUUAGCUUAGGAAUUUCCCUCCAGUCAUGAUACAUAUGAGCUUCGUUAGAAUUAACGUGUUUAGCUAAUGCAUCUGCAAUUUGAUUAACUUCUCUAUGACAAUGAUUUACUUCAAAAUUCAUCUUCGCAACAACUUGUAAGAUGUCUUCCACAACACCUUUGAUCUUCAAUUGACGCUUGUCCAUUCCUUACCAUAUCAACCACCAUUUUUUAGUCUAAUUCAAGAUAGCAAUCGUGAAAUCCUUGUUGUGGAUGAUGAUAUCUAAAUAUAGAUACCCUUAAUUACAUCAAGCACGUUGCCAUAAAAUAAACAUAAAGUAAGUAUUGUACACCAAAUAAAAAAAUAUUCAGCGCAAGUAGAAUCCAAAAUGGCUUAUUUUGGCUUGACACGGAGUUUAAAAAAAUAUUUGAAUCAUGUGAUCUAAAAAAAAGAUAUGUCGAAUCAUGAAUGUAUCAAAAUGACCUUUUAAUUUUGUGGUCUUAAAAUGUCAUGUAGAAAGUUGAAAUUAAAGAAUUGCUAAAAAGGAAAAAGGUCAUGUUUAUUUUAAAUGAAUUAAAAAAGAAAAUAGCUCAAAUAAAUUGAAACAUAGAGAAUAUAAAAUUUUGACGGAUUGUUGUAAUUUGUUGUGUAAAAAUUUAACCAAUACGUUUUUUGUUUCCAAGUUGGUCCAAAAUCCAAAUCAACUUCGAAUUGCUCCGAAAUUUGAUAUGCAACCUUCUCAUAUAAAUCACAACAACUCUUCAAUUAUUAGAUUCAAUCUAAAUCUUCAAAAAUACAUAAAUGUCUUCAAUAUUCAACAAAACAAAUUGUUAGAGUUAUCUUAUCAAUAAUAUAAUUCAUUACUAUUUAGUAUCUAAACUCUUAGCUCGUCUCAUCCCAAUAUUACUUUGGGCAGAUCAUUUUCCUACUCGAUCAUCUAAACUCCUAGGUUUUUUUCCCUUAUAUAUAUGAUGAUGCGAUCUCCUUUUGUAUUACUAUUAAUUUUGUAACAAGUAACUAUAUCGAGACGAUUGGUUAACAACAAAAACAAAAGUAACCCAAACUUAAAAAGAAACCACAAACUGAAGAAAUUUAUGUAUUUUUGAAUGAAGAAGGUAAGGUAAGGUAAUAGGCUAAUUGCUAGCUUGUUUAUUUAUUGAUAAGCAUACAUUAAUUUACAUGGAGCGAUAGAAGGAUAUAUCCACUUUAUUUAGAAAGCUGCAAGCUAGCCAGCUAAUUAGCAUUCUACGCCUUGAUGAACACAAAUGGAAUAAAGUCCUUAUCGUCAUCGACAGUCACCAGACGAGGAUAUCCAUUUUUAAAGUUGCCGCCGAUAUUUUUGCACUGAAGAUGAGAGGGACAAUGCAGUAACUUGUAUACAUUUUUGGAACUUCCUGGUGUCACCAAGUCAAUUUUCCUAAUCUUGAAGAUGUCGUUUUCAUUUCCUACCUUACCACCAGUUACCACCAACUGUUCAUCAUCAACUUUCCAAACAGUUUGGUCAACACACAACUUUGUUGUUUUAACAAAGAACUUGAUAUAAACAGCAGUCAUUUGACGCACCACAUCACCAUAAUCCGACUCCGACUUACGAACGAAUACGACGGGCGUGCCUUUUCCCAAAAAUUGGGGAAUUGACAUGUGCUGCAACACGGCGUUUGGGCAUUGAAGGUUUCCAAUAUUGUACAAGUAUACGGCUCCGGCCCCGAUGAGAGGAUUGUUAAUAAUGUACCUCUCGCCAAUCCUCAGCGGAUCGCCGUCUUGGUCAUAAACUUCAGGGAGUACAAGAUUAUCAUCAUCAUGACAAGUUGUGGGGAGGACAAUUGGAUUCUCAGAAGUGAAAGAUCGAGCAAAGGCAACCAAAGAGAGGGUACUUGAAAGCAAGAGGAAACUCAAAAUAUUAAUCGACUUCAUCUUUCUUUGUGUGUUUUGCCUGCUAUGAGUCUAUGUCCAAUUUAUAGACCUGCUAAGGGCAUUUUUGACAAACAAAAAAUGAAUACCUACUACCGCCUUAGACACCUCAAAUAAGUUUUAUUCAUUUUAAAUAACUAAUAUUAAGUCACUCUUAACACUUUUCUUUUUUUACUAUCAACAAAAAUAUAUAGUACAUAAUAUGUGUUACACAGAAUAAUAUGUAAAGUAUCAAAUUAAAUAAAGACAUUUCUUAUUUGUCUCCAAAAUAAAUCUUAAAUAAUAAAUUUUUAGUAAAAAUAAAAAAUGGCCAAUAAUUCAAUUUGUAGGAUAUUUAUUAUUUAAUUUGGCUUCAACUAGAGUAGUCGGUAAAAUUAAUAAAUAUUACUUGAGAAUAUUGUCCAUUGUGCUUAAAGGACUCUUGAAACUUGACAUCCAGUGGAGAACCAUUCAUGGGAUUAUUGCACUAAUAAAAUUAAGUUGCAACACCUAAUUUUACUUACCAGACUCAUGUACAUAAUUAUUAAGGAUAAAAAAUUUUAUCCGUAUAUAAUGUAUAUACUAACCUAAUAUAUAAAUGACAUGUGUUUGAAUUUAUGGUUCAUUUUACAUAAUUUUAAUUAAAUAACAUUUGUUUUGCUUCAUUUUAAUAAUUUAUAUUCACCACUGAAUACAAAUAACAGGCUAACAAUUCCAAAAAUUGAUAUUAAUAUGCUAGCUGGCAUGGAAUUAUUCCACAAGUAAAAUAUAUCACUGAAGUACGAUUGAGAUUUAUACCACUGAUUAUUUUGUUACCUAUCACGAAUGGAUCUUAAAAAUAAUGGCAAAUCAUUAUUAUGCAAGAUGAUUUUUUUUUUAAUUAUUUUUUUGACAAAUUAAUAAUUGAAGGAUAGGGUUUGCGUUAUCUGAUACAUAGAACUUAGUUUUGAAUUUGAGUAAAUUGAGUGUUGAAACUCAAGAAUAAUUAGGCAAAAUAAAAAUUGCACUUCAAAUACAUAUAACUGAAGUUUUAGUCAUUUUUUAUACACUUCAAUCAUAGGUACAUUCAAUAAAAUUAAAAUAAUGUUAAAUGAGUUUGUUAAAUGUAUUGUUAUUUUGAUAAAUUGAUGAUUCAAGUUUGUUUCAUACGAUUGUAGAUCUGAUCUUCGACUAAAUUCGGAUCGGACUUUGCAGGGCCCAUUCGAAAGGGACACUCCCAACAGGAUUUUUUCCAUACCCAGGGCUCGAACCCGAGACCUCUGGUUAAGGGUGAAGCACUCCCACCAGUGCACCACAACCCAUGUUGGUCCUAAAGUCAUUAUUAUUAAUUAGGUAGGUAUGUUCAAAAUAAUUCUUUAAAAGUGAUCAUAUCCGAUCUUAAUCAAAUACAACUCUAACUCCAAUUUUUAAAUUUUUAAAUAAUACUCCCUCCGUCCCCUUUUAGUUGUUAUGCUGCACUUUUCAAAAAAUCAUUUUUGAAUUAUUUUUCAAUUUUAAUUAGAUUACAUUAAAGAUAUUUUAAAUUAAAAAUUUAGAUAUAUAUUUAAAAGCUAUACGAAAAGUACUAUAAAUUGUAAUUUUUUGCAUAUCAAUAUGAUGAAAAAAUACAUCGUAAAAUAUUAGUCAAAGUUCUUAUUGUUUAACUCUAAAAGAAAGUCAUACAACUAAAAAAAAAUGAAGUGAAUAUAAAUAUAUUUAAUUUUCAUGAUCAAACGCAUACUAAAAUAUAUUAAUCAAGUUGCCAAUCGCCAUAAUGAUGAAAGGAAACAGGUGAAUGCAGCUCAUAUCACUGAAAAUAAAGCACUUUAUACUUCAUCUUUUCAGCACUACCAGCGUAUAAAAAAAAUGAAAAUGUGUAGUUUUCAAGUUUAAUACUAAGAGCCGUAGAGAGUUUAUUUUCGAUAAACUUGAGGGGGAAAAGCAAAAUUAAGGCAUUAACAAAUGAAUAAAGAUGAACUUAUAUGCUUUGAUUAUAAAAGUAGUCUAACAUUAUUUGUUUGUAAAAUUUGGAUGCAGUUAAACAUGGUUAUUAAAGAAUCACUUCGACUGUAUCCACCAGAUCCUAUCAUUGAACGAAUGGCUUGUGAAGAUAUGAUUUGUUAAACAUCUUAAUUUUUCAAUAAAAUAUUUUUUUUUUCAAAAUAAGUACUUUUGAUCUCAUAACAAUAAUGCGGCUUUUAACCAUGCCAGUUAUAGUUAUAUGGGUUGGGUUAUUUAUAGAAAAGUUAAAUGUACGGAACAAACCAAAUUCAAAUUAAACCUAUUAAUUAGCGAUUGAGACGUAAUUAGUUUUAAUAUGUACAUUGUGAAUUACACGUACUCAAUGGUCCCGUAAAUCUUAAUCGUAUUUUGGAUAAAAGCCACCUGGCUGCUUAGAGAUUUAAUAAUUUUGGAUGUAUUUGAUAUUUUCCCUCCGAAGACCUUAUCUUCAGUCUCACUUCUUGUAGUGUCUAUCUUCACCAUCCCACACUUUUUACUUUUAUUAUUGUGUGUUUUAAUAUAUUUAUCUAGAUUAUAUAUAAAUAUUUUUUAUUUACCUACUAUUAUUUAUCUACUAAACAAAUAAGAAUUUUAUUUUCUUGAGGAACAUCUUUCAAAAAGAAUAUUUUCUUUCGUAACGAAUAUAUCCUGAACAACCACAAAUGUUAAUAUCAACAUUUUGGUUUUAAUUGAGUUGAAAUGUUUAGAAAGAAAAACAAAGAAGAAAUGAAAACUAUUAGGCAUACAAAAGUACAAAAUAGUUAACCAAACAACAAUAAUUAAGAUACCAAAAAUGCAAAUAAUAUUCUAGUCAUGGUUUUGUGCUGAAAGUUUUUAGAUAACUUUUAUAUGUACUUCAGUCAUUUUGUCUUGGUUUUAAUAACCUUAGUUAAAAAUGUUUGAAGGUAAAAGUUCUGUAAAAUGCUUGAAAUUUUGCCUUUAUCUAAUUUACAACUUCAGUAAAAAUUGUCUGAAUUUUUUUUUAUGAUGACCUUCACAAAGGCACACCUUAGACAAAAAUGUUUAUAGGUCUAGGUUUUAAAUUGUAAAAUUUCUGCUCCAUAUUAGUUGUUUUAUCUUUUUAAAAAAUAAUUUAUCCAAAAAAAAACUUUCUAAAAAAACUUUACAAACUUAUUUACAGUUUUUAAAAAGAAUUAAUUAUUAUAAGGUUAAAAAGAGAAAAUAAUAAUUAAUUCUCUCCUGAUUUUAUAAAUUAACAAAUAAUUUAAGAAAAAUAAUUUUUAAAAAUAAUGAACGACUAAUAUUGAAUGAACACUAAUCAUCAAAGAAAUUAAAGAAUAAUUAAGUAGCCAAAUUUUCCGUUCUUAUCAUCAACUCUACUUGGAGUUGCACUGUUGCAGGCCAAUAAUGGAUAUAUAUUAUAUACUAAUGUGCCGAUGGGACCAUUAUUAGACCAUAGUUAAAACCGAUAAAGUGAUCCUAUUAAAAUAGUGAAGUAGAGAGGUGUUUUUAAAGUUAUCAAUAGUUCGAAAAUAAAAUUAAUAAUUCAUAUCAAAUUCAGAAGUGUUUUCAUUAUUUUUGUCUAUCAUCUAUUCUCGACUUUUAAAUUUGAGAGUUCAUAAACAAUAUAUGUCCUCUCAGUUUUUAAAUUCGUUCAACUUCACCAUUAUUAACAUUGUGAAAAUUAAUUCAAUGUCAAUUGUCCGUACUAUGGACAAACCCUAAAUUAUUGAAACAAAAGAUUAUACAAUAAAAUUAAUUUAGUACUAAAAAUAGCGUAAAGGGCUGAAACUAACGAACAUGGUUAAAUUAAAAUUGAGGAACAUCGUAUCUUUUUGGCCUAAAAGAUAUUUGAAUACUAUACUAAUAUAUAUCCACCAUUGAAGAUAAAUACCAACAGGCUAACAACCAAGUUAUUUUCAUUUUUGUCAUGCAAUCUUAGCUUGUUAAAGCCAAAAAUGAAUAUUAAUGUCUUGACGGGACCGCACGUGUUACUAUCCCAUAACUAAAAUGGAGUCCGAAACUAAAAGGGGAACAAUUUUUUUCGAAAAUCUCAAAAGGGCAAAUAAAUUAUUUAUGAAACCAAAAUGACAAUAAUUUGUAAUGACAUCUAAAUCAGGGUUUUCGCCGCAAGGCACAGAAAUCCAUGAGCGGUACAACAACUUUUAACCCUGUAAGGCUCAGCCGGCGUGAGCCUUACAAGGCGCAAGGCAGGCUAUUUUUUUUCAAAAAAAAAAGUUUUUAUGGUGUACGGUCCUUAAGGCUACACGUUUGCAAACUCGACCGCCCAUUUUUGUUUGUUAGAUAAAUAAAAAAAUCUGACUAUGUAGUUGAGAUGUUAAAUCAUCCAACUUUAAAUUUAUCUAAAAUGCAGUACCUUUUUUACAAAAUACAAUGUAUUUUAGUCGGUUAUUUUUUUUAAAAAAAAUUAUGCCUUUUGAGUUAUCAAAAUAGGAUUUCUAUUGACCGUAAGCUUAAUUUGAUAAUGCAAAAAAAUUUAAAAUAAAUAAAUUGUAUAUUGUAAGUAAUGCACAUUUCAACACACGUAUGACGCAUGCAUAUUAGGGGUGAAGCUAUAUAGUUCUUAUGACACUUGUUUAAGCUUGGUUUUCUAAAGAAUGUUUGGAUGUAUCGUUUGCUUAAAUAUAAUAUUUAUUUUGAUGAUUAGUUAAAUUUAAUUUAUAUCAUUAAAUUUAUGGAAAAGGGUUAAAAUUGCUCCUAAACUAUGUGAAAUAGAUCACUUAUACCCUCCAUUAUAUUUUGGGAUCAAAAAUAUCCCCGCCGUUAUCCUAGGAGACCACAAAUACCCUCAAGAGUUAAUACCCCAAAUUAUUAGUGAUGUGGCAAGCCACAUGGGACUAAUCCCUCCACCUAAGCAUUGCCAACUAAGAUUCACUACAAAAGAAUUUGACCUUUAGCGGCGACAAUAGUCGCCACAAAAGCCCAGAAAUCGUCACUAAAAGUUUUUAACAUUAAAUUCUAAUUUUGUGUUUUUUUCUUCAUUGUUUUUAAAAAACCAAAAAUGAUAUCGAUUAAGUAGGAGUUUUAAGACACUGUAUGUUUUAUUUUUAUGUCAUAUGUAAAUGUAUAAAAUGUACAAUGAUGCAUUAUAUAGUAGGAGAUUUGAAUCGAGAAGUAAUUUUGAUGAUUUUUCGUAAUAAUAUUGGAUAUUUUUAAUAUUGAUAUUUCAAAGUUAUUUAUUUUAGAAAAUUAGGUUGCAAUCAAAAAUUAAUUAUCAUAUUUUUUUGUUGAAAAAAUAGGUUUUACUAGCGAAUGGUUGUUGGAGCCUUAGUCGCCACUAAAAAUCACUAAUAACCUUUAGUGACAAUAUUUUGGGAUUUUGUGGCAACUUUGUCGCCACUAAAGGUCAAAUUCUUUUGUAGUGAAUCUUAGUUGGCAAUGCUUAGGUGGAGGGAUUAGUCCCAUGUGGCUUGCCACAUCACUAAUAAUUUGGGGUGUUAACUCUUGAGGGUAUUUGUGGUCUCCUAGGAUAACGGUGGGAAUAUUUUUGAUCCCAAAAUGUAAUGGAGGGUAUAAGUGGUCUAUUUCACAUAGUUUAUUUAGGGGCAAUUUUGAUCCUUUUCCGUUAAAUUUAUUAUUAGGUAAUAAUGUGAUUUUUCAUUUUGUGUAAUGGUUGAUUUAGUAUGAAUGUAUGGUCAUAAUAUUUUUUUUUGUUUUGUUUUACUUACUAUUUAAUAAUUGUAUUUUAUUGUUUUUUUAUAGUAAAUCUACUCCGUACUUUAUUUUUCUGGUGUGUUUAUCUUUUUAAUUUUUUUGACAUUAUGUAAUUAUCGAAAAAGAUACAAUUUAAUAUAACAUAAUAUAAUAUAUUAUAAAAUGACAUGUAACAACCAUCCAAACAAAGUAUAAAUAUAUAGUUUCAUCAAAAGUUAUGGUGAUAAAAUGGUAAAUUUCGUAGUGAGGUUUAGAUUCGAAUUAUAACAACGAAGUCACUUUCUAAUAAAUAAUAUUUUAUACCUUUAACAUGAGUUUUUUUUUAAAAAAAAUUGAACUCAGAUGCGGAAUCUCAAUACGAAUAUUGAGCCUAAAAAGUACUCUAUAAAAGAAGUUCAUAAAUAAAUAGUCCAUUUAAUGGCAAAUUUUUAUCCUUUUGUCAAUAAAAAAAAGUCCAUGAAUAAUCUUUUCCCAUAUUUGGUAUUGCAUUUUAGUUCUAAAUUAAACACCUUUUUACCUGAUUUGAUUACAAAUAUAUAAUAAAUUACUUGAAUCAUCAAAGAAAAAUUUGCACAUUAAUUAAUCAGAACCGACAUACUUAGGAAAGAUAUUAUUAGUCAUAGACUCAUAGGACAUGGAUCUUGUUCCAUAAUUACUAGUUAUAAUAACUACUGUAACAUUUAUAUAUUUAAUUAAGCCAAAUAAAUAUAAUCUUUUCCGAUUAUUUUUUAAAAAAAAAAUAGCCUUGCGCCUUGUAAGGCUCAUGGCGGUUGAGCCUUACAAGGCUAAAAGUUGUUGCGCCUUGUAAGGCUCAUGGGUUUCUGUGUCCUUGCGGCGGAAACUCUAAUUGAGACGCCGUUACAAAUUGUUACCCUUUUGAUUUCAUAAAUAAUUCAGUUGCCCUUUUGAAAUUUUUGAAAAUUUCUAUUGCCCUUUUGGUUCUGAAGCCCCCUCAUUUUGAAGUUUUGGUUUCUUAAAUCUUGUUAUCCUUGAAUUUUUCUAGCACUUAAAGUUUUGGUUUCUUAAUUUUUUUUAUUUCUUUCAAUGUAUUAAGUUUCUUUCUAUUUCAUUCUGAUUAAAUUAAAAAAAAACUUUAUUUUACUAUCUUUGUUGUGGUUAAAACUUAAAAAUAAUUAAAUGAAUUCACCUAUUUGAAACAUAAUGACAUGUUUUUCUCAUAUAUUAUUGGAAAAAAUAAUAAUUUUCUUACCGAAUAAAUUAAAUUAUUAUUAUUUUAAUCCAGUAACUUGAACUUAAUGAUGAUUGUGUUUUGAUUGUAUUUGCAUUAGUAAUGAAAUAACUUGGUGAUAUCGAAGAAACAGAGUGAUUGAUUGAAAACAUAUAUAAUAAAAAUAAUAUAUCCUCGGGGAUAUUGGAAAAUUGUUAUACAAAUAAAUUUCUACAACAACAAUAAACAAUGAAACUUCUAGUUCAAUUGAACAUACGAUAAAAUUAACUCCUUGUCAAAGCAACAUAUAAUACACAUUUGCAUUCAUUACAACAGUAUUUUUUGAGCUUUUUCUUUUUUCCAUCCUUAAACCUAAUUUAAGUCUACUGGGCAUGUCUAAUCAAAAUUAAUAUGCAAUUGAUUAAACAUAAAAGGAUCUUAUCCAUGAAAUCCACAUCACGUAAUCAAUAACAAUGCAUAUUACAACUUGGACUUAGUCGUAACUCCAAUACAAACUGAUCAAUAAUGAAUACUAAUGUCGUGACGGUACCGGAUGGGAUUAUCCAUAAGUAAUUAAUACGUAGCACUUAUUAAUUACUAAAACUUAUUUGUUUGAAAGCAGAAAUUAAUAAAUAAAGAACCUAGCUUUUUUAUUCAUCAUAAGCAUUAAUAUUACAUAGAAGCAUGCUCCACAUUAUUUUAGAAAGCGAUCGAGCUAGGUUAUAAUAAGCAUAGAUAAUUAACUAACUAUGCAUCAUUCUUGUUUACUUUGCUAAAGCCAAAGGGAUAAGGCUUGUUAUUGAGAGCCAGACGGGCGUAUCCCUUAUUUUCGUAUAGUCCGACAUCUGCACAAUCAAAUUGGCAUGUUGGACAAAUAUAUUUGACUAGGACAAUACCUUAACUUGUAAGAAUGAGGUCUCCCUGUCUCAUAUUUCUCAAUCUUGAACCAGUUCUCUAUGUUAUUAGGUCCUGGAAAUCCAAAGGUGCCACCAGUUAUAACAAACCUAAGUGGUGAAUGCGUCGGCCCUACGAUGGAAUAAGCAACUUUCCAAACAGUUUCGUUAAUACAUGACUUAGUUGAAGAAGAAGAAGUUGAGAACUUUAUACUAACAUCUUGGUUUUCAGAAACGAAAUGACUUCCAAGUUUCAUAGUAUAAAACAACACAGGUGUGUUGUUAUCAAAUUCACCAGAACUGUCCUGCACAACGCCAUUUGGGCAUUUGGUGUUUCCAAGAUUAGCUAAGUAUACGCUUCCACCGCCAAAGGGAAUACUUAUAAUGGAGUACUCCUCGUCUAUCUUGAGUGGUUCGCCGUCCAUGUCCAGCACGGGAGGGGAUACAACAUUCCCAUUAUUAUCAGAAAUGGAAAAUUCAUGAGAAAAGGCAACCAAACUUGAAACCAACAGGAAACUCAAAAUAUUACUAAUACACUUCUUCAUCUUUAAUUUGUUUGUGUGCUAUGACUCUAUCUCCAAUUUAUAGAGCUGCUAAGGGCAUUUUUGACAAACAAAAAUGACCUUUUAUUUUAGGUUAUAAUAACCUAAAGAAAAUAAGUACAUAACCUUUUUUUUUUUUUAACAAAUAAAUAAUGAUCACAAAGAAUUGAAAUGGCAAGGUUAAUGUUCUAUUUAUUCAAUCUAUGUUAAUUUUUUUUUUUUUUUAUAUAUAUAUAUAUAUAGUACCUUUUUUUUUAUAACUUUGAAGCAAAAAUAUUUAUUUAUAUAUAUAGGCUAUAGCUAUAAGAUUUUGUUUUCAAAUAAUUUUAUUAUGGUUAUGGGUCCUAUAUUCAUCCCUCCCACUGUCAAAGUUUGCGUCAAACAACUAUAUAUUUAUUUAUUUUUUUCUUGUAAAUUCCAAACUCAACUUAAAAAUAAUAAUUAAAUAUUCCAUUGCAAAACUACAUAAAGUUCCUGGUUUUAUUUUCUCAAUUUUUAUUGUAGUAAAAAAGUUGAGAAAUUAACAUUGUCAAUUUAAAUUUUGUAGUUAAGAAAUUUUAUGAUUUCGUGGAUGGUCAUAAGUUCGAACUUUUGUAGCUAUUACUAGAUAUUAGCCCUGACUAGCUUUUAAAUUCAUAGCUAAAAUUUAGUAGUAAAGUUCCCAUUUUUAUUUUCUCAACUUCAAUUAUAUAGUAAUGAAGUUGAGAAAUAACGGUCACAUUAAUUUUUAUAGCUAAGAAAGUUAAUGAAAUUGUGGAUAGUCAUGAAGCUCGCGUUUUUGUAGCUUUUAUAAGAUACAAUUAUUCUUGGACACUUUUAAUUAAAUUUUUGACUCCGCCAUUAUUAGAAUAGUUGGUAAAAUUAAUAAAUAUUACUUGAGAAUAUUGUCCAUUGUGCUUAAAGGACUCUUGAAACUUGACAUCCGGUGGAGAACCAUUCAUGAGAUCAUUGCACUAAUAAAAUUAAGGGUAAAAUUUAUCCGUAUAUGAUGUAUAUACGAAUUCAAUAUUUGAAAACAUGUGUUUGAAUUUGUGGUUCAUUUUACAUAAUUUUAAUUAAAUAAUAUUUGUUUUGCUUGAUUUUAAUAAUUUAUAUUCACCGCUGAAUAUAAAUAACAGUCUAACAAUUCCAAAAAUUGAUAUUAAUGUGCUAGCUGGCAUGGAAUUAUCCCACAAGUAAAAUAUGUCACUGAAGUACGAUCAAGAUUUAUACCACUAAUUAUUUUGGUACCAAUCAAGAAUGAAUCUUAAAAUAAUGGCAAAUCACUAUUAUGCAAAAUGAUUUUUUUUUAGAUUAUUUUUUUUGACAAAUUAAUAAUUGAAGGAUAGGGUUUGCGUUAUAUGAUAUAUAGAACUUAGUUUUGAAUUUGAGUAAAUUGAGUGUUGAAACUCAAAGAAUAAUUGGGCAAAAUAAAAAAUUGCACUUCAAACACAUAUAACUGAAAUUUUAGUUAAUUUUUACACACUUCAAUCAUAUGUACAUUCAUUAAAAUUAUAAUAAUGUUAAAUGAGUUUGUUAAAUUUAUUGUUAUUUUGAUAAAUUGAUCAUUCAAGUUUGUUUUAUACGGUUAUAAACCUUAUAAUUUAAAUUGAAACAUAUUUACAUUAGACUUGAGUAUUAAAUCGAUUGUUUGGAAGCAUAAAUUAAUAAAUAAAGACCUAGUUUUUUUUUUUUUGGUUCAAAACAGAGUAAUAUAUAUGUUACGUAAUAUGCAUCGUUACAUUGUUACCAGCAAGUGGCAAAACAGGACACCUACUAUUGAUGUUCUGAGGAAGGGGCAUACUAUUACUAUUACUAUUACAUGAGUUGCUUGUAAAAGAUUUCUUAGAUAGUCUAACAAAUGGAGUUCCUUCUUUGUCUGCUUCUAGUUUGUUGGAUACAAACACCGGAGGAACUUCCAUGCACAAAAAGAGUUGAUUUGAUCCAUUUUAGCGCCUUCCUUUGCUAGAGCGUCUGCCACUUGGUUUGUUUCUCUAAAGAUAUGGUGUAUUAGGGGGUUCCCCAGGCGGUGAAGUAGAUCCCUGCAAUCAGAAAGAAUAAUUUCGUCAGUGGGGUGUUCUCCUCGAAUGAGGGUCUUAAUUUCCUUGCAAUCGACGUUAACUUCCAAUGGUACUAAUCCUCUUUCUAGUGCUAUUCGAAGUCCCUGCAAAAGUGCUAUCAAUUCAACUUUCAUGUUAUUUGCCAUAUACAAGUUUCCCAUAUAUCCCAAAACCCAAUCGCCCUUGCUAUUCCUAAUGACUCCACCUGUUCCGCCUUGUCUUGUGCUUCCCAUGAACAAUCCUUCGCUAUUGAGCUUGUAACCCUGGCAGGGUGUUGUCCAUUUAAGGUAGUUGAUAAUAUUUUUAUCUUCCGUGUGUGUAUUGUUUGUAAGAGCAUAGUAUUCAACAACAUGAUACAAAGCGUUCUUUGAUGAAAUAUUUUUUUUCUCAUUAUUAUGGUAUUUUUUGUUUCUUGUUAACCAUAUGUUCCAUUUAUAGAAGGGAAAAACUUCCUUCCAAGUUGUAUGACUUUUUAUGUUAAUGUUGAGGCUUUUUAGUAGUGUUAACCAGUCAGAACCUUGGUUAUUUGUGAACUGAUUUAUGGUGUAAAUUACCCCCAGUUCCCUCCACAACUGCCUUACAUUCGUGCAUUCCACGAAAAUAUGUUUGAUUGUUUCUGGUUUUUGCAUAGAUUGCAUAGGUCGCUGACAUCAAUCCCUAUAGAUUUGAGGUAGCUUUAGUUGGUAAUCUGUUGUGGUGACAGAGCCAAAGGAAAAAUUUAAUCUUAUUUGGUUCAUAAGCAUUAAUAUUACAAACAAAUUGGCAUAUGUUGGACACAUAUAUUGACUAGGACAAUACCUUAGCUUGUAAGAAUUAUGUCCUGUAUUUUGGUUGCUAUUAAUCUCUGUCCAAUUUAUAGAGCCUACUUAAUUAGUUGCAUGGCUUCAUUUGCACGGUUUUGUUACAUAAAUAAUAUCUAUUUUGUCCUUGAAUGUGUGAGACAUAUAAUAGUAAUAAUUAGUAUAGAGACUUGCUAUUUUGACAAAUAAUUACAAGGUAAGGUUGGUAGAUGUUAGCAGAGUAAAUUUCAUGGAUGGUCAUCCAAUUUUGUGUUCAUUACCUAAAAUCAUUAUUAUUAAGUAGGUAGGUACGUUCAAAAUAAUUCUUUAAAAAGUGAUCAUAUCCGAUCUUAAUCAAAUACAACUCUAACUUCAAUUUUAAAAUUUUAAAACUUUUAAAUAAUACUCCCUCCUUCCCCUUUUAGUUGUUAUGCUGCACUUUUCAAAAAUCAUUUUGAAUUAUUUUCCAAUUUAAAUUAGAUUACAUUAAAGAUAUUUUAAAUUAAAAAGUUAGAUAGAUAUUUGAAAGGUAUACGAAAAGUAUUAUAAAUUGUAAUUUUUUGCAUAUCAAUAUGAUGAAAAAAUACAUCGUAAAAUGUUUGUCAAAAUUCUUAUCGUUUAACUCUAAUAAAAAGCCAGACAAUUAAAAAAGGACGAAGUGAAUAUAAAUAUAUUUAACUUUCAUGACCAAACGCAUACUAAAAUAUAUUAGCCAAGUUGCCAAUCGCCAUGAUGAUGAAAGGAAACAGGUGAAUGCAACUCAUAUCACACAAAAUAAAGCACUUUAUACUUCAUCUUUUCAGCACUAUCAGCGUAUAAAAAAAUGAAAAUGUGUAAUUUUCAAGUUUAAUACUAAGAGCUAUAGAGUUUGUUUUCGAUAAACUUGUGGGGAGCAAAAUUAAGGUAUUAACAAAUGAAUAAAGAUGAACUUAUAUGCUUUGAUUAUAAAAGUAGUCUAACAUUAUUUGUUUGUAAAAUUUGGAUGCAGUUAAACAUGGUUAUUAAAGAAUUACUUCGACUGUAUCCACCAGAUCCUAUCAUUGAACGAAUGGCUUGUGAAGAUAUGAUUUGCUAAACAUCUUAAUUUUUCAAUAAAUUUUUAUUUUUUUUCAAAAAUAAGUACUUUUGAUCUCAUAACAACAAUGUAGCUUUUAACCAUGGUUAUAGUUAUACGGAUUGGGUUAUCUAUAGAAAAGUGAACUGUAUGGAACAAAUCAAAUUCAAAUUAAACCUAUUAAUUAACAAUUGAGACGUAAUUAUUUUUUAUAUGUACAUUGUGAUUUGUGAAUCGCACGUAUUCAAUGGUCUCUUAUCUUCACUCACUUCUCGUAGUGUCCAUCUUCACCACCUCACACUUUUACUUUUAUUAUUGUGUGUUCUAAUAUAUUUGUCUAUAUUAUAUAUAAAUAUUUUUAAAAUAAUAUUUUUUAUUUACCUACUAAACACAUAAGAAUUUUAUUUUCUUGAGAAACAUCUUUCCCUGAACAACCACAAAAGUUAAUAUCAACAUUUUGGUUUUAAUUGAGUUGAAAUGUUUAGAAAGAGAAACAAAGUAGAAAUGAAAACUAUUAGGCAUACAAAAGUACAAAAUAGUUAACCAAACAACAAUAAUUAAGAUACCAAAAAUGCAAAUAAUAUUCUAGUCAUGGUUUUGUGCUGAAAGUUUUUAGAUAACUUUUAUAUGUACUUCAGUCAUUUUGUCUUGGUUUUAAUAACCCUAGUUAAAAAUGUUUGAAGUUAAUUAGUCUUGGCAACAAGGUAAAAGUUCUGUAAAAUGCUUCAAAUUUUGCCUUUAUCUAAUUUACAACUUCAGUAAAAAUUGUCUGAAUUUUUUUUUAUGAUGACCUUCGCAAAGGCACACCUUAGACAAAAAUGUUUAUAGGUCUAGGUUUUAAAUUGUAAAAUUUCUGCUCCAUAUUAGUUGUUCAUCUUUUUAAAAAAUAAUUUAUUCAUAAUUUUUUUAAAAAAAAAAAAUUUACAAACUUAUUUACAUUUUUUUAAAAGAAUUAAUUAUUAUAAGAUUAAAAAGAGAAAAUAAUAAUUAAUUCUCUCCUGAUUUUAUAAAUUAGAACAAAUAAAUAAGAAAAAUUAUUUUUAAAAUAUGAACGACUAAUAUUGAAUGAACACUAAUCAUCAAAGAAAUUAAAGAAUAAUUAAGUAGCCAAAUUUUCCGUUCUUAUCAUCAAACUCUACUUGGAGUUGCACUGUUGCAGGCCAAUAAUGGAUAUAUAUUAUAUACUAAUGUGCCGAUGGGACCAUUAUUAGACCAUAGUUAAAAUAUGAUAAUGAAGUACGAUGGUUAAUUAGUUUUUUUUCCCAGUUGCAGUAGGCCUAAUUAAUAUAUCGAUAUCUCUUUAAAUUUGGAAUACAUUUAAUUUAGAUACUAGAAUCAGGGCAUGUAACAUUUGAACACAUGAACAACCGAUAAAGUGAUCCUAUUACAAUAGUGAAGUAGAGAGGUGUUUUUAAAGCUAUCAAUAGUUCGAAAACGAAAUUAAUAAUUCAUACCAAAUUGAGAAAUAUUUUCAAUAUUUUUGUCUAUAUAUUAUCUAUUCUCAACUUUUAAAUUUGAGAGUUCAUAAACAAUAUAUGUCCUCUCAGUUUUUAAAUUCGUUCAACUUCACCAUUAUUAACAUUGUAAAAUUAAUUCAAUGUCAAUUGUCCAUACUAUGGACAAAUCCUAAAUUACAUAAAUUGAAACAAAAGAUUAUACAAUAAAAUUAAUUUAGUACUAAAAAUAGCGUAAAAAUUGAGGGCUGAAACUAACGAAAAUGGUUAAUUAAAAUUGAGGAACAUCGUAUCUUUUUGGCCUAAAAGAUAUUUGAAUACUAUACUAAUAUAUAUCCACCAUUGAAGAUAAAUACCAACAGGCUAACAACAAAGUUAUUUUCAUUUUUGUCAUGUAAUCUUCGCUUGUUAAAGCUAAAAAUGAAUAUUAAUCUCUUGACGGGACCGCAUGUGUUACUAUCCCAUAACUAAAACGGAGUUUGAAAUCAAAAGGGCAAUAAAAAUUUUCGAAAAUUUCAAAAGGGCAACUAAAUUAUUUAUGAAAUCAAAAUGGCAAUAAUUGUAACGACGUCUAAAUCAGGGUUUCUGCCACAAGACACAGAAACCCAUGAGCCUUACAAGGCGCAUCAGCUUUUAGUCUUAUAAGGCUCAGUCGGCGUGAGCCGUACAAGGUGCAAGGCAGACUGUUUUUUUCAAUUUUUUUUUUUUAUGGUGUUCGGUCCUUAAGGCUACACGUUUGCAAACUCGACUGCUCAUUUUUUUUUUUUGUUAGAUAAAUAAAAAAAUCUGACUAUUUAGUUGAGAUGUUAAAUCAUCCAACUUUAAAUUUAUCUAAAAUGCAGUACCUUUUUUUACAAAAAUAUAAUGUAUUUUAGUCGGUUAUUUUCUUUAAAAAAAUUAUGCCUUCUGAGUAGGGGUGUACAUGAUCGGGUUGAUUCGAAUUUUUCAAAUAUCAAACCAAAGCAUUUGUGUCGGAUUUUUAAAUCUAUAAACCAAACCAAACCAAUAAAACUCGAGUUUUUCAACCUCGGAUUUUUUUCGGAUUUUCGGGUUUUUUCGGUAAAGUAUUCAUACAAACAUAUCAUUUACUUGUACUUCAAAUGUUUCUUUAGUUCUACUAAAAUACAACUAUCUAAGGUGUUUGUUAAGAAAAUAACACAAAAUACGAUAUGAGUAAUAACACUAAAAUAUCCAACAAAAUAAAAUAAAAUAAUUAAAUUGUGUAAAACAAAUAUUGCAAAUUAACAAGUUGUAAUGAAGAUGAUCAUAAUUUAAAAGUACUAAAUCAUGCUAAAAUAAGUAUUAGUUACAUGACUAAAUAUUCUCCUCUGUUGACCAAGUCCGGUGGUGGCAAGCAGAAGAAGAAGAAGUGGAGCAAGGGAAAGCAAAAGGAGAAGGUAAAUCUAUUUCGUACUCUAUUUUUCUGGUGUGUUUAUCUUUUUGAUUUUUUUGACAUUAUUAUCGAAAAAGAUACAAUUUAAUAUCGUAUGAUACAAUUUAAUAUAACAUAAUAUAAUAUAUUAUAAAAUGACAUGUAACAACCAUCCAAACAAAGUAUAAAUAUAUAAUUUCAUCAAAAGUUGUGGUGAUAAAGUGGUAAAUUUCAUAGUAAGAUUUAGAUUCGAAUUAUAACAACGAAGUCACUUUUUAAUAAAUAAUAUUUUAUACCUUUAACAUGAGUUUUUUUUUAAAAAAAUUGAACUCAGGUUAGCGGAAUCUCAGUACGAAUAUUGAGCCUAAAAAGUACUCUAUAAAAGAAGUUCAUAAAUAAAUAGUCCAUUUAAUGGAAAUUUUUAUCCUUUUGUCAAUAUAAAAAAGUCCAUGAAUAAUCUUUUCCGAUAUUUGGUAUUGCAUUUUAGUUCUAAAUUAAACACCUUUUACCUUAUUUGAUUACAAAUCAUAUAUUAUUACUAUAUAAGAAGAGGGAAUAACCAACUACCACAAGUCAACAUGUGUUCCAAUAAGAAGAGGGAAUAACCAAUCUAUAUAAUAAUAUAAAGCUGAAUGAAAGGGUUGCUGAUGUGGCAUGUGUUGACACCCAAUUUUGACCCUCCACAAUAUAAAUUAAUCAUUUCGAGCUUCUCCAAUUUCAAACGAUUUAAAAUAAUUAGUUUUAUAAAGUUUCAAAAAAUAAUAAUAUAGUUUGCAAGAUUUUUUUUAAUAGUUUUGUCACUUUUUAUAAUUUUUAGAUAAUAUAUAUGUUUUACAUAAUUAUGUAUAUAAUUAUUAUAUUUUAUGAUUAUUCGAAAACCGUCUCAAAAAGAUUUUAUUUUAACUAAAUAUUUGGUUAAUUAGUUUAGUUAUAUAAUAGUUUAUAUUUUUAAUUAAUUAGUCUAUAAUUAAGCUAAUUAUUUUAUUUUGUUGAAAUCAAGAAGCUUAUUAAUUAAUUUAUUUUAAUUCGUCUUAUUUAAAUUACUAGUCAAACUUGUCCUAAUUAAUUAAGUAUGGUUACAUCUGUAAUUUCCAAUUGGCCAUAAUUUAAAUUUAUAUGGCCAAAGCCUAGUCCAAUUCUGACCAAGUCUAUUUCAUUCUCAAAACCCACUCCAAUUUAAUUUCCAACAAUUUCCAGCAAAUUCCAGCAACAAAUAACCCAUUCCCAGCCCACUACUUUCAACAGAAACCCGGCCCAACCCAUUUUCAACACCAAAGAAACCCAUCAGCAAAGCCUCUCCAGCAACAAAAACCAAAUGACCCCUGCGUUCUCUAUCUUCUUCACCAUCACGUGAAUACACUGGAAAAAAAAAUCAGAAACGUCAAUAGAAGCUUGCAAACGUCAACAAUAGCUGCCCUCACCAAACCAUUCCAGCAGCUCCCACACCCUGCUCUGCAACAACCGCCCAUUUUGAUCUUUUCCAUCCGGAUUUUAGGGGAUUUUGGUUGAAUUUCCAUACAACAACAGCCUUCCCUUACCCUUGGGGAAAAAUUUGAUUUGAUUUGAUUGGGGAAUUCCGACUUUGCCCCAAGUUCCUAUCCGUUUUCUUCCCCCUAAAUCUGCCUUGAUUUCUUGGCUAUAUAUAUUAUUCACUGUAAGGGGGCGAGCAGGGAGUUGGUUCCGGAGUUCGAUUCUUUGACAAUAGUCGUUUUACACUUGAGAAAUUCCAAAACGAUUUUCUCAUUCUAAGUUCCAAGAAAAGCUUUGAUCAAAGGUUGGUUCAAAUUUCCUUGUCUAUUGCUCUGAGUCUAAACCGGUGUAAGAAGUCGUCGCUCUCUUUGGCUCGUUUGUUCUCAGUUCGCUGCUCCAAACAAGGUAACACGUCCUCCUUUAUACUAUUUCCUUCCCUCUUUGUCUGUUUCAAAAAGAAAAAUAUUUUUUUGUAUGUCGGAAAAGCCUCAUUAAGUGACCGGUUCACUGUUAGUUGUUGAGUUGGUGAUAUAUUGACGCGGUUUUGAUGUCAAAUUAAUGUUAUGUUCUGUAUUAGCAUUAUUGCUCUUCUGCUCCUUUGUUUGGAUUCACUUUUGCUAUUUUACCUCUUAUAUGUCUGCCUUAAAGUCUUUGAGUCUGUAUCUUUUAUUCUUGCUGUCUUUUAACGUCAAUAGUUUCAUUCAAUGUUGCUACUGCGAAUGAUGAUUUUCUUUUCAAAAUGACAUCAGAAUGUCAAAGCUAACUAAUGUGGAAUUUAUAUGUUGUUUUAUCUAUUAUUUGUUGUUGUAGUAACUCAUUUUUGUCAUUUUCUUAUGUUCCAUGUUGUUUUACUGCCAAGCUAAACAUGUUUGACUCGAGUUUACGUCUUCGUUUUGCUUAAAAUCUAAUCGAAAAUACUCACUACUUGUAGCAAGUUUACAAAAAAUGUGGAAUGUUGUUUCUUCCCAAUUUUCUCUUUACUUCUAGUUCUUGUUUCCUUCCCCAAUUGUUAGUGUUAUUUGAUGUCUUAUUAUAUCUUAGUCCGCAGCCUAUUGUUCUAAGAAAAAGAUUUGUUCAUUAAUGUGGUCAUGUUUUGCAUCAAAUUAGCAUUCGCCUGACGACUAGUAAGCUUUAUGUGUCCGCCGAUUAUGAGCACAAAAGUGUUAAUGUAUUAGCAUGUUCUGUUGUGUUUAUUAAAGUAUUAUAGGUUUGCUUUUGAUUUUGCCUUAUUUGAUAGCUACUAAUCUAUCUUUUCCUUUCCUUAAAUUGGUCACUUGUUUGUUAGCAUAUAAUUUCCUAAAGCUAUUACCAUUUAAGAUCGAAGCUUGUCCAAGUAAAAGUGACCCAAUGAAAUGUAAUUCCUGCCUGAUAUGUAGCAUGUCCUCUACCUCUUUUAUGUUGUGAAUUUCAUUGUUUACCAAUCACCUAUUCAUUGAAUAAGUUUGCCUUUAUUGGACCCAUUUUUACUCCCUUAGGAUCUUGCUGUUAGGCCUAUGCACGUAUGCAUUUUUUUUUUUUUUUUUUUUUUUUUUUUUUUUUUUUUUUUUCUUAGAACUUUCUUAUGCUCCAAAGUUUGAUAGUCUAGCUUUUAGAUUUAUUUACUCCAUGUAAUGUAGUGAGUUUGGUGAUAUAUUGUUGUAGAUUGCACGGGUUUACUUUAUUUAAUUAAGUCAUGUCUUAUUUGUGUUUUGUUUUCGCCUCAAAUGCUAAUCAUUAUUAUUAUUAUUUUUGUUGCAUGUGAAACUCCUUCCGAGACCUCACGGACUUUAUUUCCUCUCCUCGCAUUUUCUUGUUGAGCCACGAAGGCUCAAACCCUUCCCUUCGAGUCAGCCGGCUUUUGAAACUGACGGACAGGUUGAAUGCACUUAAAAGGGAGCUGGAAAUUGAACUUUCAGGUCUUAAAAAACCAAAAGAAGGCAGUAUACAUGACCUAUACAGCUGUAUACACAAGUAUACACGGAAAAAAUAGCGAUAUACAGGUCCAAAAAUUGAAACAGGUGUUCUGGAAGUUGAAUUAGGUUGUAUACAUUUGGUAUACAGCCUUAUAUAACAAGAAAAAUGGGCUGGAUUCAUACGAUAUACACUGAUAUACAACCAGUGUAUACAAAAACGGGAUUGAGCCUAAGCCCCCAAAUUUUCAGCGAAUUUGGCCCAAAAGGAGGCCCAAAUUCAAUUUCUCCCUACUCUUUGAUUAUUUAAUUAUGAUUAUCUAUUGUUUAUUGCGUGUUGACUCUAACUUUUAAAUUGUUAACUAACCUAAUUAAAUUCCCAAACGAUAAGUUAAUUUCUUUACGUUGGCUUACCUUUAAUACAUUCUUAUAUUUGUUUUUGUUUUAUCUUACUAAUCAAAUGUAUUGGCCAUUUUUCAUUUUUAUUAAAUCUUUUGUUUUUAAAAGGACAUGUUUUGAAUGCCACUUCCUUUAAUCAUUUUGCUUAUUUAAAUGGUUUUAAAGUUAACACUUUUCUCAAAUGAACUAAAAUAAAAUAAAAUUGUGCGUGUUCUCUUUUUAUCAAUUGAUUUAAAAUGGUCUCAUGCUUUAAUUGGUUCAAAUUAUUAUCUUAAAAAAUGAAGUAAAUAAACUUUAAUUAAUCUAGUUUUUAUUGAAAUUCUAAUUACUCGUAUCACAAGUCCAAUGUGUCGUUUUGAAUUCUUUUCUCUAAAAAAAAAAAAAAACGAAAAAUGUGUCGUUUAUCUAAUUAUUUUCUCAAAAUUAAUUAAAUAUUGUAAAUUAUCAUAUUUUCCUUUUAUGUUAAACCAUUUUUUCUAAAAAUAGUCAAAAAUAUAUUUUAGUCAAGUCGCAGGUCAACCGCAUGUUAGCGGACACUUCGAGUGCUUACACCCUUCUCGAAGUGUAAAUUGAACCCCGAACCCUCUUUGGUAUUUUCAAAUGUAUUUUUUUUUCUGUUUAAAAUCUUUGGAAAUUAUAAGUUUUCUUAAUUUCUUUAAAAAUUAAGUGGCGACUCUUUUCUAAGUAUUUUUCUCAAAAAUGUUUUAUACUUAGAACAUUUCAAAAAGUGAUUUUUCUAGAAAUAGUUAAAUUACGACACAACAGCAUGCCUUAUUGAUCAGUAUUACUAUUUAUCUAUUUUUCUCUUAAUUUUGAUUUUUUUUCUUCAUGUAUUUAUUAAUAUUUUUAAAAAAAUAACUUACUUCCUCAUAAUUAGCAUAAUGGGCAGUUAAAUUAGGAAAAUAAUUAAUGCUCCACCUCACGUAGCAUCAGUUACUUUUAUGCUUUUAAUCACCAAUAAUUAAUUGGCUUCAUUGCUUUGCUUAUUCCUACUCUAUUUUCGAAUAUAUAUAUACUGCUUGUACUUUUUCUUUUGAGGUCUAAGGUAAGUGUUUUUCUCUGUUCUUUUAUUUUUUCUUUUUAUUUUAUUCUUGAUCCUUCAUUUUUAAUCUAUAUAUGUUAUCAUCAUCUUAUAACAUGCUAACUAAUAUGGAGUUCUUUUUUUACUUGAAGAGGUACAUUUUUAAUUAGUAUCAUUGUUAUUCAAAUUUUUACAAGAUUUUAUUGUAAUUUUUGUGAUUUAAGUGUGAUUUUUUUGAAGUCGUCAAUAUAUAUGAAUAUGUCUCUCUUUCUUUCUCUCUCUAUAUGAAGUCGUCAAAAUAUAUGAAUACGUCUAUAUAUAUAGUAUUAUAAUUAAAUUUUUGCAAGAUUUUAUUGUAAUUUUUGUGAUUUAAGUGUACUUUUUUUUUAAAUCGUUAAUAAUAAUGAAUAUGUCUCUCUAUUUACGUAACUAUAAUUUCGUAUUCAUAUAUUUUUUUUGUAUUACGUCACAAUUAUAUAUAUAUAAAAGAAGUGAAAUGUCACAAUCUUUUUCUCAAUUUUUUUAGACAUUUUUCUAGAUUUUUUAGAAAACGUAAAAAAAAACGUCUGUUUCUUAAAUUUGCAGGAAACGGGUCAUUUAUUGCUCAUUAUUGCCAUCUAUUAUUUUGUCACAUUAUUACUUUUUCUACCUCUAACAUCUCCUUAAUUCUCUCUUAAUUUUAUGUUUUAGUUAUUUUUAAUUGAUAGUAGUAAUUACCUUAAUAAAUGUCAAAAAAUAUUUCAAGACUUAUACAUCCACAUUUCAACACACAAAUCACAAUUGCAAGAUUUAAAUUUUUACUUUUUAUCUCUUGAUUAUCAAUAGACAUAAUGUAAAAUAUUAAUAUCAUUAUAUAUGAUUCGUAUUUAAUAAAGUUUGUAUGAUUUUUUAACGUUUUCGAUUGAUAAAAACAUUGUUUCAAUGCCUUUCAAAAAAUAAUAGCAUUUCUAUUGAUACCGCUCAAAACUAAUUGAUAAUGAGAUCGAUGACUAAAGAUGAACAUGGCACAAUAAUGAAUAUUAUCAUAAGAGAGGCUUAAGAAUUGACGGUUAGAUGAAAUUAGUAGGAGAUUAGAAAUGACAAAUUUGAAGAAAAUAAGAAGGAAAAAAGAAAGAUAUAUUUGAUUUGUAAUAUUAUUCUUUUUUAAUUUUUUUUCAAUUUCAAUUUUGUAAAAGAAAGGUAAAUGAAAUGGCAAAGGAAGGUAGCAUGUAGACGAGAUUGUUAGACAAGUUCAGAUAUUUAUAUUGUAAUCAAUUUUUUAGAUUUAAAUUUAAAAUAUGAACAUAUGCAUGUAAAGAGAUCAUUUUUUCUUCAAAUUCUACUACAAUUUUACAAAUGAUGAUUUUUAAAAAAAAGCAAGUAUUACUUAUAAAUUAGAUCAAAACUCAAAUUUUAAUGUAUAUAGAUAUAUAAGGUUUAAAAUAUUUUAAUCAUUCACAUGUUAUAAACAAAUUAUUAAAAAAAUUUAUUACCGUGCGAAGCACGGCUCAGUUCACUAGUAUAUUUAUAAAAAGAGAUGACAUAUAAAAUGAAAUGGAGAGUAUUAGUUUUUGAAAAUGGAAAAGGACAAGACACAUAUAAAAUUAAAAGGCAUAUAAAAAAAACAUAAAAAGUAACAUAUGUUAUUAAAAACUUUAAUAAAAAGUACUGUAAUUUACAAUAAAUAAUAACUUAAAAUAUCUACAAGACAACAAAAAAAAACACUAAUUUUUGUACUGCUUGUGUCACAUAAAUUAGGAUUGGGAUGAUUUUAAAAUUUUAAUUUUGGUUAUACAUUAUAAAAUAGCCGAAAAAAUGAAUGAUAUAAUUUUUUUAAAAAUAACCGAAUGAAUCGUCCUAUAGAUAACCCUAAUGUUUCUUCUACUCUGUUUAUUUUUACUUAAAUUUAGAAAGAUAUGCUUCAUUUCUACCCUCAAUCUUAUCGCUACAUUUAUUUGCUANNNNNNNNNNNNNNNNNNNNNNNNNNNNNNNNNNNNNNNNNNNNNNNNNNNNNNNNNNNNNNNNNNNNNNNNNNNNNNNNNNNNNNNNNNNNNNNNNNNNNNNNNNNNNNNNNNNNNNNNNNNNNNNNNNNNNNNNNNNNNNNNNNNNNNNNNNNNNNNNNNNNNNNNNNNNNNNNNNNNNNNNNNNNNNNNNNNNNNNNNNNNNNNNNNNNNNNNNNNNNNNNNNNNNNNNNNNNNNNNNNNNNNNNNNNNNNNNNNNNNNNNNNNNNNNNNNNNNNNNNNNNNNNNNNNNNNNNNNNNNNNNNNNNNNNNNNNNNNNNNNNNNNNNNNNNNNNNNNNNNNNNNNNNNNNNNNNNNNNNNNNNNNNNNNNNNNNNNNNNNNNNNNNNNNNNNNNNNNNNNNNNNNNNNNNNNNNNNNNNNNNNNNNNNNNNNNNNNNNNNNNNNNNNNNNNNNNNNNNNNNNNNNNNNNNNNNNNNNNNNNNNNNNNNNNNNNNNNNNNNNNNNNNNNNNNNNNNNNNNNNNNNNNNNNNNNNNNNNNNNNNNNNNNNNNNNNNNNNNNNNNNNNNNNNNNNNNNNNNNNNNNNNNNNNNNNNNNNNNNNNNNNNNNNNNNNNNNNNNNNNNNNNNNNNNNNNNNNNNNNNNNNNNNNNNNNNNNNNNNNNNNNNNNNNNNNNNNNNNNNNNNNNNNNNNNNNNNNNNNNNNNNNNNNNNNNNNNNNNNNNNNNNNNNNNNNNNNNNNNNNNNNNNNNNNNNNNNNNNNNNNNNNNNNNNNNNNNNNNNNNNNNNNNNNNNNNNNNNNNNNNNNNNNNNNNNNNNNNNNNNNNNNNNNNNNNNNNNNNNNNNNNNNNNNNNNNNNNNNNNNNNNNNNNNNNNNNNNNNNNNNNNNNNNNNNNNNNNNNNNNNNNNNNNNNNNNNNNNNNNNNNNGGUGAUUAAGAAAUCAUUAAUACAUUGGAAGACUUCACCAUUUUGCCCUUUGUUUAUAUCAAUGCAGAUUGAAAUGAGUUACAAAAAAUACACAUACAAUAUAGGAAUGGUCAUAUUUAUUGUAGGGGUAAAAUGGAAAAGAAUUAAUUAAUUCUAUCCUAAUUUAAUAAGUGCUCAAAUAAUAUAAAAAAAAUAUUUUUAGUAAGAGUCUCAUCUAUGGGACGGAGAGAGUAACAAUAUAACUUUAUUAAUGUUGGGCAGGGCAGCGCCCGGGCUUUCUUUACUAGUAUAUAUAUAAAGGAGAAACAUAAAAGAGGUGAUGUGGCACCUCUCUAUGACCUCCAUUUCUAUUUAUUUAUUUUGUCCUUUUUUUGGACAUUUUUUCAUUUUUNNNNNNNNNNNNNNNNNNNNNNNNNNNNNNNNNNNNNNNNNNNNNNNNNNNNNNNNNNNNNNNNNNNNNNNNNNNNNNNNNNNNNNNNNNNNNNNNNNNNNNNNNNNNNNNNNNNNNNNNNNNNNNNNNNNNNNNNNNNNNNNNNNNNNNNNNNNNNNNNNNNNNNNNNNNNNNNNNNNNNNNNNNNNNNNNNNNNNNNNNNNNNNNNNNNNNNNNNNNNNNNNNNNNNNNNNNNNNNNNNNNNNNNNNNNNNNNNNNNNNNNNNNNNNNNNNNNNNNNNNNNNNNNNNNNNNNNNNNNNNNNNNNNNNNNNNNNNNNNNNNNNNNNNNNNNNNNNNNNNNNNNNNNNNNNNNNNNNNNNNNNNNNNNNNNNNNNNNNNNUCACUUAUAUUAUUACUCUUUUUAGUUUUGUUUUACUACAUCUUUUCAUUCUUGAAAACUUAAAAUGUUACAUCUAAUUGUAUUUAUCUUCACAAAAUAAAUGUAUUGAUACUUGUAUACCUAUCUUAAGAUACUUGUAUGCCUACAUUUCCAUCUUUUGAUAUAUUUUGUCUUCUUUUUAUAUUUUAUUCAUAAUAUUUAUUUUCAAUUAAAUUCUUAAAAAUUAGAUGAUAUAAUCACAAAAAAUAUCCAAAAGAUAAAUACUUGAAAUAUAUCUACCUAUAGAUUUUAUCGUUUGUCUGCAAAUAAUUUCCUUAAUUCAAUAUAGUACAUUUCACUAAAAGACUAAAAGUGCUUAAGAAUAUUAAUUAUUAGAAAUAAAAAAAUAUAUACACAAGAAAAAGAAAAAAAAAUCACCACAAAUAUAUGACACUCACAUUUCAACUAAUUAAAUAUCUAAAAGAAUCAUAGUUCGAUAUAAAAUUCAAUUGAGAGAAAAAAAAAUUGAAUUUUAUGCAUAUGAGUUUCCUUAGUUCAUGCCUUCAUGGUAUUUAAGCAUGAUUAUAGGAAUUGUUAAAAUAGCUAUAUUUUGUGAGACUUAAAUAUUUUUUCAUUGCUCCAUACUCAUUAAGAUAUUUAAUAUUUCUAUUGUCAUUGGAAGGAAAAAAUUAAGAGUUAAUGAAGCAUAGAUAUCUUGCCCGUUAGCCUUUUCUAUAAAUACUCAAAUAGAUUGAACAUAUUAUUUUCUUUUUAGUACUACUUUAUGCAUUUAAGAAUCUUGAAAACUUAAAAAACUUCAUAACUUGAUUUAAAUUUUUUGAAUACCAUUAUAUUUAUACCUACUCACCAAAUGAAUAUCAACAUUAUUUUUAUUUAGUAGAAAAAUGGAUGGGAAACCUUAUUUUUUGUGUUUUAUAUUUCUAACCUAUAUUAAUUGUGAAUAUAUAAUGAGAUGUGUUUUAAAAAGAAAUUUUCUGAUAUCAUGUUUUCAUUUAAUUAUUUCUUGAGUAGCAAAGAGUAAUUAAAUAAAUAGAUACUUAGUGAAGAAACACGUAGUCAAAGGUCUGCUAACAAGCUAUUUUUAUAUAUAUUUUUUCAUAUUUACUUAAAAAAAAUAUAGAUAAUGUUUUAUGUAACUUUUGAUUUAAAAUUUUAAAACUUAAACUUUGAAAAAGACUUUUAUGUAUCUUAUAAUUUAUUCUAUUUAGAUUAUACGUUUGAAAGAAAUAUUGAAAAUAAAAUUGAUUAUAUUUUUUGAUGAUUUUAAUAUUCGAAUAUUAGAAAGAACGAAAAAUAAAUCAUGAAUUUGGUGGGCAUUUGACCAUAUAUAAUUAGAAAUAAGGCAUUUGGCCAUAUAUAAUUAGAUUUUUUUUUUCAUUUUACUAGAAUUUUUAAAAUCAGAGUUGUGUUUUAUUAUAAUUUUUUCACAAAUAAGACAAAAUAACAUUUUAUUUGAAAUUCUAAACAUGGAGUGUAAUUUGAUUUUUUCAUAGUCAAAAUUAAUUUUUAAAUAAAGUAAAAAUUAUUUCAGAAAAAAGACGGAUAAUAUAGUUUAUUUCUUCACGCGAAAUGCGGAUAAAUUCACUAGUAUAUAAUAAAUUACUUGAAUCAUCAAAAAAGAAUUUGCACAUUAAUUAAUCAGAACCGAUAGACUUAGGAAAGAUAUUAUUAGUCAUAGACUCAUAGGACUUGGAUCUUGUUCCAUAAUUACUAGUUAUAAUAACUACUGUAACAUUUAUAUAUUUAAUUAAGUCAAAUAAAUAUAAUCUUUUCCGAUUUUUUUUUAAAAAAAUAGCCUUGCGCCUUGUAAGGCUCAUGGCGGCUGAGCCUUACAAGGCUAAAAGUUGUUGCGCCUUGUAAUGCUCAUGGAUUUUUGCGCCUUGCGGCGGAAACUCUGAUUUAGAUACCGUUACAAAUUAUUGCCCUUUUGACUUCAUAAAUAAUUCAGUUUCCCUUUUGAAAUUUUCAAAAAAAAUUAUUGCCCUUUUGAUUCCGGACUCGUGUUUGAAUAGCGCCUAGAUUGGACAACUAACCUGAAUAGUAGUUAAUUCUGUGAGCACCUUGUACCAAACAUAAAUUAUAUCCUUUUCAUACGGAAUAUUGUAUUUAUGGCUUCUUUCUCAUUGGCCUAAAGGAUAUUGAGUUUAACUAAUAUUCAUUGUCGGUGGAAAUUUUAUAUUUUUACGAAUAGUGAAUUACAAUAUUGUUUUUAAAAAUCAUUUCCUUAAUUAUUUACUUCUUUUUCUUUUCACUCUUUAAUCCUAAGACUUAUUUUUUUUCUUGCUACCGUCAAUUUUUCUCCCUAAAGCUUUGCAUCUCGGUGUUAAAAAGAUAAUUAUUAUACCUCUCUUUAUUUGAAAAAAUUCUACUAACAACUAUUCUACAAAAAUGUAGAGUUAUAUUUAACUAAUUUAAAAAGUUACUUUUUUCGUCUAAAUUUAUGUAAGAAUUUGAAUUUUGAUAGCUAAACGAGUUAAUUUAUAUAUAUAUAUUUUAAAAGUAUAACUUAUAUUAUAGUAUUUUUCAAAUGUGUAAACUUAUUUUUAAAAAAAUUAAAAAUUUAAUGUCAAAAUUAAAAAGUUUAAAUAUCAUGGAGUGAAAAGUAUCAUAUAAAUUGAGAUAUUAAAAAUACUAUGUCAUUGAAGGGUGACAGUGAUUACUUAGAUUUGUUUUGCAGAAUGCUGCAAAGGUUGAUACUGUAAUUUAUUUAACUUUGAUGGUGUUAAACAUCAAUAAAGUAGAAAUUGACAUCAAUGAAAAACAAUACAAUAAAUUUUUAAAAAUUAAUAUUAUUUUACUUAGUUUUGAUUUGUUAAUAAAACCCGAAGAAACAUCAGUACCAUUCGUAAAAAGGUUUAACCAAAAUAUAUAACAAAGUUUUUUCAAAAUAUAUAUAAAAAAAUUACUAUUAAUUUAACCAUUCCUAAGACUAUUUUUAAUUAAUUAAAUCUAAAUUACUCAUUCUAGGAAAGUGAAUUUUUUUAUUAUGAAAUAGAGAGUAGUUGAAUUCAAAAGCGAUAACUUAAAUUCCUGCUUGAUCAUAAUUUUGAACUUGAAAUAUAAAUAUUUAAAUUUGAAAGUAAUUUUUAAAAUUUGAAGUUGUAUUUAAAUAAAAAUUUUUAAAGUUUUGUGAAUGAAAGCUUAAAAAAUUUGAAAACUUAUCCGAAUUAACUUUUAAAACCUAGUAUUUUUGUGAAGAUCGAUUUUCAAAAUUUAAUUCAAAAUUUAUGACUAAUCUCUAGCUAAAUAAUUGAUUAAGCGGAAAAGACAAGUCCUUUUCUUGUCAUUGAUCAAUCAACUCCGCCUUGCAAUAAUGAUGUGUAUUUUUUGUUUUAUUUUAAGGUGGGUCCAAUAAUGAUGAAAUUUAAAUUUUGAUAAAAUAGUUCAAAUCACCUUCAUCCCAAACUCAAAACACAAUUUUUGUUAUGUGAUUUUUGAAAAUCCCUAAAACUACUCGCUCAAAAUUAUAGCUUCAAAUUAAAGAAAAUGUUAGAUUUUUUAAAUGACAUUACGUCCAACACAUUAAGAAGUAAAAUUCAUAGUGACUAAUGUUAGUGAAAAAUUACAAUAUAAUAAAAUUGCAAGAUUACAAUUAAAAAUAAAAUAAAGAAAAUAAAUUUCUUUAGACUGAGACACGGAUUUCUUGCUCUCUUUAAGGAGAUUCAAGUCCACUGCAGCAAAUGUUUUUCAUCGGUCCAGCAGUAGUCCUUCUUGACCUGUCCACAAGGAUACAACAGCCUUACACAAAGUAUAACUCAACAACUCUGGACAAGAGUUGAGUCCAAAGCUCCACAAAAAGAAUACAUCCCUUCAACUAAUAAGAACUCUCUUUUUUGACCAACUCUUUCACUCUAUAUUUUCUUGUGUAUUGUGUGUUCUAAACCAAAUGAAGACCACCACUAUUUAUAGUUGGGGAUGUCUUCCUAGCAAUGAAUAGGAAGAUAAUGAGAUAGUAAAUAGUGAAGAUAAAUGACCUUAGGAGUUACAUAGAUUACAGGGUAUAAUGGAGGAAGAAUAAUGAAGAAUGAAUGGCAAAGGCCACCAACGGCUAAGAGUGCUAACAAGAAAUGUUGUAACAUAACAAACAAUAACUCCAAAUGGAGUAAUGCAGCAAAUAAGUGCCACCAACGGUCAAUGUCAAAAACGUCAAGUAAUGGGCAAUUAAGCCUCAAAACAUUGAUUCCAAAAUACAAUUUAAGUGGCCACUAACAUUCUGAUAGGAAUAGCUGCAAGAGGAAUGGGAAAUAUGCACCUUAACCAUUAUUUACUAAUAUUAAAAUGCUCCCAAAUCAACAAUCCCCACUCAUUAUAAUAUUAAUCAAGUGAGUCUAUUAGCUGAAGGAAGACUAAUAUGCAUAAUGAAUGUGUGCUCUGCAUUGAACCUUCACUUAGUUAAACAACAAUUUUUUACUCCAGAGUCGUAAUGGUCUCAGACUUGAACUAUGAUUGCUUAGUGAAAAUAAAAUAUCAUUAUCCACACAUAAUAAUCAAGGUGCUGACAAGAGCUUUAACAGCCAGCACAUUAUGGCCUUGUGCUAUCCCGGUUUCAUGAGUGCUUUUGAGAAUAAGCCAAAUUCUCAUAGGAAGCGACCUACUUCCACACAUCACAUUUGUGAAAUCUGUCGAGAAUGCUCCUGUAAUCUUAACACUCCACCCAUAUGAGCUACAUAUAUUCAUUAAGAGUUUUAUCAACUCAGCCUUCACAAACUACAGGAAACAAUGCACUCACAUCAUAGGGAGGGAAUAAAAAGAUAGUGCAUUUUUCACAACAAGUCAUCACCUGAUUAGUUUUUCCCUUUGAACUUGGUUAUAUGAUCUCUAGUCCCCAAGUUGGGUUUCCUCAUAUAUGACUCAAGGAUUUGUAGGCUUCAAUCACAUCCCCCUCGAUGUGCUCUAGACCUUUUCUCUCGUUAAGGCCUUAGUAAAAGAAUGUGCAAGAUUAUCACAAGAUUUGACAUAAUCAACAUUAAUGGUACCAUUUGUCAAAUAUGAUCUUACAUUAUUGUGUUUCCUCCUUAUAGGUCUGGAUUUACCGUUGUAAUAACAGUUUUGAACUCUAACAAUCGCAGCAAUGCUAUCACAAUGAAUUAAAAUAGGAGGAAUUGGUUUUUCAAAAUAAGGAAUUUGAAACAAUAAAUCUCUUAACCAAUUCGCUUCCUCACCAGCUAAAGCUAAAGCAAUUAGUUCAGUCCCCAUGGUAGAGUUAACAAUUAUAGUUUGUUUUUUUUAUCUCCAAUAAAUAGCACCACCACCCAAAGUAAAGACAUAAUCAGUGGUAGAACAAGAAUCACCUGAUAAAGUGUUCCAAUCUGCAUCACAAAAGCUUUCAAGUACAACAAGACAUUUUUAUAAAACAAAUCACAAUUUUUCGUUUCAAUUAAUUAUCCCGUAACUCUUGUCACAACAUGUCAAUGCUCAUUACCUAGCUAGUACUCUUACUGCAUAUGCAAUAUCAGGCCUAGUACAAUCAGUCACAUAUCUCAAACUUCCGAUUAUGCUAGCAUAUUCCUUUUGAUUUAUUAUCAUUUUCACUUUUAACAGGAAAUAAGUGAACACUUUAAUCAAAAGGAGUUGCAACAUGUUUGCAAUCAAGAAAGUUAUAUUUUUUCAAAAUUUUCUUAACAUAAUGUGACUGGUCAAGGAAAAUUCCAUCACAUGUUCUUGUUAUUUUUAUUCCAAGAAUAACAUUUGCCUCACCAAGAUCUUUCAUAUCAAAAUGAAUUCUAAGAAUAUUCUUAGCUUUAUCAAUAACAUUCAUGUUAGAGCCAAAGAUCAAUAAAUCAUCAACAUAUAGGCAAAUAAUCACAUGUGAAUUAUUCCAAGACUUAUGAUAUAUGCACUUAUCACACUCAUUUGUUUUAAAACCAUUUCCAAUCAUGCAAGAAUCAAACUUUUCAUGACAUUGUUUUGGUGCAUGUUUCAAGCCAUAUAGGGAUUAGUAAGUUUACAUACUUUGCUUUCUUGGCCUGCUUCAACAAAAGACUCGGGUUGUUCCAUAUAAAUUUUCUCAUUUAGGUCUCCAUUUAAAAAGACAGUUUUUACAUCCAUUGAUGAAUUUGCAAAUAAAAAAUUGCAGUCAUAGCAAUUAAAAGUCUUAUGGAUGUAAUUCUUGUUACUGGUAAAAAGUAAUCAAAAAAUUCUAGGCCUUCUAGUUGUUUAAAACCUUUUUGCAACUAGUCUAGCCUUAUAUUUAUCAAUAGAUCCAUCCAGUUUCAACUUUUUUCUAAAGUCCCAUUUGCAACCAAUAGUUUUACAACCUGGUGGUAAAUCAACUAACUUCCAAGUUUUAUUAGAAAUUAGUGAUUCCAUUUCAUCAUUUAGUUUACAGCCUCUUUCCAAAAAAAUGGAAUCAUGUGAAGAUAAAGCUUCUUUUAAAGUGAGAGGGUCAUCUCCAACAUUAAACACAAAAAAAUCAGGACCAAAAUCUUUUUCUACUCUAGCUCUUUUACUUCUUCUUAACUCAAAAUCAUCAACUUCUUUAUUUUUCAAAGUUAGAGUAGAAGAAUUAGGUAGUGACAAAAUAUUUUGUUUAAUUCUUUGACCCCCACUAUUUUUAGAAUCAAAAGGAAAUUUAUUCUCAUGAAAAAUAGCAUCACCCGAUUCUAUCACAAUAUUAUCUUUAAGAUUAAAAAAUCUAUAGAUUGUACUAUUUGAAGCAUAACCAAGAAAAACACAAGUAGUAACUUUCUUACCCAAUUUUGUGAUCUUGGGAUCCAUUAGCCUUACAAAGGCUAGACAAUCUCAAACUCUUAGAUAUCCCAAACUUGGCUUGUAACCUUUUCACCAUUCAAAAGGUGUUAAUUUAGACUUUUUAUGAGACACACCAACACAUAACAAGCAGUCAAAAUAGCUUCACCCCAAAAAUUUAAAGGUGCAUGUGACUCAAUAAGCAUGACAUUAGUCAAUUCAAAUAAAGUUCUAUAUUUUCUUUCCGCUACUCCAUUAGAUGAAGGAGAGUAAGGAGGAGUAGUUUCAUGAAUUAUUCCCAAUGAUCUAACAAAAGAAUUAAACUCAUUUGAUUCAUAUUCACAGCCUCUAUCACUUCUAAUUUUUUUUACUUUUCUUCCAAAUUGAUUUUCAACCUCAUGGAGAUAGUUUCGAAAUUUUCAAAAGUAUCACUUUUAAUUUUCAUUAGGUAAACAUACGUAAACUUAGAAAAAUCUUCAAUCAAAGUGAUAAAAUAUCUAUUAGCUCUAUAAGUUAAAAUUCCGCCAAGUUCACAAAUAUCAGUAUGAACUAAUUCUAACAAAUCAGUUUUUCUUUGAACUUGUAAAUGAGGCCUUUUAGUGAUUUUGGCUUUACUACAAGCCUCACACUUUUCAACAUUCUUUUUAACCAUUGGGAUCAAUCCUAAACUACUCAUGAUUCCAACAUAACGAUCAUUAAUAUGACACAAACGAGCAUGCCAAAAAUUAGUAGAGGAAAGCAUAUAAACAGAAGUAUAAGCUUAAUUCACUUCUACAUUCAAUUUGACCAUCCCAUCACAUGCAUACCCCUUUCCCAAAAAAAUAUCCUUCUUCACAAUUACAUAUUGAUCAGAUUCAAUGAUUUGUUUAAAGCCUGCUUUAUUAAGAAGAAAACUAGACAUCAGAUUUUUCUCAUGGAAGGAGUAUAGAGUACAUCUUUCAAAGUUAAUAUUCUUUCAAAAGUAAAACACAAUUCGACAUCUCCCGUUCCAAGCACUUGAGUUUUGUGAGAAUCACCAAGCAUGAUGGUUUUGGGCUCCUCAAAAUGAGUAUAUUUUUUUAAAUCAGUCUUUAUCAUAACAGACAUGACGGUUUGCACCAGAAUCAGCCCACUAUCCAUCAACACUCUCAACCAUGUUUAUGUCGAUAAUCACCGCCACAAAAGGUUCUUCGGUAACGUUUGCCUGAGGGUUAGGACCACAUUUCCGGAAUCUGCAAAAUCGAGCAAUAUGCCCACUCUUGCCACAAACAAAGCACGGUCCCUUAUCUUGAACUUGUUGAUUUUGUGCUUGGCUAUUUUGACCAUUAUUUUUCUUGGUAGGUCUACUAUUAUUUUUCUUAAAUUUUUUCUUCUUAGGCUUCAAAGAAGUAUUUUUGUGAGUUGAUGUUGCUCUCUUCUUUUUGUAAAAAGUUCAUCUUGGCCCCUUGCCUCUUCACCAUUGUACUUUUCCACUUUCUCAUGAUGAGAAAUAAGUUCAUCAUCAUCCAUGGAGGUGUCAUCAACUUUAUUAGGAUUCUUCUCAGUUAACACAUAAGAAACAUAGAGAAGAUUUAAGUAGAAAUGUACUUUACCCUUCCAUCUUUUGAAAUGGUUACCAUUGAACCGAAAUGACUUGUUCAGGUCUCCCAACUUGACAUCCGUGGUUUUUUCAAUUGUAGCCAUUACUAAAUCUCCUUAAAAUUGUUAGUGAAAAAUUAAAAAAUAAUAAAAUUGCAAGAUUUCAAUUGAAAAUAAAUCUCUUCAGGCUAAGACGCGGAUUUUUCGCUCUCUUUAAGGAGAUUCGAGUCCACUACAGCAAAUGUUUUUCAUCGGUCCAGCAGUAGUCCUUCUUGACUUGUCCCCUCAAGGAUACAACAACCUUACACAAAGUAUAACUCAACAACUUUGGACAAGAGUUGAGUCCAUAGCACCACAAAAACCCUUCAACUAAUAAGAACUCUCUUUUUUGACUGACUCUUUCACUCUAUAUUUUUCUUGUGUAUUGUGUGCUCCAAACCAAAUGAAGACCACCACUAUUUAUAGUUGGGGAUGUCUUCCUAGCAAUGAAUAGGAAGAUAAUGGAGUAGUAAAUAGUGAAGAUAAAUGGCCUUAAGAGUUACAUAUGUUACAAGGUAUAAUGGAGGAAGAAUAAUGAAGAAUGAAUGGCAAAGGCCACCAACGGCUAAGAGUUGGUAAAUUGAGUUACCAACCAAAUGUCAACUUAUAUUAAUCCGUUGCUAAAAGGUUCGUCGGUAAAUAUUACCAAUCGAUUUUAAUUUGUUGGUAAACUUAUCAACCAAAAAUCAGUUGGUAAACACCCAAAAAUGUUACAAAAUUUUGAAACAUGGUCCUGAAAUUUCAGUUGGUAAAUUCACCAACUAAUUUUUGGUUAGUAUAUCGUUAGUACCUUUACUAAUGAAUUGAAAAGGAGUUAGUAAAUUUUUUUCUGCAUUAUUCGAUUCCGUUAGUAAUACGUUUGAUAGUAAACUUUUCUAGAUACAUUGGUAAUUGGUUGACAAUUUUAGUAACAGAAAAUUUAUGUUGGUAAUUUACCAAUAAGUUUUAAAUACUUUUUUUUUUGUUUUCCAUCCGGUGUCCGGUAUCCACAUUGGAGCCCGACUAUGCGAAUCCGUACCCAAGGGGAAUCGAACCUGAGACCUCUUGGUUAAGGAUGGAGGAGUACUUACCACUCCACUACAACCCUUAUUGGUAAUAAAUUUUAAAUAUGUUAGUAUGAUUAUUUGUUUUUCUAAUAAAUCUACUAAUUGAUUGUUAGUUUGUUGGUAAUAUAUCAUUCCAGUUCAAUGUUAGGUUAGUAAUUGAUUGCAAUAUGCUCAAAAAAUUAUUAACUGAAUGAUUAUCCAAUAGUAAAAUAUUUAUUAAUUUAUUGCAUUUAGAAAUUUAAGAGCAUGAAUAUAAAUCCAAAAAUAUUAAUAUCAAUUUUAUAAAUCAUAUUUGAAUGAAACAAUGUAAACUCUAUGAUAACAACUUAAAUUAAUCUCAAUAUGACACAUAUCAUUAUAUCAAAAAUUUUAAUUUGAGCACGUUUACCAAAAAUAUUGACCAAAUCUAAAUUUUGGCCAAAAGCUUAAAAGUUAAAACGCCUAACAGCACAAACUAAAAAUGGAAGCCUCAAAAUCUGAACCAACCAUCCUAUUAGAUAUAAAAAUGACCUUUUGAAGCUAAUCGCGCUGACGGAAUUCUCAUCAGAGCAUGUUUACAAAAAAUGUUAAGCAAAGUCAAAUUUUGGCCAAAAGUUAAAAGUUAAAACGUUUAACGGUACAAACUGAAUAUGAAAACCUCAAAAUCUAAAGCAACCAUCCUAUAAGACGAAAAAUGACCUUCCAGAGCUAACCGCACUGACGAAAUUCAAAUUUGAGCAUGUUUCCCAAAAAAAUUGACCUAGUUCAAAUUUUAGCCAAAAGUUAAAAGUUAAAACUCUUGUUGACACCCAAUUUUGACCCUCCCCGAUAGGAAUUAAUUCACGAGCUUCUUAAUUCCCAAACAAUUUAGAAUAAUUAAUAAAAGUCAAAUACUUUACAAAGUAAUUUUAAGUGACCUUAGUCGAUUCUCAUAAUUUAUAAAUAAGUGGAUAUAUUUCAUAUAGUUUUAUAGAUAUGAUCGGUAUGUUUCAUGAAUAUUUGAAAAUCAUCUCAAAAAGAUUUUAUUUUAAAUAUUAUAUUAAAAUUAGUUUAGUUUAGAUUGUGGUUAAUUUUAAAAAUCAAUUGGUUUAUAGUUGAAUUAAUUAUUUUAUUUUGUUAAGAUGAGAAGCUCAUAAAUUAAUUAUACUAAUUCAUCUUAUUUAUGUUUAGCCGAAUUUGCAAAUGAGUUCAAUUUGGUUAAAGAUUCGUAAUCUUGAUUGGCCAAUUACAAUUCAACUUGGCUAAAUUAGUAAUUCACUUGGCCAUAUAAAAAACUAAAGUUUUGGGCCCUACUUCUAAUUCCUAGCAGCCCACACCUUUGUUCCCAUUUCCUAGCCCAUUUCCUCCUCUAAAUUUUCCAGCCCAAUCCCUAUUAUCCCUCAACCCGACCCAUCCAGACCAGCCCAAUAAAACCUGACCCGACCCCAUCCCCUUUUCCUUCUAAUUCCAGGUCAACGCUAACACAACAAUAUCAUAACAACGACAGCAUCUCACGGAAAACAACCAACAACGUCAAUUCCAAUAGACGGAAAACAGCGAUUCCAAUCGGCGAAAUACACGGCAAGUUCACGCCUUGGACGCGUGAAUCAAGUUCUCUACGAUUUAUUGUUGUCUUCCCCCAACGUCCCUUUCCGUAGUACUGUUCCAGCGCUUUUCCAGCCAAUGAAUCGUCCUUACAACUUGAGAUCGAGCCACGUAGCUCCUAAAGGACGAUGAGUUGAUCAUAGAGCGUCAAUUCACCCUUUUCUCUUUCGGAAUAGAGCGGAAUUUCAGAAAAAGGUUAUCUCUCCAGAAUUGUGAAUGAAUCUUUGAGUUUGAAUUCGAAAUAGGCCCUGAAAUCUGAGAUUUUUAUCCCUUUCCCCCCAUUUUUUGAACCCUAGUUCUCUUCUAUAUAUUCCCCCUUAUUCAUUGUAGAUGGGGGAGAUUUUUUUUGGGGUUGAAAAUUUGUAGAACAAAAAUACACAUAAUAGCUUAAGCGAAAAUAGCUAAAAUAUAUAUACUAAAUACUCCAAGAAAAAUAGAGAAAAUACUUAAUUUUGGUGUUUGAGUUUGAUAUCUCUACCCAAACAUUCUGAUUCGCUGUUCGUGUUUGAGUCUCGGUGUGGUGGAGGUCAUUGUUUUGCUCGUCUUGAUCCCUGCUCGCUGCCCUCAAGAAGGUAAAAAUCUCUCAUUUUAUUUCUGCUCAUUUGACCUCCAGUUAUUCUGCAUUUCUUCUGUUUAUGCGUUUAGCUGAGACCUUUCAAUCUGGAGUUGUGGUUAUUUUUUUGUGUAUUUUUUAAAUGCGUAAGCUUGUGCUAUUUAGCUGUCAUUUGUUUACUGCGGGGUUCAUUUGUGAAGCAUCUUGAAUAUUGACACUUUAUUUCUAUUUUUGUUGUACUUACUGGUUAAUCGAGUCAAUCUUAGCAUGUUCUAUUAUUGCCUUAUGCUCUAAUUUUUUAUGCGUAGCGUUUUCUACGGCUUGUCUCCCUGAUGUUAGUUUGGUUAAGUGAAAGUAUUAUAGUUUGAGUAAGUCUCUAAUAGCUUCCAUGCCAAAAGAUAUCCUUGUAUUUGAUAUAUAUUUGUUUUGAGUGAUUUUGCAUUGGUUUGCUGUUGAAAUUUUCUUUAGUGGAGCUCUAGUUAUUAGUAAGACUUUCGUCACUUUCAGUUUUGUAUAGUUGCUUAAUUCAUAUCGUAGAUUGUGUAUCUUCCUCGAAGAAAUGUCCCUUUGGCAUAAAAUAUUCAUAGAUGUUCUCUGUUCAACUAGUCAUUUAACAAAUGUGUACAUUUGGAAAGGACUGAUUAAUUUUUCUCAAAUCUGUUAUUAAUCUGAUCACUUAUAUUUGUUUAUUUUGAUAUCAUUGCACGCAAGUCGUGGUUGGUCCCUUUUACCUAUGGUAGUGGUUUAGUCCCUUGCUUAGUUUAUUCAUUUAUUUUGAGGGUGAAGUUCAAUAUAGUUUACGUGUAUUUUUUUUUUACUUGAAAGCAUGACAUAUUUUAUUUUUUCUAUUUUUAUUUUUUGUUUUAUUUUCUUCUUUUUAUUUUGUUGUUCAUGUAUACUGUUGUUAGUCACUAUUCUAAUUUAUUGAUUUAAAUAGUUAGUAUGCUCUUCUAAUUACUCCUUUAAGCUAGGGUGCUCCAUAUAAUGCGACUGAAUCUAAAAAUCUUGCUUUAAUUAUUAGCAUCCUUUAUUAGCAUGUCUGCCUAUUUAAUAAGUUGAAUAACAUUUGUUUGCUAUGGGUUUUAAGUGUCAAAUAGCAGCUUAAACGGUCUUUAUUUUAGCAUGACUUGGAUUUAGUGUCUUUGGAGUUUGUAUCCCUUUGUUCAGGUCCAUAUUGUUUAAGUUCAACCGAGUUAUUUACUUUGUAUUGAUUUAGGGGCUGUUAUGAUUCGCUUUAGAGAUGUUGUUGCUUUAUUAUUCUAUGGUACUAAUUCUUAUUAUCAUUUUGUUGCAUGUGAAAUUUUUCUGAGUUCACCAUGAACUCCUUUUUCCUCGCAUUUUGAGAAAGCCGUAAAGGCUUAAAUCUCUCAUUUCGAAUCAGCCAGUCGUGAAAUCAAAGAGCAGGUCCUAAAAAUUGACGAACAUGUGUUUGGAGCUAAUACAAGAUUGUAUACACUAGUAUACACCUAGUGUAUACAAAAUGGAAAUGGGCCAAAAGUGUCACGCCCCGAGCCUACACCCUGGGUGGGACUGGCACUCGAAGACCGUUGCUGGCCCCAAGUGAACUCUUGGUCUAACUUACUUAACUCAGCGGAAGACUUAACUCAUCGCAUAAACAUUUAUGAAGAAACUUGAAUGUCAUAAAGGAACAUUCAAUUGCCAUUUAGGCAAACUCAAGUCUUUAACAUAAGAAAUGAAAAGUAAAGACAAUUGAAAUAACUAACUAGUCUGUCUGUCUAUGAAGCCUCUAAAACAACUGAGAUAGAUGUUGGGACAAAACCCCCACAACAUCCUAAUGGACUAAACUAGAAAGCAAUGAAAAUAGAUCCUCCGGAAUGCAAGAAGGCUCAUCGACUGACUCUGAAUUGCUCACUGGAUCAAUGGUGCGCUGAAAUGCCGAUCCUAGUUACCUGUGUCUGCAUCAUAAGACAAUACAGGCCAACUGGCAUCAGUACAUUGAAUGUACGAGUAUGCGAGUUGGAAUGCUAAAACAACAUAGGCUUGAAAAGGAAUCUGAAAGAAACUGAAGAACUUACUUGGCUCAGCUCAACUCAACUCAACAUAAUUGAACUCAUUUCAAUAUAAAACAAUUUAAAACAAGUGCAAUAUAAAGAAAAGCUAUUUAAAANNNNNNNNNNNNNNNNNNNNNNNNNNNNNNNNNNNNNNNNNNNNNNNNNNNNNNNNNNNNNNNNNNNNNNNNNNNNNNNNNNNNNNNNNNNNNNNNNNNNNNNNNNNNNNNNNNNNNNNNNNNNNNNNNNNNNNNNNNNNNNNNNNNNNNNNNNNNNNNNNNNNNNNNNNNNNNNNNNNNNNNNNNNNNNNNNNNNNNNNNNNNNNNNNNNGCCAAAGGUAUAGGACCUGAACUACUAAUGGAUCCACAAGUAUAUGUGAAAAGGGUUCAUCUAAAAAGUAUGAACCUUUUCUAUCCAUGAUGGCUACAUGGUUUAUGGGGGGUGUGAGUUGUUUGAACUCUCCCCCAUAUUGGUGCUCAAUACUACUCCCAAAAUAUACUAGCUCUUAUGUUUUAAAACAUACUUCUUCUGUGAUUUGAGAUUAGUGCUCAAAAAACUUAGCUCAAAGGUUAUCUUGGAAAUCUCAGUUUCCCUGCUUUCUUCAUUUAGAAAGCUAAUACCCUUUUCUGAAACUAGCCCAAAUGUUCUUUGGAAAUCUCAGUUUCCGUUCUUAUUUAAAUGUGAAAAUAUUUUAAAUCUCUUUGGGAAUACUUAGUCCCCAUAUACUUUUGAAGAAAUGAACUUCAAACUUUACUCUUUACUCAUUACUCAACUUGAACUUUAAGUCUUAAAAACAAAGUUAAAAGCAUUUGCAAAAGACUUCUUGAAAAGACUCUAAGAACUUCUUAGACUUGGCUCUUGACUUUCCUUGAAUUUAAAUUUAGGAAUUCAAGGUUAUGGUUUAUGUUUCUGGAUGAUUUCUAGAUGUUUAGAAGUCAUUUAGAGUAGUUAGAAUCAAUGGAAAGUGUUAAUACACUUUAAAAUAACUUAAACGGACUGAAUGACAAAAACUGGGUGAAAAAUGACUAUUUGGGCGCAUCCGGGGCGCGCCGCGCCAGCCCUUACCUUUCUAGGGCUCUAUUCUGGCACGCCGCCCCUGCCUUCCUGGCGCAAUAGGGGCGCGUCGAGCCAGCCUUCCCACAGACACAAACUAACGAAUUUUUGACCUCAUUUUCUAAUCCUAAAUCAUUUUAAUCAUAUUCUUUUUCUCAAAUUUACUUUAGAUUCAUGUACUUAAAUUAUAUACACAAAAAUCUAACCCAAACAACUCAAGGAAACAACACUUUAACAUCAAGAAGAUCCUUAAUCCCAUCUCAUAUUCAAGAACGAAAUCAACUCAAGAACCACAUUCAUAUUACAUUCAAAAUCCAAUCUUUUGGAGAUGAAAUCACUGAAUCAAACAUGCUUGGCACGUGGGUGAACGAACCCAACGUUGAGAUAGACUCACAUACCUUAAUUGAUUGAAUCCUCAGCGAAAUUCGCAAGCAAUUCCUUAUGACGACGACGAAUCUAGCUUUUUCCUCCUUUCUCUUUUCUUGCGUUCUUCCUCCAAAACCCUAGCUCUAUUUGGUACUCCCUCCGUCCCUAUUUACUUGUCCAUAUUUCCUUUUUUGGUUGUCCCUAUUUAGUUGUCCAUUUUGACAAAUCAAGAAAGGACAACAAAUUUUUUCCUAUUAUACCCUUAUUUACACUUCUUGAAAAAUUGUAAAAAGUGUAUGUUGUUUCCCUCCAAUUUAUUUCACUUGAAUUCAAAUAAGUGGUUGUAAUUUUAAAGUGAAAAGUUGUCAUAAGGGUAAAAUUGUAACUUCACUGUGCUAAUCAUUGUUGCCUUAAUCUGUGUGCCAUUUCUAAAGUGGACAACUAAAAAGGGACGGAGGGAGUAAAUGUCUACCCCUAAACGAAAUAAAUUCGGAUAGAACAAUUGGGUAAGAAAAGGACCAAACUACCCUUUAAAAAUUCGGAUAGAACUUUCCUUAUUCCAACAACCCAACUUCCAAAGGGAAUAACUCACUCAUACAAACUCGGAAUCGCGCAAAAUUGGUGGCGUUGUAAAGUCGUUCCAAGAGCUUUCCAACCAUAUUUGAAAUUACACCUAAAUCAUCCUAAUCUAGGAGUUAUGGUCGUUUGAAGUUAACCAGAAACUCACUAUUUUCUAACUUAGCCAAUUCCCGGAUUUUUUUUAUUUCUUUCCAAAAAUGACUAUUCCCAAUUUUAACUUUUUUCUUAGUUAUUUCAAAUUGCGAGAUGUUACAAAAAGACCCCAAAUUCAGCAUUGUAUUUUGUUAUUUUGGGCCUAAGCUCACUUAUUUGCUAUUACUUGUUAGUUCUUAGGACAGGUGGAAAAUUGGGCCUAAGACCCAGAGAACCUUUUUUUUAUGUUAGUUUAGGACAGUUGCAGGCGACUCAAAUAGGCUAAAGGGCCAAAACAAAAAUGGGCCCAAAUACUGGCCCAGACGAACAGGAAAAUCAGAUUUGGGCCCAAGUCUCUUUCCCUCUUUGUUUUAUGGAAAAAUUACAGAAAUCUCACAUUUUAGUUUAUUUAUUACCAUUAUUCCCUAUAAGUUUUACAAAUUUCCAAAAUCCCUCAUUUUCGGGCAUCAGAUUAGUGUAUCAACACUUAUAUUAUUGUAUCUCAUACAUCAGAUUAAUGUAUCAACACAUAUAUUAUUGUAUCUCGCGCAUCAAAUUAAUGUAUCAACGCUUAUAUCAUUGUAUCUCGCGCAUGUAUCAGCGCUUAUAUUAUUGUAUCUGUUUGAGGGAUUUCUGUAAUCAUAAACUUUUAAGGGAUAGAUUGUAAUUUUGCUUUAAAAGUAUGUGAUUUCUGUAAUUUGCCCUUGUUUUAUUGUGUUCGUUUACUUGUCAAUAUCUGCUAUUUAACCUCAAGGUUUUAAAAAUUCAAAUCCCCGAAAGAUAUCCAUUUUGAAUUAAUUGCUUAACUAAAUUAUUCCUCUUUUACUUGACUUAAUACAUAAAUAAAUAAAUAAGUUUACAAAAUAUUUCACUUAGAUAAUAUUUCAAUAUUUUUCUUUUUCUCCCUUAAAAUGGUCCUAACUAUAAAAUAGUUCAGUUUUGCAAUUCAAGCUAAGUUAAAAUUAUUUUAGCCAAAUAAUUAACUGCCGGAUAACCGCGUAUUAGCGGGCAUUUCAGAUGCUUUCAAACCCUUCCUGAAAUGCUAAUAAGAACCCCGAACCCUUUUUAAGUUUUCAUUAGAUUUUCUGUUUUAGUCUUUUGAAAACAAUAGUUUUCUUAAUUUUACUUUAAAAAUUAAGUGGCGACUCUAAACCAGUCUAAUCAUAUUUUUAAAAUAAAAUAACUCUUAACGACACAAACUGAAAAUAAAAGUCUCAAAACCCAAACCAACCAUCCUAUGAGAUCAAAACUGAACUUAUAUGGCUAACCGCAGUGACAAAAUUUCAAUUCGAGCACGAUUAUCAAAAAUAUUGACUAAAGUAAAAUUUUGGCCAAAACUUAAAAGUUAAAAUACCUAACAACACAAACUAAAAAUGGAAGCCUCAAAACCCGAACCCUCUAUCUUAUUACAUAAAAAAUGACCUUCCGCAUCUAAUUGCAUUGACGAAAUUCUCAUCUGAGCACAUUUAUCAAAUAUAUUGACUGAAGUUAAAUUUUGGCCAAAAUUUACAAGUUAAAACAUCUAACGACACACAAUAAAAAUGAAAGCCUCAAAAUCCAAACUAACCAUCCUGUUAGAUAAAAAAUGACCUUUGGAGUUAAUUACGCUGACAUAAUUCACAUCUGAGCACGUUCACAAAAAUAUUGACCAAAGUCAAAUUUUGGCCCAAACAUAAGAUUUUAAACACCUAACGGCACAAACAAAAAACGGAAGUGUCAAAACUUGAACCAACCUUCAUGCUAGAUAAAAAAUGACCUUUCGAGGCUAAUGACACCGACACAGUUCUAAUCUGAGCACGUUUACCAAAAAUAUCGAUCAAAGUCAAGUUUUGGCUAAAAUUUAAAAGUUAAAACGCCUAACGACACAAACUGAAUAUGAAAGCCUCAACACUAGACACCGAUUUACCAAAAGUUUAACUUCAAUUGAUAAAUUUACCAACUAUUCAAAUAUAAGUUAGUAAUUAAUAAUUUACCAAUAAAUUUUAUCACAGUUGGUAAUAGUUAUUAUUCAACUAAACAUUUAUAUGUAAUAUUACCAACUAAUAAUUAAUAUGUUGGUAAAUUUUACCAAUGAAUUAAUGAUUGGUUGGUAUAUUACCAACUAUUUAAUGAUGUUAGUAAUUUACUAACUAAAAUCUUUAUUCGUCGGCAAACUUUUCAACUAAUUGGAUAUUGGUUGGCAAGUUUACCAACAAAUUACAUUUCGUUACUAAUUUACCAACACAUUUAUAUUUGGUUGGUAAAUUUAGCAACACAAUCUUGCCGUUGGUAAAUGUUUGGUUAGUAAUUCAUUGGUAAUAUGUUAAUAAAUUAUAUAAACAAUUUUUUGUCAUAUUUACCAAUCGAUAUAUACUUCGUUGGUAAUAUUACCAACAAAAGGUGUGCGUUAGUAAUAUUUCAGUUGGUAAUCCAUUGAUAGAAUGUUGCUAAAUUUGGCGCCAUUUUUUCCCGCCGUAUUUACCAACUAAAAUACUUAGUUAGUAAGAUUUUGGUUGGUAAUCUGUUAGAAUUUCGUUGUUAAGUUUUAAAAUAUAAUUCAGUUAGAAAUAUGUUGGUAAUUUGUUAGUAGAAUACUAACCAGCUUAAGUUGUUAGUAAAAUCUGUUGGCAAUUUGGGGUUUUUUUUUAGUGAAUGGGAAAUAUACACCUUAACCAUUAUUUACUAAUAUUAAUAUGCUCCCAAACCAACAACUAAUGCUAAGAAAAUUCUGAUUCAUAGCAUUGAUCAAUCAAUUUUAUUUUAUUUUUGUAUUAUUAUAUAAACAUUUUGUCUUAAUUGGAGGAGUUUACUGAUUGGAAUCUAAAAUUGUUAAGAUUGUUUUUAACAAGGCUAAAAAUAGAAGGUGUCCUAAGGAAAUUGGGAGAGGUACUAGCAAUAUAGCCUAGGCCAUAGCAGCUUAUUUUGGAACCAAAUGGUGGGUGAGAAAUGACUAUUCAAACUUUAUUUUAGAAUGUGAUUUCCUGAUUAUAAUUAAUAUGAUCAAGGAUAUAUCUCAAAUGGCCUGGAAAUUGCUGCAAAGAAAGAAUAUAUUCUGAGUCACUAGCUAUGAUUUGUCUUUUUUUAGUUUUUGUUAGACCUGUUUUCAAAGUAGUAUAUUAAUGCUUGUUAACGGAAGUUUACGCUAUCGUUCCUCACUACUUAUUUUCUGUAUAAAUUUUGGAUUAAAUAAAAGGAUUACACAGCUAAAGACAUAAAAUUUACAUUAAAAAAUGCAAAUUCAUGAAGUUUGGGGGUGGGGGUUAAUGUUUCAUUUAUUAAUUAAUUCUAUUUUAAUUCACUCAAUUUACUCCAUGUAAGAGAGUUGCACUAAUUCGAGCUAAAUAGGUAGUCGAUCUAGAUUGACUCACGACUUGGCCGACUCUUACUUUAAAAAAAUUAAGGCAUAUGCCUUAGGCUCUUAAUUUUGGAGGGAUUAAAUUUUUACUAAGAAUAAAUUUUGUGUUUUUUUUUUUUAUUUAUAGAAAAAUGAUAGUUAUUUUAUUCUCUUAACCCUAUACAAAUAGAAGAAAUCAAGAAAAUGUUAACAUAACUAUUUUCACGGCAACAAAAACAAUUUUUAGCGGAAAUGAAUAGAUACAUUAAUAAAGAGUGUUAAAGUAUUUAUUGGCAUUAGUUAAGUGUCAUUAGAUCCAAUGUCGCUAAAACUUUAGUGACAUAUACAAAAAGUGCUAAUUGUCGCUAAAAAUACAUAUUUAAUGGCAAUUGAGCUAUUGCCAUUAAUUAAUUGCCGCUAAAGAUCAUUUUUGAUGUAGUGUCCAUCCAACAAUAGUUGUCCAUUAUACUAUUUUGGAAUGUCAAAUAAUACUUGUUCACUCUAUGAAAUCAAUGGAUAAUUUUACACUUAGUUAUUAAUUUACCUUAUCUUUAAUUAUAAUAAUUUUCUCUAUUACAUUUUUUAAGACACUAUAUUUAUUAUAUUCAAAGGGUGAUAUAGUAAAAUCAUCCUACUAUUUAUAGUUUCUUAAGAAGUGUGCAAUGUCAAUAGUGGACAAUUUAGAAUAAUGAACUGUUUCAAACUUAUUUUUCACAAAUUUAAAAAGCAUUUAUUGUUAAAAAAAUAGGGUCUUUGGCUAGGGUGCUUCUCUGCCUCAUAAUUAAGGGCAUACACAACAUUCAUAUCUAUGACAGUCUUCGGUCUUCCGCCCAAAUAACAUUUAGACUUACUAGGGUUGUGGUGCACUGGUGAAAGUGCUUCACCCUUAACCAGAGGUCUUGGGUUCGAGCCCUGGGUAUGGAGAAAAUCCUGUUGGGAGCGUCACACCCGAAUGGCCCCUGCAGAGCGCGAUUCGAAUUUAGUCGGAGCUCCAAUGUGAAUUUCGAACACCGAGUGAGGAAAAAAAAAACAUUUAGACUUAGUAAGAGUUGAAUGGGCAGCUCGUUUCAUGGCCCAUAAUUUAGCUAUCUUAAACCCAAUUCAUUUCCUUCGGUCCAAGUAAUAUUUAGAUUGGAUCAUAAACUUAUUCAUUUAUCAUCUCAUUAUAAUUCAAUCCGUCCCCAUAUCUGACAUCCACCCUUUAUUAUAUGCUUAAGCAUGAAAAUAUGUAUGGAUCACACAUAGAAACACAAAUUAAAUGUAUGUAUAGGAUAUGCAUGAUAAUUAAAGGACAUGCAUAUUCGAACAUAGUUAGCUAGCUAGCUUGUUUUAUUCAUAACUCAUAAGCCUGCAUUAAUUAAAAUUACAUAGAGCCUGGAGACGCAUCCACUUUAAUUUAUUCCUUAACGACGACAAUGGGAAGAGCUAGGGUUUUGACCGGCAGCCACGAGAGGAUAUAUAUAUAAUCCGUAAUCAAAAGUGAAGCUCACAUCAUUACACAUAAUUAAUCCGUACAAUUAAUACAUUAACUUGUAUUCAUUUUCCAAUUCUUGUUCCUCCGUCGUCUCAUAUUUCAUUAUCUUGAACAAGUUGCUUUCAUUUCCACCAGUUACCACGAAUUGUUUAUCAUCACCAGCAACUUUCCAAACAGCUAGGUUUCGUUCAAACACGCGCGCCGGAGUAGAUAUAUCAAAAUCUGAGAACAUGCAUCCUUAACUUUCCAAACAAUUUCAUUUUCUAUUUUACCGGAAUUCGGUACGUGUUUGGGCAUCUUAAGUAAUAACUAGCUAGUACUGGACAAGUAUACGGUUCCGCCUCCCAUGACAGGAUUAUGAAUAAUGUACUUUACACCACUGUAGAGUGGUUGGCCGUCCUGUCCAAUUAACACUUGAGGGGAUACAUCGAUCAUCAUUAUUAUUAUUAGUAGUUGUGGGAAGGACAAUGGGAUUGUUGGAUCGACAAAAGGCAACAAAGAAAGCAAGAGGAAACUCAAAAUGUUAAUCCACUUCAUGUGUAUUUUGAUUGCGUCUAUAUAUCUAUCUCCAAUUUAUACACCACCACAUGUAUGUAAGGGCAUUUUUCAGAAACAAAAAAUGGCUACCUACUACUACUACUUUUUAGUUUAGUGACAUGAUUUAUUAAGUCGAUCAAUGCUUGAGAGAUCUAAUAAGUAGUAUAAAGACUUUCUAUUUUAACAAAGAAUCAAAAAUGGGAAGGUUAAUUUCUAUUUAUUUAUGGGAUAUGGUACGGGUACUCUAUAAACUAUGAUCGAAAUCUCAUAAACAUAUAUUAACUAAACUAAGGUCCUAUUACCCCCUCAAACCUAUUUUUUUCUUGUAAUUUUGUACACCUUUUUGACUUGAGUGGCAUCCAAACAAUUCCCACACGCCUCAACUAUGUGGAGUCACGCAGUGUGCCACGUAAGCCAAAAUGUGUACAAAAUUACAAUAAAAAUGAGUUCGAAGGGGGUAAUAAGACCUUAGUUAGUUAAAGUGUGUCUUUGAGAUUUCAGUUAAAUAUAAUUUAGGGGUACUUGUGCCUUCUCCAUUUAUUUAUCAAGUCAAUUUAUUUUGGUCUGAUUAGUUUAUUGAUAUAUAAAAAAAAAUUACAACUUGAAGCAAAAAUAUUUACAUAUAUAUAGCUACAAGAUUUUGUUUUCAAAUAAUUUAUUAUGUGUAAUCAUUUAAAAAUUAUUAAAUAUAAAUUUAUAAAAUGAUUUGGAUUAUAUUAAAUUCAUGAAUAUAUUAGUCCAAAUAAAUAUUAUGGAUUAAUAUAAUUGAAUUAAUUAUUUAAAUCUAAUAAAUAUGGAUUUAAUUAAAGCCUGCUCCAUAAAGCUCAUAUGUCAUGUCACUUAAAUCUGAUUGGCCGAAGGAAGUCCUUUUAAAUAGGGGUCCUCAUAAUUCAUAAUGGAGAACCAAAAAAUUUAACAAGAAGCUAGAGAAAACUCGUGGAUCAAAAGCCGCAGAUUUUUCAAGAACGAUAAAGAUAAAGACCGCCGGAUUCAAGAUCAAGCUCGAAGCCCUUAGAUUCAACUAGAAGUCAAGAUAAAGUUCAAGAUCAAGAUCAAGAUCCACCAAUUGAAACCGAAUAACGAAAGAUAACUAUAGAAGUUCAUAUGGAACAUUACAAAUAUAAUUCCAAUCACAAAUUAAUUAGCUACUCUACUUGAGGUAGCAGACCAAUAAUGUACCGAUGGGACCAUUAGAGAUUAUCCAUUACUAAAACGUGUCAAUGAAGUACGACGGUUGGUUGAGCAUAUAAUAUACAGUAGUAGGCUUAAUUGAUAUUAUGACUUGGCUCAAUUGAGUAUCUGAAUACGAUCAAAUGUUUCUAUUAGAUACUUCCAAUCCAAGUUUGGAGAAACUCUAGUUUUAUGUGUCUUUUCAAUUAGUGGCUAUAACGUAGAUAAAUUAACUAAUUAAAAUAUUUUAUACAUUUAAUUACACGGAUUAACCUUAAUAAGCUAUAAAACCUCAUAUUUGUUUCAAUAAACUUAAAAUACGCCAAUGGAAAGUGUUAUAAUAUGGGAUGGAUAUUAGUGGAAAGGAAAUAUGAAAUCAAGAACUCUAACAAAGAAGAGGAAUAUUCAUCUAUGGAAGAAGAAAAUAAUAGAAAUUCAAUAUCAAAAGCUAAACAAAAUAAUUUGUACAAACGGAUACAAAAUAGACGUAGUUAGUUAUAAACUUAUAUCUAUCUACCUUAACUCCGUCCAAUAAUAUUUGUCCACUAUACUAUUUUGGAAUGUGCAACAAUAUAUACUUGUUCAUUUUAUGAAAUCAAUGGAUAAACAAAUCAAUGGUCAAUCACACAUUCAAACACAAGCCUUAAAAAAUGUAUCGCAUAUGAUAAUUAAAUUAAAGGUCGUAUUCGAAGAUAGUAGCUUGUUUUAUUCAUAACUCAUAAGCAUACAUUAAUUAAAAUUACAUGGAGCGAUCCACAUUAAUUUAUUCCUUAACGAAGACAACGGGAAGAGGGUUUUUACCGUCAGCUACCAGAUGAUGUAAUCCAUUAUGAAAAGUCAAGCUGACAUGUUUACACAUUAUAAGUUGAGGGGGACAAUACAUUAGCUUGUAUAUCACUAAUUAGUCAAUUUCAUAAUCUUGAACAAGUUGCUUUCAUUUCCUAUGGUACCACCAGUCACCACGAACUGAUCUUUAUCAUCACUAACUUUCCAAAUAGUUUCGUUAAAACACGGACUAGAUAUAUCACUAAUUAGUCAAUUUCCAAUAGAUCAUAGGCUCAUAGAAUCAGCAGGUAGGUUGGGUGAGGCUUUUUUUUGGGUUUUUCAUCCUAUGAUGGGAUUUUAAAUUGGAGCCUCGAUUAAAUUUGGAUCGCGCACUGUAGGGUCCAUUUGGAGAUGACGCUCCCAAUAAAAUUUUCUCCAUAUCCAGAGCUCGAAUCUAAGAUCUUUGAUUAAGAGUGGAACAAUCUCACCACAACUCAUGUUGGUGGUAGGUUGGGUGAAUUAAUGAGCCCUUAUGUUAAUUUAGUUUAUUUUGAUCUAUUUUAUUUAAAAUUUAGCAACGAUCGAACGAAUUACCUUUCUAAAUUAUGCAAAAUAAAAAACUUCAAUAAACAAGUAUUGCCUUUGCCCUUAAUUUGCUAUUAUAAUAUUGUUACCGGAGAAGAUGCAGAUAAGAAAAUUUAUUCCGGCGACCUUAGAGCCCUUACAAAAAGGUAGCCAUUGUUUUUAUGGAUAAAUCUAUCUCUAUUUUGCUUGCUAUUAAUGAUUAGUCUAUCUCCAAUUUAUACAGCUGCUAAGGGCAUUUUUGACAAACAAAAAUAGCUACCCACCGCCACCUUUUAGGUUAGUGACAUUAUUUCAUUUAUAAAUUAUAAUGAUUUAAAGAAAAUAAGUACUCUAGUAUAAAGCCUGUUCUAUUAUUUUUGGCUUAAUUAAUUCUCUUAAACUUAUCCCCUUAAUUCAUCUAGACAUUUAAAUUCAGAUUUGUACCUAUUGAACACUUCUAGUCUUUUGAAUUUGAGCCAUUCUAACAUUUUUUUAACAAUCAACUAAAAAUAUAAGAAAGAGUGAAAUGUACUAGCGGUGACAUGACAAUUUGACAAAUUAAAUAAGUAAAAUUUACAUAAAUCUCAUAGUGUUAAGAACUAAUUACAUCACAUCUCUACUCUUUUUCAAAUUACAAAAAUCAUUUAAAUUUAUAGGAUCUCGGAUAUAUAUGAAAAUAUGUAGAUACAUAGUUCACGGAUUACGAAUGAUACAUUACUUAAUGGAAGGGAUGUAUUCGAAGGGGAGAGAUGUAUUCGAGAGGGUAUAGGAUGUAUAUGAGAGGGGAUUGAUAUUAGUAAAAAAGUUGAAAAAUCAACAUUGUCAAUUUAGUAUUUGUAGUUAUUACUAGAUAUUAGCCAUGACUAGCUUUUAAAUUCAUAGGAUAUUAGCCAUGACAAGCUUUUAAAUUCAUAGCUAAAAUUUCCUAAUUUAAUUUUUGAUUUAAAAGUAAAAAUUUAAAAUAAGCCAAUUCAAACAGUUUCUAAUUUAUGACUUUUGAUUUAGAAGUCAUAGUAUAUAUAUAGUAAUAAACUUGAGAAGUAACUUUGUAACAUUAAUUUUUAUAGCUAAGAAAGUUAAUGAAUUUGUGGAUAGUCAUGAAACUCGAAAUUUGGUAGCUUUUACAAGAUACCAUCCUGAAAAGUUUUUUUAUAAAUUUUUUUUUGAAAGAACUUAAAAUAAGUUAGUCAAACAUAUUCUAACUUAUAAAUAAACUCUAACAUGAAUUUUUAUUUAUACAUCAUAAGUCAAAAGCUAAAUUAAAUAGGCUCUUUGUUAACUAUCUUUUACUAUCUAAUAAAGAGGAAUAGCAGGCAGCAGACCGUCAACACGUCUGCUUGUGCUACCUGCUUAUUCCCCUUGGCAGCCUCUUCAUCAUUUAGUUAACUGCUAUAAGUUCUUUAUUAAAUGUAACAUCUCGCAACUAGAAAGAAUUAAAAGGAAGUUUAAAAUCUGGAAAUAGUUAUUUUUGAAAAGUGUAAGGAAAUCUGGAAAAUUUUAAGUUAAAGUGAGUUUUUUGUCAACUUCAAACGACAAUAACUCAUAGCUCAGGAUGAGUUAGGUGUAGUUCUAGAUAUGGUUGUAAAGCUCUUGGAAUGAUCUUUCCAACGCCGCUAAGUUUGCACCAUUCCGACUUUGUAUGAGUAAAUUAUCCCCUUUGGAAGUUGGGCUGUUGGAAUAAGGAAAUGUCUAAUCCGGAUUUUAGAAGGGCUAUUUAGUCUUUUCCUUACCUAAUUUCUCUGAUUCGUUUUAGGAGAUUAAUUGGGUAAAACCAGACUUUAUUCAGUUUAGAAAAAUUAGAAUUUACGCUAGGGCUUGGAGAGGAGAAGAAAGAAGAGAAAAGAGGAGAGAAAUCAAGAAAUCGCCAAGAACGUUCAAGCCUUGUGAGUGGAAUUCAUCGGGGGUGAUCCCUACAAGGUAUGUGAGAUCACAUAGUGUUGGGUUAGUUCACCCACACGCUAAACUUGUUUCAAUUCAGCAAAGUUGGAGUUGUUUGAAUGUUAAGAAAGUGAAGUUCUUGAAGAACAUUGUUGAAAAUUCGUUGCGUUCUUGAUGGUUGUGUUGUUGAAGUCUCUUGUUGAUUUGAUUCGUGUUUCCGAGUGGAUUUUCAAGUUAAAUCUGUUAUAUGUUGACGGUACUAUUGAUCCUAAAUGUUUGGCGAAAGAACCAUGGAAGUUAGGAGGGUUUAGAGAUGAAAAAUGGAGAAGAGAAAUCGUCAAAAACCUGGGGAAGGAGGUGGGGCGUCGCGCCAGCCAGCGCUCCCCAAAAGGGGCUCUGAAGUUCACCCCUUGGGGCGACGCGCUAGCCAGCGCGCCCCAGCAGCUUCUCUAACAUUUGAGGGCUGGAGCCCCGCACCUCUCAGAGCGCCAGGGACGCCAGUUCUCCCCAUUCUUCCCUCACCUUUUCGUACUAGUUCCUAAGUGAUGUACCUAUGUUUCCUAGUUGAUUCUAACACUCUAAGGUACAUAUAAACAUCAUGAAAUCAUCCAUAAACAUGAGAUCAUGAACCUUGAAUCCACAAUCCAAUUCGAGGAAAGUUAAGAUCAAAGUCAUAAAAGCUAAGAGUCAAAGUCUAGAAGGUAAGAAACAAGUCAAAGCAAAGUUUUUUAAAGUUUUCAAGAGUCUCUAUCAAACGUUUUACCUUCGUUUUAAGGCUCAAGUUUUAAGUUAAGCAAAGAGUAAACUUGAAGUUUUUUUCUUCAAAAGUAUAUGAGGACUAAGUAUUCCCAAAGGGAUUUAAAAUAUUCACAUUUAAAUAAGAACGGAAACUGAGAUUUCCAAAGAGCCUUGGGGCUAGUUUUCAGAAAAAGUAAUCUCUUUCUAAAUGAAGCAAGAUGGAAACUUGAUUUCCAAGAUAGCCUUUGAGCUAAAUUUUUGAGCACUAAUCUCAAAUCACAAAAGAAGUAUGUUUUUAAAACAUAAGAGCCAGUAUAUUUUGGGAGUAGUAUUGAGCACUGAAUUGGGGACAAGCAUGAGUUUAGAUAACUCACUUCACCAUAGAACCAUGUAGCCACCAUGGGUAGAAAAGGGUCAUACUUUUUAAAUGAAUCCUUUCCGCAAUAGACUAGUGGAUCCAUUAGGCAGUUCAGGUUCUAUACCUUUGGCCGGGUAUAGGAUGCGCUGGCAGUGUGAGGUAGAUCGCUGUAUCAUCACUAUAUCUCUUAUGUGAUGGUUGUCGGUUAUAGAAACUCCCACAUAAGUUAUUGUAUUUUUAUAUACAUCAGUUUAUUGUAUUUUUACAUACAUUUUAGAGUUAUGUUGUAUCCUUGUGUAUAAACAGAGUUGACAUCAUGUUUUUAAACAACUUUUGUUUAUAUUGCACUUGUUUAAACUGUUUUAUAUUGAAAUGAGUUCAGUUAAGUAUUCAUGAGUUGAAAAGAGCCAAGGUAAGUGUUUUUUUUCAGAUUCUCUUUCCAGUCUAUGUUGUUUUAGCAUUCCAACUCGCAUACUCGUACAUUCAAUGUACUGAUGCUAGUUGGUCUGGAUCUUAUUAUGAUGCAGACACAUGUAACUAGGAUCGAUAUUUCAGCGUACCGUUGAUCCAGUAAGCAGUUCAGAGUCGGUCGGUGAGCCUCCUUGCAUUCCGGAGGAUCUAUUUUCAUUUGUUUCUAAUUAGUUCAUUAGGAUGUUGUGGGGUUUGUCCCAACAUCCAUCUCAGUUGUUUUAGAGGCUUCAUAGACAGUCAAAUGUUAGUCCUUUGAGUCUUUUCAUUAUCAUUUCUUAUUGUUAAGCCUUGGGUUGCCACUUUUGGCCAAGUUGAAUGUUUAAUCUUUAAAACAUUCUCAGUUAUUUUAUUAUCCAGUUCAGUUAAGUUCAUUGAUCAUUAUAGAUAUGAAUAUUGUCUUCUGCUGAGUUAAGUAAGCCAGACCAAGGGUUCGCUUGGGGCCAGCAAUGGCUUUCGAGUGCCAGUACCGCCUAGAGUGUAGGCUCAGGGUGUGACAUUAAUUUUUUUAAAAAAAGUUGUUACAUGCUGCCACUUCUUCAUCCAAUGAAAAUGGAAAAAGAAAACUGUCUUCUUCAUCCAAUGAAAAAAAUGUGAAAAUCCAUUUAAAAUUUCAAUUGUAAACUUACUUUCUUAAGAUCCUUCAUAAGAUGGAGUCAUGAAAAUAUUUUAUGGGCUUCAUUUAUAUUUUAUAUUUAUCAUUUUUUAUGGGAAAAAGGACAAAUAUACCUUUGAACUAUCGUAAAUGGUAUGCAGAUACCCUUCAUCUUACUUUUGGGACAUUGGUGCCCCUGCCGUCCAAAAACUAAAGCAUAUAUACCCUUUAUACUAACAGACAUACACGUGUCAUGCUCUUAUCCGCCGAUUAAAUAUCGGAUCGACGGAUAAGAUUGCACCACGUGUCCCUAUUUAGUCUUCCGUUAGAGUGAAGGUCAUAUAGGCUCUAGUUUUUAGAUGGCAGUGGCAUCAAUGUCCCAAUAGUAUGACGGAGGAUAUCUGCAUACCAUUUACGAUAAUUUGGGGGUAUAUUUGUCUUUUUCCCUUUUUUUAUUAAUUAUUUUUAAUUUUAUUAGAGUUAAUUCUUGAAAUUCUAUCGGUGAAAUACCACAAAUAAUGGGAAAAUUACACGGUUAAGCAAACUUAUACUAUUUAAUUACUCAUCAUAGCUAUAGUUUGCUAUAACUAUCACUCGUGACUAACAUUAUACAUUAAUUACGUGGGCUGACUUCGAGUUUGUAUAAUUAGCUACAUUUGUAUAUGUAUAAUUCGCCAGAAUAUACAAAUACAUAUAUAUAAUAUACAAUUAUCUAACUGAUAUACAUAUACAAUUCACCUCUCUCGCUCGCCUCUCUCCUCCCUCUCCCAAUCUCGCUUGCCAUAUAUACAAAUACAUAUGUAUAAUAUACAAUUAUCUAACCGAUAUACAUAUACAAUUCACCUCUCUCCCCCAUUUUUCCCUCUUUCGCUCGUCUCUCUCCUCUCUCUUUCAGUCUCGCUCGCCUCUCUUCUCCCUAUAACAUGUAACUACGAAUUGUAAUUUUCAAACUAUAGCUAUGGAGAGUAAUUAGGCUAGUUUUGAGUGGCUAUAUGUGAAAGUUCCUCAAUAAACAUUACGAAUUUCAGAUAAUGAUAAUUGGGCCUGUGCAAAGCACGGGCUUCUCCUUAUAUAUACAUUGUAAUGUUGUAUUGUAGAGCCUAAGUUGGACCACUUAUAUGAAUAGUAAUUGAUCCCAUGAGCACCUCGUACCAAAACAUAAAGAAAAUCUUUUCGUACGGAAUAUAAUAUUUAUGGCUCCACAUAUAUCUCCUUGGCCUAAAAAAUAUUUAGCAAGCUCUAUUUUCAUAUUUUAUUUUUAAUUAUAUAUUGACAAGAUGCUAACGACAACCACAAACGAUGAAUAUACGGGUUUCGUGAGAGUAUCCCAUAACUAAAACGUGCCAAUGAAGUACAAUGACAAAAUUCUGGAAGAAGCUCCUCUCAGUACACUAAUCUCUCCAGUUGAUCCAGUGCAUAUUUAAUUUAAUGAUAUCUGUCAAUUUUAAAAUCUAAUGGUCCAUAUUUAUUUAAAUAAAACUGUCUUUAAAUCAUGGUCAAAUAUCAUUAACCAUGGUUAUUACUAUUUCUCUUUCUCUCUCCUUUCUCAUCUCUUUCUUUCUCACUUAAUUCUGCAACAAACCUUUUCUCAAUCAACAAAGAAUUUUCUUUGUUAACAACAAAUCGCUAUUUCUUUCCAUUAUUUUCACACAGUGAUAAAAGAAGACAAAAUUCAAAGGAUGAACUUGGGUUAUAAAUUUAAAAAAUACCAACCCAUGAGACUACUUCUUUGAAGCUUGGUUCGGUCACAAUUAGGAGUGUUCACGGUUUGGAAAAAAACCGAUCCAAACCGAACCAAGUCAAUAAAAUAAAACCGAUUUUAUUUGGGUUUGAUUUGGUUUGGUUUUAAAUUUUUGCCAAUCAAUAGUAUUUGGUUUGGUUAUGGUUUUAUUCGAAAAAACCGAAGAAAUAACCGAACGAACCGAUGAAUUAUACAUAUAUUUUUAUUAAUAUACAUACUUAAUAUAUUAUUUUUAUAAACAAUUUUAAAGAUCUUAUAUAUGUUUUCAUUAAAAUUUCUUUAUAAUUUACUUAUUGAAAGCAAAAAUGCCUAAGAUGAAAAUAUUUAUCUUAUUGAUUUCAUGUAUAUGAGUGUCUAUGACAAUUCUUUGUGGGACUGAAAAUAUUAUUGUCUCUUCCUUCUAGGUCAAUAUAGUGAAUUUUAAGCUUAUUGAUAGUAAAUUUAGUGAUCGAAAAAUUCAGUAAUUUAAGUCAUUCUAACUAUUUUUCGUUUUGAAUGGUUUGUUGUCACUUUUUCACAUUUUGAAUGAAUUGUUUCUUUUAUUUUUGUGUAUGGUUAAUAACCGAAUAACCGAAACCGAUAAAUGUAUAUUAUAUUUGGUUUGGUUUGGUUUUGAUAAUUUUAAAACUGAUUAAGUUGAUUUGGUUUUGAUUUUGUACCAAUAACCGAUCCAAACCGACCCGUGAACACCCCUAGUCACAAUGGUGAUCCACAAAACUCUGUCGUCUUCUUCGUUACAUCAAUUUUUUCAAUUUGGAGUUUCUGCAAAAGCCAACUAAAAGAUCUGGAAAGGGCACGAAAAAUGGGUUGGAAAAUAUUUUUUCAUAUACUUUUUUUUUUCUUGUGAAAUUUUCCAUUUAUUUUUUGGGUCUUCUUUUCUUGUGGUAUUUAUAACUGUAAUCUUUAAUUGGGGCUAAUCACUCCAUUCCAAUCUUUCUCUUUUGAGACUCUCCCUAGUUGUUCAUAUGUAAAUGUAAAAACAUCAAAAUAUUGAUGUUAUUUUAAUUAUCAAUUGUUUGAUUGCUCUGUUUUUCAGAGAGUUUUGGAGGAGGAAGAAGUGUUUCUUUGCUGAUUGAGAAAGGAAUGAGAGGAGAGAGAAUUACUAAUAACCAUGGUUAAUGAUAUUUGGUUAAGAAAAUUAAUUUGGUCCAUUAAAAAUUAAAUGGACACGUGUCAACUAUAUGAAAUAGCACUGGGGGAAACUGGAGAAAUCAUCACUGGAGAGGAGCCUCUUCCCGAAAUUCCAUUCUCUUAUUAAAAAAAAUAUUUCCAUUUCUCUUAUUAAUUGAGAGCAUGACGCACGUGAUUUGUUUUUCUAUUUCAUAUAAAUGUAAAUUUACUUAGAUAUAGUGUAUUUAGAAAACUAUACAUAAUUUUAAUUUUAUGUAUCUCGAAAUAAAUGUAACUAAAUGCAUCAAAAUCUUGUAACAUCCGUAAUAUAGCAAACUAAAGAAUAUAUAAAUAAUUAACUCUUAAACUAGUGAGAUUUCUGUAAAUUUCUCAUUAUUUUAUGAGAUAAGCGACAAAAACACACCUUAACUAUCAUUUUUUUUUUGAGUUUCAUACCUAAAUUAUCGAGAGUGUGAGUUUUAUACCUAAAUCAUCACUUAUUUGAAAAAUAAUAAGAUUACCCAAUCCGUUUAUUUAAAAUGAACAAAAUCUACUCGAGGUUUAUAUGUGUGCGUGGAUUAUAUAGAUUACCCAAUCCGUUUAUUCGCAUCCUAAAUUGGACCACCAAUAUAAAAAUAAUAUCACUUUCAUAUAUUGAUUAUUGUAUUUAUCGCUCCAUGUAUUGUUGCCCAAAUAAUAACUAAUGUAAUUGUCCAUAACUAAAACAUGCCAAUGAAGUAGGAUUUGAAAAGAAAUAAAAACGUAGUUGUAAUGCUGGCAAAUCAAUUUGCUACGUACCCCCUUAUUAUUUUUUGCAGCGAUCAAGAAUGCAAGGCUAGAUUUGAGAAUUUCAACAAAAUAUUGAUAAAAUAAUAAAAAUCCUCAGGGAUAUUGGAAAAUUGUUAUACAAAUAAAUUUCUACAACAAUAAACAAUGAGUAUACAAUAAAAUUCACUCCUAGUCAAACCAACAUAUAAUACACAUUUGCAUUCAUUACAAUAGUAUUUCUUGAGGUUUCUUUUAUUUUCUUUUUAGAUUUUCCUUCCUUAAACAUAAUUUAAGUCUACUGGGCAUGACUAAUCAAAAUUAAUAUGCAACUGAUUAAACAUAAAAAGGAUUGUAUCCAUGAAUAUCCAUGUCGUAUUCAAUAAUGAAUACUAUCAGUGUUUUAAAAGACUUUUUUGGGACUCGCCCUGGGGCGGGACUCAAGCAAAACUCUCUGAAACUCAACAGUGGGACUUAGUUCUGUAAGACUUACACCCUAAGCGCCCGAUUGUACGGCCUAAGCACGCCCAACGCCCAAUGCUUGGGGCUCGCCUAAUAGAUCUUACACAAAUUAUGUGUUAAAAUCUUUAGUUAAUAUUGUUGGCCCUCGUACACUACUAAAAAAAUGUCAAAAAACGACGGACUGCGUCGCUUUUUUGGUCAAAAUCGACGGAAAAGCGACGCGGUCACCUCCGUCGCUUUUUAGCCCGAUGCUUUUCAAAAAGUGACGGACAGCGUCACUUUUCAAAAAGUGACGGAUUGCAUCGCUAAAAAAGUAACGAAUAGCGUCGCUUUUUGACUUUUUUUUAACAAAAGCGACAGAUUCCAUUGCUUUAUUUUAAUUUUAAAUUUUUUUAUUUCUAAAAAGCGACACAGUCCAUCGCUUUUCUGGAAAUUUUAUUUUUGAAAAUCCCUGAAAACGACGGACAAAACCAUAUUGUCCGUCGCUUUUUUGAGAUUUUUUAAAAAAAAAAACCCAAAAAAGCGAUGGAUAAAACCACGCUGUCCGUCGCUUUUCUGGGACUUUUAAAAAAAUAAAACCUAGAAAAGCGUCGGACAAAACCACGCUGUCCGUCGCUUUUCCUGGAAUAUUUUUGAAAGCAGAACCUGGCAAUUUCUACUGCCCACCUGCAAAUGCAAUUCAAUUCAAUUCUACACUAUUCAGCCCAAUCAAACACACACAAUUAUAAACAAUCUAAACAAAACAUAAAACAACAAACUUAAAAUAGCAUUAAAUAGUAUCUAAAUCACAAAUUAAAGACUUAUAAAGUCUUUCAAAUUUCAUUUCAAAAUUACAAAAAGCUCAAAAAUGUCUAGAGAUCUAAACUAGGGAGUGGGUUCUACAUAAUCAUCAUCAUCACUCUCGUCGUCGGUGUCAUCGGGAGCCGAAGUAGUAGGUCGACGAGCGAGGUUCAUCACUUGUUCUUUGAUUUGCUGAACGGUUUCACGCAUGCUUUCUUGUUCAGCUACUCUUCUCCGCUCCAAAUCUGCUAGUGACGCUGUAAGCUUAGUUAUUUGAGCCGACAUAGCAGCAAUCUGAACACCAUCAAAUGCCUCGGAUUGACGUGACAAUCCAAUUCCUUCUAAGCUUGAUUGGAGUCGUCUUACAUCGUUUCGAGAGCCUAGACCAUAGACUCUACCCUUGUGUGUCCCCCCUACCACUUUUUCUUUCCAAAUCUGAGUGGAAAGUUCAGGUGUCGAUUGGACCGAACUAUCUAGAUUCUCAGCGAUGUACUGAUGAAAGUCAUUCUGCAUAUUAAAUAUAAAAAUUGACAUCAGUAUAUAUACAUAUCAUAAAUAUAUUCUCUAUUAAUAUAUAUUACUCAUAUUAAAUAACUUACAAAAGUCAUUGUAUGUUCAAUAAAAUUUCUANNNNNNNNNNNNNNNNNNNNNNNNNNNNNNNNNNNNNNNNNNNNNNNNNNNNNNNNNNNNNNNNNNNNNNNNNNNNNNNNNNNNNNNNNNNNNNNNNNNNNNNNNNNNNNNNNNNNNNNNNNNNNNNNNNNNNNNNNNNNNNNNNNNNNNNNNNNNNNNNNNNNNNNNNNNNNNNNNNNNNNNNNNNNNNNNNNNNNNNNNNNNNNNNNNNNNNNNNNNNNNNNNNNNNNNNNNNNNNNNNNNNNNNNNNNNNNNNNNNNNNNNNNNNNNNNNNNNNNNNNNNNNNNNNNNNNNNNNNNNNNNNNNNNNNNNNNNNNNNNNNNNNNNNNNNNNNNNNNNNNNNNNNNNNNNNNNNNNNNNNNNNNNNNNNNNNNNNNNNNNNNNNNNNNNNNNNNNNNNNNNNNNNNNNNNNNNNNNNNNNNNNNNNNNNNNNNNNNNNNNNNNNNNNNNNNNNNNNNNNNNNNNNNNNNNNNNNNNNNNNNNNNNNNNNNNNNNNNNNNNNNNNNNNNNNNNNNNNNNNNNNNNNNNNNNNNNNNNNNNNNNNNNNNNNNNNNNNNNNNNNNNNNNNNNNNNNNNNNNNNNNNNNNNNNNNNNNNNNNNNNNNNNNNNNNNNNNNNNNNNNNNNNNNNNNNNNNNNNNNNNNNNNNNNNNNNNNNNNNNNNNNNNNNNNNNNNNNNNNNNNNNNNNNNNNNNNNNNNNNNNNNNNNNNNNNNNNNNNNNNNNNNNNNNNNNNNNNNNNNNNNNNNNNNNNNNNNNNNNNNNNNNNNNNNNNNNNNNNNNNNNNNNNNNNNNNNNNNNNNNNNNNNNNNNNNNNNNNNNNNNNNNNNNNNNNNNNNNNNNNNNNNNNNNNNNNNNNNNNNNNNNNNNNNNNNNNNNNNNNNNNNNNNNNNNNNNNNNNNNNNNNNNNNNNNNNNNNNNNNNNNNNNNNNNNNNNNNNNNNNNNNNNNNNNNNNNNNNNNNNNNNNNNNNNNNNNNNNNNNNNNNNNNNNNNNNNNNNNNNNNNNNNNNNNNNNNNNNNNNNNNNNNNNNNNNNNNNNNNNNNNNNNNNNNNNNNNNNNNNNNNNNNNNNNNNNNNNNNNNNNNNNNNNNNNNNNNNNNNNNNNNNNNNNNNNNNNNNNNNNNNNNNNNNNNNNNNNNNNNNNNNNNNNNNNNNNNNNNNNNNNNNNNNNNNNNNNNNNNNNNNNNNNNNNNNNNNNNNNNNNNNNNNNNNNNNNNNNNNNNNNNNNNNNNNNNNNNNNNNNNNNNNNNNNNNNNNNNNNNNNNNNNNNNNNNNNNNNNNNNNNNNNNNNNNNNNNNNNNNNNNNNNNNNNNNNNNNNNNNNNNNNNNNNNNNNNNNNNNNNNNNNNNNNNNNNNNNNNNNNNNNNNNNNNNNNNNNNNNNNNNNNNNNNNNNNNNNNNNNNNNNNNNNNNNNNNNNNNNNNNNNNNNNNNNNNNNNNNNNNNNNNNNNNNNNNNNNNNNNNNNNNNNNNNNNNNNNNNNNNNNNNNNNNNNNNNNNNNNNNNNNNNUCAAGUUCUAAGUUUAACUUCAAAUUCUAAGUUCAAGUUCUAAGUUCAAGUUCUAGUUCAGGUUCAAGUUCUAAUUUCAAGUUCAAGUUCUAAGUUUAAGUUCAAGUUCUAAGUUCAAGUUCUAAUUUCAAGUUCAUAUUCAUAAUUAAGUUCAAUUUAUAGUAAAUUCAAGUUAUAAUUAAUUAUAAGUUCUAAUUAAGUUGUAAUUCAAAUCUCUAAAAUUUCAAAUUCAAACUAGCUAGCUAGUGUCCCAAAUUCAAACUAUUAAUUAGUCCUAAAAUAUCAAAUAUAAUUCAAACUAUUAGUCCUAAAUUCCAAAUUCAAACUAGCCUUAAAAUCACAAAUUGAAAGUACUCCUAGAAUUCAAAAAUCAAACUAUAGUGCUAAAAUUCCAAAUUCAAACUAUUAGUAGUCCUAAAAUCUCAAUAAUAACUCAAACUAGUCCUAAAUUAAAAAUUCAAACAAGUCUUAAAAUCACAAAUUCAAACUAGUCCUAAAAUCCCAAAAUCUAACUAGUACUGAAAUUCUAAAUUCAAACAACUCCUUAAAUACCCUUGUUCAAUCUAAUCUUACAAUUCCAAAUCAAACUAAUUAACUCAAGAAAUACCGAAUUUCAAACAAAUCCUAAGAUACCCUAAUUCAUACUAAUCCCAACAUUAAAAUUUUCUCGGAAUAUGCAAUAAUGAUGUAACGAGAUCAAACAGAACAUAAAAGCUCAAAUUCUCGAAAUAUUCAUCUCAUAAUAGCCAUAGAUGUAAUGAAAAGCUAAAAAAAAAUUUUAGAUUAAAACUUACUAGGACGGAUCUAUUGAGAUCCGUCUUUGAACUCGAAUUUCGUCGGAGAUGAGAGGAAUGGAGAUGCGAGGAUCUCGCUGGUAUGUUGUUGUCGUUGCUGCUGGUGCGCUGCUGUUUCGCCAGUAGCUCGUCGGAGCUGUCUCUCGUGCUGGUUGUUGUUGGCUGGAGAUGUUGUUGCUCUCCUCACCGGCUGCUGAAGUUGAUUGCUUGGAGCUUGCUGGUUGGAGCGGUUGAGGGAGAGAGAGAGAGAGCAGCGAGCUUUCGCUGAUUGGAGAAACGAGAGGGAGGCGGCGAUUUGUCUCGCCAUUCCCGCUGAAGAGAAGAGACGGGAGGGAGCAAGGAGAGAAGAGAUGAGAAGAGGAAAGUGAAGGGAGGAGGGCGACGGGAGGAGCGAGAGGGAGAGCUCACCGGCGAUGGUGGAGCUCUCGCCGGUUCUUACUAAUGGAGGGGGCUGCGGCGCUGCUAGAGAGAAGAAAAGAAUGAGUUUUCAAAAAACGGGUUUGGUCUUUUUUUAAGUCAAAAAUAGGAAGGUUAGGUAGAUUUAAUAUAAGCCAUUGGAUUAGUUAAGAUGAGCGGCUAGGAUUUGAUCUAGGAUUCACUUAAGGGAUGGACGGUUCGAAUUUAAACUAAUGUUUCAAGAUUUGGACAAAAAGGGUUAUAAUUGCAAUGAAUGAAUGGCUAAAAUUGCAACUAAAAUUGAUUUAAGAGGCUAUAAUUGAAAAACGAAAUUGGAUUGAGGUGGCUAGAAUUGUAAUGAAUUGGAUAAGGAAAAAACUAGAAUUGAAAGGAAUUAGAUCAGAAUGGGCUAAAGAUUAAAUGAUUUUGAGAAAAAUUAAACAAAUGCUAUCCAAUUAAAAUACUACAAAUAUUAUAACAUUUUAUAUAAUAAACAUCACUUAAAUUUUAAAACAUUUGAAUAAAAUAAUUAUUUCGAGUUUUACUUAUAAUUUUAAAAAUAUUUUAAUAAUAUUUAUGAUAAUUUUAUAAAGCAUGCCCACUAAAAUAUAUAAUUUUUAGACAAAAUCGAUUAAAAAUUUAAACUUGGAAUAUUUUUAAAAAAAUAUGUAUUUAACCGAAUAGCACUUCCGAAAUGGUUAUAGGUCGGUAUAAAUUUAAUUUUAUUGAUCAACAAAAGUUUAUCAAUAUCAAAUUUAAUAUAUAAAUCUCCUUGAAUUGAUCAUCGGUAUUUCUUUAAUUGAUAAUGUAUUUAAUAUCUGAACCACUAGUAUGUAAGACUUGAUUUAUUAAACUACUUGAGGAAUAUAUAAUUAAUCAACGUAUUUCAUACUCCGAUGAAGUAUCCUUUACAUGUCAUCAUAAUUAGGAGGUGAUCACUACACUUGACAUCCAUUCAAGAUCGAACGUAUAUAAUAAUACUAUCUCGCAUUUCAUACUUGAAUGGAUUAUAUGUUAGUUCUUCACCUCUACAACAUCAUGACCUGAGAUAUUAAGUUCAUGAUUAGACGACGGAUUGAUAGAAUUUGUACAUUACUCUAUAAAUAUAAGUAUAAUUAACUCCUAAUUCAUAUCAACGUAGUUUCAUACUCUAAAUAUGGAUUAUAGAUUUUUUUUAUUUAUUCCACGAAUUCUAACUUUUUAUUUAUAAAAGUAUGCAAAAUUGUUAGACUUUUUGAACAAUUAAUUGUAGGUGUAAAAUGAAAAUUUUUAAUAUUGUGCACAAUAGCAAAAUUAUAAUUAAUAGGAAUAUUUUAAACAAACCGACCUCCGGAUGUCACUUUUAUUAAAAGUAAUUAGAUAUAAUAAAAAAUACCGACCUCAUGAGGUCGGUAUCACAUUAAAUUUUAAGAUAAAUAAAAAGUAAUCAUGUUAAUUAAAUAAUAUUGACAUCGGGAGGUCGGUAUUUUAUAUUAAAUUAUUUUUUUAACUUAUAUAAAAACCGUCAUUUGGAGGACGAUUUAUUUAAAGUUAAUUGAAAAUAUUAAUUUAUUACAUACUAUUUAAUUUUACCGACAUCCAGAAGUUGGUAUUAUAAUUUUUUUAUUUUACACAAAAUCGUCCUCCGGAAGACGAUUUAAAUAAACUUAAAUCAAAAUAUUUCUCAAUUUUGUUUUUUAUAUGGAGAAAUGGGGAAAAUCGCGUCUGCUAGUGCAGAUAUUUUAAAAAAUGCGACGGACAACGUCUCUAUGUCGGUCGCUUUUUAAAAAAAAUGUUUGACCAACAUUUUGACCAAAAAGCAACGGACUAAGAGACAUUGUCCGCCGCUUUCUUAAAAUAUUUGACCAGAUAUUUUGACCAAGAAGAGACGGACAUAAAGAUGCUGUCCGUCGCUAAUUUAAAAAAUAAUUAAACAAUUAAAAUUAAUAAAAAGCGACGGACUGCGUCGCUAUCUAUAUAAAUAAUUAAUUAGCAAAAAUCCGCGAAAAAAGCGACGAACUAAGCGAUGCCGUCCCUCGCUUUUAAAAAAAAUAAAAUAAAAUUAUUUUAAUUAAAAAGCGACGGACAGUGUGUCUAAUGGCGUCACUUUUUGGAGCGACGUGGUCCGUCGCUUUUACUUCCGUUGUUUUUUAGCAGUUUUUUAGUAGUGGUAAUUGUUGAAUAAAUGAAUGAUACUUAAUAAUUUUCUAAUCUAUAGAGAUAAGAAGAUUAAGAGUAACUCAAAUAACAAGUUAUAUUAUCAUAUCUUUACUAUUUGGUAACAUUGUGAAGAUAAUUAUUUAGUACGUAACAUUUCUUUUAAAGAUACAUAACGAAAUUUUACUUUUUCACUUACCAUUGGUCUUCAUGGUUUUGUCAUAUGUCUCAAAAUUAUCACAUUUUAUUUUGCUAUUUGAAAGUAAUUUAAUUUUUAUUCAUGAUAGAGUGAUGUUUUUAUUCUAGGCGGAAUGACCUGGGAGAUCCUUAUACUUGCCCGAAUUGUCAACUGGACCCUUCUACUCACGAUAUUGCCAACUGAACACUUAAACUCAAUAAAACACAAUAUUUUAAACCCUUUUGACUUCACGUGCACUUCAAACACAUAGUGAAAAUGACAUGUCAUGAUCCACACCAGACUUUUAGUGACACAUCACUUAUUUUUUUACUUUAUUUAAAAUUUUCAUUUUUUUUCUUUUUCACUCAGUUUGUUCCUCACACUAACUUUAUCCUUGACCAUCUCCCUCCAUUUUUUCACCAAAGCCACCAUUGCCAUCUUACAUCCUUAUUCUUUACUGGUUAUCACUACCUUAAAUAACUAAAAAAUAUCAUUGUUCUCCAAGUUUUCAUCAUUCAUAAUUUUUCUCCAUUUUUUUUUAUCAAGGUCUUCAUCCACCACUUGAACCAUUGUGAAAUUGUUUCUUCCAUUAAUGCCAAUGAACCACACUAAAAUAUCUUAAUAUGUUCUAAUAUAUACGUAUGUUCUACUUAAUUUUACAAAGACAUAGAAUAAUCAUUCUUCACUCUCCAAAAUAAUUAGAUCUCUAUCACCUUAAUCCCAUGAGUUUCCUUAAUCAUGUUUGUAAUUAUCUCAAACUAUUGAUGUAUUUUUAUAAUUUUGUGUUAUUAUAUUAUUAUAUUAUAUUAUAAAUUAAAAAUUUAAAGAUCCGUAGGACUUACGCACCACGUCUCGAGGCUUACGCCUCACUCUAUACUAAGUAAAACGCCUCUCCUUACGCCCUGACUUUUAAAACACUGAAUACUACUAAUGUCCUGACGGUACCGCAUGGGAUUAUCCAUAAGUAAUACGUAACACUUAUGGAGUACUAAAACUUAUUUGAAUCAAUUGUUUGUAAGCAGUAAUUAAUAAAUAAAGAACCUAGCUUUUUUAUUCAUAAGCAUUAAUAUUACAUAGAGUGGAAUAGAAGCAUGAUCCACAUUAUUUUAGAAAGCGGUCGAGCUAGGUUAUAGUAAUAAGCAUAGUAAGGCCAUAGUUUAGUUUGGCUACAAAAGGUGUGCUUCUGAUCACACACAUUUCGUAAUAGAUAUAUAAUUAACUAUGCAUCAAUAUUCUUGUUUACUUUGGUGAAGCCAAAUGGAUAAGGCUUGUUAUUGAGAGCCAGACGGGCGUAUCCCUUAUUUUCGUAUAGUCCGACAUCUGCACAAUCAAAUUGGCAUGUUGGACACAUAAAUUGACUAGGACAAUACCUUAACUUGUAAGAAUGAGGUCUCCCCGUCUCAUAUUUCUCAAUUUUGAACCAGUUCUUUAAGGUAUUAGGUCCUGGAAUUCCUAAGGUACCACCAGUUAUAACAAACCUAGGUGGCGGAUGCACCGGCCCUAGCAUGUAAUCACCAGCUUUCCAAACAGUUUCGUUAACACAUAGAUUAGAAGUUGUAGUUGAGAACAUUAUACUAACGUCUUGGUUUUCAAACACAUAAUGACUUCCAAGUUGCAUAGUGAAAAACGUCACGGGCGUGUUGUGAUCAAAUUCACCAGAACUGUCCUGCACGAUGCCGUUUGGGCAUUUGGUGUUUCCAAGAUCAGCUAAGUAUACGCUUCCACCGCCAUAGGGAAUACUGAGAAUGGAGUACUCUUCGUUUAUCUUGAGUGGUUCGCCGUCCAUGUCGAGCACAGGAUUAUUAUCAGAAGUGAAAGAUUGAGAAAAGGAAACCAAAGAGAGGCUACUUGAAACCAAGAGGAAACUCAAAAUAUUACUAAUAGACUUCAUCUUUGUUUCUGUAUUUUGCUUGCUAUUAAUUAAUCUAUAUAUGUCCAAUUUAUAGAGCACCACAUAUAUUGCAUGGCUUCAUUUUCACGUUUUUGUUACAUGAAUAAUACUUAUUUUGUCCUUGAAUGUCUGAGACAUAUAAUAAUAAUAAAGUUUUGACAAAUAAGGUAAAAGUUCAGUAAAAUGUUUGAAGUUUUGCCUUAUUAAAUUUAGUAAAUUUUUUCUAAAGUUAUAAGUUUUGGUGAGCCAUAUCAAAUUCAGGCAAAAACGUUUUAGUAAUGACCUUCACAAAGCCAUACCUUACACAAAAUUGUUUUGAAGUCAAGAUGCAAAUUUUUAAUUUCAAACACGUACGCCUAAAUUUAUUUUAAAAACAUAUAAAUUUCGGGGCCCUUUUCAUUGACACACAUCUACCACGUGAGUCUUGACAACCUCUGUAAAAAUGUUUGAAAUCAAAUAUAAAAUUUAAAUUUCACUUGUAUACGUUUGAAAUUCAUCUCAAAAUGGGUAAGUUUGCAAAUACAAUGAAAAACCGGACAUAAAUUUAGCGAAGACAUAAAAACAGACCCAUAUUUACAAAACGUAGCACGGGAUUUUCAUUUAACAAACAUAGCGGGAGUGUUUUUUUUCCUUUUUUUUUUCAAAACGCGUAUGAAAUUUUUACUCAAAAGCGUAAAACUUUGCUCAAUAUUUUAUGUAAGGUUCAUGCUGAUUUAUGAAAAUUCAAUAUAAUUACAAUAAUAUUUUGUAUAACUUUCAUACAAGAUUUAUAUAAAUUUAAUACAAGUACUACAAUAACUUGCAAACUUUAAAAUACAAUAAUUACACACCUCAUCAUAUAAUUAUAAUACAUUUCAUACAUUUUUCGAACUUGGGUCUGGAGUUCCUUUGUGUAUUUGUUUAUGAUUAGGAGGCGGCUAUUGGUAUACUAUGGUUUAGGUUUUAAAUUAUAAAAACUUUGUUCCAUAUUAGUUGUUUAUUUUAUUUUUUAAAAAUAAUUUACCCUCUUAUUAUUUUAAUUUUUUGAAAAAAAAUUUAUGUUUACAUUUUUUUUAGAAAAAUAAUCGUAAGGUUAAAAUGAGGGGAAAAAAGAUUAAUUCUCUUUUGAUAUUAUAAAUUGACAAAAAAAUUGAGAUAAUUAUUUUUAUAAUAUGAUCAACUAAUAUUGAAUGAAGGACCAACAUGGAUUGUGAUACAGUGUUGGGACCGGUCCACCAUUAAUCAUAGGUCUCGAGUUUAAGCCCUAGAUAUGAAAAAAAAAUUGUUGAGAGUACUACCACCAAUAAAUUUUGCAGUGCAUGAUCUAGAUUUAAUCCCAAAUUUUCCAUUCUUAUCAUCAACUCUAGUUGCAGUUGCACUGUUGCAGGCCAAUAAUGGAUAUAUUUUAAUGUGCCGACGGGACCAUUAGAGACUAGCCAUAUCUAAAUCGUGUUAAUAAAAUAGGAUGAUUAGUUGAACAUUUAAUAUAUAGUAGUAGUAGGGUUAAUGUACGACAUCUCCUAGAAUUUGGAGUAAAAUUUAAUUUAGACUUAUUAUAAUUGAACAUAUAUAUGAACAAGUGAUAAAGUGUUAAAUCCUAUGAUAUACUAUCGGUCCAAAUUUAGAGAAAUUUAUGCAUAUUUCCAAUUAGUGUUUAUUACAGAAACAAGUUUUUAAUAAGCCUCAAUAAAACUUCAAAUUUGUUUAAUUUGUUCCCCUAGAAACUCAUGAAUAUAAUUAAAAGGAGGUGACAUAUUUCAUGCGAUUAAUUAAAAAUACGGCGAUGGAAAAUGUUAUAAUAAUCUGGCGCGGAAACUAGGGCUGGGCGUUCGGUCUUGUUCGGUUUAUCGAUUUUCGAUUUGGUAAAAGUGUUAACCGAAUGUAACAACCCAGAAAUUUUUUUUGAGCUAAGACUUGAACCAUCCUUCGUUGUGAGUAGAAUUUUACCGAGGAAUUAAAAUUUUCUUGAUGUAACACCUCGCAACUAGAAAGAAGUUUAAAAUCUGGAAAUAGUCAUUUUUGAAAAGUAUAAGGAAAUCUGGAAAAUUUUAAGUUAAAGUGAGUUUUGGUCAACUUCAACUGACCAUAACUCCUAGCUCAGGAUGAGUUAGGUGUAGUUCUAGAUAUGGUUGGAAAUCUCUUGGAAUGAUCUUUCCAACGCCUCCAAGUUUGCGUGAUUCUGAGUUCGGAUGAGUGAGUUAUACCCUUUGGAAGUUGGGCUAUUGGUUUAAGGAAAGUCCAAAUCCGGAUUUUUGAAGGGUAGUUUGGUCUUUUCCUUACCCUUUUAUUUUAAUUUGUUUUAGUCAAUUAAUUAAGGGUCUAAACUGAACUGGGUCAGUUUUACGCUUUUGGAAAAGAGUUAGGGUUUUAGAGAAGAGGAGAAAAGAGAAGGAGAAGCAAGGAAAUCGUCAAGAUCGUCGAGUUUAGCUUGUGGAUUUCGUCGGGGGUGAUCCCUAAAAGGUAUGCGAGAUCACAUAGCAUUGGGUUAGUUCACCCACGCGCCAAGCAUGUUUAAUUCAGCGUGUUUUCGUCCUAAAAUGAAUGAGAAAUUGAUGUUCUUGAUAGUUGUUCUUGGAUUGAUUUCGUUCUUGAAUAUGAGUUGGGAUUUAGGAGUUUCUUGAUGAUUAAGUAUUGUUUCCCUGAAUUGUUUGAGUUAGAUUUUGUGUAUAUGAUUUGGGUACAUGAAUCUAAAGUGAAUUUGGGGGAAAAAAACGGAUUAAAGCGAUUUAGGGUCAGAAAACACGAUCAAAAGUUCAUCUGAAUUUUACCUGAAGGGAGGCUGGCGCGAUGCACCCCUAUAGUGCCAGGAAAGCUGGGGCGGCGCGCCAGCAGUGUGCCCGAAAUGAGUCCCAGUAAAACGGGGCCUGGCGCGACACGCCAGGUACGCCCUCGGAUGGGCGUUUUUCACCAGUUUUCGUCGUUUAGCCUAUUUAAGUUAUUCUAAAGUGUCCUUACACUUUCCAUUGAUUCUAACUACUUUAAAUGACUUCUAAACACCUAGAAAUCAUCCAUAAACAUGAAUCAUAACCUUGAAUCCAUAAAUUCAAAUUCAAGGGAAGUCAAGAGCCAAGUCUAGGAAGUUCUCGGAGUUUUUUUCAAGAAGUCUUUUGCAAAUGCUUUUUAACUUUGUUUUAAGACUUAAGUUUUGAAGUUGAGUAAAGAGUAAGAGCAAAGUUCAUUUUCUUUAAAAUGAUAUAUGGGAACUAAGUAUUUCCAAGAGUAAAUGUUUUCACAUUUAAGAUGAGAGGAAACUGAGAUUUCCAAAAGAGUUUUGAACAACAAAAGGGAACAUUGAUUCCAAAAGAGCUUUUGAAGCUAAGUUUGAGCAAUUAUCUCAAACCAGAGAAGAAGUUGUUUUAAAAACAUAUGAGCUAAGUAUAUUUUGAGAGUAGUAUUGAGCACCGAUAUGGAGACGCGAGUUCAUAUUAACUCAAGCCCCCAUAAACCAUGUAUCCAUCAUAGGCAGAAAAAGGAUCAUACUUUUUAAAUGAUUCCUUAGUGCUUUUUAGCAUAGACUAGUGGAUCCACUUAGUAGUUCAGGUUCUAUGCCUAUGGCAAGGUAUAGGACGGUCCUUGGCAUCGUAAGGUAAAAUGUUGUACCAUCACUUAGGCUCAUAGUGAUGGUUGUCGGUUAGAGAAACUCCCAUAGAAGUCAUUAUAUUUUUAUAUACAUCAAUUUAUUGUAUUUUUACAUACAUUUCAGAGUUAUGUUGUAUCCUUUUAUAUAUACAGAGUUGACAUCAUGUUUUAAACAACUUUUCUUUAUAUUGCACUUGUUUUAAAUCUGCUUUAUAUUGAAAUGAGUUCAGUUAUGUAUUCAUGAGUUGAGAAAGAGCCAAGGUAAGUGUUUCUUUUAGAUUCCCUUUCAAGCCUAUGUUGUUUUAGCAUUCCAACUCGCAUACUCAUACAUUCAAUGUACUGAAGCCAGUUGGCCUGCAUCUUAUUAUGAUACAGACACAGGUAACUAGGGUCGGCAUCCGGCACAUCGUUGAUCCAGUGAGAAGUUUAGAGUCUGUUAGUGAGCCUCUUUGCAUUCCAGAAGACUCUUUUUCAUUACUUUCAGUUUUAAUAUUAGUUCAUUAGGAUGUCGUGGACCUGUCCCGAUAUCCAUCUCAGUUGUUUUGAGGCUUCAUAGACAGACAGACAGUCAGUUAGUUAAUUCAGUUGUCUUUACUUUUCAUAUGUUAAAGACUUGAGUUUGCCUUAAAGGCUAGUUGAAUGUUCCGUUAUAACAUUCUAGUUAUUUCAUAAAUGUGUAUGUGAUGAGUUAAGUCUUCCGUUGAGUUAGUAAGUCAGGCCAAGGGUUCGGCUUGAGGCCAGCAAUGCUCUUCGAGUGCCAGUCCCUCCCAGGGUGUAGGCUCGGGGUGUGACACUUGAGUAUUGAGUUCCUAAUCCCUUCUGAGAUUAUGUUCCUAAUCAAGAAACUAUUACAUGUUACCCAUGAAGUCCUUAAGUUGAGUUGUUCAUGCCCAUAAUUCUGCAUGAACCUUAUGAGUUGAGCAUUCUUGAAGUGAGUAGUAUCAUUGACUCCUUGAGUUUUGGAGUUGUUGAGUUCCAAGUAUUGAGUUCUAUGCAUGGUUAUUGAAAACCUUGAAUUGAGUCGUUCACGUCCAUAAUUCGGCAUGAACCCUAUUUUAAGAAGUCUUUUUACAAAUUGUUUUAAAACUUGUUUUAAAGACUUGAGCACUAAGUUGAGAAAGAGUAGAGUUGAGUUCAUUUUCUUUAAAAUGAUAUAUGGGAACUAAAUAUUCCAAAGAGUUAAUGUUUUUACAUUGAAGAUGAAAAUUGAGAUUUCCAAAUGAGUUUUGAGCAGUUUGAGUACUAUCUCUUUUAAGAAAAAGAUGAGUUUUGAGAAAGAGUUUCUAAAACAUGAUUAGUAUGACAAUCGAGUAUGUCAUCAAUGUUUAAGCAGUAUGGUAUCUAGAUAUACCAUCAAUGUUUAUGCAAUAUGACUUCCCUAGUCAUCAAUGAUCAUAUUAAAAUAUGGUUUUGAUAUGUUUUUGAGAAAGAGUUUUCUAGAGUAGUUACCUCUUUUAAGAGGGUAGUUUGAGCAAUUAUCUCAAACCAGAGAAAGAGUUAUGUUUUUAAACAUAUGAGCUAAGUAUAUUUUGGGAGUAGUAUUGAGCACCGAUAUGGGGGCGCAAGUUCAUAAUAACUCAAGUCUCCAUAAACCAUGUAGCCAUCAUGGGUAGAAAGGGUCAUACUUUUUAGAUGACACCUAAGUGCUUUUUAGCAUAGACUAGUGGAUCCACUUAGUUAAGGCAUUCUUGUAACAUCUCGCAAUUUGAAAUAUCUAGGAAGAAGCUAAUAAUUGGAAAUAGUCAUUUUUGGAAAGAAUGAAAAUCUGGAAAUUUGUUUAAGUUAGGAAAAGUUGAGUUUUGGUCAACUUCAAACGGCCAUAACUCCUAGCUCAGGAUGAUUUAGGUGCACUUUAAGACAUGGUUGGAAAGCUCUUGGAAUAAUAUUUCCAAUGCCACCGAGUUUACGCGAUUCCGAGUUCGUAUGAGUAAGUUAUGCCUUUUGGAAGUUGGGUUGUUGGAUUAAGGAAAGUCUAAUCCUGAUUUUAGAAGGUUUAUUUAAGUCUUUUCCUUACCUAAUUAUUCUAAUUUGUUUUUAGGAGAUUAAUUGGGGUAAAACCAGAUUUUGGUUAGUUUAGAAAAGUUAGAGUUCACGCUAGGGCUUGGAGAAAAGAGAAAAGAGGAGAUGAAAAAGAGAAAAGUUAGAGUUCACAAGAUAUGAAAAAAAUCUUGUUGGGAGUACUACAUCAAUAAAUUUUUAAGUGCACGAUUCAAAUUUAAUCCCAAAUUUUCCAUUCUUAUCACCAACUCUAGUUGCAGUUGCACUGUUGCAGCAAAUAAUGGAUAUAAAUUAAUGUGCCGACGGGACCAUUAGAGACUAGCCAUAUCUAAAACGUGUUAAUUAAAUAGGAUGAUUAGUUGAACAUAUAAUAUAUAGUAGUAGUAGGGUUAAUGUACGACAUCUCCUAGAAUUUGGAGUAAAUUUAAUUUAGACUUGUUAUAAUUUAAUUGAACAUAUAUAUGAACAAGUGAUAAAGUAUUAAAUCUUAUGAUAUACUAUCAGUCCAAAUUUAGAGAAAUUUACGCAUAUUUUCGAUUAGAGUUUAUUACAUAGAUAAGGUAUUAAUAAGCCUCAAUAAAACUUCAAAUCUGUUUAAUUUGUUUCACUAGAGACUCAUGAAUAUAAUUAAAAGGAGGUGACAUAUUUCAUGCGAUUAAUUUAAAAUACGGCGAUGGAAAAUGUUAUAAUAAUCUGGCGCGGAAACUAGGGUUGGGCGUUCGGUCUUGUUUGGUUUGUCGAUUUUCGAUUUGGUAAAAAUGUUAAUCGAAUGUAACACCCCAGAAAAAAAAAUUUGAGCUAAGACUUGAACCAUCCUUCGUUGUGAGUAGGAUUUUACCGAGGAAUUAAAAUUUUCUCGAGUAUUGAGUUCCUAAUCCCUUCUGAGUAUUUGAGUAUUUGAGUAUCUGAAUACGAUCAAAUGUUUCUAUUAGAUACUUCCAAUCCAAAUUUGGAGAAACUCUAGUUUUAUGUGUCUUUCCAAUUAGUGGCUAUAACGUAGAUAAGUUAACUAAUUAAAAUAUUUUAUACAUUUAAUUACAUGGAUUAACCUUUUUUUUGGUUUCCCACCCGAUGUUCGGAGUUCACAUUGGAGCUCUGACUGAAUUUGGAUCGCUCUCUGCAGGGUCCAUUCGGGGGUGGCGCUCCCAACAAGAUUUUCUCCAUACCCAGGACUCGAACCCAAGACCUCUGGUUAAAGGUGAAGCACUUCAUGUUGGUACACAGAUUAACCUUAAUAAGCUAUAAAAUCUCAUACUUGUUUCAAUAAACUUAAAAUACGCCGAUGGAAAGUGUUAUAAUAUGGGCUAGAAAUUAGUGGAAGGGAAAUAUGAAAUCAAGAACUCUAACAAAGAAGAGGAAUAUUCAUAUAUAGAAGAAGAAAAGAAUAGAAAUUCAAUAUCAAAAGCUAAACAAAAUAAUUUGUACAAACGGAUACUUAAUAGACGUAGUUAGUUAUAAACUUAUAUCUAACUACCUUAACUCCGUCCAACAAUAGUUGUCCACUAUACUAUUUUGGAAUAUACAACAAUAUAUACUUGUUCAUUUUAUGAAAUCAAUGGAUAAACAAAUCGAUGGUCAAUCACACAUUCAAAAACAAAUUAAAAUAUGUAUCGCAUCUGAUAUUUAAAUUAAAGGUCGUAUUCGAAGAUAGUAGCUUGUUUUAUUCAUAACUCAUAAGCAUACAUUAAUUAAAAUUACAUGGAGCGUGGAGACGCGAUAGAACGAUCCACAUUAAUUUAUUCCUUAACAAAGACAACGGGAAGAGGGUUUUUACCGUCAGCUACCAGACGAUGUAAUCCAUUAUGAAAUAGCUAAACAUUCAGAAGUUAGUUACUAAUCCAUUUGUUAGUUAGAAGGUCAUUUCAGUCAUUUCAGAAUGUUAGUUAGUGCUAGUUAAUUACCUCGAUUACUGUGCUGAUGAAUUAGUUAGUUAGUAAAUUAGAUAUUUUUUUCUUCUUCUUGCUUUCUAUAUAAUCUGUGGAUGUAUCUCACUUGUAAAAUCAUCCAGAUUCAGAUUAAUAAAAUUCUCUCUCGUUUCUUCCUGAAUCUAGUUUCUUCUCUAAGUUCAUCAAUGGUGUUAUGAGCUUGUAUGCUCACAAUUUUCUUCAUGGUAUCAGAGCAGAGUUGUAGUUGAGUUUAGAUCUCUACUAGUUGGUAAAAUCUGUAGUUCUGAAGAAAUGGUGGCAUUGAAGAUAGAUCAAAAUGAUCCUUUAUACAUUGGGGCAUCAGACAGUUCGAGUGUUGUAGUGAUUCCCAUAAAGUUGAUUGGAUCUGAGAAUUAUGGAAUCUGGAGCAGGUCAUGCAGAGAAGAACUGCAUGAAUAGUGGGAAACAUGUAAUGCAAUUGUGUUGUCAUGGCUGAUGAACACAGUCAGUGAUGAGCUUCUCAGUGGCAUUGUAUAUGCCACAAAUGCCUUAUCAGUUUGGAAUGAUCUCAAGGAAAGAUUUGACAAGGUGAAUCGAGCAAGGAUCUAUCAAUUUCAGAGAGAGAUUACCACUCUAAUACAAGGUACAGAUACUGAGUACCUGUUGUGCUUGUCCUCAAUCGAAAAAGUAUACUGAUCACUUGCAGCAGAUGAGGUUGAUUCAAUUUCUAAGUGGCCUGAAUGAAUCAUAUGAGCAGGCUCGCAGACAGAUACUACUUAAGGGAACUACAUGAUCACUGAAUCAAGCUUAUGCAAUGAUUAUAGAGGAUGAGAUUCAACACUCAAGUUAUAUGGCUAAUAUAGUUGAAAAGCCAAAUUCAAUGGUGAUGAAUGUGAACAAGAAUCAAGGAGGAAAAGAGAACUACAAAGGAAAUAAGUGUGAGUACUGUCACUAUCUUGGUCACACCAAGGAUAAUUGCUAUAAGUUGAUUGGCUAUCCAAAUGGUUGGAAGCAAAAGAAGAAACCAUGCUAUGGAAAUGGAAAUGGUAACAUGAGAAAUGCUGCAGGCACAAAUCAAUUUAGUAUCUAUAGAGGACAAAGUUCAGGAAAUAACAUAAGGAAUCAAGUAGGGCCAUCAUGUUCUGGUGGAUUUGGAGGAGGACACCAGUCUGCAAACAACAUCUCUAAUGAUUAUUAUAAGCCUUCUAACACAGCUUCAACCAGUCAGGUGGAAAACAAUACUCUCCUAGCAAAGGGACAAACAUUCAUUGAGAAAGAGUACAAGAAAAUAAUGGAGAUGCUAAACAAGCUUGGAUGUGCAAGAGUCCAAGCAGGUCAAUAUGGCAGGUAUUACCGCUUGCUUAAUGACAAACUUUCUUACAAAGGACUGGAUAAUUGAUUCAGGUGCGACUCAUCACAUCAUAGCAAACAAACAACCAUUGACUAAGAGGCAUGAACUAACCAAGUCAUAGAAUAAUCAAGUUCAUCUUCCAACAGGUGACAAGGUGGCAAUCAGUCAUGUUGGUGAAACACCUAUUUUUGACAAUGAAGUGGUAAAAAAUGUCUUGCAUGUGCCAGACUUCAAGUCAGCUUGUUAUCAGUGUCCAAAAUCACAAAGGAACUAAAUUGUUUUGUAUCAUUUUACCUUUACUUUUGUGUGUUUCAGGACCUCUACAGUGGCAAGGUGAAGGGGAUUGGUAGAGAAGAAGGAGGAUUAUACAAUUUUAAAGUUGCAUUUACACCAAAGCAGAAGGAGGAAAUAAGGUGUGCUCAGAAGAUAGUGGCUACAAGAGCAACAAUACAGGACACAAAUCUAUGACAUAAAAGGCUUGGACACCCAUCUCAACAGAUAUUGAGAUAUCUCAAGUUAGCUACAAGCAAUAAAAGUGGUGAAUUAUCUUCAAAUUGCCCUGUUUGCCCUUUAGCUAAGCAAACUAGGCUUACCUUUCCUAGUAGUAAUACUAGAGUAUCCAUGAUGUUUGAUGUUUUUCAUAUGGAUCUAUGGGGACCCUAUAAGACCCCUACUCUAGAUAGAAAGCAUUAUUUCUUAAUAAUAGUAGAUUUGAAUGGGUUCAGUUGUUGCAAUUAAAAUCUGAAACCAUUGUGGCUAUCAAAAAUUUCCUUUCCAUAGUUAAGACUCAAUUUGAUUCUCAUGUCAAGACUGUGAGAUCUGAUAAUGGUGCAGAGUUCUUUAAUUCACAAUGUACAGACUUGUUUCAUCAUCUAGGAAUAUUGCAUCAAAGCAGUUGUCCUCACAGACCACAACAAAAUGGUAUGGUGGAGAGGAAACAUAGACACAUCUUUAACAUUGCUAGAGCUAUCAGAUUUCAAUCUCAUUUGCCUAUCAGAUUUUAGGGGUAUUGCAUUAAGGCUGCAGUGUAUUUAAUGAAUAGAUUGCCUUCCUCAGCUAUUGCUAACAAAAGUUCCUAUGAAUUACUUCACUAUAAACAACCAAAUAUGUGUCAUCUAAGAGUCAUAGGUUGUCUUUGCUAUGCUUCAACACUUCCCAGAAGGGAUAAGUUCUCAGCAAGAGCUGCUUCUGCCAUCCUCUUAAGGUACUCAGACCUACAAAAGGGUUACAUAUUGUUGUACAUCAAUUCUACCAAACUGUAUGUGAAUAGAGAUGUGGUUUUCCAUGAAGAAAUUUUUUCAUUUGCCAAAGUGAUGCCUCAGAUUAAUCCCUCAAUUGAUGUACAUGGUUCCCCUUUGGAGAUAAUAGAGAAUCUUGAUGUGGUGAAUGAGUCUGCUAAUAAAGAUAGUGAAGAACCUGAAGUUGCUGUCACAAGAAAUGAAGAUGCUCAGGCAGUAGAUGUUGGUGUUGAGAAUUCUUCAGUAUGUCAAAUGUCUGAAACUGAUCCAGUAUUGGAAAUUUCUGAAGAUUUCCCUGGGGUACCAUCACAUGUUGACCCUCCUAAUAGAAGAACUUUAAGCAACAUCAAAGAGCCAAUUUGGAUGAAAGAAUAUGCCACUACUAAGAAACACAGUAGUACCAGACAUCCCAUGGCCAACUCUCUGAAUUAUGACAAACUGAAGCCUUGUUACAGGGGCUAUUUGAGCAAGCUUUCAGAUUGUAUGGAACUUAAGUAUUUGAGCCAAUCUGCAAAGGAUGAGAGGUGGAUACAAGCAGGGGCGAAUUUAUGUACUAAUUUUGGGUCACCCGAACCCGUGGUCAUCCGACCAAACUCGAUAUAGUACUUCUAUAAUUAUUAAAGAAUAUGUUAAAUUAAAACUUGUUGAACCCGUUCUCAAAAUGGUUGGAUGGUUCACUGGUACCACUGCAAGAUUUCAACUCACAGGUCGCAGGUUCGAUCCCAGGCAGCCCCAAUUCGCUGCAAUUUAUUUUUAUUAACUAAAAACACAUUUUUCAUUAAAAAAAAAAGCUAAAUUUUGAAGUUCUAAAAGUCAAAGACUUCAAAAGUUUCCUUCCCACACACUUUCCAAGUUCCAACAAUAUUUUUCUUCUCUUUUCAAAUUUGUUUUCUAUUUUCCACACAAAGAAGAAGCUUCAAGUCUCCAACUUCGAAGUCAAGAAUUUAGAGAAAUCAUCAUUGUCAAAGUUUUAGGGUAAUUUUAGUUUAUGAUUUCUCGUUUUCAUAUAAAAAAAUCUUGUCAUUACUUAUAAUAGGAAAUCAUCAAUAGCUAAAGAAUUGAUUAUCUCAAACUUACAUAUUUUGCGGAUGUAACUUGUAAGGAAUGUGUUUCAUAUUAUAUUAUCAAUUUUGAAGGGUGUGAUUCCUUUUUUUUUUUAAUGUGAAAGGGGUGUGAUUCCCUUAUUUUUUUAAAUGUGAAAGGGGUGUGAUUCCUCUAUUUUAGUUAGAUUUGCAAGGAUUGUGAUUCCUCUAUUUUAUUUGAACUUGCAAGGGUGUGAUUCCCUUAUUUUUUAUUGUGAAAGAUAUGCGAUUCUCUUAUUUUAUUUUAAAUUUGCUAGUUAAAUUUGUGACUAAGUUGAAUAGUUAUUUGAAUUUGUAGGAACAUUUAUCCUUGAAUAACUAAAUGGAUAAAUUUUUUAUUAAGAAACCACGGCAAGGGUGUGAUUCCCUUAUUUUUUAUUGUGAAAGAUAUGCGAUUAUCUUAUUUUAUUUUAGCAAAAAUGAUCAACGUAAUAGCAUUGGUGAAGAAUUUUUGAAUGGAUGUUUAGUUUGUAAGAUAGAGCGGAAGAUAUUUGAAAAUGUAAGUAAUGAUGCUAUUAUAGAUCGUUUUCAAAAUAUGAAGUCCCGUCGAGUACAAUUGUAAACUGAUGAUAUUUUUUGUGGUAAUGCAUUUUUUAUGUAUUGCUCGCUUAGUUAUUGUUAUUAUAAAUUUUUUUAUCUUAUCUUUAAAGCAAUGGUGCACCCGUUUUCUUAAAAUCCUGGAUUCGCCUCUGGAUACAAGCUAUGCAGCAGGAAAUCCAAGCUCUUGAGGAAAAUAAUACUUGGAUAGUUGUUAAUUUACCAAAGGGCAUGCAUAUAGUUGGUUCCAAAUAGAUAUACAAAGUGAAAUAUAAGGCAAGUGGUGAGGUAGAAAGGUUUAAAGCCAGGCUAGAAGCAAAGGGAUAUAGCCAACAAGAAGGACUAGAUUAUCAUGACACUUUUUCUCCUGUAGCCAAGAUGGUGACAGUGAGAUGUGUCAUUGCUCUAGCAGUAUCAAAAGGCUGGACACUAUACCAGAUGGAUGUCUAUAAUGCAUAUCUUCAAGGUGAUUUAGAUGAAGAGGUCUACAUGGAGAUGCUUGAGGGCUUUAAAAGACCAGGUGAAAACAAAGUAUGCAGGUUACUUAAAUCAUUAUAUGGGCUUAAACAAGCCUCAAGACAAUGGAACUUAAAACUCACAAAAGCAUUGCAGGCCACAUAUUUUACUCAAAGUGCUCAUGAUUACUCAUUAUUCACACUUAACAAGGGGGAAGACCUUGUGAUUGUUUUGGUCUAUGUAGAUGACUUAUUGAUUAUAGGGAAUAACACACAGUUGAUCACUGAAGUUAAGGAAGCUUGCACAGACAGUUCAAGUUGAAGGAUCUAGGUGAACUUAAGUUCUUCUUAGGCAUUGAAGUAUUGAGAUCUUCAGCGGGAAUUAUUCUGAAUCAAAUGAAGUAUAUCUUAGAGCUUAUUAUUGAUGCAGGCCUGACUGGUGCAAAACCUGCAUCCACACCACUAGAGUCCAAUUUGAGAUUGACAUUAGUGGAACAUGAUCUAGCAACUGGCUACACUGGAGAAGUUGUGCUUCAUGAAAUUACUUCAUACCAAAGGUUGGUUGGUAAGCUAUUAUAUGCCACCAUCACUAGACUAGAUAUAAGCUAUGCAGUGCAAACCCUCAGCCAGUUUAUGCAAUCUCCUAAGAAGUCACAUCUGGAGGCUGCUACUAGAGUGGUUAGAUAUUUGAAAGGUACAGUUGGUCAGGGUAUUUGGCUGCAUUCUGAACCUACCAACAUACUCACAUGUUGGUGUGAUUCUGAUUGGGCUGUUUGUCCCAACACAAGAAGGUCCAUCACAGGGUAUGUCAUCAAGUUUGGAGAUUCUUUGGUAUCCUGGAAAUCCAAGAAACAACAGACUGUUUCAAGAAGCUCAGCUGAAGCUGAGUACAGAAGCAUGGCUUCAACAGUCUCAGAAAUCACCUGGCUCCUAGGCUUGUUCAAAGAGCUACGAGUGUCUAUUCAGUUGCCUAUUACUAUUUUCAGCGACAGUAAAUCAGAAUCCAACUAGCAGCUAACCCAAUGUUUAAUGAAAGGACAAAACAUAUCGAGAUAGACUGUCACUUCAUCAGAGAUAAGAUCAAAGCAGGGAUGAUUGACACUGCCUAUGUACACACAUAACAGCAACUUGCAGACUUAUUGACAAAAGGGUUGAGCCAGGUCCAACAUGUAUACCUUUUAGGCAAGCUUGGUGUGCUUAAUGUCAUGAACACUUCAGCUUGAGGGGGUGUGUUGAAAUAGCUAAACAUUCAGAAGUUAGUUACUAAUCCAUUUGUUAGUUAGAAGGUCAUUUCAGUCAUUUCAGAAUGUUAGUUAGUGCUAGUUAGUUACCUCGAUUACUGUGCUAAUGAAUCAGUUAGUUAGUAAAUUAGAUAUUUUUUUCUUCUUCUUGCUUUCUAUAUAAUCUGUGGAUGUAUCUCACUUGUAAAAUCAUCCAGAUUCAGAUUAAUAAAAUUCUCUCUCGUUUCUUCCUCACUCUAGUUUCUUCUCUAAGUUCAUCAAUGGUGUUAUAAGCUUGUAUGCUCACAGUUUUCUUCACUUGAACAAGUAGCUUUCAUUUCCUAUGGUACCACCAGUCACCACGAACUGAUCUUUAUCAUCAGUAACUUUCCAACUAGUUUCGUUAAAACACGGACUAGAUAUAUCACUAAUUAAUCAAUUUCCAAUAGGUCAUAGGCUCAUAGAAUCAGCAAAUAGGUUGGGUGAGUUUUUUUUUUUUGGUUUUUCAUCCGAUGAUGGGAUUUUAAAUUGGAGCCUUGAUUAAAUUUGGAUCGCGCACUGUAGGGUCCAUUUGGGGAUGACGCUCCCAACAAAAUUUUCUCCAUACCCAGAGCUCGAAUCUAAGAUCUUUGAUUAAGAGUGAAACAAUCUCACCACAACUCAUGUUGGUGGUAGGUUGGGUGAAUUAAUGAGCCCUUAUGUUAAGUUAGUUUAUUUUGAUCUAUUUUAUUUAAAAUUUAGCAAGAAUCAAACGAAUUACCUUUCUAAAUUAUGCAAAAAUUAAUACAAAAAAUCAAACACUAUAUGUUUCUAUUUUUUUCAAAAAAAAUAAAAUUACACCACUAGACAAAGUGUCUACCAAUUUUUUAUUAAAAUAAAAAACUUCAAUAGACAAGUAUUUCCUUUAGCCUCAAUUUGCUAUUAUAAUAUUGUUACCGGAGAAGAUGCAGAUAAGAAGAUUUAUUCCGGCGACCUUAGAGCCCUUACAAAAAGGUAGACAUUGUUUUUAUGGAUAAAUCUAUCUCUAUUUUGCUUGCUAUUAAUGAUUAGUCUGUCUCCAAUUUAUACAGCUGCUAAGGGCAUUUUUGACAAACAAAAAAUAGCUACCGACCGCUACCUUUUAGGUUAGUGACAUUAUUUCAUUUAUAAAUAAUAAUGAUUUAAAGAAAAUAAGUACUCUAGUAUAAAACCUGUACUAUUAUUUUUGGCUUAAUUAAUUCUCUUAAAAUUAUCCCCUUAAUUCAUCUAGACAUUUAAAUUCAGACUUGUACCUAUUGAACACUUCUAUUCUUUUGAAUUUGAGUCAUUCUAACAUUUUUUUAACAAUCAACUAAAAAUAUAAGAAAGAGUGAAAUGUACUAGCGGUGACAUGACAAUUUGACAAAUUAAAUAAGUAAAAUUUACAUAAAUCUCAUAGUGUUAAGAACUAAUUAUAUCAUAUCUCUACUCUUUUUCAAAUUACAAAAAUCAUUUAAAUUUAUAGGAUCUCGGAUAUAUAUAUAUGAAAAUAUGUAGAUACAUAGUUCACGGAUUGCGAAUGAUACAUUACUUAAUGGAAGAGAUGUAUUCGAAGGGGAGAGAUGUAUUCGAGAGGGAAUAGGAUGUAUAUGAGAGGGGAUUGAUAUUAGUAAAAAAGUUGAAAAAUUAACAUUGUCAAUUUAAUUUUGUAGUUAUUACUUAGAUAUUAGCCAUGACUAGCUUUUAAAUUCAUAGGAUAUUAGUCAUGACAAGCUUUUAAAUUCAUAGCUAAAAUUUCCUAAUUUAAUUUUUUAUUUAAAAGUAAAAAUUUAAAAUAAGUCAAUUCAAACAUUUUCUAAUUUAUGACUUUUUAUUUAGAAGUCAUAGUAUAUAUAUAGUAAUAAAGUUGAGAAGUAACUUUGUAACAUUAAUUUUUAUAGCUCAGAAAGUUAAUGAAUUUGUUGAUAAUCAUGAAACUCGAAAUUUGGUAGCUUUUACAAGGAGUCCGGAGCCUAAAGGGAAAAAAAAUUGACAAAAUUUCCAAAAGGGUACAUCAAUUUUUUUUCCUAACCAAAGGGGCAAAAUCGCUGAUGGGGUAGCGAUUUUGAUUUGACGCCGUUAAUAGAUCAAAAUCUCUGCCCUAUCAGCGAUUUUGUCCAAAAAACUUUUUCAGAAAAUCGCUGCCCGCGCAGCGAUUUUGCGAUUUUAAAAAAAUAAAAUUAAAAUCGCUACUAUGGUAGCGUUUUAUAAAAACGAAUUUAUUUUAUUUUUUUGAUUGGCAGCGAUUUUCGUUAAUGUUUUUUUUUUAAAUCGCUGCUGUUGCAGCGUUAUUAUAAAUUUUGUGGAAUUUUUUUUUUUUUAAGGAAUCGCUGCCUUGGCAGCGAUUUUAAUGGAACUUUUUUUUAAAAAAAUAAAAAUCGCUGCUUAGGUGGAAUUUUAUUUAUUUUUUUGAAAUUUCUGUCAACUACUAGUUGAAAGAAAUUUCAAAAUAAAAAAAAAAUCCACCAAAAUCUAAAAACAGAAAAAAAAAUUCACAAAAUUUAUAAUAAUGUUGCAACAGCAGCGAUUUUAAAAAAAAAACAUUAACGAAAAUCGCUGCCAAUCUGUUUUACAAUUAGUGUUUAUUACAUAGAUAAGUUUUUAAUAAGCCUCAAUAAAACUUCAAAUCUGUUUAAUUCGUUCCACUAGAGACUCAUGAAUAUAACUAAAAGGAGGUGACAUAUUUCAUGCGAUUAAUUUAAAAUACGGCGAUGGAAAAUGUUAUAAUAAUUUGGCGCGGAAACUAGGCUUGGGCGUUCGGUCUUGUUCGGUUUAUCGAUUUUCGAUUUGGUAAAAAUGUUAACUGAAUGUAACACCCCAGAAUAUUUUUUUGAGCUAAGACUUGAACCAUCCUUCGUUGUGAGUUGGAUUUUACCAAGGAAUUAAAAUUUUCUUGAGUAUUGAGUUCCUAAUCUCUUAUGAGAUUAUGUUCCUAAUCAUGAAACUAUUACAUGUUACCCAUGAAGUCCUUAAGUUGAGUUGUUCAUGCCCAUAAUUCCGCAUGGACCUUAUGAGUUGAGCAUUCUUGAAGUGAGUAGUAUCAUUGACUCCUUGAGUUCUAGAGUUGUUGAGUUCCAAGUAUUGAGUUUCUAUGCAUGGUUAUUGAAAACCUUGAAUUGAGUCGUUCACAUCCAUUGUUUACAUCCCUACUCUAUUCAAAUAUGACGAAACGUCGUGGUGACUCAAAAAAUGAUUAAUUAAUUCAAUUAUAAAAGAAUUUUCAGAAAAAACGAGUUUUAAAAGAGUCACCACCUAAUUUUAGGAAAGACUAGGAAACCAAUUAAUUAACUAACUAAAAGAAUGUCUACGAAACCAAUAGAUUCUAGUUAAGGGGUUCAAGUUAUUCCGAAAGGAAAGUGUUAGGCAUCCUUCAAAAUCCACAAUUGUGGGUCCCAGCUGAACUCAUUUUUUCAAAUUGAGGAGGAGAUGAAAACAAAUAUACAAGUAUAAUAAACAUGAGAUAUACACAAAUAAUAAAAUCAAACAAUAAUAUAAGAAACAACCUAAAUUUGCCUAUUGUCAAUAAUAUACAAUAAUGAAUGGAAAAUAUAAUUCUAACUCCUUUCGAAUAGCUUCAAUGAGAAGCGACUCUGGGGUACCAGUAAAGACACUUAGUAAAAGUGUUAGUAAUAAAUAAAUAUGAAUAAAAACAAAUAAAUAAAAUAAUAACUUAAAAGUAAAAAAUCCGUCUUAUUAACAUAGGAGGCCUUCACUAUAAGAAAAGUAUUGAUUACCUGGGGAUUUUCCUAGGGAUAACAUAGUAAAAUCCGCAGGUAACUUGAUUACCUGCGAAUUUUCUCGCAAAAUGAAAUCCGAUGGAAAAACCUUUGUAGGUAACUCUUACCUGCGGAUUUAUACAAGCCCUAGGUAAUUUACAUGGGGAAUUAAAAUACGCAUGUGUUACCUGCGGAUUUAUCUGCGAUACAUAACAAAAAUUCUUGUGAAUUUUUUACCAAAAAUUCUUGUGAAUUUUUUACCAAAAUUUCUUGCGAAUUUUUUACCAAAAUUUCUUAUAAAAACGAAAUUUCUUGGGGAUUUUCAUAGAAAUAUUUUGCAAGGAAUUCUCUAUGAAGAUUCCCAAGUAAAUCUGUAGGCGUUUGGAGAUAAAAUUUUGUGAAACAAAAGGAAAUUUCCUGUGUGUGUAUAUAUAUAUAUAUAUAUAUAUGAAAAUAUUGCUCAAGAUAAUUCCUAUGAAAAGGAACCCGCAAGAACUAACAAAAAAUAUAGUUCACGUUAUAUCACUUUCAUUCAACAAAAAACAGAAUUCAUAAUUAUAAUUCCUAUGAAAAGAAACCCGCAAGAUCAAUAGUUUAUGAUUCUUAAAUGGACAAAAGCAAAAUACAACUCAAAUUUGAAUCCUAAAUAGUGUUAUCAACUAUCUCAAUCCUCACUUUCAUUCACGCUAUCAGAGUCAUGGGCAGAACCACUGUCAUUCACACUGUGAGAGUCAUCACCACUUUCAUCCUCAUCAUAAGCUUGAUUGUCUUCUUGAGAUGAUUGCCCAUUUGAAGAUGAUGCGUUGUAUACAUUCAAACCUGACCAGAAUUAUGAAUGAAUAAACUUAAUACACCACAUAGAUUCCAAGAACAACCUUAACAACCUUAACCACGCUUCACUUUGUGCGAUUUAAUUGAUUUCAGAGGCAAGUUUUUCCUAACAUCUUGAAAAAGUUGUGUUAUCCUUGCAGAUGCCAUUUUCUCAAAAUUACGUCUUAUAGCAUCAGUAUAGUGAGGGAGCCAUUUGAAUUUCUUCUGUAUAUAGCAAAUAAAAACUGCAUUAGUUAUACAAGCUCACACCACCUGCAUUAGACACUUGAUAAUUGUUAGAGUGUUGCAAAUGGUAACGUUAUUCUGGGAGAUUCUUUAACGGAUGAAAUAAGCUCACUAUUUUAUUUGAGUUUAGAAUAAUAUAUAUGACCUCUCACGUCGUGAAUGUACCUCAUCUAGUACAAUACAUCGAUACAUAUCAUAUCAGUUCACAGUUCCAGAUAUAACUAAGACAGACAUCUAAGAUAAUAAGCAACUGGAAGAAAAUUCAUUUUCGAAUUAACAAAACCAACAAUGCAUUUUUUGCACUUCUUGACUAAAAUCACUUCCAAACUCAAUCACAUAACUAACAGUAAACUAACUAGAAUUCUUUAACUGUCACUCAGUGCUUAAAAACAAUUGUAAAGUCCAAACCUUUAAAUUUUCAGAGGAGAGAAAAUAAAUCAUACCCUUCACCUGAAUCCAUUCCUUUUGUAGCUCCAUAUUUUCCAGAAGCAACAUCCACCUGGAAAAAUAAGGUAAUACUUUCUAGAUGCUAACUAGACUAUACAGAAAGACAAGAAAUCGCACUUAAAUAAACUCAAAACUCACUACACUCUCAGGGUCUGCAAGCAUGACAAAUGUGACAUCACAAGAUGUUGCAACCUCCUCAGGGGAUGAUUUGUAUUUGCAGAAAAGAACCUCAAGUUACCUUGAAAUGAAAAUUAUCCAAAGAACCACAAGUUACCAUGAAAUGGAAAUUAUCCCCAAGUACAAGCAAUAACAACAGUCAAGAAAUUUUUUAAGUGAUCUCAUACAAGGCGAUACAAGCAUAGGCAUAGAUCUUUCUUUUUUCAAUUGUUAAGGAUUAGCAUAGAUUACCAUUGGCUACUUCAGUGUUGGGUAAUCUAAGUUUAAACACAUUUCCUGGAGGCCAACACAAACAAACUUAAGUUUGCAGCAUAACCAAAAUUGGCAUAUACUUACUUUGCACCCAGGGAUAUAAGGGGUUCACAUUUGCUCUUGGUCCUAUUCCAAACUGUCACAUCACAUCUGCAACAUGAGAACAAACACAAUAAAAUCAUUAGACAUUGAAAUUUAAUUAUUCCAAAAAAAGAGGUUUUAAAGUAUAAAAAUCAUGUCUCAUUGCUCCAACAAGAUCAAAUGUCAGAUGGCACAGCCUUGGUAUUAAUAAUGUGUACUUCUGAAAGAUCAACAGUUUAGGGUACUCAUAAUUUAGCUAGUUAAUAAAGAACGAUAACAAUGAUGAGUAUAAAGUUAACUACGCGCUGUCCAGUGAUUUAUGAAGUUCACAAAGCAAAACCUCAUUGAAAUCCAUCAAAUUAGUGUAUCAAAGUAAUAAUUGGAACAUACCCUGCUUUUAUGAGAUUUUGUGCCAUUGGAUUGCCCAUAAUUCCAAGACCUAGAAAGCCAAUACUUGCUGGAAGAGCAUCAGCUGCAGAAAACUAAAUUCCAUCAGACAAAAUAAACACCUAAUUUUUUGUCAGUAGUAAAUAGCAUCCGAAAGAACUAUAACUCGACACAAAAUGACACCAUAAAAGAGGAAAUAAAGUUUUUUUGUUAAUCAAUAAUUUCAUCCUAAUUUCAAUUUUCGCGUGAUGUCAUGCUGCCAUGAUACUUUCGUCUUGCUUUCAAGUGAAUGGAUCAAGACAAAUGCCUUGAAAAUUUUCUAUUACUACUAGCUGAUGGUGCCAAACUAUACAUUACAAUACUAUAAAAUUGUAAAAUAUUAAGGUUUUUCGUAAUAGACACCAGUAAUAGCAGGCGUUGACAACAUCUCUAAUAGUCAAACAAAAUCACUUCAUACAUUAGGCCGUCCCUAAUUGUAAAACAGAAACUGUCACGACCCGAGUCUACACCCUGGAUGUGGCCGGCACUCAAGAACCAUUGAUGGUCCCCAAGCGAACCCUCAUCCUGGCUGACUACAAGCGGAAAACUAACUCAAGCAUACAAAGCUUAAAAACUGAAUAAAAUUCAUGAAACUGAAUAAAAUUCAUGAAACUGAAAUACAAAGCUUUAACUCAAAUGAAAAACUCUGAAUAAAAUAGUAUAUUCAACUCGCCAUAAAAUAGGCAACUUAAGUCUUUAAAACAUUUUAAAAAAUAAAUGAAUAAUACAGACUUCUCAACUAUACUGACUAUCUAUGAAGCCUCUAGCUGAUAAAGAUGAAAGUCGGGACAAGACCCACGACAUCCUGACUAAACUAAAAAGUAAAUGAAAUCCUCCGGAAAAUAAGGAGACUCACCAUAGCUAACUCGAACUCUCGGAUGUAUCAAUGAAUCUCCUAUUGAUGAUCCUGAAUACCUGUGUCUGCAUCGUGAAAAGAUGCAAGCCAAAUGGCUUAGUACGUGGAAUGUACUAGCAUGUAAGGGGAAUUCUAAAGCAUAACAUAAGCUUGAAAGAAUCUGAAAGAAAUUGAAGAACUUACCUGGCUCAACUCAACUCAACAUAACUGAACUCAUUUCAUUAUAAAGCAGUUUAAAACAUGUGCAAUAUAAAGAAAAAAAUUGUUGAAAACAUGUUGUCAAUUCAUAAUCAUAAUAUCAUAAAAUGACAAAUCAUGCUCCCUCUCAAAGUCUAGUUGUGCAAUACAUGAAUGAAGUCACAUACCCCCAUUAACACUAAGCAGAACCCCUUGAGGAACCAUGCUACUUUAUGGGGGCUGUGUGUUGUUUGAACUCUCCCCCAUAUCGGUGCUCAAUACUACUCCCAAAAAUAUACUAGCUCUUAUGUUUUAAAAACAUACUUCUUUCUGCUGAUUUGAGAUAAUUGCUCAAAAACUUAGCUCAAAGGCUAUCUUGGAAAUCUCAGUUUCCCUGCUUGCUUCAUUUAGAAAGCUAUUUCUCUUUUCUGAAAACUAGCCCGAAGGCUCUUUGAAAAUCUCAGUUUCCGUUCUUAUUUAAAUGUGAAAACAUUUAAAAACUUCUUUGGGAAUACUUAGUUCCCUAAUAGCUUUUGAGAAAUGAACUCAACUCUUUACUCUUUGCUUAACUCAAAACUUAAGUCUUAAAACAAAGUUAAAACGUUUGUAAAAGACUUCUUAAAAUAUGGUUCAUAUCGAAUUAUGGACAUGAACUACUCAAUGCAAGGUUUUCAAUAACCAUAGAUAGAACUCACAUACUUGGAACUCAAGAACUUCAAUGAUACUACUCACUUCAAGAAUGCUCAACUCAGAGGAUUCAUGUAGGAUUUAUGAGCAUGAACUACUCAACUAAAGGACUCAAGGAUACUUCUUAUCUCAAGACUGUUCGACUUAUAAUGUUCAUGCGGAAUUAUGGGCGUGAACAACUCAACUCAUGGACUUCAUGGGAAAUAGGUAAUAGUCCCAUGAUUAGGAAUGUAAUCUCAAAUAGGUUAGAAACUCAAUACAAAAGACUUAGGAUCUGAAGAUAUUACUUCUCUCAUAGAUACUCAACUUAUGGAGUUCAUGCGGAAUUUAUGGGCAUGAACGACUUGAUUCGAAGGUCUACAAACUACAUGAACCCAUGUAUAUGAAACUUCUCAUUCUCUUACUUACUACCUCAAUACUUAGUUCAAAUCGAUGGUUGAUCUCAAAGGAAUCACAAUUGAACUCAAAGGCUUUCUUGAACUUUACUCUUAACUCUCUCUUGAAUAUGAAUUAUGAAUUCAAGAGUUUUGGUUCAUGAUAUGAAGGAUCUCAAUAACAAUAUAGCUAUUCGAUAAUUAGGAAUAGAACUUUUAAAAGAAACAUGAAUUCAAGAACUCAAAAUCAACUUAUCUCAAGAAUGCUCAAUUCUAGGGAAAGUAUCCUAGAUUACUCUUUUUCUGAUCUGAAAGUAGAUGUAGGGCGUGAGGACGAGCUAGUCCAACACUAUGAUAGCCUUACAUACCUAGAAGAAAAAGAUUCUUGAAGAAUCUAUAAGAAUCUUGAGGAAGAACUUGAUUAGAAGCCUUGAAACCCUAGCUUGAAGGUAAACAAUCAAGAAAACCUUUCUUGAAAUCUCUAUGGCCUAGAAUUAUGAUUUUCAUUAGUGAAGAUGAAAAUCUAAUUGUUUUGAACCUUUUAUUAGUCAAGAAAUUCGUUUAUGGUAUUCUUAGAGGUAAAAGGCAAAAACGACUCUUUUUAAUAUUUUCCCGUCGGCUAAUUCGUAACAGCACUGUAUAUGUUACUAAAAUAGUCAUAACUUUUUACUUAGAAAUUGGAUUGACGCAAAAUUGGUGGGGUUGGAAAGUACAUUCAAUUACCUUUAACUGGAUAGGUUAUGGAUCACGUAACUCUUAAUAUUCUAAGAGAUAUGGUCGUUUAAAGUUGACCCAAGCAAAAUCUUAAAUUAAAACUUAAUGAAACUUCAAGAACACUUAUCAAGAAUUCUAAUCUUUAAAUUUCAAGAUCGAAAUUACGCUGAAUAAAUCAUGAUUGGUGUGUGGGUGAAAGAACCCAACACUAUAGAAGCUUACAUACCACUUAGGGAUUAAACCCAUGGCGAAAAUCCGCAACAAGACACAAGAAUCUCGACGAACGUUUGAUCUUCUCCUCUUUUCUCCUCUUGAACUCUCAACUAAACCCCUACGCUAAUUUUAUGAUUAUAAAACUGAACCUAAUCAGAUUAGACCCCUAAAAUAUUACUAAAACGAAUUAAAUCUGUUUUGGUAAGGAAAAGACCAAAAUACCCCUCUAAAACCCGGAUUUGACUUUUCUUAACUGGACAACCUAACUUCAAAAGGCCAUAUCUCACUCAUCCGACCUCUAAACUUAGCAAACUUAGCGGCGUUGGAAAGAUAAAUCAAAGGUCUUUCCUACGGUAUCUGGUAGCACACUUAAUUCAUCCUGAGCUAGGAGUUAUGGUCGUUUGAAGUUGACCCAAAACUCAUACUUAAGCAUAACUUGCAAAAUUUCAGAUUUUGCUAUUUCCAAUUUAAUUCUUUUUGUAACUCAAGGUGCUACAUCUAGUGACCUUUAACACUCAAGAAAUUUUUAAUUCCUUGGUAAAAUCUCAGUCACUACGAAGAACGGCUCGAGUCUUAGUUCGAAAAAUUUUCUAGGGUGUUACAGAAACUCACAUCAGCUAAUUUUUUUUGAAGAUGAGAACAAAUUGAAGAGAUUCUAGAACAAACAUCAUUUGCAGGAUAUUAAAAUUCAAUAAGCUGUAGAGAAGAAACAUAAUAAGGACAUGCACUCAUCUUCUUCAAGUAUUUAAGCAAGAGCUUUGAUUUGCAAAAAAAUCUCACUCGAUUUUCAUCCAAACUAAAACAGUAAACAAAAAUUUACAGAUUAACCUCACAGAGCUUGAAAUUUCUAGAUUAACCUCAAUUUUUUGGUAGAUUGACAAGCAAAUCUUCCGAUCUGUAGUCCUUUACUUUGGAAAAAUUCACUUGGAGAGAAGCAUGAGGUCCGCUAGGAGAGUUUUGAGAUGAGCUUUGUAUAUAUGAGCUUGGGGAUCCGGAUGAGCUUGGAGCUUGGGGCUACACCGAUUCAGAUCGUUUCCACCAUUGUAUCUACAUGUGAGUUUUGGAGAGAAACUUUAGUGGGUUUGUGUAAAGUGAGUUAGAGAGAGGAAAAUGAGUCUUAGUGGGUCUUACAAUCACUUUCCAAUUCCUAAUUGAGUUUUUAAUUGGUCUAUUAUCCAAAAAAAUUACAAGUGUAAAAGAAUCCAAUCAUCUAAAAGAUAAUUGGUCUAAUAAUUCCUAAAUCCCCAAUUAUUUCCCAAGGUAAUAAAAUGUCUAGGCAAAUCCCAAAAAUAAUUUUUUAGACAAUCUGGAAUUUUCCUACAGAUUAAAAAUAAAUUUUUAAAAAAUAUUUUUGGUCCAUGUACCUAGGGAUUUAGCUAGAGAUAUUGUUCAUGCGGAUAUAUUUUCCUAGGUAAUUUUCAGGAACUAAUUUAGUGCAAAAUGGUACCAAUGUUAGUUGCGAAAUUUGUUGGGAAUAUAAUUUUCAUAGGUAAUAUAUUCUAAUAUUGAGGAAUUUAAAAUUUUCGCAAGAAAAUUUGCAAGUAUUACCUGCGACAAUUUCCCCCCAGAUAAUAUUCCUAUGUAAUUCACACUUUUCUAGUAGUGCUUGGAAAUCGACGGUAAUUUCUUUAUCGGCCAAUUUUAACAAAUAAUGGAUAUAAACUUAAACUAAAAUUUCCGUCUUUUAAAAUGAAGAGGCCUUCAAAAUCGACGAAGAAAUUUUUUCAUUGGCCAAUUUUACAAGAAUGAAUAACAUGCAACUAACAAACAAUAUAAUAUCCACUAAGUUCUGAAAUUUUCCAAUGAUGAUUAAAAUAAAAUAAAUAAAAAAUCAAUACUAAUAGAACAAUGUAAAUAAUAACAAUGAUAAUAACUUCACUUUUUAUUUAUAAUAACGAAAUUAAGAUAAUCAAAAUGACAUAAAAAUUAGUCGGGAAGAACCAAACUAGGAACACCAUAUGAACAAGAAUUAUUGGAGCAAAGAACUACCACCAUUGUUAUAACUAAAACAAGCACAAUCUGUGAAACCCACUCAAUAUAAUUAAAUCUAACUACCAAUGAAAUGUUAAUCACAUAAGGUAGUCUAUAAAUUUACCAAUUUAAAAUCUACAAACUUAAAUAAAAGACAGAGAAUGACACAAAAAGGGAAGAACGGUCAAAUAUUUAGAUCCCACCUAACAUCACAUUUCAUGUAAUCAAAAAUAUAACACCAAUCAUCUAUUCGUUAAUAAUCUAAGCAAUAUAUCACUUCACAGUUAGUAAUUAAAAUAGAAUUGAUAGAAAAUAAUCAAAACAUUAGCAAACAAAAGCAACAGCAAAAUAUGGUUAAAAACAAAUAUGAGAAGUGCAAAUAAUUGUUCAAAAUUAUAAUACAGACAGAAAAAAAACAAAGGAAAAUAAAAAGUCAAAAAAGGAUAGUGAUAUUACCCUCGCCGGAGAUAGAGUGCUUCGACCGGUUUCGGCCGUUUCUGGCCUGCAACUGCUUCUAAAUCACCGAACUCGUUGUUGGGUUGCUAUUGUUGAUGUGCGAGCUUCGAAGCUUGUUGUUCACCAGAGCUUAAAAGCUCACUGGUUCACUGGUGGUCUCCGCUGGUCGGAGUUUGAAACUGCUGGCUGCUUUGUGGUAUUGUCUUUCAUCGGAGUUUGAUGCUCUGAUUCGACUGGAUACCUGCAAAAAUGGAGGAAAAGUCGUGAAAGGGGGAGAGGAAAGGGGUUGAUUUCCUUUUUAUGUUGCUCUGGUUCAUCGGAGCUUUGAGGUCCUCGCCGGAGCUGCUUGUUGGAAAAAGGGAAAGAAACAAAGGGGUUUUGGGGUGGUGUGGUGGUUUAAUUCGCUGUUGUUUGGAGGUUUUGGUUGCUGUUGGUUUUGAUGUGGUGGUGCAGUAGAUUCGCUGGUGGGUUUUGAGCUCGAGUGGUGGUGCGAACUAGCCAGGGAUGAGGGUUUUUUGGGUGGUGGUUUUGUUUGGUCGUCUGUCUCGUUUUGCCGGAAAAUGUGGGCUAGUGGUGUCAAAGAAAGGGGGAAGAAGAAGGGCCAGCUGGUUGUUGCCUUGUGGUUGUCAAAUUCCGAUUAAAAAAAAUCGUUUGAGGGUGGUGGCGGUUUAGAGAAUGUGUCAGUAAAGAAUUCUUAGGGAUUUUACCCUAUCAAAUUGAAAAAUUAUUUCCACCCCUCUUAUUUUUUAGGGCAAAUUACAAAAAUCAGUUACCUUUAAGGCAAAAUUACAAUCUAUCUUUUAAAAGUUUAUAAUUACAAAAAUCUUUUAAAUGGAUACAAUAAUAUAAGCGUUGAUACAUUAAUAUGAUGCGCGGGAUAAGUAAGAUACAUUACAUUUUAUACAUGAUACACUAAUCUGAUGUACAUUUUACACAUGAUAUACUAAUCUGAUGCGCGAGAUGCAAUAAUAUAAGCGUUGAUACAUUAAUAUGAUGCGCGGGAUAAGUAAGAUACAUUACAUUUUAUACAUGAUACACUAAUCUGAUGUACAUUUUACACAUGAUAUACUAAUCUGAUGCGCGAGAUGCAAUAAUAUAAGCGUUGAUACAUUAAUCUGAUACGCGAGAUACACUAAUCUGAUGCGCGAUAAUCAAAAUUUAUAUAGGAAAUAAUUUUAUAAUGGGCUCAAAUUGUGGGCUUGAUAUUAUGACCCAAAAUUGUUGGUUAAAUAAAAUAUCUGUAUUUAAAUGAAUUUCUAGACUGUGCAAAAUAUCAAAAUGAAUAUUAACAAAUGUAACAAAUAAAAUGAAUAUUAAAAAAAAUAUAAUGAACUUAACUAAUGACAUGUAAAAAUGCAAUUUUAAAAUUAACUGAAUAAAAAAAUCCUAAAUUUUGAUAAAUAAGGAUAGUUAUCGAUAAACUUUUUAAAAUUAUAAAAAAAUAUUUUGAACUAUUAAAUAAAUAAAACUUAAAAGUUACGAAUUUUGAAAAUGUUAGGCCAAAUUAAAAUUGGGUGUCAACAUCCAUAAUUCGGCAUGAACCCUAUUUUAAGAAGUCUUUUUACAAAUUGACUUGAGCACUGAAUUGAGAAAGAGUAGAGUUGAGUUCAUUUUCUUUAAAAUGAUCUAUGAGAACUAAGUAUUCCCAAGAGUAAAUGUUUUUAUAUUGAAGAUGAGUGGAAAUUGAGAUUUCCAAAAGAGUUUUGAGCAGUUUGAGUACUAUCUCUUUUAAGAAAAAGAUGAGUUUUGAGAAAGAGUUUUCUAAAACAUGAUUAGAAUCAGGGCCGUCUUAACUAAUAGGCCACUAAAACCAUCGCUUGGGGCCCCCAUUUUUAAAAAAAAAUACUUAUACAUAUUAUUAAAAAAAUUACAUUAAUUUUUUGAAAAAAAAAAAAUGUUGUAAGAGGUUUUUAUAGUUUUUUCUUGAAAAAUUGUUAUUUUUGAUAUUCUUAGUUCAUAAGUAUAUGUAAAUUGUUUUAAUUUUUAUAAAGAAUUUAUUCAGUUUUAAUAUGUCAAACUAGAAAACAUGAUUCCGAUUUUGAAAAAAAGAGAAAAAACUUGAAGAAUUAGAUAAAUCUUAAAAAAGAGCUCUUGAUAGAUUUUUAACAAAUAAUAAAAUUUUUGAAUAAAAAAUAUUGGAGGAUGUUCUUCAAAUGAUCAAGUAACUCAAUUAUAUAAUUGAGUUAGAUGAUAAUAAUAUCCAAGAAGAAAAUCUAGAAGAAGUUGGUGAAAAAUGUGAUAUUGUUCCCGAUAUCAAGAACUCUUAAAUAAUUUUAAAUAGUUGCAUCCCUAAAAAUAUAUAUGAUCCAAGUCAAUGGAAUAAUGUAGUUACAAAAUUAAGAGAUCUAUUAGUAGAAAAGGGAUCAUUUAGAGUGACUGAUAUAAAUUUCCACAAGAUAAAUGCGUACGACAUUUUUCUACAACACAUUAUAUUCAAAAAUUUGUAAACGGAGAAAAGCAUGAAAGAAAAUGAUUAAUCUACUCUACAGAUUUGGAUAAAAAUAUUUGUUUUUGUUGUAAAUUAUUUAGCACAACUGCUAUUAUUUGUAAUAAUAAACUAGCUAGUGAAGGUAGUAAUGAGUGGAGAAAUCUUAGUGUUAAGCUCAAAGUCCAUGAAGUAAAGAAUGAACAUAUUAUUAAUAAUAUGAGGUUCUGUAUUGAUUUAGAAAUGAGAUUGCAUUAAAAAACAAUUGAUAAAGCUGUGCAAGAACAAAUUGACAGAGAUAAAAUGUAAUGAAAAAAUGUAUUGUACAAGAAUUAAUUGACGUGAUCAAAACUCUAGGGAAAAAUAUUUAGCAAUUUAGGGGAACAAAAUGGAAAGAUCUAUCAAGAAAAGUAACGGUAAUUUUUAAAGCCUAAUUGAAAUGAUUAAUAAAUUUGAUUAUGCUAUGCAAGUACAUAUUCGAAGAAUAAGCAUGACGAUAUUCAUAGUCAUUACCUUGGACAUACUAUACAAAGUGAAUUAUUAAACUUAUUGGCAAGUGAAGUCAAGAAUAAUAUUAUUAAAGAGAUUAAAGAAACAAAAUACUUCUCAAAAUAUUAGGGCCUCUCUUUAAGAUUUGGCUUUAGGCCCUCGAUCUUGUUGAGUCAGCCCUGAUUAGUAUGACUAUCAAGUAUGUCAUCAAUGUUUAAGCAGUAUGGUAUUUUUUUUUUUUAAUUACACCCAAACCAAGUGGGAGUUAUUUAUUCCAUCAAAAGAGUGCAUAUAGGCAAACCCAGGUACAAGAAGGCCUUUUGGCAGCCAACAGAAAAGGCCUCAGCUUACAAAAAAAAUUGAUUUGUCAUACCUAAUUCUAAUACUAGGCAUUUGCAUUUUGUCUAAUUGAUAUGAGCCCACUUCUAGCUUAAGGAUAUCCCUCCAAUCGUGAUACAUAUGAGCUUCAUUAGAAAGAACAACAUGUUUAGCUAAUGCAUCUGUAACUUGAUUAGCUUCCCUAUAACAAUGAUUUACUUCACAAUUCAUCUUAGCAACAACUUGUAUGAUGUCUUCCACAACACCUUUGAUUUUCAAGUUGGUGGCUUGUCCAUUCCUUACCAUAUCAACCACCAUUUUUUAGUCGAAUUCAAGAUAACAAUUGUGAAAUCCUUGUUGCAAACACCAUAGGAUUCCGAAUCUAGCCGCCAAAGCUUCUGCAAGAUUGUUACUAGAGCAUGAAGAAGGAAUGGAGAAGGCCAUAAUCAUCCUUCAUGUAUGAUCUCUAACGAUCCCUCUUAAACCUGCAUUGCCAGAAGAGAAACUUUCAUCAGUAUUUAUUUUAACACAAUUAAUAUUGGGUGUGUUCCAGUGGACAGUCUUCCACUUCAGAUAUGGUUUUAAGCUUUCCACCUUGUUUAGAAGAUCUCUCCAAAAAUUAACAAUCUCAAAAGAGGGAAAAGUCAUUCUCAAAGACAUUUUCAAAUUCCACCAUACAUGAUUUUCCAUGGUUCUAUACCACAUCUUCUUUUGAUCCCCAUAUUUACUAGCACAUCUAUGUUUCCAGAUUUCCCAGAAAAUCAAGAUAGGUAGAGUAUGGAUAAUCACAUUAUGUAUGGAAUCAUGAGUAUGUACAUUCCACCAAGUCUAUAGAAGAUUAAUAGUAGAUGAGGCCCUCGUAUCAAUGGCCAAAGGACAGAGGCGUAUCCAGGAUUUCGGCUAGAUGGGUGCACGAUUACGAAAAAAUAUUUUUUAAAGAUAAAUUUGAUUAAUUUGACUUUUAGUUCGUAUAUGAACCAUUAAAUUUUAAAAAUUAUAGGUUCAAAAUGUAUAAUACUACUAGUUUUAAAUUUUAACAUACACAUUUGAUUUAAUUAUAUAAAAAAAUUACAAUGUUAAAUUUUUUAGGAAUUUUCAAUAUAACACAUUUGAAAAUUUUGAAAGAUUAAAGGAAAAAUAAAAGCAAAAUUAGCUGAAACGUCAAAAGUGUAACCGAUAACCACUUGGAAAGGUGUUACUCAUAGAGACAAGAUAUAUAUAAGAUUUAAAAUUAUAUCCUCACUUAGAAAGGUGCACCCAAUCAUCAUCGCAUUAUUAUAUGAUAUACUUUGAACAUGGGUUCACACAUCUAUAUUUAAAUAUUUUUUAAAAAAUAUAACACUACUAUACAUGAUCUAGAGAGGGGAGCAUGGGUUCACGUGAACCCACAGCACCCCCUCUAGAAACGCCUCUGCCAAAGGGCCUCCAAUUUUUUUCCAUAAGUAGCUAGCAACAUCACUAUCCAAGAAUACAUGAUUAAUGGUCUCAGUUUUCAUAUUCUUACAACAAACACAAUGAUCAUAUUAUUGUAUCUAGAUAUACCAUCAAUGUUUAUGCAAUAUGACUUUUCGAGUCAUCAAUGAUCAUAUUAAAAUUAAAUAUGAUUUUGAUAUGUUUUUGAGAAAGAGUUUUCAAGAGUAGUACCUCUUUUAAGAGGGUAGUUUGAGCAAUUAUCUAAAAUCAGAGAAAGAGUUAUGUUUUUAAACAUAUGAGUUAAGUAUAUUUUGGGAGUAGUAUUGAGCACCGAUAUGGGAACGCGAGUUCAUAAUAACUCAAGUCUCCAUAAACCAUGUAGCCAUCAUGGGUAGAAAUGGUCAUACUUUUAGAUGACACCUAAGUGCUUUUUAGCAUAGAAUAGUGGAUCCACUUAGUUAAGGCGUUCUAUAUGACGGCAAAGUAUAUGAUAGUUUUGGCAGCGUGGGCAAGACAUCUAUCAUCACUUAGGCUCAUAGUGGUGGUUGUCGGUUUGAGAAACUCCCACAAAGUUAUAUUGUAUUUUUAUCUACACACUGAGUAUUAUUGUAUUUUUCAAUACAUUGAGUUGUUAUCUACAGUUUUACAACUUUUCAUAUAUUGCAUCUUUUAUUGUUGCUUUAUUCUUGAGUAUCUUGAGUUGAACUGUGCUUCAUCGAAUCGAGUACCUUAUUGUUGAGUUGAGCCUUAUUUCACUGAGUUGAAUAUUUUAUCCUUUGAGUUGAGUAUCAUAUUCUUGAGUUGAUUCGAGUAAGUGAGUUGAGAAGAGGUAAGUAUGUUUCAUUUUAUUAAGUUCAAGCUUGUGUUUAUGCUUUAGAAUUCCUCUUACAUGCUCGUACAUUCCACGUACUAAGCCAUUUGGCCUGCAUCCUUUCAUGAUGCAGACACAUGUAUAUUCAGGGUCAUCAACAGGAGUUUAGUUGAUACCACAUGGAGUUCAAGUUAGCUAUGGUGAGCCUUCUUGCUUUCGGAGGAUUUCAUUUACUUAUCAGUUGUUAGGAUGUCGUGGGUCUUGUCCUGACUUCCAUCUUUGUCAUUUAGAUGCUUCAUAGAUAGACAAUAAAGUUUCACAAGUCUGUUCAUUUAUUUUGUUAAACGUUUUAAAGACUGACGUUGCUUAUUUUGGGGCGAGUUGAAUAUAUUAUAUUAUUCAGAGUUUUGUUUUGAUUUAAAGCUUUGUAUUUAAGUUUCAUGAAUUUUUAUUCAGUUUUUAAGCUUUUGCAUGCUUAACGUCUUCCGCUUGUAGUCAACCAAGGAUGAGGGUUCGCUUGGGGACCAACAAUGGUUCUUGAGUGCCGGUCACGUCCAGAGUGUAGGCUUGGAUCGUGACACCAAAACCGAACUAAAAUAAAUUUGGUUCAGUUCAAUUCAAUUUUUCGAUUUGAAUAUAAUCGGGCCCUUUUCUUAUCAUCAUUCAUUAGUUAACUUUUCUAAUACUAGGCAUUUGCAUUUGGUCUAAUUGAUAUGAGCCGACUGUUAGCUUAGGAAUAUCCCUCCAGUCAUGAUACAUAUGAGCUUCAUUAGAAAUAACGUGUUUAGCUAAUGCAUCUGCAAUUUGAUUUACUUCUCUAUGACAAUGAUUUACUUCAAAAUUCAUCUUCGCAACAACUUGUAAGAUGUCUUCCACAACACCUUUGAUCUUCAAUUGACGCUUGUCCAUUCCUUACCAUAUCAACCACCAUUUUUUAGUCUAAUUCAAGAUAGCAAUCGUGAAAUCCUUGUUGUGGAUGAUGAUAUCUAAAUAUAGAUACCCUUAAUUACAUCAAGCACGUUGCCAUAAAAUAAACAUAAAGUAAGUAUUGUACACCAAAUAAAAAUAUAUUCAGCGCAAGUAGAAUCCAAAAUGGCUUAUUUUGGCUUGACACGGAGUUUAAAAAAAUAUUUGAAUCAUGUGAUCUAAAAAAAAGAUAUGUCGAAUCAUGAAUGUAUCAAAAUGACCUUUUAAUUUUGUGGUCUUAAAAUGUCAUGUAGAAAGUUGAAAUUAAAGAAUUGCUAAAAAGGAAAAAGGUCAUGUUUAUUUUAAAUGAAUUAAAAAAGAAAAUAGCUCAAAUAAAUUGAAACAUAGAGAAUAUAAAAUUUUGACGGAUUGUUGUAAUUUGUUGUGUAAAAAUUUAACCAAUACGUUUUUUUUUUUCCAAGUUGGUCCAAAUCAACUUCGAAUUGCUCCAAAAUUUGAUAUGCAACCUUCUCAUAUAAAUCACAACAACUCUUCAAUUAUUAGAUUCAAUCUAAAUCUUCAAAAAUACAUAAAUGUCUUCAAUAUUCAACAAAACAAAUUGUUAGAGUUAUCUUAUCAAUAAUAUAAUUCAUUACUAUUUAGUAUCUAAACUCUUAGCUCGUCUCAUCCCAAUAUUACUUUGGGCAGAUCAUUUUCCUACUCGAUCAUCUAAACUCCUAGGUUUUUUUCCCUUAUAUAUAUGAUGAUGCGAUCUCCUUUUGUAUUACUAUUAAUUUUGUAACAAGUAACUAUAUCGAGACGAUUGGUUAACAACAAAAACAAAAGUAACCCAAACUUAAAAAGAAACCACAAACUGAAGAAAUUUAUGUAUUUUUGAAUGAAGAAGGUAAGGUAAGGUAAUAGGCUAAUUGCUAGCUUGUUUAUUUAUUGAUAAGCAUACAUUAAUUUACAUGGAGCGAUAGAAGGAUAUAUCCACUUUAUUUAGAAAGCUGCAAGCUAGCCAGCUAAUUAGCAUUCUACGCCUUGAUGAACACAAAUGGAAUAAAGUCCUUAUCGUCAUCGACAGUCGCCAGACGAGGAUAUCCAUUUUUAAAGUUGCCGCCGAUAUUUUUGCACUGAAGAUGAGAGGGACAAUGCAGUAACUUGUAUACAUUUUUGGAACUUCCUGGUGUCACCAAGUCAAUUUUCCUAAUCUUGAAGAUGUCGUUUUCAUUUCCUACCUUACCACCAGUUACCACCAACUGUUCAUCAUCAACUUUCCAAACAGUUUGGUCAACACACAACUUUGUUGUUUUAACAAAGAACUUGAUAUAAACAGCAGUCAUUUGACGCACCACAUCACCAUAAUCCGACUCCGACUUACGAACGAAUACGACGGGCGUGCCUUUUCCCAAAAAUUGGGGAAUUGACAUGUGCUGCAACACGGCGUUUGGGCAUUGAAGGUUUCCAAUAUUGUACAAGUAUACGGCUCCGGCCCCGAUGAGAGGAUUGUUAAUAAUGUACCUCUCGCCAAUCCUCAGCGGAUCGCCGUCUUGGUCAUAAACUUCAGGGAGUACAAGAUUAUCAUCAUCAUGACUAGUUGUGGGGAGGACAAUUGGAUUCUCAGAAGUGAAAGAUCGAGCAAAGGCAACCAAAGAGAGGGUACUUGAAAGCAAGAGGAAACUCAAAAUAUUAAUCGACUUC